RNAcentral lists this long non-coding RNA (309376 nucleotides) under Zostera marina. RNAcentral's name for it is "long non-coding RNA (ZMAR_LNC004319)". Lineage: Eukaryota; Viridiplantae; Streptophyta; Magnoliopsida; Alismatales; Zosteraceae. The record is from RNAcentral.
AAAGAAACAGUUGCUACACCAAAAAGAGCAAGCUACUCCAACACACACAAAACAACACAAAAAGGCAGUCAGUCAAGUUCAGUCAUCAAAAACAACCCUAUUCCUCCAGAUAUUGUCAAAGAAUUCCUAUGGAGGAUGAGGAGGUAGUGGAAUAUCCACAGCCAAAACACCAUUAGCUUUCUCCCCUUCAGAAUUCAGACCUACAUCUGGAUCACUCCACAUCUCAUAAUCAGGAACAGAAUCAUCACUGUCAUAAUCAUAGUAAUAUUGUUCAUACACCCCUUCAUCUUCACCAUCACUGUCUUCAGGGAAAUUGAUAUUCCACACAGGAGGAGGUAUUUCAUACUCAGAAUCAGAGGAAGAAUAUACAUCUUCCACAUCACCAAAAUAUUCCAGGGCCUCCACAUUCAUAUUCUGCUUCCUCAGCUCCCUCAUUCUCCUAAGAUUCUUGGUGUGCCUUCUCAUCAAUCUCCUUGCUCUCCUCUCAUUUUUAUCUACAAAUGGAAACAAAAAAUGAUGAGUUAAAGAUAAAAGAUGGAAGCCCAUACUACAUAUCAAGUGGUGACAACCCAAGCUCAGGCUUGGUUACAACUCCACUCAGUGGACCAAACUAUCAAACAUGGGUAGUAGAGAUUCAGAGAUCACUGUCUACCAAAAACAAAUUAGGAUUCAUAAAUGAAUCCAUCACCAAACCCAGCAACAACACAGACAACUACUAUAUCCCCUGGACCAGAUAUAAUGACUUGGUCACUGCAUGGAUACUCAAUAGCUGCUCAAAGGAAAUCAGAGGCAGUGCAAUCUUCAUAAAGGAUGCCACCACCCUCUGGGAAAACCUCAAGCAGAAAUACAGCAGGGCCAAUUCACUGGUUAUUUCACAACUGAAAAGACAGAUUGCACUCUGUACUCAAGGGAGUGAGUCUGUCAGCAACUACUAUGCAAAAUUACAAGGUCUAUAGAAUGAAUUAGACAACAAUCAGAUUUUUGAAUACUGUGACAAUCCUAACUGCAUCAAAAAGGAGAACAUGGACAGAUUGAUCACUUUUAUAACUGGUCUAAAUGAUACUUUUCUAUCAAUAAGAGGCCAAAUACUCAAGAAGAAGACACCUCCAUCUGUGGACGAUGCCUUCAGGAUGGUACUUCAAGAAGAGACACAAAGGAAAUGUGUCUAUCCUGAAGAAGGAACUGCCUUGGCAACACAAUCUCAAAACAACUUCACACCCAAACCACAAAAUCAAAGUGAAGACUCUAAACCAUAUUGCAGAAGAUGCAAAAAGCACAAUCAUAGCAUAGAAAGUUGUUUUUAUAAACAUGGUUUUCCACCUGACCAUGGACUCCAUGGGGUGGAUUUCAACAAAAGGAAAGAAAACUCCACUAGGUACAACAGCAAGAAAAAUUACAAAUCCAACAAAGGAUAUAAAAAAUACCAAAGCAACAAUGCCAGCACAGAGGAAGAAGCCCAAGCUUUUGAAAAUACACAGACUCCAGGAAACUACAUCACCAGAGAAGAGCUGAUCUCCAUACUCUCCCAGGGAGGAAUCCAGAAGGAAAAUCAGCCACAGGCUUACAUGACAUCUGGGAGCUCAUUUGGUAUGAUUUACUAUAAAAACAACACAUGUUUUAACCCACAUUACUCACUAAACACCACAACAUGCACCCAAUCACAAAAUGAUCAGUGGAUCAUUGACACAGGGGCAAUAGACCACAUGUGUUCCCCCAACACCUUCUUAAACAAUGUUAAAGACCUAUUAUACCCUAUAAACAUCCAUCUCCCAAACUCACAAAACACUAAGGUUUUAGUUAGUGGCUCCACACAAAUCACAAAAGACAUUACGCUAAACAAUGUCUUAAAAAUCCCAUCCUUUUCAGUCAACCUAUUCUCUGUAAGCCAACUAACAAAAGAUAUGAAAUGUUCAUUCACUUUCCACCCUACUUUCUGUUCUAUACAGGACCAACAGAGAAACCAGAUUGGUGGGGGUGAGAAGAAGAAUGGACUCUACAUCCUAAAGCAUGACAAUCAGGCCAACCAUAGGUCCAUAGCCAACAGAAUGAGACAAAGGAUGAAGAGAUAUGGCACCAGAGACUAGGACACCCUGCACCAUUUAGAUUUUAUCACUUGAAUAUUAUAAAUAAAUGUAUUCCAAAUUAAGAAUUUCAAAAAAAAUUUGUAAUACAUGUCCACUGUCUAAACAGAUCCCUUUUUCCUUAAGUUUAGAUAAAACAACAAGAUGUUUUCAAUUACUACACUUAGAUAUAUGGGGAAAAUUCCAUAUACCCACACAUCAAGGAAAUAACUAUUUCCUGACCAUAAUGGAUGAUUACUCAAGAGCAACUUGGGUCUUUUUAAUGACAAACAAAGCAGAAACACCCACUAAGUUCAAACAAUUUUUGAUAAACAUCAAAAAUCAACAUCAAACCACUGAUCAUACCAUAAGGUCAGACAAUGGAACAGAAUUUUUAUCCAAAGAGUUCCAAAACAUAAUUAAAACAGAUGGAAUAGCCCACCAACUAUCAUGCCCAUAUACCCCACAACAGAAUGGGAGAGUCGAAAAGAAGCAUCAACAUAUAUUACAAGUGGUUAGGUCACUAAUGAUCCAAUCCAACAUUCCCCUAAAAUUUUGGGGGGAAUGCAUCACAACAGCUGUCUUCCUAAUAAAUAGGACCUCAGCUGUCGUAUUAAAUAAUGAAACCCCAUUCUUCAUGCUAUUUGGGGAACAACCAAAUCUAGACAUCAUAAAAGUCUUUGGGUGUAUAUGCUAUGCCAUAAACAAUAAAACAAAAUCAAAAUUAGAAAACAGAUCAAUAAAAGGAAUAUUCAUUGGAUAUUCCUCUCAAAGAAAAUGAUAUAACAUAUUAGAUAUAUUCACACAAGAAAUCUUCACCAACAGAGAUGUAAUUUUCUUUGAAGAGAUAUUCCCCUUCAAAAAACAACCAGAACGGUACCAAGAGGAUUUUUUUGACGAUAAUAUCAUCAGAAACUGAUAACACAUCAAAAGAAAAUACAUACACAAUAACACCCCUUCACAAGAAGAAUACACUGAAGAGAUACAAACAUGAAACAGAAGGAGAUACACCAAGUAUCCCAGAAGAGGAUACACCAAGACCAAAAAGGAAAAGAAAAACACCAUCAUAUUUGAAAGAUUUCUCCCUACAACUGGCAUCCACUAGAUAUCCCAUAGAGAACAUGCUAUCUUGCCAAAACUUCACCCCUGAACACUCUGCAUUACUAGCAACAAUAAAAAAAAACUUAGAUCCAUUUCCUCUAAGGAAGCAUCCAAACACACAAAAUGGAACAAUGCCAUGCAACAAGAGCUACAGGCUCUUGAACAUAACCAAACUUGAACCAUCAAAAGCAUGCCAAAUGACAAAAAAUCCAUUGGUUGCAAGUGGGUCUACAAAACCAAAUUUAACAGUGAUGGAAGCAUUGAAAAAUACAAAGCUAGACUAGUGGCAAAAGGCUAUAACCAAAUUGAAGGCAUUGACUUCAUAGAAACAUUUGCCUCUGUCUUCAAAAUGACAACCUUAAGGACUGUCAUAGCUAUGGCAGUAGCACAAAAGUGGGGCAUGCACCAAAUGGAUGUCCAAAAUGCUUUUCUAUAUGGAAAUCUAGAAGAGACCAUAUACAUGAAAAUCUCAUUGGGAUUAGAAUUACCCAAGAAUGCACCACAUAACCCCAUCUGCAAAUUAAACAAAUCACUAUAUGGUUUAAAACAAGCAUCAAGAGUUUGGUACCAAACUCUGUCAAAUGCCCUAUCCAACCUUGGAUACAAACAAUGCAAAACAGACUACUCUCUGUUUAUAAACAAAAAUAAACAAGAUCCAGGUGAUCUUUAAAUAUAGACCUCCUCCUGUCUGAACAUGAUAGUGUUUGAUAUAGAUGAUAUGAUCAAACAAUCAUAUAGAUAUGUAAUACUUAAGCAAUGCAUUUGAAUGAUGAAUGAAAUAUAUGAUGCUUAAGUAUAUGUAUGUAAAAAUAUCGAUACUGUUGGAUGAUCGAUUGAUUGGAGUGUAGCUCGAUUAUCCAACGAAUGAUUUGCAGGUUUGAUGAUGGAGUUGCGCGGAAGUCACUACAAGAAAUAAGACAUUGUAUGGCGGUCUUUAGAUGGCGGAUUUCCGCCAUCUAAAGUGAUCCUCGGCGGAAAUCCGCCAUCUAAAGCCCGCCAUCUUGGACACCGCCAUUAAAACCCAUAAACCGCCAUCUAAAGACCGCCAUCUAUUAUCCAUUUCCAUUUCCCACCAAAAAUAGUAUAGAUGGCGGACUUCCGCCAUCUAAUCUGAAAAUUUUGGCGCGAAUUGAAAAGUUUUAGAUGGCGGAAAUCCGCCAUCUAAAAUAUGGCGCGGGAAUAGUUUGGCGCCAAUUCAUUGAUGGCGGUUAAUUUCAUUGACGGCGGAUGUCCGCCGAUUAUCCCUGGAACUUUAGAUGGCGGAUUUCCGCCAUCUAAAGUUACGCAGUCGGUUUCAUUAGUUUAUAGACGGCGGAUAUCCGCCAUCUAUUCGUCGGAGAGGGCGAUUGUGCCCAGCCUUAGAUGGCGGAUUUCUGCCAUCUAAAAUUUAGUAGAAGAGUUUAGAUGGCGGAAAUCCGCCAUACAAUGUUUGUUACAUUUUUUUUUUAAAACAGGAUUCUAUAUUGUGCGUUCGAAUCGUCGUUUUUUGAAAUAAAAUCUAUAUUUGAGAAAACGAUUUCGUAAUAGAAAUUGAAAUCGAUGUUUUUUAUUAAAAAGAAAUUAAAUUACAUAAUCGUUAAACAUUCGAAAUUUUAAUAAGAAAAAAAAAAUUGUUUAAUCAACACUCGUCUGAAAGCGAGUCUUCUGAAUCAGAAUCAGAAUUAUCUGAUCCGAAUGCAGACGGUAUUGUUGACUUUGAAGUAGAAGCCAUCUGCGUCAUGUCUAGUCCAGAAGUCUUCAAAGUCUUGUUCAGUUUCUUCAUAUAUGAUUUCAUAGCAUUGAACUUCUUCUUGUAUUUGGAGACGUCUUUUUGACUCUCGUUACACUUGUUCUGAAAAUGAAAACAAAAAUGAGUUCGGUAAUCAACAAAAUUAUUGAAAUAUAUUGUAAAUACCUCCAAUGCUUUGAAUUUUUCCGACCAAACUGCAUCUGGUGUUGCAUCAACAGUCGUGCUUUCUGAGAUCGGCUCUUUUCCUUUUCAAUUUGGAGAAGCCCAUCUUUCGUUUGUUGUGCUCACCAUACUGGCAGCUUCUCCAAUUCCUAUUAUUCGAUUCUUCUUAUUUUUGCCGAAAGUCUUGUUGACCGUCGCUUCGAAAAUUGCUGCAUUAAAAAAAAAAUAAGAAAAACGAAAUAUAAUUAAAAUAAUCAAUGGAACUUACAAAUGGAGUCAUUNNNNNNNNNNNNNNNNNNNNNNNNNNNNNNNNNNNNNNNNNNNNNNNNNNNNNNNNNNNNNNNNNNNNNNNNNNNNNNNNNNNNNNNNNNNNNNNNNNNNNNNNNNNNNNNNNNNNNNNNNNNNNNNNNNNNNNNNNNNNNNNNNNNUUAUAUGUCAUUUGUAAAGUCUCUGACCAAGCUUCGACUUCACUCCUUCCUUGUUGCAUCUAUAUUCACAUAAAUCAUUAAUAUAUAAAAAAAAAGAUUUAAAUUAUAAAUAAAUUACCAAUUCAUGACGUCUUUGCGCUAAUCUUUUUGAACCAGCGUGAUGUGUCAUUUGAUUCGCUCGGUUCGCGGUAUUUAUCUCGGAAAUUUGCUGAAAUUAAAAAAAAUAAUAAGUUUCAAAAUUAAUUAAUAUAAUAAAUAUAUAUAUAUACAUAUACGUACCUUUCCUUUUUCCGAACGAUGCUGUCUCAAUUUAUUUAGAAAUUGUGGUUUGCUGACAUACGGUGGAAGAGUCGUUAAAAUGUCUUCUUCUCUCAUAUCAGGAUCAGAGCCAUAAGUUUUAAUUAAAGAAUUAUGGUUGCUCCUCCAGAGUUUGUUCAGCCUGCCAUUGAUAUAAGUUUGUGUAGCUUUGCUUCCACUUAAAUCAUAUUCAGCCUACAUAUUCAAAACUUAUAAGUUUUGAAAAAUUAAUAAAUUAUAUAAAAAAAUAUAUACUUACAGUUAAUAUUUUUAACGCGUCUUGAAAAUUCUGUUGUAAUUGAUGACGCCACUCAAUGUCGUACGGGAAGAGAGUAUGGUCUUNNNNNNNNNNNNNNNNNNNNNNNNNNNNNNNNNNNNNNNNNNNNNNNNNNNNNNNNNNNNNNNNNNNNNNNNNNNNNNNNNNNNNNNNNNNNNNNNNNNNAAUUUUUUCGCCAUUUCAUCCGUUGCUUGGUUUGUGUUGUCAAACAUAACCGUCCACUUCGUACCUUUCUCUGGAUGGUUAUGGGGGUGGUCUUUUGUACGACCACGACCCUUCUUUUGUGGAGGCACAUUUGAAGUGGAUGGCCUCGCAUCUAAUUAAUUUACAUAUUUAAGAAUUAAUUUUUUAUAGAAACAAUGAUAAUAUUUAAAAUAUAAAUAAUAAACUGACCACUCGAACUGGACUCCUCGAAAGAGCGACGGGAUGUAACCAUCGCCAGUGCCAGAAAUGGCGUGAUAACACCAAGCAGAACGAAAACAGUAAACAUAAUCUGAAAUAUUUAAAUUUGAAAAUAAAAUCAGUUAUUUUAAAUACAUAGCCAGACACCCGUAUAUGGGGUCUUGGUCUGACACAACAACCAAACAUUUUUCCUAUUGUAAUUUACAUUCUUUAUUAUUAAACACAACAAAUCUUCGAAGUCGUCGUGAGAAGAGUUGUAUUCGAUUUUGAAUGAAUGUGUGCCACCACAAUCAUUCAACACUCUAGCUUCGUAUCCUAACACUAAAAUCUGACCGGUUUCCAUUGCUUGAGGAUUUGUCGACCAUAUUUUUGGACAGUUCUGAAAAUAAUGACUGUUGACUCCGCAACGGAAACAAGCAAAAACACGACAAUAAUAAUCUAUGUUUUUGUGAAAACUACGUUGAAUCUGUUUAAGUCGCUCUAGUCGUUCAUAUCGUGCAACGAUUGCAAGUAGUUGACUCAUUUUUUACUGAAAAAAAGAAAUAUUUAUAAUCAACAUGAUAUUACAUUGAAAAUAUGAAAUUAUACUGUAAUGUAAUACUUUAUAAUUUAAUUACAACAAUCAUCAUUAUCAACAUCGAAAAUAUCUCUAUUUGGUAUUUUAAGGACUGAACUCCAUUCAGAUUCUACCGGAUCUUGAAUGUAGAAACAUUGUUGAGCCUGAUUUGCCAAAAUGAAUGGUUCCUUUCCAAAUUUCCCCCGUGUUGUGUUGACUGAAACGACACCAAAAUCAUCGACUUUAGUACCUGCUUUUCCAGGAUCAUACCACUUACAUUCAAACAGACAAUAUUUAGUCGUGUGACCGUAGCAAAUNNNNNNNNNNNNNNNNNNNNNNNNNNNNNNNNNNNNNNNNNNNNNNNNNNNNNNNNNNNNNNNNNNNNNNNNNNNNNNNNNNNNNNNNNNNNNNNNNNNNGGAAUCACUUCACUAUUCGUGCAGGACGAGCAUGGACAAGGUAAAUAACCUUCUGGGUGAGUCGAAUUCGAAAUGACGAAAUUAGUGAAAGCUGUUAACCCUUCGCCGUAUUCUUUCGAAAACCGAUCUAAACUCAUCCAAGCUUUAUCGGGUACUUUCUUAACGUUCGACAUUAUCCUAAAAAUUUAAAUUUUUAUCGAAUUAUAAUUAAUUAGAUAAAAAUUAUUUGACUAUUACAAUAUUAGUUAUAGUUCAAUUUUUUGGGAAAAUCUAGCUAAUUAUUGAACUAGGUACGUAAUCUAGCUAGUUCAAUUUUUUAUAGGCCGGUGAUGGGUGAACCGGGAGAUAAAACCGGAAAGCAUCUUGGGGAUUGGGUGGUAAAGCGUCCUCCGACGAGGUAAUUGCUUCACUCUACGUGGCAUUUCUAAAAUCUAAAAAAAUAUUAAAUUAAUUAAUUUAAUAUUUUUUAAACAAAGAAAUAAUUAAUUAAUUAAUCAAUACAUGGAAAAUUAAUGAUUAUUAUUUCAAUUUAAAAUCAUUUAAUUUAAUAAUUAUUCAUUAUGAUUUCUAUAAUUACAUGCAAAUUAUAUUCAUUAACAUUUCAAUUUAAUAAUUACUAAUUAAUUAACAAAUUUUUAAUUUCAGGCAAAUUAAUCAUUAACAUUUCAAUUUAAUAAUUACUAUUAACAAAUAAUUAGCAAAUUAAUAAUUUUUAUUUCAAUUUAAAAUCAUUCAAUUUGAUAAUUAUUAAUUCAAUCCAAAUUUAUUGGAUUCUUGAUUUUUCAAAACCUACAUCAAGUCAACAACAUCAAGUCAAAUAAUUUUUUAAUUAUUUCAACAAAAUUAUUAUUUAUUUAAUUUAAAAACAGAAAAUAAUUAAAACAAAUUAUUUUUUAAUUUCAAACAUGAAAAUAAUUUAUUUUUUUUUUAAACAAAUUAUUAUUUAUUUAAUUCAUAACAGUAAAUAAUAUAAAGAAUUUCAGUAAUUUUAAAAUUAUUUAAAACAGUAUUUUAAUUAUUUUAAUAACUAAUUAUUUUAAUUUCGAAAUAUUAAGAAAUAAGAAAUAAUUAUUUUAAUUAUUAUUAAAAAUAGUAAUUAAAAAAUCGAGGCGAGCAAUUCGAUUUUUUAAUGUAUUUUAAUUAUUAUUAUAAACAGUAAUUAAAUAAUUUCUAAUUAUUUAAUUACCAAUUUCAUUAACAAAUUAUUUUGAUACAAUUUAAUAAUUAUUACUUAACAAAUUAAAAUUUCAUGGAAAUUAAUUAUUUACAAGUAUAAGACAAAAAACUAAUUUUAUUACUAAAUUUAAUUUUUUUUUUUUUAAACAAAUUAUUAUUUAUUUAAUUCAUAACAGGAAAUAAUAUAAAGAAUUUCAGUAAUUUUAAAAUUAUUUAAAAACAGUAAUUUAUUUAUUUAAAUAAAUAUUAAUUAUUUAAUUAUUUAAAAAUAUUAUUUUAUUCGCGAUUUCAUCAAUAAAUGAUUUCUAUAAUGUUACCAAAACGAACAAUCGAGGCGAGCAAGGCAAUCGGACACGAGCACGGCUGUCGGAGGAGGCGGAAAAACUAACACAAUACAUUAAAAAAUUACUAAAUAACUAUAAAGCAAUAUAAACAUGUAAAAUUAUAAACCCAAUCAACUAAUAAACAUUAGACAUAAAAUUAAAUAAAAUCAUAAAAUAUAAAUCGAAUAAUAAAUCUUUUAUAUAUAAAUGACAGUAAACAUCAUAAAUUAAACAAGACAUCAAAUAUUAAACAAGUCAUAUAAACAUCCAUAUCUAAAUCAAAUAAAAUCAACCAUAUCUAAACAUCCAUAUCUAAAUUCAUCCAUAACUAAACUAUAUAAAAUUCCAUAUAAACAUCCACAUUAACAUAAACAUCUAUAUAAACAUUCAUCAUCCAUGUAACUAAUUCCUAUAAACACUAGAAAUCACAAUCUAAAAACACUAAUAAUAACAUGAUUAUACAAACAAUCAAUAUUAUUCUACAAUACAAGUAUCAAAUACUUACAAUCAAUACAUAAACAUUACAGUAGACAAAAUAAAUAAAUUCUUACAAUAAAACAAAAUAAAUUCAUUACAGUAGACAUAAACAUUAUAUCAUUACAUAAAACAAAAUAAAUCAAUCAUUACAGUAGACAUAAACAAAAUAAAUUCAUAACUAUAAAAUCGAUCAUUACAUAAACAUUAUAAAAUCGAUCAUUACUAUAAUCAAUAAUCAAAUAAUCAAUAAUCUAAACCCAUUCACAAUCAUAUCUUCAAAUCCAAUCAUAUCUUCAAAUAAAUUAAACCCAAUCAUCAAUAAAUCUUAUCAACACAAUAAUCAUAAACAAAAAACCAUAAAAAAACAAAAGAAAAUAUAAAACAAACCUUCAAACAAACAAUAGAAGUGGAGAUCACGGCGAGGACACGGCGACUGGGAGUGGAGACAGGCGACGACGACGGCGGCGACGACGACGGCGACAACGGCGACGAGUAGGCAGCGGCGGGGAGAUCGGCAGCGGAGUCGGCGGAGGGAGGCAAAUCAGAACAGACAACGCGUCUGUUCUGAUUUGGGGUUUUUAAUAAACCCCAAAACUUACAUGGCGGAUUUCCGCCAUGUAAGUACACUUAAGUGCCGCCAGCACUUAAGUGCUUUUUCCGCCCGAGUCCCCGAAUACUUAAGAUGGCGGAUUUCCGUCAUCUUAAGUCAAUUUAAUCGAGUAAUCGGGCUGGAAAUUGGGGGCCAUUCGAAAUUUUGGGCGGGAUAGUUUAGAUGGCGGAAAUCCGCCAUCUAAACACCGCCAUCGAAAAAAAUUUCGAACCGCCGUCGAGCCAAAACGUUUCCUCGGCGGACUGAAAAAAUAGAUGGCGGACAUCAGCCAUCUAAACUAUUGAAGUAUUGAUGGCGGAAAUCCGCCAUCUAAAGGUCGCCAUACAAGUCCUUUUUUUUGUAGUGAGUGUUGAGCAGCAGCAGAAUGUGUUGUUGAAGAUCAGUGUGUGUGUUAUGAAUUAUAGAUUGUAAACAGAGAGUAGUCUCACCUUAAACGUUCUUCAAAUACCAAGAACAGAGAUGGUUCAUCAAAAAUUAAUUUAAAGAUGCGGUAGAGUCUGAAAUUAAUGAAUAAAAUCAGUCAUUUGGGGAAGACAAUGGACCCAUGAUUUCCAUAGAAAAGUGAGAGAUCUAGAUAUGAAGUACAUGCAACAACAGCAUAAGUCAUGCAUACUACAAAAUACGUACGUAAAGAUCCAGAAAUGAUCUUGAUUCAGUCCGUCCGUGAUAGAAGAUGAACUUGUCGUAGGUGGUUUAAUUCAACUUUCCAGAAUUAUUGUCCGAUCUUCACAUGCGUUUCCAAUAAUUUCCGCAAGCUUCCACAGACGUCGUUUUCUGUUGAAUCACCGAGUGUGUUCAUCGGUAGCUUCGUUUCUCGGGAGCAAGCUCCAAUUACCACCCAAUAAUUCUGCAGUCUCAUGCAUUGGACAUCUAUCUGGACACUUAGCUGUGUUUUGUUUGUGUCGGAUUAUAUUAGAAUUAUAAAGUGUUAAACCCUAGAUUGAAUCUAAAUAAUUAACGAUAUAUUAAUCUCAGUACUCCCAAUUGAAUCUCACUGGAAUAGAUCGAGCAACGAUGGCAGCUUCUAUUUCUUCUCUUUUCUUUAUGCUGGUGAUCCAAGCUGCAUCGAUGGCAAUCGCUGGUACUCAGACGAUGAAUGUUAUAAAAUCCACAUGCAGAUCCACACCCCACCCGGAGCUUUGCAUCAAAACAUUGACGGAUCCAUCCGUCAUCUUAUCUAUACCCAUUGAUCCAACACUAAUCAACUUCGCAGCGCACACGCUUGACUCUGCAAUCACCAAAGCAAAAAAACUCUCGUCUUUCUUAGCAGACACCGGUUCCGGUGGAAUUGGUGGCAUCGUUCAAGUUCAGAAAGGCUGUGUUGACGACUGUAAGGAGCUUCACCAAAUCAGCAUAGCUUGUCUUCAGAGAUCCGCCGCUAUAUGUGACAAAAAAGGUGGAACUGCUGCAAGUUUGAGUACGAGAGAAAUGAGUGAUAUCAACAUUUACCUCUCGGCGGCGUUAACUAACAAGAAUACCUGCCUCCAAGGUCUGUCCACGGCUACCGGACCAAAGAAGGACAGUCUGGUCAGUUAUUUCACGGAUGCGUACAAAUAUGUAUCUAACUCGCUUGCCAUCGUUGCCAAAUCAAAGGCUUCUAAGCUGCCUCCUCAUCCCACGUCGGUUCAUAAUCGGAGGCUAAUGGGAACGAUGAUUCCGUCGUGGUUACCGUUAAGAGAUCGGAAAAUUUUACAGCUUGGACCGAUUACCAUUGGUGGCGGCAGUAAUAACGAGGGUAACAACGAAGGUAACAACGAGGGUAAUAACGAUGGCAAUAACGACAAUAAUGACGACGGCAAAGGUGAUGAAAAUACGUUGACACUCAAGGUAGCAGCCGACGGUUCUGAGACUUACAGAACUGUAAGUGAGGCCGUUCUUAAUGUGCCGGAAAAAAGUAAUUCCAGGACGAUUAUUCAGAUCAAGGCCGGAGUUUACGAGGAGAACGUGGUAAUUCCCUCAAAUAAGAUAAACAUCGCAUUUGUCGGAGAAGGUAGCGAUGUCACUACAAUCAGUGGGAACAGAAGCGUCGCCGAUGGGUGGACGACGUUCCACAGUGCAACUGUUGGUAAGUUCUCCGAUCUUGUUAAUUAACCCAAACUUUUUAGUUUUCACAGUCACACCAUGAAUGAAGAAUCAGAUCUAGAUCUACAUUUGCAUUCUGCAAGAUGCCAAAUUGAGUAAAACAAAAACACUGCACAAUUUACAAAAUUUAACUCUGACGGUAAGACGAAUGGUCAUUUAGGUCACGGGCUAGAUGAGAUUUCCAUGCAUGCAUUAUUUAAGCCAUUUGUAUUCAAAUAUUCCUAUUUAUUUAUUUAUUCAUUCAGCUGUUUCCGGUAGUGGUUUUCUGGCAAGGGACAUCACGUUCGAGAACUACGCCGGACCGGCAAAAGGGCAGGCAGUGGCUAUAAGGAUAAAUGCAGAUCUGACGGCUUUCUACCAUUGUAACUUUCUCGGAUACCAAGACACACUCUACGUCCACUCCUUCCGCCAGUUCUAUAGAGAAUGCAACAUCCUCGGAACAGUCGACUUUAUCUUCGGAAAUUCGGCGACCAUCAUCCAAAACUCCAACAUCAUAGCCCGACUACCUCUCCACGGCCAAUACAACACUAUCACCGCACAAGGCCGUGACGACCCGAACGAAGACACGGGAAUCUCGAUACAGAGGUGUUCGAUCUUGGCAUCACAAGAACUUGCCCAAAACCCCGACAGCGCCAAGACUUACUUGGGCCGGCCAUGGAGGAUAUACUCCAGGACCGUGUACAUGGACUCGCUGAUCGAUCGUCUUGUCGAUCCGGCUGGGUGGAAGAAUUGGGAUGGUGAUAGAGGGUUAGAUACGUUGUACUACGGCGAGUAUGCGAACACUGGACCGGGAUCGAACACCGAUGGUCGAGUGAAUUGGGCUGGAUAUCAUAUCAUGGACCGCCAAGAUGCUUCUCCGUUCACCGUGUCGGAGUUCAUCCAAGGGGAUCAGUGGCUCGAUUCAACCAAUUUUCCUUAUGAUAAUUCUGUGUAAUCGGACCGUCAGAUUUUAUAAUGUUUAUAAAAAUAAAGAUGGUAUAAAUGGGGUUAUUUUUAUGAUAUAAAAAUAAAAUUCACUGACCCGUUUUCAGAACGAUAAGUGAUCGCCUAUUACGGUCGACUAUGUUAAUAACCUAAUUAAUAUGUUAUUAAUAGGUCAAAUCCCGAUGUUACAGUGUCGUCCGAUGACCAUCAAUUCGUCAAAUCAUAAUUUCCGUUACGGUUCUGAAAACAUCGUGUAUAUUCAAUCUUUUAUACUUUUAUAAUAUAUAUUUCCAAAAUGUGAUAACAGAUUUUUUGUAACAGUAGUCUAGAUCAAAAAAGAGAUUGUUUUUCUUAACAACCUAUUUAAGGAUUUUCUUAAUAACCUAUUAAUACAAAUAAUUAUAAACUUGUCAUCUUUUAUAAACCUUAAUUAGUUAAUUUUAUAUCCUAAAAUUUAAAUCCUAAUUUUAUUUUUCUCUCCUCUUCCACUUUCAUUUUUCCUUUUUCGUCGUCGUUGGCUCUCCCCUCACUGUCGUCGGACCUCUUCUCACCUUCGUCGGACUUCUCUAUCUUUAAACCAUUUUAUUAUUUAAACAACAAGAUUUUUUAUACAAAAUAUUCAAUCAAUUUACUAAACCCGAACCCGACAUCUAAACCGGGUCUGUGUUCAAUAUUUUGUGACCUUCUCGGGUUUUGAUCCGAAUCCGAUUUGAAAACUCAGGUUCGAAUCCGGAUCCGAGUCUAGGUAAACUCGAGGGAAACCCGACCCAUGCCAAUCCUAAUGACAGUAUGUCACGACUCGAAAAGAGAUAAUAAAUUAAAUUCAAAUACUAAAUGUUCUAAAAAUAAAUGGUAAACAAAAGACAUUAAAAUGAACAUUUGUAGACAAAAACAAAAUAACAUUAAAAUGAACGAUAAAUACAUAUGUGAUUUCAAUUAAUUAAAUGAUAGUGAAUCACAAAGUAGCCGUGAUAAAAAAAAUAAAUAAAAUAAAUAAAAUAAAUAGUUAACUAAUUUUCUAAUUGCGUACUUUAUUAAAAUGGAAAACUGUUAAUUAUAGUGAAACCAAAUGUUAAAUAGUUACCGUUAAUAUGACUAAUCAGUUAAUGCCUAAUAGAGACACCUAUACAUAUUAGGCAAACAGUUAGUUUACUUUCUCGAUCGGUUUUAUCCUUUCCCGACUCCGGCCAUCGACGCACCGACCAUCUUGCAUGCCUGACUAGCUUUAUUUCUCGAUGAUACUGGAGGCCGGUUGAACCAAUAUAGAAUCCGUACAACAUAAUUUAUAAAUAUAGAUAAUGCCGGCGUUUCAAGACUUCGGUCCGUGGUCGGAUCGGCGUAAAGCCGAACUGAACCAGAAGAGGAAGAAAAAUUUCAUAAUCUUCGGCUCCAUUGCUCUUAUCCUCAUCAUUUCGUUCUCCAUUGCAGUUGUGUUUAUCAUUAUGAAUAUGACGCAGAAAAAGUGUUCUCGUCCCGUCACUAGUACUAAUUCAUCCACUUCUUCCGACGCCGCCGGCAAAGCGCUUCCCUCAACGACGUCAAUCAAGACCGUUUGCUCCAAGACCGACUAUAGAUAUCUGUGCGAGAAGGUUCUGAAGGAAUCCGUCGGAGAUUCAAAAAAUAAAUCUUCCGACCCAAAGGCACUCAUCGGGUUUUCGAUAGACGCCAUUAGUUCCGAGCUAGAAAAGGUCCAGAAUAAAUCAAAAUUAAUCAAAAGCACCGACCCACUGGUUUCCGGUGCGGUCGAUGACUGCGACGAGCUCUUCGUCUACGCAAUGGAGGAUUUACAAAGAGCGAAGCAAACCGUCGACGAGAAGGAUUUGAAUCAACUUCAGAACCAAACCCAUGAGCUCAAGAACUGGCUAAGUGCGGUGGUUUCCGAUCAGAUGACAUGCGUCGAAGGGUUUCCCCAAGGCGAGUCCAAGGAACGGAUGAGGAAAGAGGUAGAAACCUCCAGGAAACAUACCAGCAAUGCUCUUGCUAUUGUUGAUCAGAUGGUUUCGCUUAUAUCGUCUUUCGAAAUCAACGAUCUAGGAUUCCAACACAGGUUGACGGAACAAUCAUCGGAGAGCAUCGAAAACGAUCAGCUCAUCGUCACUGACACCGGUGACAUAUUACCUUCGUGGGUGCCGGAAGAGGAUAGGAGGAUUUUGAAGGAGAGAAAAGAAAAAGAGAUUGAACCAAACGUCGUCGUUGCCCAAGAUGGCAGCGGUAAAUUCAAGACUAUAACUGAAGCUCUGGCUGCUAUGCCAACGAUAUAUGUCGGAAGGUAAUCAGAUCCAUAUACCAAAUCUCUUGAGUCCUGAAUAUUGAUUUUGUUUGAACUUUUUACAAUCAUGAAAGUUAGGUAUGUGAUUUACGUGAAGACUGGUGUUUACGAUGAAAGUCCUAUCGUGACGAAGAGGAUGGAGAAUGUGACCAUGUAUGGCGAUGGAUCGAAGAAGACGACCGUCACCGGCAAAAAGAAUGCUGUUGAUGGAACACGAACAUUCCAGACUGCAACUUUCGGUACACAUGUACUAUCACUAGCUUCUCCGAUCGAAUCGAUCGAGAUUACAAAUUGAAUUAGUUUAAUUUUCGAGCAAAAGAAAUUGAUUUACAGUGGCCGUCGGAGAUCGGUUCAUGGCAAUAUCCAUGGGAUUCGUGAAUACCGCCGGUGCAAAAAAACAUCAAGCAGUGGCACUUCGAGUACAGUCUGAUCGGUCACUUUUCCUCAACUGUCUAAUGGAUGGAUACCAAGACACCCUCUAUGCCCAAUCCCACCGUCAGUUCUACCGAACCUGCGUCAUCAAAGGUACUAUCGACUUCAUCUUCGGCGACGCCGCAGCAGUUUUCCAGAACUGCAAGAUCACCGUCCUCCGCCCACUCGACAACCAAAAGAACAUCGUCACUUCCCACGGUCGAAGCGACCGUCGGGAGAGCACGGGAUACGUUCUCCACGCCUGUAAGAUUUUCCCCGAUGCCAAAUUUUUGCCGGAUACGAGGACAAAAAUCAAAACUUAUCUCGGUAGACCAUGGCAAAAGUACGCUCGGACGGUUAUCAUGGAGUCCUCUAUCGAUGGAUUCAUCGAUCCCGAAGGCUACUUACCGUGGAACGGAGACUUUGGUCUGAAAAGUCUUUACUACGCCGAGUACGGCAACGACGGCGAAGGAGCUUCGAUGGGCAAUAGAGUGAAGUGGCCGGGAGUCCGAGCCAUUAAGAAGAGUAAAGCCGAAGAAUUCACUGUAGCCGCUUUCAUCCAGGGAGGAGAAUGGAUUAAAGACAUGCACGUACAUUCUCCGGUGCGUUUAGGGUUGUAUAAUAAAUAAAUGAGAUAUUUUUCCAUUCAUGCAUGGAAACAGAGUCCGUACUAUUUCAAUCUAUUUAUUACCAGAGUUAAAAAAAAGUAAGACAAAAAUAUUUGAUUUAAUAUUUAUAAAUCAGUGGUAAGUGUUUCUUUCAAACAGGCCUUAGGCCCAUUAGAGUAAUACUGAAAAUAUUUAUAAAUUUGCAAAAACAACCUACCAGAAUUACAGCUUUGUAAAACAUAUAUUUUGAUUUUUGACAUGGUGUACAUUUAUUUAAUGAAGUCAAUCUGAUUAACUUAAAUAAGUUUAAAUCCAUGUUGCUAAGCAUUCAAGGAUGCCUUGAACCUCGAUCCGGUGUUUUGUUUUUCCUAUCGUACAUCCCAUCUCGUGUUUCUCUCCUUCCAUUGGCAAACUCGAUCCUAGAUUUUUAGGAAUCGACCCGACUGCUUUGUCCGAUCAUUGUCUCGUCAAGUUCAGACUCAAGUUUCCCUAUGGAUUCAUAAUGAACAACAACGGGGAGAGAAAAAAUCACCCUACCGAACCCAUUUUCGCACUUUGAUGAUGGUUAAUUUGGUUGAGCCCUAUACGUACCAGAGCGGAAGAGGAUCGAUGCGGAAUUGAGGUAUGACUGUAUCAUCUCCCUAGCUAAACUGCACAUUCAAUUUAGGGAGAUGAUACGGUCAAUGUCUUAACUAAGAACAACAAGAAUUACAAUAAGGUAUGAAAAGUAAGAAUCAAACUAAAAACCAGCACAAAACAUAACAAUAUAUAUCCGCAAACUAAGAACAAUUACAAAAACGGAUAUAUAAUUUUAAAAGAAAGACAUUAGGUACACGUAGCAAAUGAAAAGACAUUGUAUCACCCUUAGGUGUAAAACAUAAAGAAAAAGCAGUCACCAAGAUAAAGUGUUAGGCCUAAUUCAGAUUUAAAAUUGGGAUAAUAACCCGGAUCCGAUAACAGUGGAUCCAUUUAAAUUGAAUCAAGUAUAACAAAUAACGAAGGUAUAUAUAUAGAGACAAAGAUGGUUGAGCAAUUACCGGAAAAAAAAUUCUAUUCCAUUUGUGAGUAUCGAUUUUCUGCUCUUCUCAAUCAUUCUCAGUUCUUGGACUCGUCUUCGUUUUCAUCUAGUAAUUUUUUGUUUGCUGUUCAUCUUUCUCAGGUAUCGAUUCCGGUUUUUUCCAAGCAAGUUCCUGUUUCAAUAUUCCUGUUUUAAUCUCGAAAUCAAAUCAUUUUUUAAAAUUCAUGUUCUGUAAUUGUAUUGUAAAAUAUUGAUGUACAUUUCAUCAUCAGAUAUGAACAAAUUGAAUUCUGUCAUAUUCUAUUUUUUUUUAGUUUAGUUGAUACACUUUUCUGUUCCAAUUUCCUUAAUUCAGUUUGUCAUUCAUCAAUCCAUUUCAGUAAAAGUUUCUGUUAUUUUUUUAAUUCUUUUGUAUUCAACUUUUCUGUUCCAAUUUUCUUAAUUCUGUUUGUUAUUCAUCAAUCCAUUUCAGUAAAUGUUUCUGUUAUUUCUUUUGUAUUCAUUUUCUGUUCUGUUGAAUUAGUUUUGUUCAAAUAAAUAAACCAAUUCUUGCUUGCAUAAUCACAAUAUUCUGAACUGUACAUUUUGUUUCAAUCAAGUUAAUAUUCAUGGUAUGUUUAAAAUUCAGUUAAUGUCUGUUUGAAGUUUCUGAUGAGUUUUCUCACCCCUCGGCCGGGAUCAUCACAAGCGUUCUUGUUCUCAGAAGAUAUCUCUGGCUCCAACGAGGGUUUUCGUUCGGGGGGUUGGACGUUCCCCCUGACAGCAUACCUGUCCGGGAGUUUGAAAUGUGAUCCUUUGACGCUCUCUUGGGCUUCGAGCUUGUGAAGAACGAUCAUUUCCUGGGGACCAUCUUGUCAUCACCGAAGUGGAGCUUAUAAUUUUAAAAGAACGAUAUUAGGUACAAGUAGCAAAUGAAAAGAAAACAUAAAUGAGGGAAUCCAUAAACCCUAACAUAAUAUGAUAUUGAGUGAAUAAAUAAAUAAGGAUCGAGCAAAAAAAAUGAUAGAAUAAAAAUAGAUAUAGAUGUGAAAUAGAAAAAAGAGUACGAUACAAGAGAGAGAACAAGAAGACCUAAAGGGUGGAGGAAGAAAGAAAAAUAACCUGGUCGAAAGAAGAAGAAAAAUCAAAAAAAGAUGCUAUGAGAUAUUUAAAAUAUUUUAUCCGUCUGUUUUUUUCUGGAAAUGUAGUAUUAGCUUAUCGAACAUAAGCUUUACACUCGAACUCUGUUGGUUGGGCUCGCGAAUCCAAACUUAGCCAGCCGAACUAGAGCUUUAUUUAACACCCUAGUUGCCUAUAUAUAUAUAUAUACGGUGCGUUUUUCGAACGGCCACUUACUAAACGGAUCAUUUUGCGGACGGUGCAUCUCACCGUCAAUUCUGCGAAAUUUUUUGCACCAUUCAUUGUGUUUGACCAUCUACGUACAUCCGACGGGAUGUAGCCUCACCGUUUCUCUGCAAAUUCCGUUCACUAGCCCAUACCCUCCACUAUUCCACCGUACCUCACUGACUUCGUCUGUCCCGAAGUUUCGAAUUCGUAUAAAGAAGUUUUCAUGUCGUUCGUCGUCACUGCCAUUGCAUUCCGCGUUCCCCUAAAUAUUACCCCAAAUAACAUACGCCUCUACAACAUUCACUUCUUACGCCUCGCUCAUCAACGGAUUGGCAAAAAAUCACUUCCAGCAGAUCCCCUCGUACAGGGCAUCUUUAAAUCACUCCGAGUUUCCUCAUAACUAUUCCGUAUGUUUUUCACAUUUGACCUACCUUACUCUAAAUGUUUCAGUAAACUCGUAUGUUCCGGCAACUUACGAAAUCAACACAGUGAAAAAAUCGCAAGUAAUACUACAUGCCAUUUAUCGAAUAACAAAUGAUUUGUUGUAUUUCUGAAGUUCACGAUUUUGAAAAAUCGAAAUCCUAAGAGGCAUCGAAUCAAGCAUCAAUCGAAAUCCCAAUAAGUUUAUCAAAAAAUGAAUAUACACUGUUAAAGGAAAAUCAAAAAAUAAAUAGAUUUUCAUUUUCGAAUAUAAUUCUUGUUUCCUUAGAUUCCUAUUAUACAUGUCUUUCUUAACUGUCUACCUUUUCUUUUCUGACCCCAAACCUUAUCUAUUCAUUUAAUCAAUUCUUGGACAAUGAAUGGUAUGGAUUUUAGUUGAUUCUACAAGAAUGAAACUUUCAUCUCUUCUAUGAACGGUAGAUUAUACAGUUCAUCUUAGUUAUAAGCAUCUAUUUUCGAUGGCCUCAUCUUUAGAAAUCUAGUACUAAAUUAAAAUCUGCGUAUCGUAAUUAAACUAGGUAUGUGGUACCCCCAAUUCCACCAUGAUAUUUGUUUGUGUUUUGUUCGAAAUCUUUUUUUAAGUAUAAAAUCACUGUUAUUCAAACGAUAUCUGUGUAGAACCCCUUUUUACCUUGAUUAUAAUUUUUUUUUCAAUAUAAUAUUUACACUGAAUAUAGUUGUAUUUCUGUAAUUUAUUAUUUUACACCUAUGAUUUGUGGAUCCUUAUUUAUUCACCGCUGGUUUUUUGUUUAUAGUAUCAAAUUAAAAAUUGGGUCUAUAAUCUUUUUUUCAGAAAUUCCAAAUGACCAUGUAUGUUUUAGGUAUGUUCUGUUGAUAUUUGAUUUCAAAGCAUGACAUAUUCAUUGAUCUGUUUUUGGAAAUAAUGUCCAUUAUGCUCCUAAUGUUGAUCUAUAUAAAGUGGCGUCAUUUUCCAAAUUUUUUUAUCGUAUCUAAUAUUGAAAUUAAUUUGUUAAUGUCGUACCCAAGUUAUUUACUUAUAUUAUUCUGGUUUUUGCCUGAUUAUUGUUCAUUGUUUAAUUUUAAUGAUAAUUCUAUUUUUAUUCCAACGAUAUGUUUGUACAUACCUUUUUACCUUGAAUUUAAAUUUCUUUCCUAAGUUAUAAUCUACAACUAUUAGUUGAUCGAGUUCAUAUCUGUGUAUGGAAUUUGUAUAUUAAUAUGUCGAUCAGGGUGAAACCUUCGUUUCGGAAUCUAAUAUUCCCCUCAGCUUUCGAUAAAAUCUGCCCUGGGCAUGAGUGAUUGAUGACCAGCCAAUAGACAAUUUGGUAUCUGCCACAAUUUGAGAUGAAAUUACCAUGAACUCUGGAGGAAUUUUUCUCUGUAGUUUGUUAUCUGUUUCUAUUGUGCAGUGUGUAUUAUCGAAGGACUAUCAACCUUUUUUUUUACUAAGCAGAAAUGAUAUUUCUGAUGGUUUAUAUUGUAUUUGAUGAAUUCGCAAAAAUCUAGCAAUUAUUGAUCUGUUCGUUUUUGUAGGCUGGUAUAGAUUGCUUACUACAAUGUAUUGUAAUAGGAUUAUUAUAUUUACCGUCUAGACCAUUGUAUUUUAUUCUAUAGAUUUUUCCACAUUUCAUCAAGCUUAGUUGCUAUGUUCCAAUAAUCUAUUAUUCUCCCGCUACAUUGUAUAAUACGUAAGUGGAGAAAUAGAUUAUCCGACCUAAUUUGAUUGAUCGAAUACUAAAUGGUUUGUAGGAUUUCUGAAAUCCUAUAUCCCAAGUUCAUGAUGGACAUCUCAAAAAUUUUUGAACAAAUGAAUAUCAAAUAUUAAUGGAAAAUCAACAAGUAAAUUGAUUUUCCUUUUCGGAUUAUACUAUUGUUUUCGUACAUUCCUAUUCGCCAUAUCUUUCUGAAUUAUCUCAUUUUUUUCUUCUGAUUCCAAACCUUAUCUAUCGAUGUAAUUAAUUCUUCGACCAUGAAUGUUAUGAAUUUUUGUUGAUUCCACCAGUUUCCAAUUAUCAUAUCCUAUAGGAGCUGUAGAUUUGAUAGUUGCCCAUAAUAAUAUCCAUCUAUUUACAAUGGCCUCAUCUUCAGAAAUCUAGUAUGAAAUCUAAAUUCGCGUAUCGAAAUUAAACUAGUUAUGUUUAACCCCUUUUCCAACAUGAUUACUGUUUUGUAUUUGUUUUUUUUUGUUCGAAAACUCUUUUUGAUCAUGGGUUGUGUUUUUUUAGUUUAUUAUUUCACACAUUAGGUUUGUCGAUCCCUUUCUAUUCCACGCUUGUUUAUUUUCCAUAGUACCAAAUUUAAAUUUCGGGCUGUAAUUUAUUUUUCAUAGCUUCUGAAUGACCAUGUAUAUCUUAGUUAUGUUCAGUUCUUAUUUGAUUCCAAAGCAUGACAUAUUUACUGAUCAAUUCUGGGGAAUAAUGUUCAUUCUCCUAAUAUUGAUCUAUUUACCGUGGCUGCAUUUUCAAAAUUUUAUUGUCAUAUCCAUUAUUCGAUAUUGAAAUUAAAUUUUUUUAUGUCGAACCCAAUUUAUUUCAUUAUAUUAGUCUGGUAUUUGCUUAAUUAUUGUUCAUUGUUUAAUUAUAAUUCUAUUUAAAUUCCAACGACAUGUUUGUACAUUCCUUUUUACCUUCAAUUUACAUUUCUAUCCCAAGUUGUAAUCUUCAACCGAUAAUUGAGUUCUUAUUUAUUGAUGGAGUUUGAAUAUUAAUUUGUCAAGUUGGUUGUAGCAUUUGUUUCGAAAUUUAUUAUUCUGCAUAGCUUAGGAUAAAAUUUUCCCUGGGUCAUCAGUCAUUGAAAACCACCUAAUAAACACUAAGGUAUCUGCCCCCAUUUUAGAUUAAAUUAUUAUUAACUCGGAUGGUUUUUUCUCUGUAGUUUAUUAUUUGUUUCCAUUUUGUCGCGUCUGCCAUCAAACUCUGUCAGUACCAAACAGAAAUGAUAUUUCUGAAGAUCAAUAUUGAAUUUGAUGAAUUCACGAAUUUCUAGUAAUUAUUGUAAUGUUCCUUCUGUAGGCUGUUCUAAAUUGCUAGUUAAAAUCUUCAGUUAUAGGAUUUUUCCAAUUACUGUCCAGAGCAUUGUCUUUUAUUCUUCAGAGGUUUUCACAUUUUACCGAGCUUAGUUGCUAUCUUCCAUUAAUCUAAUAUGCUCCUAUUACUUUGUAAAACACCUUAGUGAAGAAUUCGAAAAUCCAACCUUAUUUUAUUGAUCGACUGGACGUCCGGCUUUAAGACAAAAUUAAAGCGGGAACGGCCGGUCGACGAAGUCUGGACCGACGGAUUGCCAUCCGUCCAUCGUCGAAUGAGUGUUCGUCUACGAACCAUGGUGUGUGUGUAUAUAUAUAUAUAUAUAUAGGGCGCGAUUCUGGGACGGCCGAUUUUUCGAACGGUCCCUUUUGCAGACCUCCGAUCCGUCGUCCGUUAGCUAGAGAUUGAACUGGAGAUUGAAGCCGGUCGUUCCGAUCGCAACUGGAUCGCGAGUUCCGAUCUCCAGUUCCGCGAUCGGAACCCAUCGCGAGUUCCGAUCUCCAGUUCCGCGUUCGGAACUGGAGAUUGAACCCAUCGCGAGAUUGAACUGGAGAUUGAACCCAUCGCGAGUUCCGAUCUCCAGUUCCGCGAUCGGAACUGCGAUCGAGUUCCGCGAUCGGAACUGGAGAUUGAACCCAUCGCGAGAUUGAACUGGAGAUUGAACCGGAGAUUGAACUGGAGAGUGAACCCAUCGCGAGUUCCGAUCUCCAGUUCCGCGAACGGAACUGCGAUCGAGUUCCGAGAUUGAACUGGAAAUUGAACCCACUACAAAAAAAAGGACCUUGUAUGGCGGACUUUAGAUGGCGGAUUUCCGCCAUCUAUACUUCAAUUGUUUAGAUGGCGGAUGUCCGCCAUCUAUUCUUUCAGUCCGCCGAGGAAACGUUUUGGCUCGACGGCGGUUCCAUUUUAUUUUCGAUGGCGGUGUUUAGAUGGCGGAAAUCCGCCAUCUAAACUAUCCCGCCCAAAAUUUCGAAUCUCCCCCAAACAAUAACCCGAUUACCCGAUUAAAUUGACUUAAGAUGGCGGAAAUAAUUCGGGGACUCGGGCGGAAAAAGCCUGAAAAAGCCUGCCCAAAUUUCGAUUGGGCGGACUUUCACUUUAGUGUUGGCGGCACUUAAGUGUACUUACAUGGCGGAAAUCCGCCAUGUAAGUUUUGGGGUUUAUUAAAAACCCCAAAUCGACAGAACGUGGCUGUUCUGUCUGAAAUUGAAGAAAUCGCCGCCGCUGCCUCCCUGCUGCCCCCGUCGUCGUCGUUCCUCGCCGUCGGUUGUUCCUCGCCGUCGCCGCAUCCCGCCGCAUCCUCGCCGGUUAUCUUUGAAGGUAUCAUUUUGAUAAUGGUUGUAAAUGGGUUUUUAUAUUUGGGUUUUGUUAAUUUUUUUAUUUUGUGAUUGUUUAUUGUUUUGAUUUGGGUUUUGAUUUGAUUUGUGUUUUGUCUAUUUUUUGUGUUUUGUGUAUUGAAUGAUGAUCUCUUAAUCUAUGUAAAUGAUGAUCUCUUAAUCUCUUAAUCUAAUUAGAAAAUACUAUAUUACUGUGAAUGAUCUCUUAGUCUAUAUGCGUUUAUGGUUUGUGUUUCUAUAUAUAUUACUGUGAAUGAUGAUAUGUUAAUUAAGAAUCCAUGUUUGUAAUAGAAUUUUGAGUGUAAUUGAACCCUUAUACUCCUACACACUCGUCGUAUUCCAAUUGUUCCUUUCUAUUCCCCGAUGACCUUCAUUGCUUAAAUACCACUUCAAGUUAACUUCAUUGGGAUUUGAUUUGAAAUAUGCUUUGAUUCUUCCGAAUCUUCGAUCUUCUAUUACAAACAUGGAUUUUUUUUGAUAUGUUAAGAAUUUCAAUGAUUUCAUAAGAAUUUCAAUGAUAUGUUAAGAAUAUCAUUUUGUUUUAAUUUCAAUGAUUUAAUUUCAAUAAUAGCCGUUUCCGCCGACUGCCUCUCGUUGUUUCUUCGCCGACGCCGGUUCCGAGGUCGCCUCCAGUAGCCACCGCCUCCGUCCUGCCUUGAUUACGUCGCCUCGAUUGUCCGUUUUGGUGAGAUUUGAAAAAUCUUUUUAAUUUAGUUAAAUAAUUAUUAAUUUUUUAAAAUAAAUAAAUAAUGUAGAAAAUUAAUAAAAAUAAUUAUUUUAUUUAAAUAAUUAAUUAUUUAGUUAUAUCAUAAUUUAAAUACCAUGUUUUGAAAUAAAUUAAAAAUAUUUAAUAUUGUUCUUAAUUACUGUUUUGUAAUAAAUUUAUUAAUUAUUUCAUUUUCUGAUUAUAAAUGUUUUAAUUAAUUAUUUAAUUGAUUAUUUGUAAAUAAUUUAUAAAUUGAUUUAAUUAAAUAAAUAAUUUAUAUAAUGUUUUAAUUAACUAAUUAAAUUAUUGUUUUGUUGACUUGUUAUAUAUAGGUUUUGAAAUAUCAAGAAUGUAAUUAUAAAUUUGUUAAUUAGUAAUUAUGAAAUUGAAUGAUUUUAAUGAUUUUAAUUAAAUUCUAUUAAUAAUGAUUAAUUUGCAUGAAAUUAUAAUUACUGUUUCUUAAUAUAUAAUAAUUAGUCAUAUUUGAAAAUAAAAAUAAUAAUUACUGUUUCUUAAUACUGUUUUUAAAUAGUUAAAUAAUUAAUGUUUUUCAUAUUUUAAAUUAAUCAAUUAUUUUAAAAUUAUUUCAUGAAUUAAAAUAAUUAUUUCAUAUUUUAAAUUAAAAAAAUUAAAUUUUUUUUUAAUCAACUUAUUUGUAAAUUAUUUAAAUAAUUGUAAUUAAAUAUGAAUUUAAUUAAUAAUUUACAUGAAUCUAUAUCUUAAUUAAUUAUUUGCAUGAAAUAAAUUUGUUUUCAAUAUUUUAUGUUUUUAAAUUAUUUAAAAAAUAAUUAAAAUAAUUAAAUAAUUUAUGAUUUUAAAUAAUUUAAAAUUUAUAUAAAAUAAUUAAUGUGUUUUUAUUUGUAAUAGGUUUUUUAAAAUCAAGAUUGAAGUAAGUUUUCGAUUGAAGAAAAGCUAAUUUGCGGUAAAAAUUAUAUAAUUUGAUUUAAUCAAUUUAUUUUCAAAUUAUUUAAUUUAGUGUUAAAAUAAAUGAUUAAAUUAUCUGAUUGACAAUUCUAUUAAUAAUUUAGUGUUAAAAUAAAUAAAUAAUUCUAUUAAUAUUUUUUUAUUAAUUGAUUGACAAUUAUUAAAUAUUAAUUUUUUAGUAAUGAAAUGUUAAUGAUUAAUUUGCAUAAAUUAAAAAUUUGUUAAUUAAUUAAUAAUUAUUAAAUUAAAAUGUUAAUGAAUAUAAUUUGCAUGAAAUUAUAGAAAUCAUAAUGAAUAAUUAUUCAAUUGAAUGAUUUUAAAUUGAAAUAAUAAUCAUUAAUUUGCCAUGAAAUGACUAAUUUAUUAUUUGUUUGUUUAAAAGUUAUUAUAUUAAUUAAUUUAAUAUUUUUUUAGAUUUUAAGAAAUGCCACGUAGAGUGAAGCAAUUACCUCGUAGGAGGGCUCUACCACCCAAUCCCCUAGAUGCUUUCCGGUCAAUUAAUUUUUAUCUAAUUCAUUAUAAUUUGAUAAAAAUUUUAAUUUUUAGGAUAAUGUCGAACGUUAUGAAAGUACCCGAUAAAGCUUGGAUGAGUUUAGAUCGGUUUUNNNNNNNNNNNNNNNNNNNNNNNNNNNNNNNNNNNNNNNNNNNNNNNNNNNNNNNNNNNNNNNNNNNNNNNNNNNNNNNNNNNNNNNNNNNNNNNNNNNNAUUACCGAACUCAUUUUUGUUUUCAUUUUCAGAACAAGUGUAACGAGAGUCAAAAAGACGUCUCCAAAUACAAGAAGAAGUUCAAUGCUAUGAAAUCAUAUAUGAAGAAACUGAAUAAGACUUUGAAGACUUCUGGACUCGACAUGAUGCAGAUGGUUUCUACUUCAAAGUCCACAAUACCGUCUGCAUUCGGAUCAGAUAUUUCUGAUUCUGAUUCAGAAGACUCACUUUCAGACGAGUGUUGAUUAAACUAUUUUUUUUUUCUUAUUAAAACUUCGAAUGUUUAACGAUUAUGUAAUUUAAUUUCUUUUUAAUAAAAAACAUCGAUUUCAAUUUCUAUUACGAAAUCGUUUUCUCAAAUAUCGAUUUUAUUUCAAAAAACGACGAUUCGAACGCACAAUAUAGAAUCCUGUUUUAAAAAAAAAAUGUAACAAACAUUGUAUGGCGGAUUUCCGCCAUCUAAACUCUUCUACUAAGUUUUAGAUGGCGGAAAUCCGCCAUCUAAAGUUCCAAGGAUAGUCGGCGGACAUCCGCCGUCAAUGAAAUUAACCGCCAUCAAUGAAUUGGCGCCAAACUAUUCCCGCGCCAUAUUUUAGAUGGCGGAUUUCCGCCAUCUAAAACUUUUCAAUUCGCGCCAAAAUUUUCAGAUUAGAUGGCGGAAAUCCGCCAUCUAUACUAUUUUUGGUGGGAAAUGGGGAUGGAUAAUAGAUGACGGUUUUUAGAUGACGGUUUAUGGGUUUUAAUGGCGGUGUCCAAGAUGGCGGGCUUUAGAUGGCGGAUUUCCGCCGAGGAUCACUUUAGAUGGCGGAAAUCCGUCAUCUAAAGCCCGCCAUACAAGGUCGGAUUUCUUGUAGUGACCCAUCGCGAGAUGGAACUGGAGAUUGAACCCAUCGCGAGUUCCGACCUCCAGUUCCGCGAACGAAACUGCGAUCGAGUUCCGAGAUUGAACUGGAAAUUGAACCCAUCGCGAGAUGGAACUGGAGAUUGAACCCAUCACGAGUUCCGAUCUCCAGUUCCGCGAUCUCCAACAGGAGGCGAUAACCUGGAGGUGGUCUGGUUCGAUCCCUUCACUCGCUCCAGAAUAACCGGAGGUUCUUUAGGAGGGUUUGUUGCAUCUUGAAGGUGAGAUUUGAUUGGGGAAGGUUAUAGAAGAGGGGGAGAAGAAAUCGACGGAAGAAUAUAAAUAUACCGGAGUGAUUUAUAUUUUAACACUUCACUCCGGUUCACAGACGGUCCGCAUGGGACGGAUACACGUCUGUGAUCUGGAGUGUAUAUAUAUAGUGUAUAGUUAUUAGAUAGAUGUAGUUGAUUUGGUAGAUGAUCGCUUUCCAAAAAGCGUUGGGCACGCGAAUGUCAUUUCGCUAUUGACUUUGUGUACUAGCUUGGAUUGUAGGGUUUUGUCGGACAUGGCUGACAUAUUCAAAUAUCUAUAUUUAGAUAUAUGACAUUAGACAUUAAUUAUUUGAUUCAUUUGGUGAGACUAAGUUGUCAUUGAUUUGGAAUUAUAGUAUUAAAAUCUAGAAUUUAGACUUUUAGAACACUAUUUGGCGAUAUUGUAUCUAGAACUUGAUCACGAUACACCAACAACUAAUUAAAGACUCAAAUAGCCCAAGAUGAAUUGAGCCACCCUUAUAGGUUUGAGGAGGUUCCAAGUCAACGUUUGAGAAGGUUGGACUUCAACAGAAGUCGACUUUACCCAACUCGACUUUUUUAGAACUUGACUUUCCCAGAGUUCGACUUUCUCAGAAGUUGAACAGGAAAAGUCGAACUGGAAAAAGUCAACCUCUGAGAAAAUCGAUUUCAGAAAGUCAACUUGAAACCAGAUCUAAACAAAUUACAGUCCAAAUGGUCAGAUUACCUCCAUAAAAGUUCUAUAAAUAGAGAGCACCCUUCAGUCAUCAAAGCAAGUCAUAAUUCAGUGUAAAGAAGUCUCAGUGAAACAGAGCUCUGAGCAAUUGAGAAGUUAAUUCGGUCUGACUUUCCCGCAGAGUUUCUCACCUGACGCUUGUUCGAAGCGUUCAAAAAAUCUCGUCCAAAUUUACAUUGACAGAAUUUCCGUUAAUCAUAAUUAGUCUAAUUAAUUUUCAAUGAAAUUCCAACGUACGGUUGUGUCUUUUUAAAAAAUUGGCGGAAAUUUCAUCAAUUAUAAUGUUUUAUUUUUGUAGCGAGAGAAGACAUUGACUAAUUAAGCUGUGAUAAAUUGUGGGAUUAUGAUUUUAAAUGCGAUUAAUUGUGAAUGUAAUUAAUUGUAAAUGUGAAGAUUUAAUAUGAAUUGUAAAUGUUGUAUGAAUUUUUUCAACAAGAAUUUAGUAACUUUGUUACGAGAAUCAAUAAACAAAUUUAAUGAAAUUUUUUGUCUUCUUUGAUUCAUUAAUAACCGUCAUUAGUAACUACCUACUAAUUACAUGUUUGUAACCGCCAUUAUUAACCGUCAUGAGUAAGUUUCAAUUUAGUUUAAAUAAUCGAUAAUUUCCAUACUUAUUAAGGAUAUAAUUGAAAAUAGGGAAAUAAGUUUUUUAAUUGGUGCCGAAGAAUUCAUAAAUGUCUUUUUCCCUGAUAUUUUUUUUAAAUAAGUGGAUUUAUAUAUUAAAAGAAAAAAAUUAAAAUUUACAGAAAUUCAAAAUAAAGACAAUUUUUUUAAAUAUAGUUAUACUUACUUUCUACUUAAUCUUUAUCUAAGGAUAAUCUCUGCAAUAGUAGACGGCGGCGGUGGGGGGCGCUUAGCAUUUAGUUCGUUCUUAUUAAUAUAUUUCUAAAAAAAUGAAAUAAAUGCAUGGAGACUUGAAAUGAAGCUGGGGCAGUUGAUAGUGUCUUAUAACCUACUUUUUUGGACGAUCAUUUGGAAACAGAGACUAAAUGACUAGUCCAGCGAAUCAAUCAAAAUAUAUAUAGACACAUCAAUUUCAAUAGAAAUCGAAUUACCUAUGUACACAUGAUUACAUGAAUAAACGACAUUAAUGAAAACGAUACAUGCAUGUCAGCAUAAUAUUGAAAACGAUGCAAUUUUUCAAACAAUUUGUCAAAACCUUAAACCAAAAUUUAACAUUACAUAUCAAAAUUAAGGAUAUUUUUUAGAGAUGUAAAAAUAUCAAUCUCAUAUCAAAAUUCAAAAUCAUAUAUAUAAUAUUAUCAUCGAUUAAACAGACACAACAAUCAUCGAUUAAACCUUGAAUCUUAAAUUUUUUUAAUAGUUAUUGUUAAGAGGCUGCUGGCAUUAUCUAAAAAAUACGCAAAUCGAUCGAACGUUAAUUUAAUAGUAGUUAGCUAGUCCAAUUUUAAUAUUAUUAAGUUUCAAUUUCGCCGGUGACUGUUACACCGGCAUUUUCGGUGACUGUUACACCGACAUUUUCGGUGACUGUUACACCGACGUCAGUUACUCUUGUAGAACCUAACCGAGAAUCUAAUACCAUAUUAAGUUUUGAUCUCUAAAUGAAUGAGAAUACUUGAUUGAUUACUUCAUUAUUAACCAAAUGAUUAUUAACUAACUAAUUGACUAUUUUACUAUUCUGAUUAACAAUUUCAACUAAUUCUUUAUACUAAUUUGACCUAAUUAAUUGGUCAAUCAUGAUUCAUAAUUUGUUAUCAAUGCGUUAGUUCGGGUGAUGACUUAAACUCGUCAUUUUUUGAAUUAUAAAUUAUAAUAAUGCACGCACAUCAUGUCAUGCUUUAUUUAAAUCCAAUCACCAAAUACUUACUCUUUAUAUAACCAUUUCCAAUUUAACUAUUUAUUUUAAUCUAGUGAGAUAAAAUAAUUUAUAUACAGUAUUAUAUAGUUGCUAGUGCGAAACUGCAGAUUGAUUUUGCUUCGUAUAUGUGUUGGUGUUUUGUGCAGUAAAUUAUUUUACGUCGUACGUGUGUUAAUGUUUUAUUUAGUAUAUUAUUUUAAUCAUUGAAUUAAAUACUAAUAGAAACGAUUUGAUACGUAUUCAUGUUACAUCAUUAUUAGUUUCUUACUCUUGAUAUUCAUUUUUUAUUAGAAAAUAAUUAACUUCUUCUUUAUCACGAGAUUGAAAUAGAUGGAUAAGAUUAAGAUAUCUCAAAAAUGUUAUCAUUUUUGUUUUGUUUUUAUAAAAUUAGAAAAAUUAUAUUCACAAGGGGUGGACGUGGGUCGGGUCAAAUCCGAAUAUGUCGGGUCCGGGUUUGGGUAAAUAUUUUCGACUAUGAAACCCGAUAUGAAAGACUCGAAUCUGAGUUUUUUUCAUCCGAUUUUUUCGGGUCGAGUUCGGAUAAAACCCGAACAUGUCGGGUCUGGGUUUAGGUAAAUAUUUUCGACCAUUAAAUCCGAUAUAAAGGACCCGAACCUGAGUUUUUUUUCAUCCGAUUUUUUUUCGAGUUGAGUUAGGGUAAAACCCGAACUGAAAUUAGAAAAAAUUUAUACAAAAAAUCUUAAAAUAUAAAUAAUUAAUUAAAUUUUUAUAUAAAAUAUUUUAUAAUUUUUUUUUUCUAUUCUAAAAUAUAAACCUUAAAAUUAUUAUCAUUUUCCUUUUUUUUUACAUUUUUAUCUUUUCUGGUCGUCAUUUUCGUCGGAUAUAUUUUCAUAUUUGAAUCUUUGAUUAAUAAUUAUUUAAAAAUGAUUGACUAAUAAUUAUUUAAGAUUUUAAAAAUGAUUUGAUCGAUUUAUAAUUUUAGAUGUUCAUGACCCAAAUUCGAUUCGGGUUCAGGGUAGGGCAAAUUCGAACGGACCCAUAUACAUUCAUAAUCGAAACUAAAAUGACUAGUUGAGAUUUUGACUAUGAUUGCAUGCAUUUGAGAUUUGUGCUCCAACUAAUUAUGAGAAACAACGUAGUCGAAUCGAAUCUUACUUCAAUCAUUAAUUACUCAUUUACUCUUACUCGUUCUGUUAAUAUUUUGGACAAAGCUGAAUAAGACAUAAACGUCGAGUCGGGUGAGUCAGUCAGUUUGUAAACGUCGGUCUGUCUGUCUUCCAUUCAUUAUAAAUUAAUCCCCAUCUCCGACUCUUCUUCAAUCCAUCCAUCGAUUGAAUUCAAUAAUUUUAUUGUCGAUCUUUCGAUGAUGCGAAUGAGAGAAAACAGUUUCUUGCAGUUGCUUCUGCUAUUGGCAGUGAUGGUGGUAGCGGCGGUGCCAUUUGCCGGCGGUCACACUGACACAUUUGGGUCUAACACACUCAUGAUCGGCAACGCAUGCAAAGAAACGCAGUACCCUGAGAUGUGCACGUCGGCAUUAGCAGCGGUGGGUGCAGAAAAGCGGGCAAAGAAACCCAGGGAUUUCUUCGAUAUGUCCCUGGAAUUCGCAAUAACUAAAGCUCACCAUGCACGUGUUAUCGCGUAUAACCUUACCUUCCCUAACCACGACGCCGCUAUGUACCCACCCACCGGAACAUACGACUGCGUCGAGCUUCUUGACAAUACUCUGGCACUUCUCGACGAUGUCACCAAGACUCCCUCCGAUGAGGAUAUCGAGACGUGGCUCAGUGCUGCCUUGACCAAUCAGGAAACUUGCUCCGAAAGUCUUGCGAUCAAACCACCUACUAAGAAGGAGGUUAUCGAUUCCGAGGCUGAGAGGAUGACGCACAUCAUCAGUAACUCUCUUUCUCUCCACAAAUCGACCAAAAAGAAUAACAAAAGACAGGGGAGGGGCAGCGCUGGUUUGGAAAGAAAGCUUCUUGCCGACGACUUCCCAGAAUGGCUGACGGAAAGAGACCGUAGACUGCUGCAAGCAUCCCCGGAAGAAAUCACACCCGACGCAGUGGUGGCGCUGGACGGAACCGGAACCCACACUUCCAUCAACGAGGCCAUAGCGUUCGUAUCACUUGCCAAGAGCAAAAGUAAGAAGAGCAAAAGCAAGAAGAGCGGCGGCGGCAGCAGCAGCAGCAGUGGUGGGAGGCAGGUCAUCCACAUUAAAGCUGGGACGUACAAGGAGACAAUUCGCGUGGCGACGAAGCAAAAGAACGUGAUGCUGAUCGGCGCUGGAAAGGGUUCUUCUGUAAUUGUGGGGAGCCGAAGCGCCGGUAGCGGAUGGACCACAUAUAACUCUGCCACCGUCGGUAAGUUGACAAGUAGUACAAAUCUAAAAUUUAAAAUUCCAAAAUAUAGAAUUCUUAUAUACUGAUUUCUGAUCGAUGAACAAACUAACAAAUUCUAAACAAAACAAACAGCUGGUAUGGGGCAGGGGUUCAUCUGCCGGGAUCUAACCAUCGUAAACAACGCCGGCUCAGGGAAUCACCAGGCCGUGGCACUCCGUGUCGGAGCUGACAGAUCAGUGAUCUACCAAUGCUCCAUUCAAGGGCACCAGGACACACUCUACGCACACUCCAACCGUCAAUUCUACAAACAGAACGACAUCUACGGAUCAGUAGACUUCAUCUUCGGCAACGCGGCGGCUGUUUUCCAGAGUUGCAACAUACUGCCGAGAAAAUCAUCUGCUGGGUGGAGCACCAUCACGGCACAGGGCCGGCGUGACCCAAAUCAGAACACUGGAUUUUCAAUCCAAGGCUGUAAGAUAUCCUCAGACGGCGUGCGCGCAUAUCUCGGUAGACCGUGGAAGAAGUACGCAAGAGUGGUCUUCAUGGAAUCGUACCUGGACAGCUCCAUCGAAUCUCGUGGCUGGUUGGCAUGGUCCGGCAACUUCGCACUGUCAACGCUUUUCUACGGGGAAUACGGCAAUAGUGGCCCAGGUUCUUCAACAUCAAAUCGUGUAAAGUGGUCUGGUGUUCACAGCUCUAUGUCCAGUUCAGAAGCUUCGAAAUUCACGGUGUCCAAUUUCAUCUACGGUAACAUGUGGAUACCUAAAAGCGGAGUCAGCUUCAGCUCCGGUCUCUAGUUAUUACUAAUAUUUAUUUACCCAUAUUAUAUGUAUGAGUAUUUUAUUUACACAAGUAUGAGUCUAGUGGUUUCUAUGGCUUGGUGUGCUAAAUUGCUGCUGUUUUAGUUUUACGGCUUUUACCAAAUAAAAAUAAAAUUCUAAUUCCAUUCCUAGUAACAACUCAUAACUCUGUUCUAAAAUAGAUGCUUUAAAAGUUUAUUCUAAUCUGUUUUUUUUUUAUAAGAAUAGACAACUAUAGAAACCUGAAGAGCACAUUUUUCAACUCAAAAGAUAAGAGAAAAAUUAAGCUUGUAAAUAGAUAUCAAAAAUCUAGAACAAUAUCGUUUGAUAAUUUCAAAUUCGGAUAUCUAAAGACUUCCAAAUAUUCGAAUUUUAAAAUGAUUAAUUAAUUAUCAAUUAACUUUAUUAAAGAUGGUUUUAUACUUUUAUAUUUUUAUUUUUAUAUUUUUAUAAAAAAUUGUUUGGAUUUGGAUAUCCGGAUAUUAUCCAGAUUCGGAUACCAGGGUCGAUCGAGCCUAAGAAAAACCACCCAAAUGACAGAAGAAGACAGACAAUUCAAGUAGGACAACUGUUGAAUUGAAAAUUUCUUGUUUCCACACAGGCAAACCCGCAGAGAUAAACAAAAUGGACAAACACAAAUCAUAAUCUUUGGAUAAAUCCACCACCAAAGAUAGGAACUAGGAAGUGGAGGUUGUUGAUGAAUUGCUAUCAUUCAGUCAAAGAAGUAGGUGGCACCGUGGCAAAGUGGGUGAACCUUUUUAGCUAUGCCACAAACCUAUAGGGAAUAGUAGGAUCUUAAGCCGACUAAUAUAGUUAUAUAAUCCAUGAACGUUUGAUAUCAUGUCAUUUUCAAGGCCUAACACUUACACAUGACGCAUACCCACCCUGCCACCCAUCAUGACCACAAUCCAAUUAUAAAUUCAAAUUCAGAAUAACAAACUGUUGCUUUAGAUUCCAAAGUGAGUGAAAUCAAACUUAAUUUUAGUUAUGGUUUAAUCAUUUUAACUGAAUGUUAUUAAACAUACAUAGCUGUUUCAAAUCACCUCCAAUGUCGAUAGCAAAGAACAUAAAAAUGGGUGCACAUGCUGCUCUCCUAUAGACGGUUGAUCACGGCUUCCACCUCAGAAGGAGAGUAAAGAUGGAAUGUGGGUGCAACCUUUGCAAUGUCUACAUUGCUUGGGGUUACCUGAUUAAUCGUCACACGAAUAGGAAAAAAACACUGAAUCAGCCACUAAAUUUUUUAAUUUAUACGACUUGCAUUAUAUUGAUAGGAAGUAAGCAAUUCAUUUAUCAUUCAUUCGCUCAUCAGUCAUGAUACCUUCUCUUCCAUCACUUGCUUCAAGAUUGAAAGUGCUAUGGUUUCUGCUUCUGCAAGACUUAUUUCCUACAAUGACGACAUGUUUAAAUGAAUAUUAGAAAAAUUGGAUACUAUUUUUUUCCAUCUCUCACAUAUUCAUUAGUAUUUCUUCAGUUUUCCCAUAACACACCAACUAGGUAAAUUCUCACAAUUUAAUACCUUGUUGUAUUCUUCCUGAAGAGAACUAUCUGCUCCUUCCGACCCAGAACCAAUUGCUUUUGCAUUGCAUUGCCAGAAAGUUCCAGAAGGGUCUGUGUAAUAUCUGCGUUUCAAAUGCAAGAUAUUUAAACAUUUGAACCAGAAGAAAUUAACCCUGUCGGUUUACUGAUCAAACUUUUUUUAACGGUACUUAGGAUUUAAAACCCCAACAAUACUGAUGCUUUUUCAUUUUUUUAAGUAAAGUAAUUGCAGGUCAGGUUCACUCAAAUCAAUUUAUCAGUCCAACUAGUUCAAAUGCUAACAAAAGAGAAUAAAAUACAAUAAAAUAGGAAAUACUCACAAGCUUGGCCCAUUCUCAUCAUGUCCGGCAAUCAGUAGCGACACACCAAAAGGUCGAGACUGAGGAAAAAAAACAGUAAAUGUAAAUGACAGAGAAUGUUAAUAUAUUAUAAACAACAUGUAAUUUUAACAAAAAUACAUAACGAAUAUUGUGAUAUUAUCAGUUUAACUGUGAGUCUGAAUACUUAAAUAGGGGAAUGUAAUCAUAGUUUUACAUUGCCUUCAUGCGCUAGACAGGUUAGGCGGAUCCGGUUGGAUCCACCUAACCCAAAUACCCAUUAAAUCUCUUUAAAAAAGAGGAGGUUAGAGUUUACUAAACCCUAUUCCCUUUUUUUUUCUCCCAUUUUCCUCUCUUUUCUCCCAAAUUUCCAGCCACCUCUUUUUUCUCCCACCACUUUUUCAGCCAACCUCCUCCGGCGACCGGAAACCUCCACCUCCGGCGCACGUCGCAAGGUGAUUCUGGCAACCUCCGGCGAACACCAUCCAGUCUGCUCCAGCGGACCUCGACCUCUCCCACUCCGGACAGCCCUACUUCCCACUCUGUCUAGCCCUAUUUCCCACUCCAAUAAGCCCCCCAUGUUUUAGGGAAAAUUAUGCAAAAUUCCCCCUAUGUUUUAGGUGACGCCUAGGCAUUCAUGUGACACAAUCCAUCGCAUGAACGCCUACUCGCAUGUAAAAGAUUGAAUAUAAUGAUUUAGUAAAUUGAUGAUUGCAGUCAUUCAGACUUGCAGGUGUAAGUUGUAACAAUAGAUUAAUAGUAUUGUGUUAGCUAGCAAAUAUUUACCAUAGAUUCUUCAUCACCCUCUCCAAAACGGAGAGCAAGAUCACACAGUGCUUGUGUUGUUGAUUCAACUGCCAUGGGUUCCCCAUAGGAAAAACGAUGAUUCUGGAAUAAUUACACCUUAGAAGGAUGAUGAUUAUAAUAAUCAAAGAGUGCGAUAUAAAAUUGAAACUACGUGAACUAGAAAUUGAAACUAACCUGGGUUUCAACUCGUGCAUGUUCCACAAGAGUGCGUGCAUCAGCUAUAAGUCCACUCAUAGCACAACCUAUAUGCUCAUCUAUUUCCAUAAUUUUUUCUACACUGCUUGGCUCCUGUGAUGUCAUUGAACUUGUUAAAAACAAAAUUAAACAUACUGUUACCAUAUAAAAUUAAGUGAGUGAAUCACUAAUUCACACAGUAAAAAAAUUCUAACACAUCUAAAUAAUCAAAUUUGAAAAGAAAUAGGAGAAUGUACAAAAAGAAGCCAUUUAAAUAAAUUGCUGCAUAAAAAUAAAAAAAUUAGAAUCCCCUAUAAAACAAGUCAAUCAAGAAUAACAAAAGUACAAGACUUAUAAAUAAUUAAAAACAAAUGGUAGGAAAACAUAAAGAUCCAGGACGAUGAAAUAAUCAUCCAAAAUUCAGAAAGAGAGAGGGACGUUAAUGGAAAAAAAUGUGGAUGCAAUUGGUUGCUUCGAUCAUAAUAAUAAAGAUGAUGCAUUGCAAUUUCAAUCUGUGCUUUCCUGCUUUGAGCUAUUUAUUUAGCAUGCUAAAUCACAGAGUUAUUUCAGUGUAAGGGUAUGUCUAGAAUCACAAGGGAAAUUUUUGGUUGUUCCUUAUUUUGUCCAGAAUCUCAAAUAUAACAUUUCUGGAAAGGAGAUUAAUCCUAGAGACUUUUUCCAAAUUCUCAGGCCUCGAGAUUAAUCAAGGAAAAGCUCGGCAACCUACUCAAAAAUAUGCAUGAAUGAUCAUUAUCUGCACAACAUUCUCAACUUUCCAACUAAAUCCCUCCCUAUCAACUAUCUUGGUCUCUCAAUAAUGGGAAGAAAGAAAUCUCACACGACAUGUUGGAACUUGGAAGUUAAUAAAUCCAAUAGAAAAAAUGUUAGCCAGAUGGAAAGGAAGAUGUCUGUCUUACGCAGGCAUGCAGUUAUGUGGUAAGUUGGGCAGUUUCAAUACUGGGCAAACGGAACCACACUGCGUUAUUAAAAAGAUCCAGAGCUUAGUUUACAAUUUCAUUUGGGACGGGAGAAGAGGGAGUAGUUGGGAAAAAAUGGCACUCCCAAAGAGCGAAGGCGGAAUAGGGGUCAGGGAUUUCUUUGCAACUAAUGCUGCAGCUUUGGUUAAAAGAACAGAAAGGAUGUGGAGUGCUAAUAACUCCAUACUAGCAGACUGGAUAAAAAUUAGGUACAUCAAAGGAAGAAGCAUUGGGGAGAUAGAGUGUAGGCCUACUCUGGACUCUCUCAUGUGGAAAACUAUACUAGCUAAUAAGAAAACAAUAAGGAAAUGUAUAAACUGCUUGAGUAAGUAUAGGGUCACACAAAUUGCCCCCUCCAAACACUCAGAAACAUUAAGGCCAAAAGGCAUCUUACAAGAGAUAAAUCUAGGGAUCUGGGCCAAAAAGCCUCCUAAAUUCUCUAUGCUGUUGUGGAGAAUUAAGGUCAAAAAUCUGAACACUUUAACUAGACUGCAAAGCUGGAGACUCAAUAUAAAUACGUCCUGCCCACUAUGUGGAAAUGAGGAAGAAACAUUACAACACCUAUACUUUAACUGCCAUUACACUAGAUCCCUAUUGCUAGAGACCACUAGCUGUCUUAACAAUGUUGUUUGGACACUUAGUGGGCAAAAUCCCCCACCUCCCGCAAUAGAUAUUAGGAUAGGGGAUAUUAUGGAAACAAUACAAAAAUUCACCCACAAGUCCAGUUGUUGGAGGGUACACUGGACUAUGCUAGCAUCUCUUUCCUGGCACAUAUGGUGUGAAAGGAAUAGAAGAUUAAAACAGCACACUCUAAGGCCCCCAGAAAUUGUCAGCAGAGAAAUUAUAAAGGAUGUGAGCAUUACAUAUGAUUCUACAUCCUAUAAGAAGCACAAUCUUUCACAGAUUGAAAUACAAGCUAUACGCUCAUGGGAGCCCAACCUCUUGAGACUUCAAUCCUUGGCCAGUUAGUCAGGGUCAUAGCUGCAUAAGAGAAAGACAAUGUUUUUACAUUUACUGUACUUGCAUUUCCCUAUAUUAUUCUGUAAUCUUGGGCUAUGCCCAACCUCUUUUUCAGUAAUGAAAGUUUUAAUUUCUCAAAAAAAAAAACAUUUCUGGAAAGGAUGGGAGCAUUACCUUGUCUGUUUACAAAUUUGCAUGACUGGAGAACUUCCUGUAAAGUGGCACGUGACUGAGAGGAGUUAGUAGCUAAGCAGAGUUAGGAUUCCAGAAAGAGGAUGGAAGUUUCUUUCUUGAGAAAGGGGACAGGGUUCUUUCUUGAAAAAAACAACGGAGGUUUCUUGAGAAAGGGGACAGAGAUUUCUUGAGAAAGGGACAGAGGUUUCUUGAGAAAGAGAGGCAAACAAUGGAGAAUUAAAGGGUGUCCAGUUCCUUUGCAGGUCAUAAUCCAGAUCUACCCAAGGUUCCAGCCAAAGCAAAGCACUACACUUUGCCUUGAAAAUAGGGGUCUGCUAUACUUGGUGAUAUGUUUAUUAAAACUAUGAUUAACAGUGAAUCCAAAGAAAAUGAAAAUUAUAAAAUCAGAACCAAAGAUGGGAAGGCACGUAUAUUCAUAUGAUGUCAUUAAAGUAAAGUAAUUCAAUCUUAAUGCAAAGCCAUGCGAGUUGGAAAAAAUGGGAAUUCUAAUGAUAUGAGGAAAUAAACUGCAAUGGAACCGAAGAGUGAAGACCUAAAUCUCAGCAUUUAUGAGUUAUGAUGAAACAAUGCAACCGAAGACAUGGGAAGAAUGAUGAAAACUAUUGCCAUUAUUUCCAUUGUGGUGACUGAAUUGGUCUCUCAUUCUGCCACUUUUAAAUACAUUGAGGAGGUGAAAAUGCAGACUGUGUCUUAAAUAUUAAGUUUUAACCUAAACCCAUAACACCUUUCUCAAUCCUCAAACAUUCCUACUUUAACCUAAAUAUAUAAAAAAUUCACAACAUAUUGACGGAUUUCUGUUGAUCGAGAUUAAUCCCAGUAGGAAAAAAUUACAAAUUGCAAAAAAAGACAGUCUAUCUUACUUUGACAAAAUAUAGAGAUAUAAAAUAAAGAAAGUGAGAGAGUAGUGCGAACCAGCAAGGGUGAUGUGAUCCGUUUUUCAACAGCCAAAACAAUACCAUCCUUUGUUUUCAAUCCAAUGGCAGUAGAACCAAGCUAAAAUCAACCCCCACAAAAAAGUUAUUAUGUCCCCAAAUUGAUUAAACUAGAGAUGAAAAAAAAAACGAUCGGUCCUUACCUUGAUAGCCUCGAUCGCGUAUUCGACCUGAAACAACCUCCCCUCCGGUGAGAAAGUAUUGACGCCUCUAUCGUACUCGGUCCUACACCAAUAAAAGGGGGGGGAUACGUGAAGUCAUGAAUCAAAAUUCAACAAUUUCCUAUCGCAAGUAAGUGGACGAUGGAGUUUAUCGACAAAAAUAAAAACCCUAAAAUUUGAAAUGACGAGAUCGCUUACCUUGUUAGAAACAUCUUGGAUCUGUUGUGUUUGUAGUAUGAAGGGUUUGUUACCGAUAUCAAAACUAAUCUUCGACCACUAUGUGUGUGUGUAUAAAUACGUUCUGACAAGUGAAGAGUGAAUAGUGGAGAUUAUUUAUUUUAGGUAAAGAAUUGGGCUAGGAGGCUAACUAAUCGGUCUCAUUCUAUUAAAGUCCACGGACCGUCCCACUUAGUAAUGGAUUGGAAUUUGGAAAGACUAGAUCUCUUAUUAGUAAAAGCUCCUGGAAAAGCCCUGCUGACCCUGCAUAGUUAAUUGAAUGUUAAAUUAAAUGUUAAUACAUAUUAUCUAUAAUCUAUCUAUAAACAAUAUUUCAUUUCUGAACAUCAGCUAAAUUGGGCACGAUAACUACUAAAAUUAAUGAUGCUCCAGGGUUUUUUCUCGUCGUUUGUGUACGUAAUUUUUAUUUAAUUUUCACUACGAUUUAACCGAUAAUAUAUAUUAUUAAAAAAAAAUCUGAAAUAUCAAUCUCUUUCUCAAGUUGUUAUUGUCAACUAUUCAAAGAAUACUGACUGCAUUGCAAAUAUGAAAGACCAACUUCUUAAGAUAAUUUGUCUAAUUAUUAUUAUUAAAUAACAUAGUCGAUUGAAAAUUAUCGAUGAAAUCUUUUUUUUUCUCCCAAUGUAAUUCGAACAUUAUUUAGUUUAUCUUUCAUUAUUUUAAUGAUAAAAAUUAUCUGUUUCAAAAAAUUAAUUAGACUUAAUUUCAAUUCACUCUAUUAGUCUCUCACAAGAUCUCACCUCAACGAGAUUACUAUUCUAUUAGUCUUUACAAAAAUCUUUAUCCUUUCUGAGUUUCAGAGUAUUGACGUUAUUAUAUAUCUUGUAUUGGAACUUGUAGUUACAAUCACUCCAAAAAUUUAAUCAGUAGAAUUGAACCCAUGGUCCAUGGAGAGUGAACCACAAGUCCAUAACUAGAGAUGAACAAUGAACCAAGCAUAAGCGUGUUCGGGUUUGACUCGUUUUUUGAAGAAAAAAAACACAGACUCGACUAGUUUAAAAAACUCAGACUUUUUUAUUAGUUGAGUCAAAUUUUAUGUUCAUCCCUAGUCACAACUUAUGGGCUAGAACCACUCCUAUCAUAUUUUGUUGGACCUUAAAUAUCAUCACACAAUUGUUGACGAAGUUGAUGAAAAAAGAUAACAAUUGAAAGAAUAAACUUCAUAUAAUUUAUACCACCCAAUAUCAGUUAGUCUAACAAUUGAAAGAACGAAAGAAAGAGAAAUAAAUCAAUAAUAUAGACAUAUAGUAUUUCGAAGAUAAAGUGACAUAAAUUUUUGUAUUUUUUUUCUCACAUUUUGUAUUAGCCUACAUAUUUUCUAUUUUUGUCACUACACAUAACAGUAUAACUGUAUUACACACAUGAUAAACGAGCUUCUAUUUUGAAGUAAUGAAUUUGAAAUCGUGCACAGCAUAAUAAAAUUCUAGGGAGGAUUGUGAGUUAUAUAACCAAGAAAACAUGAAAAUAAAUUAAAGUUUUCUCCAUCACACUCGAGGACUCUAAAUUCAUAUUUGCUAAACAAGUUUGUCAAGUUGAGCUUGUAGAUCAGGAAUAGAAAUCAAACCAAUGGUUUCAAUCUCCUCGUCAGAGUAUUCAGAUCUCAUUAGAGACUGCAGCUGCACAUGCGCCUCCACAAUAUUUGUCCUGCAACCAAAUUAUAAAAAUACAUGGAGAAUAUGAAUGAAAUGAAUAGAUAAGUGCUACAAUUAGUUAACUUACUUGAUUGGUUUAAAUAAGAUCAUUUGAGUGGAUGGAUUGUUGAGAUACAGUUUAAUCUUUGCCAUCACACUGGCUAAAUCUUGCUGAAUACAAGUAUUCACCUGUUCAGAAUACAAAGUUGGCUUUAGCAUACUGAAUGUCAAACCAAAAUAAAAUUUAACCCAAAAAUAUAACCUUUUGAAUUAACUCAGUGACUUUAUCUGGAGUGGCAAAUGCUUGACUCUUAAGAGGUUUCGCUAAAACAGAGUCCACUUUCUGAUCCUGGCUGCUGGAAGAUAAUGCCACCUUCACAGCUGUAGCCUAUAAGCAUAAUGAGUCAGAUUAAUCAUAUAUACCAUCAAAAGCUAUAGAUAGGGUGUUAAACGAGCCAAACCGAGCCGAGCUUUUGCUUAUAGAGUCGGGCUCGGGCUCGGCUCGUUAAGGAAUUGUCCAGGCUCGGGGGUCAAGCUCGAGCUCACCGAGCCUGGUUUGGCUGAGCUCGGGCUCGGUUCAAAAAAAAUUAAAAAUUAAAAUCUAAAAAAUAUCUAUAUCUAUUUAUUUUUUGAUUUAGGUUUUUAAAAUUAAAAUUAAAAGAAUCAUUCUUAUUAAGAAUUUUUUUGAUAAAAUUAAAAUUUCAUUGAGUGAAUGUUGAAAAAACUCAAACAUUGCCCUGAUUACACAGUAGUUUUGGUUUGAACUGAGACUCAAAGAAAUUGAAUUCUACAUAACAUUCCCUGAGUACUAAUUAUUACUAGAAUGUUGCCUCAGAAUUAUUGCCUCACAGCUGCAAGUGCAUUCCUCUCAAUCGGGGAUUGACUGAGAUUUUUGAAGGAUGUUGCAUUGAGAUAUAUGGCUUGGAAGGCAUGCCCUCCAGAAAAGAAACACAACAGAAAGCCAAUCCCGGCAAGUAGAAGAAUCUCUGAAGGGAACACCACAAAUAGCCUAGAUUUCUCUUUUAGUGUGAGAUUUCACCAAUCGCCACACUUAAUGUGAUAAUGAUGAAAGCUAAACAAAUAUAUAUAUUUCACCAACAAAUGUGUUAUAAUGUUAUAACCUCUGGUUUUUUGUAUAUUAGCCACAAGAUUCUAAAUUUCUAAUCAGAUCAAUCCUAAUAUUAAAACGGUUAUUGAAUCAUAAAUGAUCUCAUCCAUCAAUUUACAAUCCAACUGCAUAUAGAAACGAACUAGAUUUUAUUUAGAAUCAGGUUAUCCGAAAGUAACUAAGAUCCGUUUGUGUACGUAAUUUUGGAUUUUCCUUGUAUGUGUUAUGGUGUAAAGACAAAUUGUGAGGGGGAAAUGUUGGGUUUAAUAUAAAUUUAUAUUCACAAAUCCAAUGACUUUUCAUCAUUAUUACACAUAAAAGUAUAUAACUUAGCGCAAACUCAACAGCAAGAUGCAAAUAAUUGUAAAAAAAUCACAUAAUUUGAUAUUUCACAUUCUCACCAUUUCCACGCCCUAAGAAUAAGAAAAGUGGUCAAGAAUUAUCCCUUGUAAUAGAAAAUAUAGUAGGAUUACCUUGGUAACAAAUGAAAGCAUUGAUUCCACUACCAUCUUUGUGACUGACAUGAUAAAUUCCUCACAUGUUGCUUUAAGACUUUUCUCCAAUUCCUGCAUUUUAAAGAGGCGAUGAUAACCAUAAUUAUACUCAAGUUAAAGAACUCAUAGAAGCCAGAUUCUUCUACAAGCUUGCACCAACAUAUGUGUUUGCCCCUGACCCAACUCAUAUAUCAAAACAAUAAUAAACUACUAAACUUCAGUUACUACAACUUGCUUCAGAUAAUUUGAAUCGUGCAAAUAAUAAGAAACUCCAUAUCCAAAUUAUGGUUAAGAAGGUCAAAGUAAAAAUUGAGAGCAGACGCUUAUAAAAAAAUUGAUAUAAACCAUAACUGAACUGUAAUAGUAAAAGAUUAUAAAGCAUGCCUUUUUGGUAUCUAUUUGGCUUUCCAGAACUCGAGGAGAUAAGGUUUUAGCCAGAGCUGAGUUUGACCAGUCAAACACCGAUGUCUGACCUCUUAGUAUUCUUCUCAGAUGCUCCUGUGAUUUGUAAUAAUAAAUAUUGUAGAAAAUAAAUUAGAAUGUUGUGGAAUUGAAAGGGGAUGAUGUACAAAAAAUGAAAAAAAAUAUAGCAGUUUAAUAUGAAACCAAAACAUAUUUAGUAUCCUAACAUAAAAUCAUGAAUGCAAUUGAAAGAAUGUGUACUGCAGUUUUAGGCAUUGCUCUCACCAGCAAAUGAGAGAAAUCAAGCUCUUUAUGAGUUACAGAAAAUUUGAUGUCAAAAGGUGCAAUCUGGAAUUUAUAAAAACAAAAUUCAUCAUUAUCACUUUGUUAGUCUGUUAGUGUUCGUUUUGAACAAAAAGUAACUCAAACAAAAACAAAAUAUAAAAGAAAAAUGGACUUAACCUGCUCUCUUAAGACAAGCAGAUGUUUGAUAAGAAAAAGUUGGCCAUCCAUUGGAGAUGAUCUUUUGGCUACUAGUUUGCUUGCAUUCUGGAAAAAAGGAAUAAAAAGACAGCCUCAGAUGAAAUUAUAUUAUAUAUUAAAUAUGCAAAGCAAUAAAAAAUAUUCCAAGUUAAGCUCUUAUUAUCAAACCAAAUGUAGCAUAUGUCUUGGAUAGUAACACAAAUAUGCAAAUAUACUAUUAUUUUUAAAAUGAGCAAAUAUUGCAUUAAUUAAAAUGAGAGUUGUACCCUAAAUUACAAAAAGAUGGAGAAAAUAGAUAUUGAGGAGGGGGUGGGGAUGGGAUUAUCUUAUUUUCUCUUUUCUAUAUGGCUAAAGUACUUAGUGCUCUAAUAACUAAAUACAUCGUCUCCUACACUUGCAUAAUAGCCUUCUCUAAUUGUUUAUUGUAGAUCUCAGGUCUAAAGGAGAAGCUAUUAUCUUUUAUAAUCUCAGAGAAUAGAGCUUCAGGAGGUCUUAAUGUGUGUUGUCUGAGUCUCCUAUUUCUUUCUGACCAGAUAUGGUAAGGCCUCCCAUGAUGUUCCAACGCAGACCCCCAAAGUGGAGAAUGGUGAGUGAGCUUUUGACAGGCUUCUGCGAAAUUCCCUAGCCUUAUAUCAGGAUUUGUGAGGGAAAGAGGGUGGGUAUUGGUGAUUUUUCAAACUGUAUUGUUUAAAAAUUCAGUGGACAAAUUUAAAAUGGCUCUAGAGUAUUCACAGUUAAAUAAGAGAUGACUAACGGAUUCAUCAUUCUUAUUACACAAGAGGCAGAUAGUCUGGAUUUGAAUUCCCCAUUCAAGAAAGUUCAGUUGUUUACAUUUGAUCCUCCACAAUAUGAUUGAAAUAUUUAAUGGGCAUACGGGACCAUAUUCCUAUUACAAUAGAGUCCUUGUGAGACUUAAUCCUUAUAUGAUCAAUGUAGAUCCUAGUUUGCUGCUUAUGAUCCCACACUUUUCCAAGAAUUUUGGUUGUUUGUUCUGCAUUCAAGGUAUUUCCCAAGUAGAUGUACAAGAUUUUUGGCUUAUAUAAAUUCAGAGGCCCUCCCAUGGUUGUAUGUUCCACUUCCCAUCUUUUUUUCUGGAGAUCUAAUAUCACUGAAAUCUCCACAAACUAUCCACGGUAGACCAGAGUUGAUUGUUAUAGGGCUGAUUCAAUGAAGCGCAGAAAAGAGUUGUCUCCUUGGUUCUCUCUGGUUUUUCCCAUAAAAAGUUGUGACUUAUGAAAAUAGCUCAUGGCUUCCUGAUUGUAUUAGAUGUGUGUGGAUGUAUUGGGAAUGAGUGUACAUGUUCUGAGCAGAACAGAUCCAUUUUCUCCAUAAUCCCCAGAUGGAUAUGGGGUCGUGAGAAUUUUCUAAUUCAUUGUGUGAGAGUCCUACUCAUCACCAAAGGAAUCUCUUAUUCUUUCAACAUUGGGGGCUUGAAUUUUGUUUCCAAUAAGGAGAAAAAUUCUAUGGAUUUUUUUAAAACUAGUUCUCUGACCUCAAAUCGAGUGGUUGUAGAGUUAAGUCCCCUUACAAUCCUACACAGGAAAGCCAUAGGGAGGAAGCUUCCUUGUGGGAUGGGAUUCCUAAAGCUACUUCUGAUUGGGUGAAAGGUCUCCUACAAUUGUCACUGGGUUCUUAGACGAUUCCUAACUAAUGAGAGUAUGAGGUUGGCUCUGUAUUUCUUCCAUCUUUUCCUUAUAACUCAUUUUGGUAUAGCAGUGGUCUAAAAGGGAUUGGGGAUGGUCCUUAAGGAGAUUUGGGGAAAAUGGCAUCUAGCCUUGGGAGGGGGGGCUGGGGUUUGUUAGAACCGUUGAGGGAUUUCCUAACAAUUUUUGAUAGAUUUUCUAUGCUGAAUUCUACAGGUAGCAGAGGUCGAGGCUUGGGGAAUAUAAAUUGAUGGACUAUUAGGAUGUAAUUCAGUUGUAGCAUGUAGGAGCUUAUAGUUCUUCAAUUCCUAUCUCCAAUGGAGAGAGAAUUCACAUUGGAGGGGUGGAGGGUGGGAGUGGAUUCUUGUAGAGGUCAUUGAGAGGGGCGGUAGUUGGUAGCUUAAUUGGCUCAACUGCUAGUUCAAUGGGUUGGGCCUUAUGGGUUGGUUGUGAUUGGGGCUAAUUUCAUUGUCCAUUAGUAUAGGCACACUCACCACUGAAAUCACCUUGUUACCUGCACAUUGCAUAUUAUAAGGAAUAGAAGGUACCACACUUGCCGCCUCAUCAGAAGAAUUCCAGUCUGAGUCUAAAUUGUCGUGAUUCGUAUCAUCCCAGUUCCUGUUCAUGUGGUACUUGGAGAGAAAAAGGGGUAUGGCAAAUUUCAUCUUCACUUCUUUCAGAGAGCAAGGAGUCAAGGACCACAUGUUACUGAAUUGUCACAGUCUAAGUCCUUCCAAAGGUAGCCUUUGUCCAUUACCGACAAUUGUAUCUGACCAAGCUUGUCAUGUAGCAUCGACGGAGAAUGAUUUUUACAAGGCGGGAUUGGACAGUAGUGGGGGGUUACUUUCCAAAUUUUUCUUGCUUGGGAACCAGAAUUUUUUUUUUUGCAAAUAUUAAAAGUUUUCAUUAAAAAUAAUGAAGGACGGCAAUGCCCUGAAAUACAAUUGAAUAGGAAAAUAAAAUUGCGGUGGGGUUGAUAUUGUGAUUUCCACUAUAUCGACCUUCUCCUAUGUAGCUAUCCUUCCUAGUGUUCUAAUUAAGAAUUUGGCCUAUCCUUCCUAGUGUUCCAAUUGUGAACCACAUUCUUUCUUAAAGAUAUCAGCUUUAAAAGAUAUUCUGCAGUCUUUUACUAUAUCAGCUAGAACGACUUUUGGGGGUCUGAGAGGAUGCUGGUGGAGUCUCCUGUUUCGUUCGGACCAAAUGUGCCAUGUGAGGCAACCAAUAGCAUUCCAAUGUAGGUUCCAUGGAGGAGCUUGAUGCGUCAGUUUUUGACAUGAUUCUAUUACAUCUCCGAUUCUAAUAUCUGGAUGUGUGAGGGUCGGAAUGGGGGAGUUUGAUAUUUUCCAGAGGGCCUGGUUGAGAUUUUCAGAGAGUUGUAGAAGAAGUUUUCUAGUAUGGGGGUAAUUAAAAAAUAGGUGGCUGAUAGUCUCGAUUCCCUGACCACAGAGGAGGCAGGUUGGUUGUAUGGGGACACCACAUGCGUCGAGCAUUUGUAGAGUUUUGAUUUGUUUAUUCUUGAUCUUCCACAACAUUACUGAAAAUUUUGUCGGCAUGAGACCAUAUGCCUUUGGCUAGAGGAUCCUUUGGGGCCUUGGUUCUUAUGGCUUCAAUGAUGGUUCCUAAGUUUUGUUUUCCAUUUCCAAUUUUCCAAAUUAGAGAAUUUCCGGCCCUGCAUUUCAAGCAUUGGUUGAUUUUUAUAAGAGAUGUAAAUGGGUGGGAGAGAUUUCGAUCCCUUUUCAUUAUCAUUGAGUACUGUAUAUAUACAUUUUAGUAUAACAGAAUUUAGUUAUACUUAAUACUAUAAUAUGAUAAUGAAAUUACUAAUUAGCCCAUAGAAGUAAGUAAUUAGUUUAUGUAAGAAUAUAGCUAUUAAGACUUAUAGAACUAAUUCUAACAUAUCACUAAUACUCCCCCCUCAAGUCUGAUGAUGUGAACAAAUCAGCUUGUCCUUAAGAUCUUUGAAGAGUUUGGGCUUCAAUGCUUUAGUGAGAAUAUCUGCUUGUUGUAGAGUAUUCGGUAUGUGUUGCACAACAAGAGUUUUGUCCUCCAUUCUUUCUUGAACAAAUCUGAAAUCCAUGGCUGCAUGUUUGAUUUUGGAGUGAUAAGCCGGAUUGGCAGCCAAAUGAAUUGCUCCUAAAUUAUCAAAAAACAGCUUGUAAGGUGAUUUCAAAUAAAUUCCCAAUUCUUUCAAUAGAGAAUUAAUCCAUUCAAUCUCAGUGACUGUUAAUGCAAUAGCUCUAAAUUCAGAUUCUGUGCUUGACCUAGCAACAGUAGAGUGCUUUUUAGAAGCCCAGGAAAUUAAAGAAUCCCCAAUAUAUAUCAUGAAUCCUGUUUGACUUCUUCUGUCAACCACAUCAUUGGCCCAAUCUGCAUCGCAAUAUGCUGUAAUGUUAAAAUCAGCUACUUUUCUCAAGAUAAUUCCCAUGUUUUGAGUACCAGAGAGAUAUCUCAAUACUCUCUUCAUAGUAGUCCAGUGAAUAGGUUUGGGUUUCUCCAAAUGUUGAGCCAAUUUACUUACCACAAAGGAGAUGUCAGGACGUGAUAAAGUAAGAUACUGCAACGAUCUUACAAUUCUUCGAUAAUCAGUAGGAUUUGAAAUCAUAUCUUCUUCUGAAUAUAGAUCUGAAUUUGCUUCCAUUGGAGUAGGGGAUGGCUUUAAAUUGUCAAAUUUAUUGAAUUUCAGCAAGUUCACAAGAUAUAAUUGCUGAUCUAAGAAUAGCCCAUGUAAAUGUUUUUGGACUCUAAUACCCAAAAAAUAACUCAACUCUCCUAGCUUGUGGACAGCGAAUUCUUCACCCAAUUUUGCAAGCACUUCAUCAACCUUAGCUGUAUCUGAUCCUGUGAUAAUCAUAUCAUCAACAUAGACAAGUAUAUAAAUUGUAUAUUCACCUAAGUGCACAAACAUUGAAGGAUCAGAUUGGCUUGGUAUAAAACCCAUUAAAUUCAGCACCAUUUUUAGUCUGCGAAACCACAUCCUUGAAGAUUUCUUGAGACCAUAGAUAGCUUUCUUCAAUAGGCAGACGUGAUUUGGACAUGAUUCAUCCAUAAAUCCUUUAGGUUGACGCAUUAAAAUUCUCUCUUCCAAUUGACCAUGUAAAAAUGCAUUACCUAUGUCAAUUUGAUUAAGUUUCCAACCUCUUGAGACUGCAAUAGUUAAUACUGCACGAAUAGAUACAGAUUUUACAACUGGACUGAAUGUCUCAUUGUAAUCUCUGCCUUCAAUCUGAUUACACUCAUUUGCUACUAGCCUUGCCUUUAAUCUGUCCAGACUACCAUCUGAUUUUUCUUUGACUUUAAACAGCCACAUAGAAUUAAUCACAUUGUCUGUCGGCAUCCUUGGUACCAACUCCCAUGUGCCAUUAUUAACGAGCGCAUCAUUCUUUCUUCAUAGCUGAUUUCCAUCCUUCAUUCUCCAAAGCUUGCUUGACUGAAGAUGGAACUGAAAUUUCAGAAGCUGAUAUAGACAGUGCAUACCUAGGAUUAGGCUUCUUAAUCCCUGCAGCUCCUCUAGUGAAGGGGCGCCUCUCAUAAUCAGUUAAUUUUACUGAUUUUGAAAUUGAGAACUCAUCUCUAGAGCUUGAAUCUGAAGAACUUGGAGAAGAUAUAUGAUCAACUGGAUUAAUUGGGGAAGAUAUUUGAUCAACUGAAAUAAUUGGAUCUGAAUGAGCUGUCGGAGUGACAUCUUGAGUCUGAAUUAAUGGACUGUUUUGAGAAGAAGUAUUUCUACUAAUAGGCUCAGGAUGAACAGACUGAGUAGUAUGAACUGAAUCAGAUCUGUUCUCUGGACUUGUGUUCACAUCUGUGCUUGCCAUUGCAUCGUUUGAUUGGGAAAUAUUUUCCACUGUUAUGACAUUCCCUGCAUUCUGAAUUGCCUGAUUAGGGGUCUGAAAAAUAUUAUUUAAUUUCUCACUCAAAGAGAAAUCAUCUUCUUUGAAUAUAACAUCUCUGGAAAUAUACACCUUCCCAUCAUCGGGAUUCAUACAUAUGUAACCAUCACAUGUAGUCGGAUAUCCUAAGAAAAUGCAAGGCUUUGAUUUGUCCUGCAAUUUAUUAGUUCGAUAUGGACGUAAAUUAAGAAAACAUUUACAACCAAAUGCCCUUAAUUUACCAUAUUCCGGAGUCUGUUGAAAUAAAGCUUCCAAUGGUGAUUUGCCUUCUAACAACUUAGUAGGAUUGCGAUUGUAGAUGUGAAUUGCAGUCAUAAAUGCAUAAUCCCAAAAUUCAGUGGGCAAGCUAGCAUGCUUUAAUAUAGCAAGUCCAGUAUCGACAAUAUGUCGAUGUCUUCUCUCAACUUUACCCAUCUGUGGGUGAGUGUGAGGACAACUCAAUCUGUGCACAAUUCCACUUUUAUUCAGAAUUUCAUCUAGCUUUAAGAACUCCUUGGCAUUGUCAGUUUGUAAUGCCUUGAUUUUAAAAUCGCAUUGUUUUUCUGCCAACACGAAAUCUGAGAAAACAUUCAGAAACUUCUAAUUUUGCUCGUAGGAGAUAUAGCCAAUUAUAAUUUGUCGUUGCAUCUACAAAGUUCAAAUAGUAUUUAUACCCUUCAUUAGAACUACAUGGUGCUGGACCCCAUACAUCUGCGAAUAUAAGUUGCAAAGGAUUCGCAUAAAUCGUAUUUCUUGAUAUAUGUGGAUUUUUGUGAAUUUUGCUAAUAUGACAAAAAUCACAACUAAUAUCAUUAUUACAAAUAUCUGAAAAUUUAAUGAUGUUUUCUUAGCCAUUAACUUCAUAGCUCUAGUGUGGAGGUGUCCCAAUCGAUGGUGCCAAGUUCUAGUUCUAUCACUUGAUUGACCUCAAUUUGAUUUAUUUGAACAGGAAGCUUGUAUAAUCCAUCACUAGAAUCUCCUUCAAUUAGCAAUUCUCCUGAAUCCAGAUCCUUUACCAUUACCUUCUGUGGAUGAAAUUCAAUAGAUACACAAUUAUCAGUGCAAAAUUUCUUCACAGAUAGCAAGUUCUUGGAUGCCGAUGGAACAGAUAGCAAAUCAUUAAUAACAAAAUUCUUGUUAUUAUAAAUAAAAGUAGAAGAUCCCGUAUGUGUAAUAGACAUAGGAUUACCAUUUGCAGCAAAAAUCAUUCGAUUACCUUCAUAUGGUGACAUUUUCUGAAUAUUUGCCACCUGAUUUGUCACAUGAUUUGUGGCACCUGAGUCUGGAUACCAAACAGAAUUAUCAGAAAUCAUGGUCGAUGCAGUGGCUGCCUUAGUUGGGCUAGUAGAUGACAGAGUUCGACCAUGAGUAGGAGGAAAUUUGGAUAAAUUGAUCCUAUUGUAACAGUUUAAGGCCCCAUGUCCUUUUCUUGUGCAUAUUUGACAUGUUAUAGAUUUAAGAUCCUUAUAUCCCUUCUCCUUUACCUCAGUGACAACAUUACGUGUCAUAGAUUUGGAAUUUGUUCUUCUGUAUUCUCGUUCUUCCAGAUCAGUUAGCAUAGAUUGAAGUUUGCGAUAUGUAACCUCACCAUCUCUUGAUGUAACAUUCUGGAUGAGAGACUCAUAUUCAUCUCCUAGUCCAGCCAGCACUAGUAAUACAAGAUAUGGAUCCUCUAUCUUCUCGCCUGCAAUUGCUAGUGCCUCCACGAGGGAAUUGAUCUUGACAAUGUAAUCGGAGACCGAUCGACUCCUUUCUUAACAGAUUGAAUUUUCUGCCGUAAUGUAAGCACUCGAGACCUAGAGCUCGAUGCAAAUUCGAUCUGUAAAACAUUCCAUACCUCAGCCGAUGUGUUACAUGUAGUUACAUAUGCGAGCAUCGGUGCAGACAUGGCCGAUAGUAACCAUCCUUGGAUCAAUUGUUCCUGUUUUCUGGCCAUAGCAUCCGAUAGGUCAAUUUUCCCAUGGAUGAAAUCCAGCAGCUCAUGUCCUCGCAAGAUGACAACGAAUUGCGCGCGCCAAGCGAAGUAGUUUGAGCGGUCCAGCGUCACAGUUUUCAGAUGCUUGAUGAAAACAAUCUUGGAAGCAUCUGAAUUUGCGACUCCACUCCUAUCAACAAUGCCGUCCUCCAUUGCAGUGGAAAUCAAGAAAAUGAAGGACUAUUGAGGAGAAAAUCCAGGAUCGAGGAAGCUCUCUUUCUAACAAACUGAUACCAUAUAAGAGAUGUAAAUGGGUGGGAGAGAUUUCGAUCCCUUUUCAUUAUCAUUGAGUAUUGUAUAUAUACAUUUUAGUAUAACAGAAUUCAGUUAUACUUGAUACUAUAAUAUGAUAAUGAAAUUACUAAUUAGCCCAUAGCAGUAAGUAAUUAGUUUAUGCUUAUGUAAGAAUAUAGCUAUUAAGACUUAUAGAACUAAUUCUAACAUAUCACUAAUAAUUUUCCCUUUGGAGUCUAAAAUUUCUUUCCAUUGGACAGAGUCAAUGGAGUGUUUAGGGCUAAUGUUGUUAAAAGUCAUGCCUUUGGUGUAUCUUCUCUGCAUCCAUUGUGCAAAUAUAGAUUGCUUACCCCAUAUUGUAGUUGCUUUUUUUAAUAGGGGCAGCAGAGGCUAUCAUUUGGAGGUUUCUAACCCCUAAUCCUCCCUCCUCCUUAGGUAGAGUCAUUAAUGACCAUGAUAUCCCUCUCCUUCCAUCCCAAAUGAACUGGUAGGCCAGCCUUUGAACUUUUUUGUGGAAAGAGGAAGGUAGGUUGAUGCCUUGGGCCCAGUAUGUGUAUUUUCCAACUAGUAUCCAGUUUACUAGUUGGAUUCUACCUCCAUAGGAGAGGCAUUUACCGCUCCAUUUAGCUAGCAAGCCUUCUAUGGGUUGUAUUAGCUUCCAACAUUGGUUGUAUGAUUUCUUCUUCCCUGUUAUGGGGAAGCCUAGAUAAACUAUGGGGAGUUUAGAAAUUGGGAAAUCAAGGAUCUGUUGGAGUUCUGUGGAGCUCACAUAUCUUGGAGAAGGUAAUAGAACUUUUUUGAGGGUUGAUCGUUAGGCCUGUGAAGACUGAGAAUCAAGGUUCCAGAUGCGCCACCACCUGGAGCACUUGAGCAUAUGCGCGCAUAUGCGUGCAGAUGCGUCAGUGGCAUUUUCGUAAAUAUAUACAAAACUAAAGGAAAUUCAUAUAUUUUUUAUAUAUCUAAACAAUAUCAAUUAAAUUUUUUAGUUAAAAAUAUAUUGGAUAGAAAAAUUAUUAUAAUACAUAUAUUUAUUAAUUAUUAUAACACCCUAUAAUUCAUUGUAACACCAAGGUUUAAAAACCGAUAGGGGUAUUUUCGUAAUAUUAUAGCUCUUUAAAUGGCUAGGGAUUCUUUAAACUUAUAAAAGAAAGGCUUUUAUAAAAAGAAAAGAAUAAAUAACCCAAGAGGCUUUUAAAAAAUAAUAACAUAAUGGGUUGGGCCUUCUUUAAUACAUUUAUAACAUCAAAAAUACUAUAUAAUAAUAAUUUAUUUAACUACACUUUUUCAGUCCUACAUCGAUAGAAUUCAAAAAACACAAAGAAGGUUGGUAUAUAAAUAAAGAUUCAUUUUGUCUAAAACAAAUAUGAAGUCUUAAGAGUGGGAUAAGCUUAUAUUAAAAAUAAUAUAGCUCUUUUCAUAGACCAAUGUAUAAAUUUUUGGCAUAAAAAUUUAUAAGGUCUUAAAAUAAUUUUUUUUUUUGCUUUUUUUCAAAUAAAAACAAAACCCUGUUUUAAGUUAUUUAAAUAACUUAAAACAGGCCUGGAUCCGGGUCGGAUUUUACCCGGAUCCGGCUAAGGGAGAUGCGCCUCUGGGGGCGCAUAUGCGCGCGCACCCGGAACCUUGCUGAGAAUGUCUCUAGUAUACUUUUGACGGCCUUUAGAGAUUUGGGAUUGGCUUUAGAGAAGAGCAGGAUAUCAUCUGCAUACAUUAAGUGAGUUACGGAUGCCGUUCCAUUGACUAUAUAUGAGUCAUAUUUUCUCUCUAUUCCCUCCUUUUCAAUUAGUCAUUUAGUCUACUUAGUGUAUCCAUCACCAUGUCAAAGAGAAUAGGGGAGAGAGGGUCUCCUUGUCUAAUGCCUCUUUGACUCUUAAAUGGGGGGGUGGGGUGGAGGUGCCUUCAACUAAUAUUGAGAAAGAAGCUGAGGAGAUACAACUUUACCAAUCUUCGGUGCCCACGUGGUCCUCUCUACUUGAGAUUUGGGUGGAGAAUUGCAUACAACGAUUUGAACAAAGUGGGUAUCAGAUGUAAUUGACAAUACGAGGGGAAACAAAGGAUGAAUUGAGUCAUCGGAGGGGGCAAUGAGAUGUAGACAGAAACCGAAUAGAGGUUCUGCAAAUCUAGAACUCUUCAGUUUUUUGCAGACGUGGUGGAAGUUGCUCAGUAUUUGGUUGGGAGUAGCAUUUGGGAGUCCAAUGUCCAAAUUGUAGACAUUUGGGAGCUUCGAAUCAUACAAGACCUUCAAGCAUACAAUCGAUCUUCCUCAUCGAUUAUGUAUGGAAUGGAUAGGGAAUAUGUGAAUUGGUGGGUCGCCUGGAUGUAGGUUUUUAGAGAGUUGGGAUGACGUGAGAUGUAGAUAAAUUCCACAUGAAGGGAGGAACCCAAUACAUUCCUCCCUUAGUCCUUAGAGAACAUCCCUUAUUACAUUCCAUGUACAUAUGCCCAUUGUGGAAUCGAAUCAUAAGAUUCCUCAUAGACAAUGGAGGCAUUUUCUCUACUAAUCUACAUAGGAGAAUCCUCUAUCAUAUCCUAACUACGAUUGUAGCAUUUCAGAUAAUAUCCCACCAUCUUAAAGACAAUAGUGAAGGUCGAGCCUUAGAAGCAGUUAAUUUGGAAUUGCCCUCAUAAGUCCCAUUUGCCUUCUACUAAGGGUAUCACAAAAGACCCUCGAAGUGAGAGAGAGUUUCUCUCCAUAGGCCGAGAGUUCUUGAGUGGAGUCAGGGAUGCGGGUAUGUUAUAUUCCUCCUAAGAUUGUCAAAGUCAUGUGUAGUUGGCAUCCACUUGUUGAUGUGGUCAUAGUAUGGGUGAUCUGUUUUCUCUUUCCUUUGUUUCCAUUGCAUGCGAUCAUUGCUUCUUUUUCUUCCCCUAGCUUACUCUUGUUGCGGAGUGUGUAACAUGGUGCUUUGUCCCUAUCUAAAUACUUUACUAGAGGGAUUUGUGUUAUCGUCUCUUCCAACUUUAUCCAAUGGUUGGGUUUUUGUGUGAAUUACAAAAACUUGGGGGUCUUUGAAAUUUGAGCUCCAAGCUAUCUCCAACUACUUGCUCGCGUAUAGCUAGGUUGACAAGAGGGGAAAAACCCAGGUGUGGCCUUUCCCAUCUUUUACCUAUCUGGAUUGUGGACUUCCUCGUCUUUCUCUAGGAAAACCUUCCUCCAAUCAACCUAGCCCCUCAUUGGUGUAAUAGCCAGAAAUGUAACUAAGAUCCCAAUUGACAGUAACCAGCUCCUUGGAAACUUGUGUCCUAGUCCCCUGAAUGCAGGGGGAGAAGGGUGGACUCCGAAGAGGAGCCUCUCUAGAAGAGGGGAAUGGGGAUAUCCUGAAUCAGAGGUUCAUGACCUAAUGCAAAUUGAUUAUAAUGCAAAUAUGUACAUAUGUGAUCUUUAUCAUUUCCAUUCAUUUUUCUUCUUCGGAUUUUGAUCGAAGGUAAACAAAUAAAUCAAAUCAUAGUGUUUUCAGCUGUGACAAAAUGUGAAUAAAUGAAGAUUGCAAAGAUCAUUGACAACCUGAAUAGAUUUCGAGCAGGCUUCUACAGCUAUCUGCAAACAAUGUUACAGCAAAAGUUUUAGUUCAACAUUUAAUACAAGUGAAACUUAAAUUGGAAAUUUUGAUGAUGUGAAUUCAAAGACUGUUGGUAAAACUUACUUGGGCUAGACCUGUAAAAACUGUGGGUUCUAAGCAAUUGCAUAAUUUUGACAAGCAAGACAAUGUUUUCUCCAAUGGUGGAUACCAUGUUUUGAAAACAUCAGAAUUCACAUCAACCUGAUUAAAAAUAUAACAAUUAAAAAAUAAAGAAGGUAUUGAUUAAUCAAUCAAAUAUAUUAACAAAUGUGGAAACAUGACAUAAUGUAUUAAAUAAAGAAAUAUGAAAAAAUUAUAGAUUGAAUUGUUAUUACUCAAACAGAACAAUCUCCUUAAAUCUUGUAGAACACAAGAGCUAGCUCUCCCUCACAAUGAAUGGUAGCUCUUUAGGUUUCUUCACAAAGGAUUUUGGAGAGGCUUAAAGAAAGAAUUUGAAUAAUAAGGAAAGAAAUCACACAAAACAAGAAUAUUUUGUUAACGGGGUUCGGCCUUGCCUACCUCCCUGAGGUGAUUAAGCUCCUCCUUACUUUUGGUGAUAAAAGAAUAAAAUGUAGCAAUUACAAACAGGAAAAUAUUAAAUAUUUAUAGAAUUAGUUGCCUCGGGAAUUGAGUCCUAGACAACUAAUCUGAUUCUCUCCAGCCCAAUGGGAAUUGGGCCCACGAGGAAUAUUCUCCUCUUAUUCUUAUGUUUCCCUUAGUAAUUCAUUAAUUAAUUUUUUUAUGAAUUAUGAUUUUCAUUUUUGAAAAUAAGGGGGGAACAAUGUCUGGAUACAAAUGUAGGGAAAUGUAAACAUAAAAUCAUUGCAAUUAACUCAUUAAUUGUCCAUAGAAAUAAUUGCAAUUAACUCCCAAUUAAUCUCAACGCAAUUAACUCUAACAUGAAUAGCAAGUAUUUUUCAUCCAAAUAAUGUGCUGAAGAUAGAAACUAACAGUAGCCUCUGAAACUGCCCCAGAUGUCUGCUCCAAUUUUGCAGGGUAAUCCAAGUCUUCGUCAAGAGGUGAGUACUUUCCUACCUACAAGUUUCCAGAUGAUAAAAAGACAUGAGUAGAGAUUCCGAUUAUAAAAAAACUGUCAAUAAAAAUAAAGUAAAUUCCCAGGUUUAACUUUCUAACAUGAGUUCUGUAAACGAAUUGCAAAUUGUGAUGUGUUAAAAUAAAUAUUGUCGACAGUGAUUGAGAAAUAUCACAAAAAAAUAUUCUAAAAUAUAUAAAAUGAUCAGUGACAAGAAAUCACAAGUUAUAUUUCCCAAAAUAUCUACAUAAUUUGAUAAUAAGAAAGAAAUGCUUUCAAAAAAAUAUAUUAUACAUAUCCAAUUUAGACAACAUAUUAUAUACAACAUGAUAUUAUACUACAUUCAGCAUAAUUUUCCACAAACACCUUGAAUGAAAAAAAUUAGGAUAAACCAACAUUUGAAAUUCUGAACUAAAACAAUUUACCUCAUCCUGAAUAUAUGUCCGCGCUCGAAAUGUUAAUCGCUCGUGAAUAUCUUCUAGGAUUCGUAGUAAUGUGGGUCUCAGCCCAGCUAAUGAUUCACUUCGUUUGCUAAGCUGUUCACCUAUAACUUCAACUUUAAGGAUACCAACAAGUUCACAAAGUGAAUCCAAUUUCGCUUCAUGGAUGAUUUUAGGACGCAGGGUAUCAUAUAAGUAUGUUGACCUGCAUAAUUCAUAAGUGUAAACUGAAACUGAGGAUUAAAAUAUAUAUAUAAAUUAUUGGAGUACGAGGAUGAGAACAAAUUGAGCCUUUGAGGAUAAUUAUUUUACUACUAGAACAUGUGAUUUUUAAAAUAAAUGAUUCUAUCUUAGAAGCAAUUAAGCCAUUAAGGGUUAUGCUACUAUAUGAACUUUAUAAAGUAAAAAAAAUACCCUGUCAUUAGCCAAACCCCCCCAAGAUUAAACAACCCUGGAAAAAGUUUUAGAUUAAUUAGGAAUUUAAAACUUGCCCGGAUCAGACCAGCAAGCCCAUGGGUAACCGAUAUCAUUUCUUCAGCUCCCAUAAAUAGGAUGCAUCUCUCCAUAAAAAAAAAUUAAAUUUCACUUAGAUCAAUCAAUGCCAACCUUCGAAAGAGUAAAAGACAUUGACAUAGAGUGUGUGGAGGUAGUUCUUAACUCUAAAUAAAUAAAAACUUUCCAAGAGAAAGUAAAAAAUUGAGUAGAUUUUUUAAAUAACCCAGAUUUUAUUCUGUUCUUGAUAACCAAAUAGUUUCUUGGAGGAGUUUAUUGUAAUAUGAAAAAUCUGAUUAGGAUAACCUGCAAUCUGUAUGGCAUAGGAAUUCUUGUAGAGAUUGUGAGGUCCGAUACAUGUAAUUUCAUUGCAGAUUUAAAAUUCAUAUAUACAAUAAAAAAAAAACUUAUUCAUAUAUUUGUCAUUUCCUUAAAAGGUAACAAGAAAUUAUGAAACAAACAAAAGAAACUUACAUAGGAUCUAAUAGAGGAGCUAAAGUAGAAUCAUUUGCAGAAGACUGAAAGAAAUGGUUGAAGAGUUGAUGUUCAAGCUGGCAAACCUGUAUUUUGACAAUAUCAAAUUAUUUUUAUUAGAGUUAAGUAGGUAUUAAUGUAAUUAGUAUUUAGUAUAUGCUAGUCUAUAGAAUAAUGUAAUUAGAAUCUAGUAUAGCAUCUAGAAUAUUCUAAUAGAUAGACUAAACAGAAAGUUAGUGGCAAAUGGCACUAAUCAGAUAGAAGGACAAGACUACACUGAAACUUUCAGUCCUGUAAUGAAGCCCAAGUCAAUCAGAAUUGUGCUCACUGUUGUUGUUUCUAGGGGAUGGGCACUGCAUCAAAUAGACAUAAGCAAUGCUUUCAUCCAUGGAAAGCUGAAUGAAAGAAUUGUGACGAGGCAGUCUAUUGGAUUUUUAGAAGAGUCUAAACCUAGACAUGUAUGUCUUCUGAAAAAGGCUCUAUAUGGAUUAAAGCAAGCGUCUAGGAUGCGGUUUAGGUGCUUAAAACAAUGUUUAACUGACAUGGGGUUCAAAGCAUGUCAAUCUGAUGGCUCACUGUUUGUGAAGAAUGAUAGUACUGACAUCAUCUGCAUACCUGUAUAUGUGGAUGACAUGGUGCUGGUGGUCAUUGGUUCAUAUGAUGCAAAGGUUGAAGGAUGUAUGAACACUCUGAAAUCAGAAUUUGCAGUCAGGGUAAGUGGCAACUUGGAGUUCUUUUUAGGCAUCAGGGUGAGAAAGCAUGUUUAUGGGCUUUUCUUAGAUCAGCAGUUGUACUUAGUAAAUUUACUGAAUAUACAUGGCUUUGGCAAUCUGAAACCAAUCAGCACUUCUAUGCUGGGUAUUCUAUGCGACGUUUAUGCGUCGCAUAAACGACCAUGCGCAUUUCCAGACCCCCGCAUAGGUGUUCUAUGCGUUUCGGGUCUGGGCGGGUCGGGUCAACGGGUCAGGUCGGAUCGGGUAAAACCCUAUUACCCGUAACCUUAUUGAAAAAAAAUUAAAAAAAAAACCAAAACCCAAUUAAAAAAAACCCUCGAUUUUCUCUCUUCCCGUCGGCCACCACCAGCAGCCAUCUCCAGACGCGAGCAAGCCUUCUCCGACGCGAGCCACCAUCUCCAGACGCGAGCCGCAAACCAUCUCCAUUCUCCAGCGAGAUCUGUUGGACAGAAAAAGGUUCUAAAAAUAUUAAAAAAAAAACUGAUUUUAAUUUUUAAUACUGAUUUUAAGCAUGAACACUUGAUUUUAAUACUGAUUUUAGUUGAAUACUUGAAUCAGUUGAAUGAAUCAGUACUGAUUUUAAUUUUUAAGCAUGAACAUGCUAAAAAAUAAAAUAGUAUACUAUUUUUAAGCAUGAGCAUGAAUCAGUACUAAUGAUUUAGGGAUGAUUUUGGCAUGAAUAUACUAUUUUAGUAUUUUUUGCCAAUAAAAUAACACUGUCAUUUUUAUGUUUGUCCAAUCAGAAUUAGGGAUGACUCAGACAUACAAUGACGAUUUAUACCAAGAGAAUGACGACAUGUACUACGACUAUGAAGUCGAUGCCAAUGAAGACGCACAUGGUGAUGAAGAGCCACUUGAUGAAGAGCCACUUGAUAAUGAAGAGCCACUUGAUGAAGAGCCACUUGAUGAAGAGCCACUUGAUGAUGUUGAUGCCAAUGACUUAUCCCAUCAAGUUGUUGGAGAAGAUGAACGUGAACAGUUAAUCAAGUGGCAUUCUCAAACCACCGAGGAGGAAAAGAAUGACACAAAACUACGACCGAAGUCUAGCGAUCCAGCAUGGAAAUAUGCCAUUCUAUUGAAAAAAACUGACUCCAAUGGAGUCAAAUAUCUAUUUUGUCAUUGGAUUUCAACUGGUGGAAUCGGUCGAAUGAAAGGUCACUUUCUUGGUGGUGACAGAAAUUGCAUCAAAUGUCCAAAGACCACAUCUUUCGUUCGUAAUGAGAUCCGUGAAUAUGUCAAAGAAAAAAAGAUAAAAGCAACGAAAGGGAAAUCAACAUAUGUGGAUGACGAUGACCAAACUGAUGUCAUUUACGUCAAAGAAAAUCCUAUUGUUCCCAAAAAAUUAAAGAGGCCAGCGGUGGCGGUAAAGAAAUCAAUUUCUUCUUCUGCUGGAUCCAUCAAUUCAAAGGUGAAAGCGCUUUCUUUGAAUGAUGGUGAGAGUCUUAUCGACGUAGUUCGUAAUCGGAAAAAACAACCACUCAUCGUGGAAUGUAUGAAGAAGGACGAAAGACUUAUAGUAGACAAGCUUGUGGCUAAAGCUUUCUAUUCAGCUGGUAUUCCAUUCAAUGUCCGAAAUAAUAUUGACUUUCAGGUAUUUUUCAUUUCAAUACAAUUUCUGAUAAUUAAUGUGAAUAUUUAGAUUUUCAGAAAUUAAUUCCAAUUUUCUGAAUUUAGGUUAUGUUAGAAGUUGUUGGUCGAUAUGGAUGGGGUUAUGUUCCUCCCACUGUGCAUAGGCUUCGAGGUCCACUUUUGAAUGAAGAAGUGGCUUCUUUUGAUGACAUGAGAAGUAAACAUGAAGAGAAAUGGUCCAUCAACGGAUGCACACUCAUGUCUGACGGUUGGACGGAUCAGAAAGGAAGAAGCAUAAUCAACUUUUUGAUCAACUCUUCUGCUGGAUCUUUUUAUUUGUACUCUAUUGAUGCAUCCGCCCAUGAAAAAAAUGCUGAAUUUAUAGCACGUACCAUAGAUGAUGCGAUGCAGAAGGUUGGGGUUAAGAACGUCGUCCAGAUUUGCACAGAUAAUGCUGCCAACUACGUGAGAGCAAGAAAAAUUCUGAUGGAGAAGUAUAGUCAUCUGUAUUGGACUCCAUGUGUGGCGCAUUGCAUUGACCUAAUACUGGAGGAUAUUGGCAAGAUACCUUCAUUUAAAAAGGUGAUUUUAUCAGGCCGUCAGAUCACUACAUAUGUCUACACGCAUUCAGUUCUUCAUGCUGAGUUUUUGAGAUUAAGCAAUAACAAGGAAUUGAUUAGGUGNNNNNNNNNNNNNNNNNNNNNNNNNNNNNNNNNNNNNNNNNNNNNNNNNNNNNNNNNNNNNNNNNNNNNNNNNNNNNNNNNNNNNNNNNNNNNNNNNNNNUUGGCAGAAGUGGCUAGAUAUUGGAUAUGGAGAGGAAGUGCAGAGGAAUGUCUUUGCUAGAGCUUUCUGGACAGGUGUGGAAGAUUGUUUGAAAGCAUCUCAGGCUUUAGUUGCUCUUUUGAGAUUGGUGGAUACAGAUGAUAAGCCAUGCAUGGGGCAUGUCACUCAAUGUUUUGAGAAUGCGAACAAAACAAUUGAAACUCAUUUUGAAAACAAACCUGGAAUGUUGAGAAGUCUAAAGGCUAUCAUGAAGAAAAGAUUAGAUAAACACUUCAACCAUGAUUUGUUUGAAGCUGGAGCAUUUCUAAAUCCCAACUUUUACUAUGAGUUGAAGAAGUAAGUCUUCUCUUCAUGUUAUUUGAUAAUUAAUUUUGAAAACCUAUUAUCUAAUUACUAAUAUAUUUCCUUCUAACUAAUAGGACAAGAGUUGGGUUUGAGAAGGCCUUAGCUUAUGAGGGAAAGUUUCAAAAAUGUGUUCUUCGAAUGAUUGAUGAUGAUGAUGAACGAAGAACGAUAAUGAAUCAACUAACUCUCUACAAAGAAGGGGUCAUUUUGCAUCUAGGUUGGCUACUCAAGCCAUUGCCACAACAGAUUCAAGUAAUGUGUUCCAUAAUUCUGAUUUGUUAAUCUGAAUUAUUUAAUAUUAACGAGUCUAAUUUCGUUUUUGGAAAUUGCACAAUGUCUUGGUGGGGUUCAUAUGGCAUAUCUACCCCAGCAUUAAUGAUUGCGGCUACACGUAUUUUGGGACUUUGUGUCACUGCUUCUAGCUGUGAAAGAAAUUGGAGUACCUUUGAUUUUGUAAGUAUGAAAUAGUAAGUAAUGUGUCUCUGUGUAUUUAAUGAAACUGAAACAAGUUAUCUUCCAUAUAACAGAUUCACACGAAGAGGAGGAAUCGACUAGAGGCCGACCGAUGUAGUAAAUUGGUGUUUGUCAAUUACAACCGCCGAUUGAAGGAUCGUUAUGAAGAGAAAUGCCUUAGAAACGACUUCGACCCCAUUGUCAUUGAAGAUUUGAAUUGGAGUAGUGAAUGGAUGACCGGUGAAGACGGUCCUUCAAAUGAAUUUGUUUAUGGUGAAGAAGGUUUAACUUGGGCGUCUAUUGAAGUAGCUAUGGGUGUCAAUGAACCUAUUGGACCAUCAACAAGGAAUAGGAGAGGAGCUGAAGUUGAAGAGGAUGUUGAGCAAGCUCCUUAGAGCUUAGAGCCUUUGGGCUUAGACUAUUGUUAAUCUUAAUUAUAUAGUUUUAGACUUUGUUAUGCAAUUUCUAUUUACUAUUUAGACUUUUAAACUUUAUUGGAUCAUUGGAACACUAUUUGCUAUAUUAUAUUAUUCAUAUAUUAUGGAAAUAUCAGGGGUAAUUAUAAAAAAUACAUGUAAAUAUAACAUGUCGCAUAUUUACGUAUAUGCACGCAUAUACUUAUAUGCUUAAAAUGUCAUCGCAUGAACGCAUAGACGCAUAGAAAACCUUGAGUUUUAGGUUUUCAUACCCAUGCUUAUUAAGGAGAUUCACCAAGUAUAACUGUUGGUCCAAGAAUAAACCAUCAAGGUGCUUCCUAACUCUAAUUCCCAGAAAAUACUCCAAGUUUCCACACAAUCUCACAGCAAAUUCAGAUUUUAAUUCAUUCAAAAAUACUUCUGUGCCUUUAGUACUAGAGCCUGUAAUGACCAUGUCAUCUACAUAUACAAGUAUGUAGAUGACUUCCUCUCCGGAUAUGCUUGUCACAAAGCCUUUUAGAUACAAAAAUUGUUUCAAUCUACGAAACCACAUCCUUGAGGCCUGUUUUAAUCCAUACAGAGCCUUCUUCGGUAGACACACAUGUGUGGGUCUUUCUUCAUCAAGAAAUCCCAUGGGCUGCCUCAUGACAAUCCUUUCAUCUAACUAUCCAUGCAAAAAUGCAUUGCUUAUAUCCACCUGUUGAAGUGACCAACUUUUGGAUACAGCCAAUGUAAGCACUAUUCUGAUUGUUUUGUGCUUGACAACAGGGUUGAAUGUCUCAGUAUAAUCCAGUCCUUCUACUUGAUUGGUGUCAUUGGCCACCAAUCUUGCCUUCAACCUCUCUACUGUCCCAUCUGACCUUUCUUUCACUUUGAACAUUGUAUUAUCCACUGGAUUCCUUGGGAUGAGUUCCCAACUCCCAUUCCUCACAAGAGCAUUGUAUUCCUCCUGCAUUGCUUUCUUCCAUUCAGGGUCUUGCAAGGCAUAUUUCACUGAUUUAGGGGUUUGUUUUGGUGUGGGAGAUAUAUUGCAAGCAUAUCUCUGAACUUUCUUGAUAAUUCCCCUAGAUGCUCUAGUGACAGGUAUGUGUUUUGUCACUGAAUUUUCUGCUAUUUUUGGAUUAUACUCUUCUUCAGAGUUCGAUCCAGAGUCAUCAGACCCUUCUUCCUCAUCAUUUUCUAUUUCAGCAGGUGCUCUUCUACUGUACUAGACCAGUGGUGGUAACUCAUCUGUAGCAGAAGUGAUAGGAAGUUCAGACUGUGUGGUAGAUUGGGAAGCCACUGCAUGUUCUGAAAUAUCAGUCACUGCUUGUUCUGAAUUGUCAUUUAUUCUGCUCUGUUCAGCCUCUUCUUCACCCUCAUCUGAUUCACUCUCCUCUGCCUGAACCGAAUGUGUUGGAGAUUGAGAAAUAACUGUUUUCUUUGACUGAAAUUUAUUUUCUUCAAAGAUCGCAUCUCUGGAAAUUAGUGUCUUCCCAUCCCUCAUAUCCAUGCAUAUGUAUCCAUCACAAUGGACUGGAUAUCCUAGAAAAACAUAAGGUGCUGAUUUGUCACUCCAUUUGUUUUCCCUAUAUGGUCUGAGAUUGGGAUAACACACUGCUCCGAAUAUUUUCAACUUAUAAUAAUCAGGUGACUUGAGGUGUAAAGCUUGAUAAGGUGAUAUACCUUUUAAUAUUUCAGUGGGAAUGCAUAGUCCCAGAAGUGUGUUUCCAACAAUGCAUGCUUCAACAUAGCCAGCCCUGUGUCUACUAUAUGUCUGUGUCUGCGCUCUACCUUCCCCAUCUGAGGGUGAGUGUGUGGACAGCUAAGACGAUGUAUUAUUCCAUUACUCUUUAACAAUUUUGACAAUUUUAAAAACUCUUUAGCAUUAUCAGUUUGGAGAGCUUUUAUAUUCCUGUCAUACUGUUUUUCAGCCAUGCAUUUGAAUUGUAAAAAACAUUCUUCAACUUCAGAUUUUCUUCUCAUCAAGAAAAUCCAAUUGUAACUAGUUGAAGCAUCCACAAAAUUUAUAUAAUAACUAUAUCCUUCUGUGGAUUCAGUUGGGGCAGGGCCCCACACAUCAGCAAAAAUAAGUUCAAGUGGAGUAGUAUAAAGACUAUAAACUGAGGUACUUUUAUUAUGUUUCAGUUUCUUAGCUUUUGCCAUACAACAUUCCUUACAUAAAUUUUUGAUAUCAUUUGUAUCUGAAACUCGAAUUAAAUUCUGAUUGUUGAGUUGCUUCAUAGCCCUUGAGUGUAGGUGCCCCAAUCUCAAGUGCCACACUCUAGCAGUGGCUUUCAUCCCCAACUCCAUUUGAUUAACUUGCAUCCCUGAACGUCCUAUAGGUAUAGGUAAUUGAUAUAGUCCUCAACUUUCCUUCUCAAUCAUCAGAACUUUUUUAGUGUUGAUAUCCUUGACUAACAGCCUCUGUGGAUCAAAUUCCAUAGUCACUUAAUUGUCAGCACAGAAUCUCUUUAUUGAAAUCAGAUUCUUUGAUGCAGAAGGUACACAUAAAAUCUGGUUCAUAAAAAACUUUCUUUUAUUGACAGAAAUAAAAGAAUUACCAGAGUGAACAAUUCUCAUAGGAUGUCCAUCGGCAGUAUUGAUGGAAUUCUCACAGUACAGCCCAUCUUGAAUAUCUGCCUUUCUGUCUGUAAUAUGGUUUGUUGAGCCAGAAUCAGCAACCCAAGCCCUUGCAUUUGACACCAUAUUCACUGAAUUCUCAGUGUUCUCUUGCCCUACAUUUUCACAGUUCUCAUACAUAACAUUCACAGACAUUUCCUCAAUCAUACCUGCCUCAGGGCACCAAACUGAUGUUGAUUUUUGUACCAUAUUAGCUGACAUCUUGUUGGCCAGACCAUCUGAAUCGAGUUUUCUCCCAUGUGUUGGAGGAAACUUAGUGAUGUUCAAUCUGUUGUAGCAAUUGAGUGCUCCAUGCCCCUUCCCUGAACAAAUUUGACAAGGUAAUAUUUUGUAAAAACUCUUACCUGUCUUCUUAGGGUUUUCAGCUUCAACAAUGUUCGCGCUAAGUGCAGAAGUUGUAUUAGUUCUUCCUCUCCUGAUUUCAAUAUCAGUUAGGAUUGCUUUUAACUCUCUAUACGAGAUCUCCUCCCUCCUUGUGGUUGCAUUCUGAAUUGUGGCCUCAAAAUCAUCUCCAAGCCCUGCCAACACUAAUAAAAUAACAUCAGCAUCUGUAAUUACCUCCCCUGCCACAGAUAAUGUUUAUAACAAUCUAUCGAUUUCCUGCAAAUAUUCUGUUAUGGAUCUCCCUCCAAUUUUCAAACUUUGGAGCUUUUGGCGUAUACUAAGGACUCUUGACCUUGAGCUGGAUGCAAACUCCAUAUGUAACCUCUUCCAAGCCUCAUGUGCAGUUGCACAAUUUGCUACCACCGAUAGAAUUGGUGCGGUCAGUGACGAUAUAAUCCAGGCUAGAAUCAGUUUGUCUUGCCUUAUCGUUACUGCAGUGUUCAGCACAACCUUCCCAGUGAGGUAGUGAUCUAGCUCAUUCCCCGCUAGGUGUGCUGCAAAUUGUAUCCGCCAAGCAUAAUAGUUGUUGCGGUCCAGAGAAACGGUCUUCAAAUUCUUGAUCAUGAUGACCUUCGUUUGCUGAUCAUCACCAAGAAUUUGCGUCGUCUCAUCCAAUUCUCCGUUCAUCGCCAUGAUUGGAUGCAGAAAUUCCAAUGCUGAAUGAACAAAAACAGAGAAUGAUACUAGAUCGAUCUCAACAGAAAUUCUCCCCAAGAUCUUAACAGGCAACUGAUACCAUAUGAGUGAAACAGGAAAAAUAGGAUAUGGGGGAAUCAAGUGAUCGACCCCUCUAAACAUAUAUUAGAUGUGUUUAUAUACACUUGAGUUUAAUAUUAGAUCUUAACUGAAUUCAGUUAAGAUCUAAUCUACACUAACUAAUUACAAUUAGUAUUAUAAGGGUUAAAUUAUAAUUACAAACAAAUGAAAACAAAUAGCCUUAUUUAAUAUCACUAAUACUCUAUAUCGUGACAAUAAAUCUGCUAUACACCUAGCUAAUAAUCCAGUUUUCCAUGAAAGAACUAAACAUAUAGAGAUUGAUUGUCAUUUUAUAAGAGAAUUGAUAAAUCAAGGAAAAAUAUUGAUAAAAAAUGUUGGAACUAAAUUUCAACUUGCAGAUUUUCUAACAAAGGCAUUGGGAGAUAAGGAAAUUAAUACAGCUCACUCUAAGCUAGGAAUACUAAAUAUAUAUUCCAAGGCUUGAGGGGGAGUAAAGGAUUUAAUAAACCUAAAAACAGUAAUCAAAGAAUAAACAAAAUGACUGUAAUUCUAUUAAACUGAACUCAGGACUAAAUUGUAAUUUCUAUUAAGUUUAGUACUUGUUAAUAGUUUUCUGUUAAGUGUUUACUGUGCAGGUAAUUUACCGAACAGUUAAGUUUCGGAUAUAAAAGAAGCUGGAGGGCUAAUGCGCAAUAGUUUCAAUAAAAGAAAAUGGACCAAUUAUAUACAGGCCAGAUUCAAGUGUUGAGCUACGAAUUAAUAGAAUUUAGUUGAAAGUUAGUUAUGUAAUAGUUAGUAAAAUUAUUAUAAAACUAAUUGUAAUUAACUCUCAAAUAAAUUCAUUAUAAUACAAGUUUAUUUCCCUCUAAACCCGGUUCUCUUAACCACCGGUUUACUUUGGUUAAGCGACGUUCAAAUCGCGAUUUUCCUCCUUCUUGCUGAUGGCGAUUCCGGCGGACAACUCUGCCGACCCUACGCCAGUCAUCUCUCCAAUACGAGCGCUUUGUCGUUUUAACAGAUAGAAUAUAUUUACAGUUUUUUUUUCAGUAAUAAAAUAAUGAAAAAAGGGAUUGUAUACCAUACCACCUCUACUUCACAGGAACUUGCCAUUUUCCAAUUUUUCUAUUGAAUGUACCCAUGGAAUUAAUAGAUUGUUUAUUUUUUCAAUCAAUUUAUAUUCUUCAGUUUUAACUAUUUUAUUUCAUAGAAGGUAAUGAUGUCAGUCCGGAAGGGGAUUCUGGCACCACAACUGAACAAGUGAAUGCGCCCAACUGGCCGGAAUAACCCGAUUGACGACGACGGUCGGACUACUGGCCGGGCGAUUCCAGAUCGGAAAUAAUUUCCGGUGGGAGAAUGGGGAUGGAGGUUUAGAGGAAAGUCUGCGGAAAAGCAUUUAAAAUUAAAAGGUAAAUAAAAGUCACCAGAGGGACUUCGCUGCGUUCACCGGAGAAACUCCUCGCCGCGUCGCCGGAAGUUGGGUUGGGAAAUCGCCGGAGAGUGUAAGGAGGGAAGAAAAGACGAUGUGGGAUUUGGGGAUUUUUGGGUAGGUUUAAUUUAAGAGUUUGGGUUUAAAUACUUAUUUUAUAAAUGGGUAUUUUAUAUUUUUAACUUUUGAAUUAUCAACUUUAGUAUUUUAUUUUAUAAAAAUUAUCAACUUUUAAUUUUAAAAAGAUUCGCGGUUUAACAUAAAAAUUACACAUUUAAGGACAGUCUAUCAUAAAGCCGUAAUAAUUACACACGACUUUUUCAUAAGUCGUCCAUAAUUAUUUCUCUUCCCAAAAAAAUCAAGUUAUUUAGAGACGGCUUAUUAAAAUACCGUUCACCAAAAAACCAUCACCAACCCUUAAAAAAUUUCAUAAUUAGGGAGGGCUUUUGCAAGCCAUCGCUAAAUCCGUCUCUACAAGUUUGUUUUCUUGUAGUGUUUAUGAUCUUUUCAGCUCCUCGUAUUAGGAUAUGCACUGUCUUUGGGUAUGCAAACUCCUAGCCAACAAGUAUACAGCUCCGCAUUGUCGCACUAUCUCGUGUAAAUAAGUAUUGGUCGUUGAUAGAUUCCUCAAGAAUACUCGUGGUUCUGGACAAAAUUUCUUUAUUACUGUAUUUAUGAUCAAGGUUCGGCCAGUCAACCCAUAGGGCCAGGGGAUUUUCUCCAGUGGAGCUUCUGCUUCCAAAUUAAGAGGAACCAUACCAAAUUAUUUUUUUACCAAUGUCCUCGCACAAUCUACCCGUGACCUGAACUGCAGUUUAAACAAAUAUUUCACUUCUCUCUCAAUCUUAAUUGGUGAUGUUGAUUUCUAGUUAUAAUUUACCCACUCAUUUAAGUUACGCUUUGUUACAAGCAUGCGAAAUGUUAUCAACCAACGUACGCUCGAUAAAUGAAAGCAUUUGUGGAAGCCUUCUACCUGUCAUUGAUGUUAGUGAUACCAAGUCAUGUACCGAGAAUACGACCUGCAAAAUAGGACCUCAAGAGCCCUUAAAAAAGCCUGAGCUCGGAAGCUCGAGAAAGAUUGGACAUCACAAGCAGACAUGGGCUUUCAGCCAAACCCAGACUGGAUAAUUCCUCUCUUGUUUAUAGACUGAGAAUGGGGUUGAUUGGGAAUUAGACCAAAUCUAGGGAUCGAAUUAACCAUAUUCUAGGUCAGUCGGAUCAUAGUGAAUGGUGGGUGGUAGGGCAGUGGACCUUAUUAGGGGAGGUGAACUUGACCUGUCACGAUGAGCUCCUAAUAGAGUCGAUUCCCAAGACUUGAUUAGACAAUGGUAAUUGAAAAGAUCAGAUCAGAACUUAGGAUUAGAUCUGGAUAAUCUGAUGGUAACAAGAAUUCACUCAACUAAUUCCAAUGAAAUCCACCAAUGGAACAGUGAUUCCCAUUUGUGGAUUCCACCAGAUUUAGUAGAAAUCAAGAAAUGUAAAAGAAGUAGAGAUGGAAUAAUACUUCAAUUUAGAAAGAUAAAUUCAUAAAGUUCCACUCCCUUUUAUACUUGGUGAGGAGUAAGUCUUGUUGAUUAGGUCACCACACAUGAUAGUUAUAUCAAGAUACGAGGUGUUAUAUAUAUAUUGCAAACAAGGUAAUUGAAUGAGUUGCGUGUAAGAUAGGUGCGAUAUAUAGAUUAUAAGAUUACUGGAAAAGGGGUGCGAUAUAUUUUGUUCGAGGAAGAAGUGCGAUAUAUAAAUCGAUAUAGGGCGAAUUAUAUCAAUUUACAAUGGUCGAAAUAAGAGAAUUGACUUUGUCAGAAUCAGAAUCAGGUCUCUCCCCCUUCUAAUGCUGCUCCUCUUUUUCUGUUUAAGUAUUUAUACUCUUCAUUCUUUGCAGUUCUUUUUAUUGUGCAAACUCAAAUGAAUGUAUUUACUUGAUAAAAAUGGGAUUACAUAGAUUUGGAUUAAAUAGAUAUUGGAGGAUCCGUUUGCAAAAUUACCAUCAUCCAGAUUUUUAAUUUUGAGAUGGGAGCCUGAUGAAGAACGGAAUCUGCUACCAGGGGCUCGCGGUGGUGCGAGGGAGGCUGGAGGCUCUGGAGUCCACGACGUGCGCUCUACGUCAAAUCCUGUAAGGAGAGAAUAGGCGAUUCUGGUAUGGGAAUCGGCGAUUCUUCUUGAGUGUGCUCUAGUGUGUGUGGAACUGAUAUUCUGCCUUGGACUGACCCCUUGGGACCCCAUUUAUAGGGUCUUUGGGGGCGCACUCCGCGGCGGGCAUCGCACCCGUGCCAUAAUGGGGCGCAUUAAUGACCCAUUAUAACGCGGGCAGGCGGCGAGUAAUGGUCGCAAAUCGACGAUUCAGGUAGAGAAUCGGCGAAUUAGGGGCAAACUCUACGAGCUCUAAAGGACGAGAUCUGCAGUCUACCAAUACUGAUUAUCUUGGCCUCAACUCGGCGAUUUACCUCUAAUAUCAGCGAUUUGGUAGCCCAACCGGCGAUUUACGUGUUAGACUCGGCGAUUUGACGAUGACCUUUGUUCCGCAUCGUGGGAGCCAUCCGGGGGUCCGACAUAAAGUGAACGGAAUCCUAAUCCUUGUUGAAGGGUGUUGUUGAAAGUGACUGACGUAAUCAGACAUGUAUCACCAGUAUUCCCCCUGAAGAGAGCACAAGAGACAUGCGUGUAUCGUCAGUAUCCCCCUCCAAGCAAGGUUGUGUGUGAUCUUCAUCAAGACCAUAGAGACAAGAUGGGAUAGAAUCAUUAAGGCCACAAAGACAAAAUGAUUCUUGAUCCAUUAAAGCCAUAGCGACAAAAUGGAUCUAGUUCUAAGCCACAGAACUACGUGUUUAUAGUCCAACCUUGAUCAAGAGCGACUUUGAUCCGCAUUGAGGCCAUAUCGACAAGAUGGGAGAGAAAUAUUAAGGCCAAAGCGACAAAAUAAUUAUUGGUCCAUUAAGGCAAAAGCGACAAAAUGAACCCGAUUAUGGCCAAAGCGACAGAAUCUAGUUCUAGCCAAAACGAUAGAACUACAAUUUAUAGUCCAACUCUAAUCAAGAGCGACUUUUAUGUCUGCAACGACGGUUAACCCAUCAAGGCCAAAGAGACAUGAUGGGGUAGGAUCAUUAAGGCCGAAGCGACAAAAUGAUCCUUGAUCUAUUAAGACCAAAACGAUAAAAUAGAUCUGAUUCUGGCCGAAGUGACAGAAUCAUAUAUGCAAAAAAGAACACAUCCUGCAAAAACAACUAAAUCGGUCUAAAACGUAUAUUUUAUUGAUCAAUUUAACUUACCGUGCGAUUAUACCUUUCAUGACAUCCCUCCUUUACUCGAAUGAAUCGAAUUCACUGUGCUCGAUUGCCUAUUUAGUCAACCUCCCAGAGAUAUCGGGUUUGUGAAGUAGACGGCAUUAGGAACACGAUGUCAGAACUAUUAAAAAUUACAGAAUCUUGAACCUGGAAAAUUGACGAUCAGUAGAAACGCACGCACAAGCAGAAACGCACGAUCAGUAGAGAGAAUAACGGAAUGCGAGAUCAGUAUAGAGAAAAUGAGAACUUCGUGGAUUUAACCUUUGGAGAAACACACGAUAAGUAGAGAGAAACGCACGAUCAGUUUCCGUAGAGUAGAGAGAAACGCACGAUCAGUCUCCGUAGAGGAUUUAACCUUGACGUGAUUUCCAGAGUAGAAAAAACGAAAACUUCCGUAGAGAGUUUGAGGAUUGGCGAUUUCCGUCGAGAGGGUUUGGGGAUUGGGGAGGGUUUGGGGAAAGCAAAAAAUGAGGGUUUGGAAACGAGAGUUAAUUUCAGUCGUGAGUUUUUUUGAGAAUUUUAAUAAAAGGUUUGGGUUUUACUAAAAGGUUUAGGGAUAAAUUGAUUUGGGUAUUUUUAUUAAUUGAUUUGGGUAUUUUUAUUAAUUGAUUAGGGUAUUUUAGGGAUAAAUUGAUUUGGGAUUUGGGUAUUUUGAGAGUUUAUUCAUUCUAAAAAUUUUAGGGAUUUUGGUAUUUUUAUUCUAAUUGAUUGGGGAUUAGGUUAAAUUGAGUCUAAUUAAUUAAUUUUAGUGAUAUUGAUUUGGUUAAUUAUUUUAUUUGGAUGUAUUAUUGAUUUGUAAACUUUAUAAUAUAAUAUUUGAAAAUAUAUUAUUCAAACCCUAUUUUUUAUUACAAAUAUUUGAUAUAACCCUAUAAUUUUUUUAAUAUUAAUUAUAUUAACAUCCAAAAGUGCAAAAAAACCAAUUUUAUAAAAUUAGGGAGAUUUUUCGUUAUUUUUUAUUGGUUCCACCGUCAUCUCAUAUUUUUGAAAAAAUAUAACAUAGAUAAAAAUGACGGAAAUUCCUCCAUUUUUUUAAAAAUGGAGGAAAUUCCAUUUAUACCUAAUAUUUUCCGUCAUUUAAAAAAAAAUGACGAAAAUUUGCUAAAAAUGAGGGAAAUUCUUUCGUUUCUGAGUUCGAAAAAAAUGGGAAAAAAUUCCCCCAUUUUUGAUCCGUCAUUUUUAGCCAGUUUUCGUGUAAUGAAUCCUCGGUAAAUCUGGUCAAAGUGACAGAUUUAUCGUGCUCAUAUUUGACAACUUUCGGUCGGAGCGACAGAAGUGUCGGGAAGAGUUCGUGAUACUCCCUCCCCCCCCGAAAGAUGAUAUGUGACGACUUUUAGCCGUAGCGACGGAAGCGUCGACGAGAGUUUGUGAUACUCCCUCCCGAAAUCGUGUUUUUGAGACAGAUUUUACAUAUAUUUACCCUAAAUUUAGCCUUUGUCGCGGAACUGUUGGCGAGGAUGGAGGUAAGACUGGAAUGGUCCUUCUGAUUGUAAGACAUCAUGGCCGCAGUACGAGAGCCCACGAUUUUCACCGCCCCUGAAUGAAUCGGACGACAAUAUCGUGGUUCCAUUCUGGGGAAUCGCGAUGUCAGAAUCGCGGUUCCAUUCCGCGGAAUCACGGUUGAAUUCCGCGAUUUCCAUUCCGCUGUUCUUUUCCAGAUACGACAUUCUUUUCCAAAUCGAUCCCGCUGUUCUUCUACAGAGUGAUGGAAUUGCUUGCGUAGAUGUCGAAUCGCUGGUUCAAUUCUCGAAAAUUGAACUGCCAUAUGCAUCACAUAUUGUUCGUUCCGCAAGUCGGAAGAUUGUCGGACGCAUCGCAUAAUGUAAGACCUAGCUGAAUAAGUUUCAGAAGAUCCACGUUCGCCUUAAGGGUCACAUAGUUGAAAUCCGAAUUGCUCAAAAACAAACCAACUGGACGAAGGACAACUCCAGGAAAUUCCGUAUUUACGGAAACUCGUCUACUAUUUCGCGUAUUAGAGCGAAUUCCUUACUUCUCUAAUCUUGAUCUCAUCGUUCCUUUUUUCCGUCUUCGUACUAGUGUCAAUUCGGAUGUGGGCGCCCAUACGACAAACUGUUAACCAUGUGGAUACGAGCUAUGUGGUCCUGGAACACAGUUCCCUCUCCUCCGACGACACGGUUCUUCACGUUGUACCGUUGGAUUGACAAUGUUGUCAAUCCAAGACCGCGUCUGCAGCCCGCUAUCUCGGAUAGUGAAAAUAUUUAAAUUAGGAAGAGAUUCGAAAUAUUAAAAAAAAAAAAAAGAUAUCUAAUGAGAUAAUGAUCAUUGUCAUCCAUUUUCUAUUUUUAUUCUGUUAUUAGGUUUAUAAUAAAAAAUAAAUAAGAUAAUGAUAGAUUAAAAUAAGAUACUUUAUAUCUGGUAUCUAAUGAGAAUCUUUUCAUUUAAAUUCUAAAUUAAUUUAUUAGUAAUUUAGCAUUACAACGCAGAUGUGAUGGACGGUGUAGAUUGAACGAACAUGUCAAUGGUUUCUUUGGUCAAAGUUUCAACCUGAAGAAUGAAGCUUUCCAUGGCAGCCGGAGGUAAGCAGACCGGCACCACGAUUCCAUUCUCUCCCUUGGAGUUGGUAGACGGUAUGAAGAAGCUGGCCAGGCCAGGAAUCGCACCGACUCCUCCCUUUGCUGGACCUCCAUACGCCGCCUUCCCCCAUCCGAAAUCCACAUCACCGAAACCAGCCCGGGUAACGUCAGACACCAGAUACGUUCGGACGGCAGUGAAAUGCGGUUUGUUCCUGAUAACAAGUAAAUCUGCAAGAGACCUCAUGUACUCAUCAGUAACGUCGGCCUUCGCCUUUUUCACCAGCUCCAAAGCGUACCCGAUGGGGUUCUGGCACAGUUUCCUGGAAGUUGUCAAAGCUACCGGUAAAGCAAACACGUUUCCGUAGUAUCCUUUCGGGAGCGGAGGUUUGAUCUGAUUCCUAGCAUUCACGAUGCAAAUUACUCGGACUUCCUCAUCGGCGUCAGGGUUCAACGCGAUGGUCCGGCUUCUCCACAGACACGCAGUCAGAAUCUCGAACCUCGACUGCUUACGAAGGUGAGUCGGGAGCCGUUUUCGGAGAGCGUUCAUCUCCGUGUCUCCAAAGAAAAAGGAGCGAUGGGUCAUUUGGUCGAAAGGAAUUACAGUUCCAGCCACCUCAUCGUACUCACGGUGGACACACGUGAUACGUGGCUGGUUUCUUGCAUUCAGCGCCUCUCUGUUCCACACAGGUAACACAUAUGGACGGGAAGCUCCUCUAGCCAUUUCUCCGACAGCCGUAAUGAACUGCACCAAUCCCGCCGCAUCACUCAUCGUGUGGUUCAAUCGGAGGGCGAAGAUAAAACCGCCGCACGUCAGACGAGUCACCUGAACCAAAAGCAAUGGAGUGUUGAGAACAUCAGCGGAGCCUUCGACGUUAAAUAGGAGUUCAUCGAGGCACGGGAAAGGUGGCUCGAGUGAAUCUCCAAAGUCCGUAAGACUAGCAUCAGCAUCGGCCUCGACGAACAUCACACCUUCCCCAGUACAGUCCACUCCUAGCUUUCGGUUAGGAGCUUCCCUGAGACGGCCGGCGAAUGGAUAAUAACGUACCAGCGUUUUAGAAAGAGCCAGUUUGAUGAUGGCAGCUGGGUCUCGAUUUACAACCGCCGGAUUAUGCCGGUAGAACUGGAUGAUGGGGAUUUGAAACCUCAAUCCUUCUUGAUCGUCUAAAUCGGAGAGUAGUUUGAACUCAUGUGGAGUGGUCUCUGCCGGAGCAACAAGCACAGGUUUCUUCCUUGUAACAGUAAGGCUCAACAAAGAUGGCGCCAUUAAUUAACUAACUAACUAACUAACUAACUUAAUGAUUUUUUAAGCACGAUAUGAUAACUACCUCAUUGGUCUUAGUGACAAUUUAUAGUGCUUGUUGUGUUGCCGUUAAUUGACGGAACUAUAACGAGGUCAAGCUGUAGUUUGUUGACGGCUUCGGAACAACUUUCAAAAUUGACUCUCUCAUCGUAACUGCAAUUGAAUUGCACUUCCGCUUCUGUUAUAAUAUUUUUAAAUGAAAUUAUUGUAAAUUACGUUGUAAUUCGAUUGGCAAUAAAUUAAUAAAAUUUCCAUAUGUAAAUUGAAAAUGACAAUAAUUGAUAAAAAAACAAAAAAUUGAACUUUGGAAUUGAUAAGGAAGAUACAGCGAAACUCCACAAAAAAAUGGAGAAAUUAUAAUAUAUAUCUUCCUAAACUCUUUUUUAUAUUGCAACUUAUUAGUUACUAGGCAUUUAUAUCCUGAUAUCUAUGUAGGGGGUGGGCGUGGGUCGUGUCAAACCCGAACAUGUCGGGUCUGGGUUUGAGUUGAUAUUUUCGGCCAUUAAACCCAAUGCGAACGACCCGAACCCGAGUAAUUUUUACCCGAUUUUUUUGGGUCAGAUUCGGGUCAAACCCAACUCACCCAAACCCAAAGAAAUUUAUAAAAAAUUCAUUAAAAUAUAAAUAAUUAAUAUAAUUUCAUAUAAAAUACUUUAUAAAAAAAUUAAUAUAUAUAAUUAUAAAUUUUUCAUCUUUUAUAAAUCUUAAUUAAUUAAUUUCAUAUCUUAAAAUUUAAAUCUUAAUUUCAUUUCUCUCUCCUCUUCCACUUUCAUUUUCCCUCUUCGCCGUUGUCAACCCUCUUCUCACGGUCGCCGGCCCUCUUCUCGCCGUCGUCGGACCUCUCCUCACCGUCGUCGGUUCUCUCCAUCUUCACAAACCCUCUCUAUCUUCACAAACAAUUUUAUUUGAUUUUUAUAAAAUUUAAAUAUUAUUUAAACAACACGGUUUUUUAUGCAAAAUAUUCAAUCAAUUUAUUAAACCCAAACCCGAAAUCAAAACCGGGUUCGAGUCCGGGUUUAAUAUUUUUUGACCUUCCCGGGUUUUGACCCGAACCCGAUUCGAAAACUCGAGUCUAGGUCCGGGUUUAGGCAAACCCGAGAGAAACCCGACCCAUGCCCAAUUCUAAUCUAUGGAUAGGAAAAUCUGAAUUCAAAUUCGGAUAAAUUUUCGGAUAUCUAAAAAAUCCGAUUCUGGAUAACUUUAAAAAAUCUUAAAAUAAAAUUAUAAAAGUAUAAAAUCACUUUAAUUAAUAAUAAAUUAAUCAUCUUCAAAUCUAGAUAAUUCGGAUAUUCGAAAGUCAAUUUAUAUUUAUUCGAAUAUCCGAUUUCGAAAUUAUCAAUCGAAUUCGAAUUUUAACGAUAAAUAUCCGAAUCCGUUCGGAUAUUAUUUUAAGUAUCCGAAUCUGGAUCCGAAAUUUGGUAUUUCGGUAUACCAUUUACAGGCCUACAACUUAUAACUGGUGAUGCAGGUUCUGACACUCAGAUCGCAUCAAUAAGACCAUGAAGUAGUCCCCCAGGAAACCUAGUACGUAUCAAAGGGGGGAGUACUGGUGAUACAGUAUCCGAGACUUGAUCACGACACCAUCAAUCAGAGAUUGAGAUAACCCGAAAUGGAUGGUGAUAGGCAAUCGAAGGCCCCAGUCGACUGAUGAAGCACUGAAUCUGCUACCAGGGGCUCGCGGUGGUGCGAGGUGAUGCCGGAGGCUCUGAAGUCCACGACGCGCGCUCUACGUCAAAUACCUGCAAGUAGAGACUAGGCGAUUCUAGUGAGAAUCGACGAGUCUCUUAGUGAUGCUCUGGUGAGAGUGGAAUUUGUGUUGUGCCUUUGAGUGUCCCCUUGGGACCCUUUUUAUAGGGUCUCGGAGGGCACGAUCAAAGGCGGACAUCGCACCUAUUGCCAUAUAUGGGAGCAUUUAUGGCGUUGGCUGACGGCGAGUAACGAUCGUAAAUCGACGAUUCAGGUAUGGAAAUCGCCUAUUUAGGGCAAACUCGCCGAGUUUCCAGGGGCGAGAUGUGCAGUCUACCAUACUGCCGAUCUGAGCCCUAACUCGGCGACUUAUCCCUAAAGUCGGCGACUUGGUAGUCCAAUCACGAUUUACGGGUUAACUCGGCGAUUUGGACGAUGAACUUGUUCCGCACCGUGGGAGCCUUUCGGGGGUCCGGCGUAAAGCGGCGGAACCCUAGUCCUUGUUGAAAGGCGUUGCUGGGAGUGACUGUCGUAAUCAGGCAUGUCUCACCAUCGACUUUAUGAGGAAGUCGACCCUUACAAGCCGACUUCUGCCGAGUCGACUUCUAAGGAAGUCAACGGCUAAAGUCAGCCCUGAGGAAGUCGACCUGGGCCAGAUCUGAUCAGUUAGGCGGUUAGAGUCCUAAUGACCAGAUUACCCCAUAAGGACCUUAUAAAUAGAGGUCACUUUUACCCAUUAGGGUUAGGUUGAUUCAAGUGAGAGAGAACCCCUGCAAGAGUGAGCCUGAGCGACUGAGGUGUCCGAGUUGUUUCCAGCGAAGUUCUUGGCCCAACGCAUGUUCGAAACGUCGUCCGAACACUGAUCGAGAACCACCCUUAUCAAUAACCAAUUUUAAUUUCAAAACAAUUGUCAGUUAUAUUGUUAAUUUAAGUUAAUUGAAUUAUAUUUAUUAAUCCAACAACUAAAUAGUAAGUAGUAAGUACCAACACUUGCAAUCAAUUUACAUCCUUAAAGAUCCAAGAGGUGAAUAUAUAUCUCAUGGAAGAAGAAAAAAGAUAACAGAAACUAAUGUGUAUUUCUACAAGUAAUAAAAACAAACAGAAAGCAAAGUGCAUGUCUACAAGUAAUAAAAAUAUACUGUAAUUUUCAGGACGUCGGUGCGCCAAAAUCCGUCAUUUACAUCCUGUCCAUUUAUUUUUAAUCCAAUAACUAAAAUAAUGUACUGCACAAGACACUAAUACAUGUAUGACGAAAAAAAAUAUACAACAAAAAACACUAAUUCAUGUACGACGAAAUGUCGAUCUAUUGGUCAGGAUUUUUUAAGGCAUUGAAUUUCGACGCACAGGAAACUUACCCUAAAAAUAUAUAUCAAAAAAAUAUAAUAUAUUAUCGGUUAUAUUAUAGUAAAAAUCUAAUGAAAAUUUCGUGCACAACGAACCCUGAAUUUUCAGAAACCUUGUUAGUUAAUUUUUUUUAAGUUUAGAGUAUAUCUCAUUUAGUGAGUACUCUUCCAAUUCUUUAGUAGCGCUCACAAGCUUCCAUAUAUAUAGCAGUUUUACAUUUAUCGCCACUAUCUGAAUUGGGACUGACACAGAGACACUAUCGCUCUAAUGUGGAGCCAUUGUCUCCUUAGGUCUUCUGAUUAAGCUAGUCUUAAGAUGGGAUCUUGAAAUCUGUUUGAAUCAGCUGGAUUGAAAUAAAUGGCUGUUUGAAUUGAAGUAAUUGAUAUCGUCUCUGAAUGAAUAGUGUGUUAAAUAGUAUAGUAGUUAGUAGUUAUGAAUCAGUUUCAGUUAGUAGAUAUUUCUUGUUAAGUAUAUGCCUAUAUAAACUAUUGUAAACAUAGAUGAAUUCAUUCAAUCAAAGAUUCAUUUUCACUUCUUUCCUUUUGGGUUCCCAUCUUCAUGGAGCAUGGAGUUUCCAAGAUAGCGAAGAAGAAUAUGAUUUAUUUAAAGAAUCGGUUAUAUUUGUAAAUCUGAUCACAUUCCUUCUGGUAAUUCAUUCCAUUCGAAUUUUACUUCAAUUCCUACUGGCUACAAAUAACAAUUGUAAUGGAAUUUCUGUUAACUUUGGUCGUCCGAAUAUAUUGCCUACUUUUUUUGUAGUGCUACCGUUAAAAUAUAUAUAUAUCUAGGUAAAUGACCGGAGAAAGAGAGAACCUUAGAACAAGCUUCAACGAUCGCCACUUAGGAGCAUCCGGAGACCCUUCCCACUACCACCAAUGCCAACCCCUUCACUCCAAAGAGUUCGAGCCACGUCUCUUCGUGGUGAAAUCUCCAUUGGAGGUUUUGAUCCUUGGGGCUCCACCUUCCUCCUUUGCUCGGACCACCCUUUUCCCUGCAUGCCUUCCUACUCCAAGGAGUUCAACUCAUGCUUCUAGGGAUGUAAUUGAGUUUGGGUCUGGGGCUAGCUGGGUAUAUUUUUAGACCCUAUUAGAAGUUUGAAUCCGGAUGGUCGGUUCCGGAUCCUAUGAUGCUGACCUAGUUAGUGUUGGAUUGUGAUUUGAGGUCUGGGGGGGAGUUUAUGACCUCUUUUCGCAUAAUAUCCUAUUAGAGAGGAAAAUACCUGAGAUUUACAAGUUAAGAGGAAAAUUUACCUUGGUUAAAUCCUAAAUUAUUUAACUUAAGGUCUUUUUGUACUUAAAAAGUUAACUAUAGUAUACAAAUACUAAGUUAAAUUAUCAAUAUAUAAAGUAUAACUAUAGAUUUAUGAACUUAACCUCAAUCAAAUGAUCAGAUAACUGAACGAGGGAUCUACAGUAAAAAUAACUUCAAUCGAAUAACCAGAUAAAUGAAUGAGGGGUCUGCGAAAAGUAGUCAACCUCUAUCAAAGGACCAAAUAACUGGAUGAGAGAUGUCUUUAAAAUGUUUAAGUGUGUUGUUUAAUUAGUCGAUUUUAGGUAAGAUAAAAUGUGAAAAACUUAAGUAAAGAAAGCAAAGAACAACACGAGUUUUUAUACUAGCUCACCCAAACAAGGGAUAAUCCAGUUCCGAUGAACAUAGAAAUCACUAACCUGAAGGUUAAUUAUGACAAUAUCUUUUGUAAAAUUUAACACUACAACGCUUACGAAACAAGUCUAUUACAGACAUACUUACACCUUAGAGUAUUAAAAAAAACUCUUAAAAACCUUUCUCAAGUCUUUACGGGUAGACUUACGACCUUAGAGUAUUCAAAGACACUCUUAAGAACUUCUGUAAGCUUUAAGGAUACCUCGCUUAUGAACCAGUCUUUUACGGAUAAAAUCAUACCUUAGAGUAUUCAAGGAAACUCUUAUGAACCUCUCAAACAUUUACGAGUAGACUUGCGACCUUAGAGUAUUCAAGGGCACUUUUAAAAAUCUCUCAAGCCUUUAAAGGUAGAUUUGCACCUUAGAGUAUAUAUUAUAAGAAACUCUUAAGAAUCUUUGAAUCUUUAAAGGUAAAUUCGAUCUAAGAGUUUUAUUAAGAAACUCUAUAAAAUCGAAAAAGCUUUAAGGUUCAACUUUCAAACCUGGAACAUGAAAAAGUCUGUGGACACCGGAUUCAAAGAACAUACACCUCUACAAAUAGGCCCACAAAACGAAAGAAGAUCGAGGCCUUAGUGUACCAAACCUGGAACAUAUAUACUAUGCUUGUGCAGGGUGAAGAGGAAAUCAGUGUUAAAUUAGUUGGUUGUAGUACUAAUAUGGCAAUACAACUCAUUAAUAUCAAAAUUUAAUCCACAUGCAAAAUCAAGUUUUUUUUCAAGAUUUGAACCCAAAUAAUCAAAUCUAUUAUUAAAUGAAGCCAUUAUUGGAAGUUCUCACCUGAAGUUCUCACCUUCAAGUUUUCAUUUAAGAAGUUCUUACCUGAAAUGGACUUUUAAUCUAUAUAUACAGUUACCACUAAUUUAGCAUUAUUAUGAUAUUAGUUUAAUUUGCAGUGGAAAAUUCAUGUAGAAUUAAAAUUAAAAAAAUCUCAUUAUAUAUAUGCAGAAUGAGACAAUAUAACAUUGUAUAUUUGUAUAAGCAUCAUCAGUGUUUCACCAGCAUAGCCUCCAAUUUCCUUCUUCUAGCCACAUGCUUAAGUUUCUCCAAUGCCACAAGCCCAACCUGCCUCACUCUCUCCCUUGACAAACCAAUUCUGAUCAUAAAAUAAACAAAACUCAUUCCAUCAAAACUUAAUUAUAAUAUAUUCAUAGAUAUUUUCCAUACAAUUAAGCUAGUUAACUCUAAAAAAAUAUACUUACUGCCUGCUAAUAUCUUCCCAAGUAAAGGAGGUGUCACUUUCAAUGCCAUAAUAAAGGCGAAUAAUUUCUCUCUCCCUCUCACCAAGUGCUGUCAUCAGUAGUUUGUUCACUUCAUCCUGGAAAUAAAAAAGGUUGGUUGGAAUCUUAAAUAGUAUACAAGUUUCUACUCAAUUUGUUUCCUUUGACUGAUAUUCAUGGAUCCGCAAUCGAUAGAUUUCAUAUCUGGGUAUCUGACUAAGAAAUUAGGUAACAUGUUUUUACAUUAUAAUCAGGUUAAUUUGCCUUCUAUAUAAGAAAGAGAGUGAUCAUAAAUGAUGUAUCAGUAGAAACAGGUUAAGAACAGUGCAAAAUUCUCUGUUUCUGUUUACCUUCUUAGACAAUUCUUCGUACCCACGCCAUGGGUUGUUUUCGGGAUGAGUGUCCGCAAUAUACUGCAGCAAAUAUCAGAUAAAAACAUAUUAAGUACACCUCAAGCUUUACAAAACUAUAUUAUUAUUGGAUGGAAAACAAAAUGUGAUUGGAGCAUACACUGUGAAGGCUUUCUCCUGGAAGGCCAUUCAAAGAUGGAAAUGCAUCUCUAUCUAGCGAGAAGACUUUACUUACUGCCUGUAAUUGAAAAAAAAUAAAGAUUUUAGAUCAUGCCUGAAAUUAAUUUAUCAUAUUCAUAAAUUCAAUCAUUCAAUCAUAUCAUUACGUCUGUGGCAUUUCUGACCAUCCUUUCAGAAAUAUUCAGAGUCUCGGCGAUUUUCUGAAGAUACAAAAAAGGUUCAAUUUGCAAAGCAAUAUUUUAUUUUGUUUAAUGUGAUAAAAAAUAAAAUUUCUUUGGAACUUACGGCAACUGAUGGCAUGACUCCUUUCUUUUCUAACCUAAUUUUCACAUUCCUUAUGGAACAUAAUCUUUCAUGCAAAUGCGAAGGCAAUCUCAAUGUUCGCGAGUUUUCAACUAAUACUCUCGAUACUCCCUGAACAUAAAAUCCAUGAUUUGGAAUUUGCAAAACAAUCAAUUAAACAGAGAAUUUUAUUGAUGAAUUACCUGGCGUAUCCACCAAUAAACAUAAGUUGAGAUUCUAAAGCCUUUAGAAGAAUCAAAUUUCUCUAUUCCACGCACCAAUCCAAUCAAACCACCCUGCAAUCCCAAGAGGUCGAACAUCGUUCGAUUGGUAAUUAAGAUGCUUCAAUCAAAGAAUUAUUUCCUUCUGUAAAUUGACUACCCACCUGAACGAGAUCCGGCAGUUCAGCUCCUAAGUUAUCAUACUUUUUGGCAAUCGACAUAACAAGGCGGAAGUUGCUCAUUGCUAGUUUCUCCCUUGCCAAAGAACAUGCAAUCAACUUCAAUCUUACUUCGGCAAAUGGAAUCAUCAGAGAUGAUGCAAGUUCUUUAUCUGAUGGCUCAUAUCCUAAUUUCUCCUUAAGCCUGGACACAACUAAAAUAAAUCACAUAUAUAUACACUCAAUUUUAAUAUAAAAAUGUUAUAAUAACAAAGUAUAAUCUACAAAUCAAUCGACCUUUUCCUUCGAUCCUCAAGAGACAAGCCAACUUUAAUUUUCUUCGAAAGAUGAAUUACUUCAGAGUGACUGAGAAUAUCUUUCCGAGAGGUGGUUCCUCGGAUGUAACCUUUUAAACGCGUUUGAAGCAGCUCUUGGCUUACGAUAUUUUGUCGACUCGAGCUUAAAGAAAGAUGAUGGACACCAGACUCGGGAUUUAAACAUUGUCUACGAGUGUUAUUACUUCUCCUUUCCCUUGCGGAUAGCCCUGAACGGACAAUAUCUGUUUUCUUUUUUUGAAUUUUACUCGGGGUCUCCAUUUGUAGAGCUUGAUUAUUAAAGCUUAGGUUCCAUUGCAUCUCUAGCAUGGCUUUCUGCAACAAAAUGAGUGUUUCCAGUGACGAUUCGACAUCAAAAUCUUCUUCUCCUUCAUCAUCCUCCUCCCCACCCUCCUCCCCUUGUUGUUGUUGGUCUUCUUCCUCCAUCAGAUUGGAUUUGGAAGAAAAGGAACUGACUGGUGAUGAAAACGAAAAAACAUCGACAUGUUCUUUCAGUGCUCUGAUGGCUUGAAUGUCUCUCUUGGAUUGAUAAUUUGGGCCAAAGUUUGCAGGUUUCUUCACCGAGACUACGAGUAGGGAUUUUGGGGAGUGAUCUGAAGGAGUAAUAGGGAACAACUUUUCAUUAAGGUCCAAAGAGUAGAACGAUGUUCUCAACAUCUUCUUCCCGGAGUUGAGCCCAACAACAGCUGCAGUCGCCAUUUUGUGCAGUAAUGGAGAUGAAUCGAUUUGAACAAUGGUAUGUUAUAUUUCUUGUGACAUUCUCAAUGUUCUACCGAGAAAUAAAAUUUACAAGGAUCAGAAAUGAAUGAAUAAUUGAAAACAGAAUAAAAAAACAACCACCAAAACCCAAAAUAAAAACCACACAAAUCAGGACCAAACCUCAAUUCAGAGAAAUCAAGAAGAUCAAGGAAACCUAAAACCCCAGAAUAAAUAAGAUGAUCCAAACCUGUCGACUGCUUUCCAACUGGAGCAAGCAAUAUCCAGGCAAUGCAAGAUUUGAUAUUUCCAAUGAUGAAAUGGAGAAGGUCGAAGACACUGACACCACUCACUCCAGUCUGUGGCCAACACAGUGACACCAUGCCUGGAGUCUUAUUUAGCCGUGGACGGAGGAUGGCCAUUGGUCGAAGCAGAUAUUCUUUCUACACUCGUCGGGUCACUUUGAUUCUAAACCACGCAUUCUUUUGGAAGAAGAAAAACACACAGUGGCCCGACGGUAAAUUACUAAAUUAGUAAGGGUGUGAUUAGUAAUUACAGUAUUAGUUAGUGUGUUACGAUUUGGAUGGGAUAUUUAUAGAAAAAAUCCAAAAUUAAGAAACAAAUAAUCUUAAGACCAUUCAUUAUUUAUCGCGUUUACUAAAAACAAAAUCCAUAUAAUCAAUCUUACCAACCCCGUUCGUCGUCUCCAUCGAAUAAACCAAACCCCAUGGAGACUUCUCCUCCUCUUUCUCUCGCCGGCACUACGGUGAUCCUCCUCCUCCUCCUUUCCCAUAUCUCCAACGUUAGCGGCUUCAACGAUGUCGCAGAAGCGUGCAAGAAUAUUAUCGACAAGGACGGAGAGGACGCAGGGCCCACCUACGAGUUCUGUCUUACCUCUCUGCAAGUCCUGACCGGUGCAAAACACGCCGACUUGCAACAUAUAGCCUUCUUAUCCGCCAAUCUUACCGUAGCAAACGCCACCCACACGGAGCGUAUUGUAAAAGAAUUAUCGAAAAAUGAGAAGAGAAAUGUUGUUAAAGCCGCAUAUCAAACCUGCAUGGACUGCUACGAUGAGAUUGUGCAGAACGCUAGAACUGCCGCCAACGAGAUUCUUCCGAACAAGAACUAUGUCACGGCAAAUAAAGUCAUAUCUUCCGCCAUGAGCGCCGUCGACAAUUGCAAAGAUGAGUUCGAUGAUAGCUCCGUCAAGUCUCCCAUUUUUAAAGAGAAUAACGACAUGCAUGCUCUUCUGGGCAUAUUGAUCCGUUUUAUCGUUAAAUUGCAGGAAUGAUUUUUACAUGCAAUAUUCAUUUAUUAAUUCAUUUGAUUAUUUUGUGAUUUGUUUGUCAUGAUUUAUUACAAGUUUGCCAUCUUGAAUUGGAGAUUUUUAAAAACACACCCAAAUUAAUAAAAAAUUCAUUUUUGCUAUUUUCUAGAUAUGUUUUCUUCCGUACUUCUAUUUAUUAUUAUUAAGUUAGUUCGCCAAAACUUUUUCGUUAGAUCUUAAUCCGUUGACUGACAAUACAUUAUUCAUUAUCAACAACCAAACUUUGUACAACGAAUUGUACGUUGUAUGUUACAUUAUUUUCGAACUGUACUUGUUACCGUAUUACGUUGUAUGACGCAUUUCAACUAACCCAAUUUUGGUGCAAUUGAAGUGCGUUCUAUUAUUAUUAUUUAUAUUUUGUAUGUACAACCCAUCAAAUAAAUAAAUUACAGUUGCAGAUAAAUCACAGAAUUGAAAUAACUAAUUUAGCUUUAAUGAACCAAGGUUAUCAAUACAGAAUUAGUCAAGAACUGAUCAAACUUAAACUAGAAUUUGAAAAAAUAAGGCCAAGUUCGUUAAAUAAAUUUAUACCUCUCUUCUCUAUCUUCAACCGCUAAAUAUCUUCAGGUAUCAUCCAGAGCAAAGACUAAUACCAAGUACGUACGUUUUCUUCCAUUUUUUUGGUCUUCCAUAUAAGAACGUCAGGAUUACAACAACAAGUGUUGAGGAGUGAGCGCUGAUGAAGCACGAAAUCUGCUACCAGUAGGCUCGCGGGGUCGCGAGGAGGGCCGGAGGCUUUGGAGUCCACGACGCACGCUCUACGUCAAUGUACCUGCAGAAGGGGAGGGGGAUCGGCGACUCUCUUGGGAGUAGGCGAUUCGGGCUCCAAGNNNNNNNNNNNNNNNNNNNNNNNNNNNNNNNNNNNNNNNNNNNNNNNNNNNNNNNNNNNNNNNNNNNNNNNNNNNNNNNNNNNNNNNNNNNNNNNNNNNNNNNNNNNNNNNNNNNNNNNNNNNNNNNNNNNNNNNNNNNNNNNNNNNNNNNNNNNNNNNNNNNNNUAACGGCUGGGAGUCGGCGAUUCAAGUGUGGGAAUCGCCGAUCCAGAGGUUCAAUCGUCGACUCCCCAUGAGCCUAGUGGCAGCCUACCAGAACUGUCCACGAGGCCUAGAGUCAGCGAUUCACUCCUGGAGUCGGCGACUUGGUAGUCCCAAUCGGCGACUCCCAGGUGCUGCCUUAAGUACUUGACGUAGACACUCCUUCCGAAUUCGUGAAACUCUCCGGGGGUCCGGCAUAAAGCGACGGAACCCUAGUCCUUGUCGAAGGGCGUUGCUGGGAGUGACUGACGUGAUCAGGCAUGUCUCACCAGUACUCCCCCCUGAAGAGAGCAUGGCAAAACACCCGUGUAGCCUCAGUAUCCCCCCCCCGAGCAAGGUAGUCCGCAUCAAGGCAGGAAGCGACAAGAUGGGAUUGAGUCAUUGUGCUCACAGCGACACUAAUGACUCUGCGUGGUCCAUGCACUAUCAGAUGGACUGAUUCACUAUCAGAAUCUAGUUUCAGGCCAAUGGAACUACAUGUUUAUAGUCCUACUCUGAUCAAGAGCGACUUUUGCUGUGUGGAUUCUGGCCGAAGCGACAGAAUGCGUGGAUUCACUAUUAGAAUCUGAUUCUGGUCGAAGCAACAGAAUGCGUGGAUUCCGAAUCGGGUUCUGGCCGAAGCGACAGAUCGCGUGGAUUCACUAUUAGAAUCUGAUUCUGGCCGAAGCGCGAGAAUCUAGUUCACUAUCAGAACUGAUGUUUAUAGUCUACCCUGAUCAAGAGCGACUUGGUGUCCGCAACGACGGUUACCCCAUAGGCCGAAGCGCAAGAUGGGUCGAGAUCAUUAAGGUCAAAGCGACAAAAUGAUCUCCAAAUGUUUGAAGAACUAUUGAAGCCAAAGCAACAACAUAAUUCUUGGUUUGAUUCUGGCCGAAGCGACAGAAUCAUGCCUACAAAACAAAAAACCACCUGCAAAACGAAGCGACAGAAUCAUGUCUGCAAAUCAAAAAACAACCUGCAAAACAACUAUAUCAGUCUAAAGGAUAUAUUUAUUGAUUUACUGACCUUGCCGUGCGGAGCUGCCUCUCAUGCUGCUCCUCCUUAUGCUCAAUAAAUCCUUGAUUGAUCUGUCCGAAGCGACAGAUCUAUCAUGCUCAAAAAAUGUGACAGCUUCUGGCCGAAGCGACAGAAGUGCCGACUCACUAUUAGAGUCUGAUUCUGACCAAGGCUACAGAUACACUAUCAGAAUCCGAUUCUCGCCUCGGAUACAGAACCUGCUGAUUCACUAUUAGAAUCUGACUCACUAUCAGAGUCUGAUUCUGUCCAAGGCUACAAAUCCACUAUCAGAAUCCGAUUCUCGCCCCGGAUACAGAACCUGCUGACUCACUAUCAGAGUCUGAUUCUGUCCAAGGCUACAGAUCCACUAUCAGAAUCCGAUUCUCGCCCCGGAUACAGAACCUGCUGACUCACUAUCAGAGUCUGGUUCACUAUUAGAACCUUUCCUGCAAAAAAGAAAACAUCCUGCAAAACAACUAGAUCAGUUCGAAAACGCAUAUAUUUAUUAUUGAACUUACCGUGUGAUCUACCUUUCGUGAUGUCCCUCCUUUGCUCAAAUUUGUCCUCGGUAAAUCUGGCCGAAGCGACAGAUUUUACCGUGCUCAAUUUCUUUGACGACUUCUGGCCGGAGCGACAGAAGUGUCGGGAGAGCUUGUGAUACUCCCCCUCGAAAUGUGACGACUUCUAUCUAACUAGACAGAAGUGUCGGGAGAGCUUGUGAUACUCCCCCCUGAAAUGUGACAACUUCCAUCCUAUAGACAGAAGUUCCGGGAGAGCUUGUGAUACUCCCCCUCGAAAUGUGACAACUUCUAUCUAAAUAGACAGAAGUGUCGGGAGAGCUUGUAAUACUCCCCCCUGAAAUGUGACGACUUCCAUCCUAUAGACAGAAGUGCCGGGAGAGCUUAUGAUACUCCCCCUCGAAAUGUGACGACUUCUAUCUAAAUAGACAGAAGUGUCGGGAGAGCUUGUGAUACUCCCCCCUGAAAUGUGACGACUUUCAUCCUAUAGACAGAAGUAUCGGGAGAGCUUGUGACACUUCCCCUCGCGAAUUGUGCCCUUGUGACACACAAACAUUUGCGACGAGUGUUUUUCGAAGUAUGUGACUGUCGAUGAACUAUCUAUUGUUUUUCCUUUGCUAAUCUUUCAUAUAAAUUACCCUUCAAAUUGUAACUAAGGCCCGAAACUAGAUUCACAAGUCGUAAUUUAGCCACUCUGGACGUAAAUUAGACUCUGCUAACCCUAUUGCUAGCCACUCUGGGCGUAGACUUGGUCGUACGAAUAGUAGCUCAGCCUACGGUUAAAUUUAUGGACAAUUUAUAUCUCUAGACUAGCGUCAGGUUACAAGAGGUAGAGUAAACGACGAAUCAGAGAUAUUCGACACUCAAAGGUUUCCUUGAAAUUCGGAAACUUAACGAUGGAGAGAGCUUGUGAUACUCCCUCCUGAAAUAUGAUGACUUCUGGCCGAAGCGACAGAAGUGUCGGGAGAGUUUGUGAUACUCUCCCUCGAAAUUUGACAACUUCUGGUCAAAGUAACGGAAGUGUCGGGAGAGUUUGUGAUACUUCCCCCUUGAAAUUUGACAUCUUCUGGUCAAAGUGACGGAAGUGUCGGGAGAGUUUGUGAUACUCCCCCCUUGAAAUUUGACAUCUUCUGGUCGAAGUGACAGAAGUGUCGGGAGAGCUUGUGAUACUCCCCCCUGAAAACUUGCACUCGAGGCAGUUUUAGUGUUAUUUUACCCGGAAUCGGCGACUAGAGUUUGUGAUACUCCUAUAGUCGGCGAUACCUAUGGUUUGGGUAACUGUAGGGGGUAUUCUUGUUUUUUACCCUUGUGAGUCGGCGACUCCCUCUGUGAGUUGGCGACUCCUAGUGUAACCGUCGGAUCUUUUCGGGAGAUCCUUGGAAUAUUUGGGAGAUAUACGGGGAAUAUUUGUAAAAUCUCCAAAUAAGGAAAGUUUCUCACAAUGCUGUGAGUUUUUGCCCGGAGUCGGCGACUGCCCUGUGGAGUCGGCGACUUGGCGUGAUUUGGGGGAUUUGGAGAUCGAAUCUUGAUCUCAAAUUUCGUAAAUUUUGGGUUUUCUGGGGGGUUUUUGCAAUUUUUCCAAGGCCUAUAAAUAGUGGAGGUUUUCCCCAAAACCUCACAACACUCUUUUGCCUCUCUCAAUCGCCCAAAACCCUCAGAUUUUCAAUCGCCGACUCCCCAGUUCUCAAACAUAAAGUCGUCGAUUGACCUCAUGUCUUCCCCCGAUUCCCCAUUGAAGGAAAGCGAAACGUCAGCUUUUAUAGAUGAGCUGAUAACUGACAACCUGGAUGAGGCGUUGAACACCGUUGAGUCGCCUAUUCCCUCUCCUGACAGAGAGGUUGAGUCGGCGACUCCGGUCGUUUCGCCUCAUGGAUUGGAGCUGAGUGCCACCGUGCACGAGCUACUUGGCGCCUCGCCAGUGUCGGCGACUAAGAGCCGGGCCCUUGUAGUCGUACGGGAGCCUCUUGAGCUGGGAGAAAUUCCUGUGGCCUCUGUGUCGGCGACUCCCAUCGUGGAGUCGGCGACUCAUGCAGGCCCUGUUAAAGGGAAAGCCUCCAAGCGAAGGGGGCAGGGCUCAGCUGCCAUUGGGUCGGCGACUGCUGGCCACGCCUCACCGAUUCCUGUCACGGGAUCGGCGACUCGUGUGCUGGAGUCGGCGACUCCUAUGAGUAUUGAUGACUCUUCCGCGUACUGCACCGCACCAUUGGUCGUGAGCGCGGAAGGCCGAAUCGUGUCGGGACUGAACCCGAACCAAGGUCCUUCUCUGAAGAGAAAGAGAAGGCGUACCACUGGGAAGGGCAAAGUACGCGUGCCCGAAGAAGAUGAAGGGGUCCCUCCUCCCUUGAACCUAAAUUUCGAGGAGACCCUAACUGUGGACCGUGGCGCACCCAAUCCACGACGACGAGCGGGCCGGCGCUCCGAAAGAACUCCGCCACCUCCCGUGGACCUGAAUGCUAGUCGAGACCCGGACCUUGACUUAAACACAUAUGUCGGAUCUUUGAACCCCUCUGGGUUCGCUCAUUGUGAAAUCGCCUUGAAUGGCGUGCCAAGGUUGCUCCCUGUCGGCCGUUCUGGGGACGGCGAAUAUGAACAAGUUAUGACUCAUGCAACCUUGGAUGGGUCUGAUGGAGUGAAUCCCCCCUCCAAUCUGAAUGCGAGCGAUGCUCGAACACUGCUGUCGGGGAUUCAGAUUUCUGGUCAUCUGCGAUUCUGGAUGUCGCGAUACCAGCCGAUUAAUCUGCCACCCCCGGGAUUCCAGGCUAUCCCGAGGGUUUACUUCAAGCACUUCUCCGAGCUGCCAAUUCCGGAGAUUAUAAGUGAAGUGCUUCUGAGAUUUGAGUGUCGUUGUCGCAGCUCCCGGCGGGAUUCUUCGUCAUCCUGCGGGGUUUCAUGAACAUCUGCUGGGGGCUGAACAUUGCUGCGACGGCGAGCUUGUUCUUGUACUUCUACAAGCUCACCAAAGAGAAGUCUGCAUCCGGUCGCUUUGGGUUCACGCGACGAUAUUUCGACAAGAACAUCGUCGAUGAGCUCCCGACGAACUUCGGAUCCAACUGGAGAAAAGAGUUCAUAUUCAUCACUUCUGAAUUUCUUCCCGGGAGUCGGGAAAUGUGGAAUGAACCCAAUCGAGUGCAUAUGAACGCCUCGAUUGAGCUGAGUACGAGGGAUAUAGAAGCCUCGGAUCGUAUAGCGCGUACGCUGACAACCUAUUCUGUGCCGCGCGGUGUUCCCUUUGUCCUUUGCCAAAGGGAAGACUUCACUUUUGAUGAUGUUGAAGAUGCGCAUGAACCACCCACUGAGAGAGAGUUGGAAGGUGGUCAGAGGCGAUCCAUUCUAUAUCAUGACGCUGUACCUCUCUAUAUGCGCAAGAGGUUCCGCGCGGGGAAGCUGAUAAGAUUGUGACAGAAGAAGACUUCUCGCAGCGAGCCUCGCCGGACCUUUGAGCAUGGGUCAAGCUCUCGCUCUGCACCACCUCCUCCCAGGGGCUAUGAGCCUUAUACUUCUGCUGGAGUGACACUUCCUGACUUCAUGGCUAGUACUGAAACUAGAAGGGAAGCGAUGUCACUCCUCUUGGGGCAUCCUGGGACUUGGUGCCGGAGUGAGUUGUUGAAGCAUAUGAAUGCCGCAUGUUACAUGGCACAUGCUUGUUAUCAUGGAGACUCUAUCCAUGACGUCGAGAAGAUACAAGAAAGAUACAAUCAACUCGACGCAAAGUUCAAAGAAAGCGAGAAGGCUCUCGAUAAGCUGAAGAACGUGAAAUCGAGAAUGGAGAACCUUCGCGACAACAUUCUGCCCAAGAAGGACAAAACUAUUGAGUCCAAGCAGAAAGAGAUUGAUGACUAUGUCGCGAAGAUCUUGGCACUCCGAAAAGAUCUGAAAGCUGCUAGUUCUGGCCGUGUUAAGGACACUGAAGAUCUGAAGAGCCAACUAGCUAGUGAAAGAGGGCACGUAGCCUCGCUUGAGGCUACGAUAGUGGAGUUAAAGAAGCAAGCUUCUCAGAGCCAACGAAAAACCACUGAGCUAAAAAGCGAGCUCGCGAGUGCGGAAGAAGAGGUUCUGACUCUGAAAGAUGACAAUGCCGCACUUGCUGGGAGAGCUGCUGGGUUGGAUUUGGAUGUACGUUACCAAUCCGACCAGCUUCAAGAGCUCAUAUUCUUUGGUCCUUCCGUGUAUCCCGCUCUACCCCCCGACUACAUCACGAACAUAAUGGCGUGGAUAGAGCAACAUCCUGAGGAGCUCGAGAAGAAUAAAGAGGCUCUCGACAAGAUGAAGGACGAAGCUGCACAAGAUUAGAUCUAAGUCCUUAUUUUGUAAUCUUUUUGUUAUCUUUUUUUGUAAUCUGAAAAUUUUAAUGAAAUUAACCGUUUUUGACUUUCUAUUGAGUUGUUCAUUUAUUUUAUUCCUUUGAAUUGUAACUAAGACCCGAAACUAGAUUCGCGAGUCGUAAUUUAGCCGCUCUGGACGUAAAUUAGACUAACCCUAUUGCUAGCCACUCUAGGCGUAGACUUGGUCGUACGAAUCAUAGCUCAGUCCGUGUUGCUGUACGUGAUGUUGCUGUACGUUGUCCGUGUGCCAGAUGCAAGGACUUUUGGGUGACAGCUUAUUCCUAUUCCUCUUGGUUAUGCUAGCCCUCUUGUUGGUCUACCAUCAAAUAGCAUAUGGAUGGUUUUCCGUGGGUGGUCCUCGCUAUUGUCACUGUCUGGUGAGGGAGAGCGUGGGCGCUUCCCAUUCACGUCAGACUUGCAAUUGUUUCGAUCCCGGGAUACUUUGACCAGGCUGUCAAGUUCGCCGUUCGAAAUUAAUUGCUCGACAUAAAGCGAGAAUUCCCUGCAAUAGUCUGUCAGAUGGCCGUGGUCCUUGUGGAAUUCACAGAAUUUUCCACUUUUCUGGCGGCGAUCCUUGGUUGCAGGGUCCAUAGAGCGAGGAGCGGGCAGAUCCGCUAUGUUCCUCAGUUUUUCAAACAGCUCGCCUUUGCUGAUUGUUAGUGGGGUCCGGUUCCUCCAAGGUUGAGGUGGACCCCUUGGCGAUCGUUUGACGGAUGUUUGAUACACUUUGUUAUCAUGUUUAGGCUUCCAAUCCUUUCUGAAGGAAUCAGCCGCAUUGCUAGUGUAUCUGUUCGAGGAGUCUUUGUAGCUCUUUCUCUCGAACUUUUGUUUUUUGAAGCUAGUGUUCUCGAGUUCCACUAGCUUGUUUUCAUUCUGCUCUUUCACCUCAAUGAAUAACUGCGCUCGUUGGAAGAGGUCGGGUAAGGUCUCCACUUUGUGGAGUGUGAGAUUCAGGGCCAGAGGGGAGUAGGGUACCAGCCCGUUUGUGUACCCCGCAAUGGCCAGACUCGGGAUUAAGUCGCUCACUUCUGUCAUCAUUGAAGUGAACUUAAUCGUGUAAUCCCUUAAAGACAGUUUGUCCUGUCGUAGCGCCAGUAGUGCAUUGGCGCUGUGUUUGAUCCUGAUCAUCCCCACGUGUUGGGCGAUGAAUUUGGAUGCGAGGUCUGCAAAGCUGGAAACUGAUCCGGCUGGCAGACCAGAAAACCAUCGAUAGGCAUUGCCCUUAAGAGUGCCAGGGAAUGCUCGACACAGCAGUGCGUUACUAGUAGUUUGCGGUUCCAGAACGCUGAGGUAGAGGUUGACGUGAUCUUACGGAUCACUCGAACCAUCGUACGACUCUAUUCUGGGUACCCGCCAGGUUGGUCGAAAGGCCACCUUCAAAAGGUCCUCUUGGAAAGGAGCGCUUUUGACUCUUAAGAACUCGAUCGGAUUGCUGAUGACUAGAGUGUCAGCCAGCUUCCGACGGAGGUCCUCAACGAAUCGUGGUGUAAGAGUCCUAUCAGUGCGACUCUUACUGGGUCCACCUCUUGAUUUUUCUGGCUCUGGACCUUUCUUUUUCUCCGUAGUUGGAGAAUUGUGAGAAGCCGAUUCACACGCUCUCUUGCGAGUGAUGGUUCUCUGACUCCUUGCUUUUUCAAGGUUGCUAACUCUUCUUUCAAUGUUAUCCAUGAAGUUAACCAACCUUGCUUCUAGAUUAGGAGAGAUGGAUGUCCGAGGGGGCAGAUCAGUUUGGGCAUCCUCGAACCUUUCAACUUGUAUGUUUGGUUGUGGAUGCUCAGCUUGUGCCCCAUCGGGUACCACUGAGGAUUUACCCUUGUUUCUCAGAUGGUAAUCGUGCUUUUGCCUUUCAGAUGUCAUAGAUGACAAAAGCGAAUUCCAACCGGAGCGUAGGUAUUAAUUGGAUUAACUCAAAUGAAACCCAGUGGAGUCGGCGACUCAGCAGGUGGAGUCGGCGACUGGCCUUAGGUUUUCUUGACUUUCGAGCUGAGCAGAGGCUCGAGAAAAAACCAAGUGGAGUCGGUGAUUCACUAUGGGCGUCGGCAAUUCACAAAGGUGGAAUCGGCGACAGACACUAGUGGAAUCGGUGACUGCUUUAGGUAGUUUUUCCUUCGAGUCUGGCCGUGGACAACACUCUUAGCUAGCAGAAUAACCCGCAAUCGGCGAUUCACUAGGUGGAAUCGGCGAUUGCCUGUGUGAAUCGGAGAUUCCUUGACACAAAGUCAGCGACUCACCCUAAGGGAAUCGAAGAAAANNNNNNNNNNNNNNNNNNNNNNNNNNNNNNNNNNNNNNNNNNNNNNNNNNNNNNNNNNNNNNNNNNNNNNNNNNNNNNNNNNNNNNNNNNNNNNNNNNNNCCAGCUGAUGAAGCACGAAAUCUGCUACCAGUAGGCUCCCGGGGUCGCGAGGAGGGCCGGAGGCUUUGGAGUCCACGACGCACGCUCUACGUCAAUGUACCUGCAGAAGGGGAGGGGAAUCGGCGACUCUCUUGGGAGUAGGCGAUUCGGGCUCCAAGUAUUGCUCUGGUUGGUGUGUGUCAAGUGUGAAUGACCUGAGGGUAGAGGUCCCCCAAGGACCCCUUUUAUAGGGUCCUGGGGGACGUUUCCCCAUUCAUUAGCGUGGGACCCACCCCAUUAAGGUAUCCUAUUAAGGAGUGCCUUAAUGACGUGGGCCCACUCAAGUAACGGCUGGGAGUCGGCGAUUCAGGUGUGGGAAUCGCCGAUCCAGAGGUUCAAUCGCCGACUCCCCAUGAGCCUAGUGGCAGCCUACCAGAACUGUCCACGAGGCCUAGAGUCAGCGAUUCACCCCUGGAGUCGGCGACUUGGUAGUCCCAAUCGGCGACUCCCAGGUGCUUCCUUGAGUACUUGACGUAGACACUCCUUCCGAAUUCGUGGAACUCUCCGGGGGUCCGGCAUAAAGCGACGGAACCCUAGUUCUUGUCGAAGGGCGUUGCUGGGAGUGACUGACGUGUUCAGGCAUGUCUCACCAAUUCAUUUUUGUAGUAGUAGCGAAAAUCACUCAAGAUGCAGCAGUUAAGUUCGUCUACCGCUCCAUAGUAUGUCGAUUCGGAAUUCCCCAACACAUUGUCACGGACAAUGGGACACGAUUCAUAGGGGGAAAAUUUUCAAGAAUGUGCGAGAACUUGGACGUAAAACUUCACUUUGCAUCUGUUUAUCGACCUUAGGCAAAGAGCAAGUGGAAGUAAGAAACAAGGCUAUCAUACAAGGAUUGAAAAAAAAAAUCGAAUCGGCAAAAGGGGCCUGGGCAGACAAGCUGUGCGAAAUCCUAUGGGCAUAUCGCGCAACGAGCAAUAACCCCACGGGCAACACCACUUUCACUAUGACUUAUGGAGUGGAAGUUGUCGCUCCAAUCGAGAUGAGUAUACCAACAUACAGAGUCUCGAACUAUGACGAAGAAACUAAUGACAAAAACUUAGCAACAAAGCUAGAGUUAAGGGAAGAAACGCGUGACGAGACGAACCUACGCAACAAAGCGUACAAGGCUAGCGUAUCAAUAUACCACAACCACCAAGUACGAAAAAAGGUAUUCUUACUAGGGACUCUCGUCACGCAAAAGGCAAGCAUAACAGAAAGAAGUAGACCGAAAAAUAAGUUGUCUUCUAACUUUGAAGGACAUUAGAUCAUCGAAGAAGAGAUACGGCCAGACACUUAUCGCUUACGGUAGGAAGACGGGAAAAUGGUCCUUAAUACCUGGCACGCGGAAAACAUGCAACAAUAUUACGCUUAAUAUUUAGUAUUCUUAUUUCUUAGUUUUUCUUAUUAUGUAUGCUAAUUCACUAAGUAGUUUACAAAAUGGAAUAGUUUAUUUUGUAAAAUUUCAAAAUUUAAGCUAAAGUACUCUUAAUCCAAAACGAUGCGAUCAUCUGGGAUUGUAAGACACUGAUGAAGCACGAAAUCUGCUACCAGUAGGCUCACGGGGUCGCGAAGAGGGUCGGAGGCUUUGGAGUCCACGACGCACGCUCUACGUCAAUGUACCUGCAGAAGGGGAGGGGAAUCAGCGACUCUCUUGGGAGUAGGCGAUUCGGGCUCCCUGGAUUGCUCUAGUGUGGUGUGUCAAGUGGGAAUGACCUGAGAGUAGAGGUCCCCCAAGGACCCCUUUUAUAGGGUCCUGGGGGACGUUUCACCAUUCAUUAGCGUGGGGCCCACCCCAUUAAGGUAUCCUAUUGAAGGGUGCCUUAAUGACGUGGGCCCACCCAAGUAACGGCUGGGAGUCAGCGACUCAGGUAUGGGAGUCGCCGAUCCAGAGGUUCUGUCGCCGACUCCCCAUGAGCCAAGUUGGCAGUCUACCAGAACUGACCACGAGGCCUAGAGUCGGCGAUUCACCCCUGGAGUCGGCGACUUGGUAGUCCCAGUCGGCGACUCCCAGGUGUUGCCCUGAGUACUUGACGUAGACACUUCCUCCGAAUUCGUGGAACUCUAGUCCUUGUCGAAGGGCGUUGCUGGGAGUGACUGACGUAAUCAGGCAUGUCUCACCAUACACUUUCGAAAAAUUUCACUACCUACCUUGAUUUACGAUUCACAAAUUUAAAUCAGGUAUCACGAAAAUAUUUACGAGUCUAACCCCGAGAUUCUAAAAUAUUUACGAAAAACUACAAUUGAAACCCUAGUUCUAAAUCUAUUUUGUCGCUAUAGCUUAAUAGAUCAAGGAUCAUUUUGUCUCUAGGGCCUUAAUGAUCCUAUCUUAUCUUGUUGCUAUGGCUUUGAUGAGGAUCGAGAGUCGUUCCGUCGCUAUGGCCGACGUUGGACUAUAAAUCAUGGUUCAAAUCUAGAAUUAUAGUUCAAAUUAGGGAUCCAACGAAUAUUAACGAAUCUAAACCUAAGAUUCUAAAUAUUAACAAAAAUAAAUCCAAUUUACGACAGUAAGUCUAAAUUGCGAUCACAACCUGGUGAUAUAAUAUUCCGAACCCGGUCACAACAUACCAGCAACUAGAAGUCUGGAUAGCCCGAGAUGAGCUGAGAUACCUAUUCUAGGUUUGGGGAGGUCCUAAGUCAACUCCUGGGAAGAUCGACUUUACCAAGGGUCGACUUUCCAGGGACUCGACUUCUGAACAAAGUCGAAUCCUAGGAAAUUCGGACCCCAAGGAAGUCGAUCCCUAAAAAGUCGAUCUUGGACCAGAUCUGAUCAAUUAAACAGUUAGGCGGUUACUGCCCAAAUAACUAGAUUACCUCCAUAAAAAUCCCUAUAAAUACGAGGCAUCUCUCACUCAUUAUGGCAGGUUAUUUGGAGUGAAGAAGUCCUAGUGAAGCAAAGCUCUACGCACUUGAGUUCCGGCCUGAUUUCCCCAUGGAGUUACCCGCCUGGCGCUUGUUGGAAGCGUCUUGGAGUACUGGUCGGGUUCCACCCUUAUCAGGGGGAAAGCUGCGAGAGAACAAGAAUGAAAGGCGUAAAUUACAAACACGACGCACUCCAAGGCAUUGCCUAAUCGGGGACAUCUUGUAUAAAAAAUCCUACGAUGGACCUCUAAUGAAAUGUGUCUCAACAGAUGAAUGACAAUUCAUAGUAGAGAAGAUUCAUAUGGGAGUAUGCGGAAUACACCAGGGAGGAAGAUCUCUGGCCCAAAGAAUAAUAAGGCAGGAAUACUUCUGGCCUAUGCUCAAAAGAGAUGAAGUCCUGUUCGCAAGAAAAUGCAAGGCCUGCAAAAUCCAUAAAAAUAUACAAAGAAAUCCCAUAACUCAACGGACAGGGGUAGAAAGCCCCAUCCCAUCCGCAAUGUGGCGAUUAGACAUUAUGGGACCAUUCCUAGUAUCGACAGGCCAGGCUAAAUUUAUAUUUGCGACUGUUCACUACUUUACAAAAUGGGUCGAGGCUCUGGCAGUACCUAAGAUAACACAAAAUGCAUCAACGAAAUUUAACUUUAAGUGUAUAAUGUGCAGAUUCGGCGUUCCUAUGCAUAUAGUGACAGAUAACGGAACACAGUUUAUCGGUGGCGAGUUCACGAAAUUGUGUGACAAUAUGGGAACCAAAAUCCAUUUUUUAUCAGUCUAUAUACCACAUGGUAAUGGGCAAGUAGAAGUCACAAACAGGGCCGUUGUUCAAGGACUGAAGAAAAAGGUCGAGCAAGCCAAAGAUGCGUGGUCAGAUCUACUACCAGAAAUCCUGUGGGCAUACAGAACUACUGAAAAGACACCCACCGGGGAAACACCGUUCUCACUAGCAUACGGAAUGGAAGCACUAAUCCAAAUAGAACUUAGAAUCCCAACAGUCAGAGUCUUGACCUAUGACAUACAGGAAAACGUAAGAUCAUGUGCGACAGCUCUGGACUUAGUGGACGAACUAAGGGAUAAUGCAUAAGCAAAAGAAUGCAGCAUAUAAACAGAAUAUCGCUAGAUAUCAUGACAAGAAUGUCAAGGAUAAAACAAUAAGGAAAGGAAGCCUAGUAUUAAGAAGAGCAAGUAUCAAUCAAAAAGACUGCUCUAAAGGCAAACAAAGCGCGAAUUGGGAAGGACCAUAUGUGGGGUGAAGAACUCCGACCAGGUACUUACAGAUUAAAACAGGAAGACGGAUCAACAUAUAUGAUGAAGCACAAAAUCUGCUACCAGGGGCUCGUGGUGGUACGAGGUAAUGCCAGAGGCUCUGGAGUCCACGGCGCGCGUUCUACAUCAAAUACCUGCAAGGAGAGAAUGGGCGAUUAUGGAGAGAAUCGGCUAUUCUCUUAGUGUUGCUCUAGUGAGAGUGGAAUUUGUGUUAUUUCAUUGAAUGUCUCCAUGGGACCCUUUUUAUCGGGUCUAGGAGGGCGCGAUCAAAAGCGGACAUCACGUCUGUUGCCAUAUUUGGGCGCAUUUAUAUGGCUUUUAUGUAGGUUGGCGGCGAGUAACGAUCGUAAAUCGACGAUUCAGGUAUGAAAAUCUCCUAUUUAGGGGCUAAGUCGCCGAGUUUCAAGGGCCGAGAUGUGCAGUCUACCAUACUGCCGAUCUAGGUCUAACUCGACGACUUAUCCCUAAAGUCGGCGACUUGGUAGUCCAAUCGCGAUUUACGGGUUAACUCGGCGAUUUAACGAUGAACGUAUUCCACACCGUGGGAGCCUUCCAAGGGUCCGGCAUAAAGCGACGGAACCCUAGUCCUUAUUGAAGGGCGUUGCUGGGAGUGACUGACGUAAUCAGGCAUGUCUCACCAGUACUCCCCCCUGAAGAAAGCACAAGAAAGAUGUGUGUAUCGCCAGUAUCCCCCCCCCAUGCAAGGUUGUGUGUGUGAUCCGCAUCAAGGCCAAAGCGACAAGAUGGGAUCGAGUCAUUGCGGCCACAACGACACAAUGAUUCAGUAUCUAUUAAGGCCAAAGCGACGAAAUUGAUUGAUUCUGGCCGAAGCGACAGAAUCUAGUUCCAGGCCAAUGGAACUACAUGUUUAUAGUCCGACCCUAAUCAAGGACGACUUUUGUUGUGUCAUCAAGGCCUAAGAGACAAGAUGAAUUGUCUCACUAUCAGAGUUUGAUUCUGGUCAAAGCGACAGAAUUUAUUGAUUCACUAUUAGAACUAAUGUUUAUAGUCAACUCUGAUCAAGAGCGACUCUUGUGUCCGCAACGACGAUUACCCCAUCAAGGCCAAAGCGACAAGAUGGGUUAAGGUCAUUAAGGCCAAAGUGACAAAAUGAUCUCUGGUCUAUCAAGGCCAAAGCGACAAGAUAGAAGAAUUAUUAGGGCCAAAGCGACAAAAUAAUUCUUGGUCCAUUAAGGCCAAAGCGACAAAAUGGACCUGGAUCUAUUAUGGCCAAAGCAACAAAAUAGAUCCGAUUCUGGCCGAAGCGACAGAAUCUUAGCUGCAAAAAAGAAAACAUCCUGCAAAAUAACUUCAUCAGUCUAAACUGCAUAUUAUAUUAACUUAUUACCUUUCGCGUUAUUCCUCCUGCUCAAUAAAUCAUCGAUAAUUCUGGCCAAAGCGACAGAUUUAUCGUGCUCAAAUUUGACAACUUCCGGCUGUAGCGACAGAAGUGUCAGGAGAGUUUGAUACUCCCCCCCACUUAUGGACAAAGCGACAGAGGUGUCGGGAAGAGCUCAUGAUACUUCCCCCUUGAGUACCUGCGAAAAGCGUGACGACUUUUGACUGAAGCGUCAAAAGUGUCGAAGAGAGUCUGUGAUACUUCCCCCGUAGUGCAAUGAUUUCUGGCCGAAGCGGCAGAAGAGUAGGAGAGAGUUCGUGAUACUCCCCCCUGAAGUGGUGACCGAUUUCUGGCCGAAGUGACAGAGGAGAGAGUUCGUGAUACUCCCCCCUGAAGUGGUUUGCAGAGAGCUCGUGAUACUCCCUCCAGAGGAUAGUGCUUUUUACCCUAUGUCGGCGAUUUAACUUUUAAAUCAGCGACUUUGUUCCAGGGUGGCGUUGCGAGCAGUUUUGCAAUUAUGCCCACCUGGAUCGGCGAUUUUUUCGAAAAUCGGCAACCUUUAUGAUGAGCUGGCGGAUCUCUUAGAAGAUCCUUGGGAUUUUGGGGAAUAUUUGCAAAAUUCUCAAAUAUGGAAACUUCGUUGCCAUAUCCCGUGAUUUUUGCCUAAACUCGGCGAGUUUAUGAGUAAAUCGCCGAGUCUUGGAGAUUCGAGAAUCAAUUAGCGAUUUUCCUUCGCAUAAUUUUUGGAUUUUCCGAGGGUGUUUUGCAAUUUCUCCAGAGUCUAUAAAUAGCAAAUCGAUUAUUUUAAUACGCACUUCACUUUCCCCAAAUCGCCUAAACCCUAAUCCCGAAUCCCUAACCUAAGUCGCCGACUUUCCCUCUCAAUCGCCGACUUUCACAUGGCAGACCAACCGACACUUCCUCAGCUUACCAUAUCGGAGACCAAGGCUCUGGUCGACAAUAUCCUCCGCAGCGAUAUCGACGAGAGCCUAGCGGCGGUGCUCAAUACCGUUAAGUCUCCGAUCCCCUCGUCUUCGCGCGGUGGGUUGGAGAUUCCGGCUGUUGAUGCACAGUCGGAUGCUCAAUUUUGUGUCACUGCACGCGAGCUUCUAAGUCUCACUCCCAAACAAUCGCCGAGUUCCGCUAAGAAAUCAGCGAGUUUGGGUUGUGACCCUGAGGUUCCAGUCAUGGCUGGACCCUCUCUUGAAGCGGGCGAGAUCCCUUUGACCGUUGCUUCUAAAUCGGCGAGUUCCCUUGGGAGUUGAGAACCACACCGGCUACGUUUACUGUGAAACUUUGCUGAGUGGUGAGAUUAAGUUGCUGCCCCUAAGUGACGAGAGCGAGGGGUCCUUUGAGGAAGUUGCUCUGAAUGCUUCUCUCGUACCACAAACGGAUACCGCGCAUCCAUUUUAUGUCAUGUCUGCACGCGAAGCCCGAGAUAUUCUGCGAGGAGUACGCAUUUCUGGACGUUUGCGAUUUUGGGGGUCGCAAUAUCAAACUGCCAACCUCCCCCCACAGGGUUUCGAGCGAUUCCCUGACUUUAUUUCCGAUACUUCUCCGUGCUACCCAUCCCUACAUUGAUGAGUGAAGUGUUACUUCAAGCUGGUUUGUCGCUGUCACAGAUGCAGGCAGCUUUUUUCAUUUAUUUGAGAGGAUUCUCUAACAUCUGUUGGAGUUUGAACAUAUCUGCAACCGCUGUCUUGUUUUUCUGGUUUUACAAGCUGUCAAGGCUCCCACAUCCGAAUCUGGUCGGUUGGGGUUAGCCAAACGGAUUCACGGUCGCGAAUUGAUCGUUGAACUCCCUACCAACUACGGUCCGCAUUGGAAGAGUGAGUUCUUUUAUGUUCAAUCAAUGUUUGUACGCGGAAGUCGAGAGAGUUGGGCCAAUACGCGGCCCGUACACUUGGAUGUUCCUUGCGAAUAAAGCAAGGCGGAGCUUGAAGACGUGAAGAAGAUCUCCUCGGCCCUUUCGCUUACAAAUGUGGUCAGGGGACUUUACUUUUUCUGAUAUGACACACUAUUUGAAGUCGGAAGAUCCUUCUGGAAAGCCUAUCAAGAAGAAGAAGGGAGUGCAUGUCUACCGUGAAGCGUUGUUCCCCCACUUGGCUUCGAGGUUGCGUGGUGCCAAGUUGAUUCGGAUUCGGAAGAAUGAAGAAGCUGGUCCUCGUGGCACUUUUGAAACUGGAUCAUGCUCGAGGUCGGUACCAGAGUUUGCUCCUUUCCGAUCUACCUUUGACAAUCCGGGCCUGUUUGCGGAUGCUGAGGUGCGAUCGAAGGCUACCAAAAUGCUAUUGGUGAAGUCUAGAGAUUGUAUUUGAGAGGAGCUCACUAAAGCCCUAUCUGCUGUAAGUGACCUAAACUCGCAUAUUUUUCGAUUUAUUUAUUUUUAUGCUAAUCGAAUUGUUUUUUUUGUAGGUUGCGUAUCUAUCGAAUGCUGCUGUUGGGAUGCAGUCAUAUAACGACACGCUUCGAUCUCAGCAUGAAUACGAUAAACUUGAUGACAAGUAUCAAGCUGUCUGCAGAGAAGUGUGGUCGAUGAAGAAAGUCUUCCAAAACAACAAAAAGUUGGAAGGAGAAGCUGCUGAGCAUGAGAAAGCAAUGACGGCGAAGAAUAAAGAAUGUGCUGCACACAAACUUAAGAUUUCUGCCCUUCGCCAAGAACGUGAUUCUUUGAAGGCCUCUGAAUCGCGUCUUACUGAUGCUCUAAAAGAGAUUGAAGAAUUGAAGGUGCAGCUGAACGCGGAGGUUGGCAAUGCGAUGGUUUCUGAAUUACAAAUUCAGAAGCUCCAAGUAGAUCAUUCUAAGUCCACCUCUGAGCUAAAAGAUCUGAAUGACCGCUUCUCUCAAUCCACGGAGGAGUCGAGAAAGAUGAAAGAAGAUCUAGACACUUCUUUUGAAAAAGUAAAGGAAUUGGAGUUUGAGAUUGACGGUCAAUCUGACCAACUCCUGGACUUAAACUUUUUUUGGUCCUCAUGUGUUUUCAAGUUUUCCCCCAACUUUGUGACUGAUAUUAUGGCGUGGCUAGUAGAACAUCCUGAAGUGCAGCUGGAGCAUAAAGAAGCUCUCGAUAAGAUAAAGAGCGAUGUUCGGGAAGCGAGGAAAGAAGAAGACUAGAAGUCUUUAGUUUUUUUGUAGUGGAUAUUUUGUAAUCUUUUUUAUCAAUCAAUGAACUAUUUUACCUUUCUUUGUUAAUUUUUCGUAUAAAUAUUUUUAAGUUGUAACCUAGGCUCGAAACUAGAUUUACAAAUCGUAAUUUAGCCACUCUGGAUGUAAGUUAGAUUCUGCUAACCCCACUUAGCCACUCUAGACGUAAGCUUGGUCGUACGAAUCGUAGUUCAGUCGUUAGUUAAACUCGCAAAUGAUUUAUACUUCUAAAUUAACUUAGGGUUAAAAGUAGUUUGAGUGAUAAAUCGAUGUAAAGCCCACUAAUUCCUAAUUUGCACAUGCGAAUUAGGAUUGUGAUCGCCAUUCUAGGCUUGCUUGCCUAAAUUGGAUUUGUUUGAACUAACCCUGGAUUUGAGCCCUGAGAGUGUAGUCUGACUCUGGCCGUAGCGACGGAGUAGCUUUUGGUCCGCAUCGAGGCCAAAGCGAUAAGAUGGGAAGUGAUUAUUGGGCCCAUAGCGACGAAAUGAUCAUUGAUCUAUUGCGACUGCAGUGACAAAAUAGAUCCAGAGUUUAGGGUCAUCCUAGGGUAGUGAAAAAGUGUCGCAAGUAUCUUACAAUCCCUGAUGAGUUUGUCGUUUGGACUAAGAGUACUUUUGAUUGACUUUGCAAAAAAGAAUGAAAAACUAACUAUUAUAUUUUGCAAUUGAUACUAGCAUACAUACUAAGAGAACCUAACAAGAAAUAUAAAAAUUAAUACUAAACGUAGUAUUGUUGCAUGUUGUCCGCAUGCCAGGUGUUUGGGACCAUUGUCCCGUCUUGUCGCCGUAAACGAUAAGUGUUUGGCCGUAUCUCUUCUUAGAUGAUGUAGGGUCUUUCGAAAUUAGACGACAACUUAUCUCUUGGUCUAUUUCUUUCUGUUAUGCUAGCUUUUCGUGAGACGAGGGUUCCUGGUAGAAAUACUUUUUUGCGCACUUGGCUAUUGUGGUAUCUUGAUACUCUUGCCUUGUACGAUUCAUUUUGCAGAUCUGCCUCGUCACGAGUUUCACCCAACUCUAGCUCUUUCGCUAGGUUUUGGUCAUUAGUUUGCUCGUCGUACUUCGAGAUUCUGUAUGUUGGUAUACUCAUCUCGAUUGCUCCAUAGGUCAUAGCAAAAGGGGUGUUGCCCGUGGGAUUUUUACUUGUUAUGCGGUAUGCCCAUAGGAUUUCGCACAACUUGUCUGCCCAGGCCCCUUUUGCUUAUUCGAUUUUCUUUUUCAAUCCCUGUACGAUGGCUUUGUUGGUCACUUCUACUUGUCUGUUUGCCUGAGGUCGGUAAACGGAGGCGAAGUGGAGUUUUAUGGCCAAGUCUUUGCACAUUCUUGAAAAUUUCCCCCUUGUGAAUUAGGUACCAUUAUCUGUGAUAAUGUGUUGGGGAACUCCGAAUCGACAAACUAUGGAGCGGUAGACGAACUUUUCUGCCGUAUCUUGAGUGAUCUUUGCUACUGCCUGAGCCUCAACCGACUUUGUAAAGUAAUCUACUGCUACAAAGAUGAAUCGAGCCUGAGAUGUCGAAGGUGGGAAUGGCCCUACGAUGUCCAGUCCCCACCUUGCGAAUGGGAUCGAGCUCAAGAUCGGAGUCAUAUCCGCAGAUGGUUUCUGUUGUAUCGGACUGUGCAACUGACAUGCUCGGCACUUGCGGACGUAAGUGCGAGCUUCCAACCUUAAGGUGGGCCAAUAGUACCCUAGUCGUAUAAUUUUGAAGGCUAGUGCUCUUCCUCCCUCGUGAAGUCUGCACGAUCCUUCGUGUACUUCCUGGAUGACUUUGUCCAUGUCUGGUUUGGCCAAACAUCGCAGCAGUGGGCUGUCGAAGGAUAUUUAGUAGAGUAUACCUCCGACGUCGCAAUACUUGAUUGCCUUGUGUUUUAACUUUUUGGCCUCCCCUUUUUUGUCAGGAAGUACUCCAUUUUGGAUGAAUGCCAAUAUUGGUUGUCUCCAAUCCCCCUGGGAGUCGGAAGUGACAUUCAAUACUUGGCACGUGGGUUGGAGGAUGGAAUCCACCAAGAUUUUGCACUGUCCUCCCUUGAUGAAGCACGGAAUCUGCUACCAGUGGGCUCGCGGGGUGGCGAGAUGAGCCGGAGGCUGUGGAGUCCACGACGCGCGCUCUACGUCAAACACCUGCAAAAGAGGAGGGGAAUCGGCGACUCACGUGGGAGUAGGCGAUUCGGGCUUCUUAGUUUGCUCUGGUUGGAGUGUGUGUCAAGAGGAUAUGAGUUNNNNNNNNNNNNNNNNNNNNNNNNNNNNNNNNNNNNNNNNNNNNNNNNNNNNNNNNNNNNNNNNNNNNNNNNNNNNNNNNNNNNNNNNNNNNNNNNNNNNGUGUGGAGCCCACGCCAUUAAGGUACCCUAUUAAGGAAUGCCUUAAUGGUGAGGGUCCGCUCAAGUAACGGCUGGGAGUCGGCGAUUCAGGUAUGGGAAUCGCCGAUCCAGAGGUUCAAUCGCCGACUCCCCAUGAGCCUAGUGGCAGCCUACCAGAGCUGUCCACGAGGCCUAGAGUUAGCGAUUCCCCCCUGGAGUCGGCGACUUGGUAGUCCCAAUCGGCGACUCCCAAGUGUUAGCUUGAGCUCUUGACGUAGACACGUGCUCCGCACCGUGGAAGCCUUUCCGGGGUUCCGGCAUAUAGCGACGGAACCCUAUUCCUUGUCGAAGGGCGUUGCUGGGAGUGACUGACGUGUUCAGGCAUGUCUCACCAGUACUCCCCCCUGAAGAGAGCAUGGCAAAACACCCGUGUAGCCUCAGUCUCCCCCCCCCCGAGCAAGGUGAUCCGCAUCAAGGCCAAAGCGACAAGAUGGGAUCGAGUCAAUGUGGCCACAGCGACACAAUGACUCCGUUACCCAUGCACUAUCAGAUGGGUUGAUUCACUAUUAGAAUCUNNNNNNNNNNNNNNNNNNNNNNNNNNNNNNNNNNNNNNNNNNNNNNNNNNNNNNNNNNNNNNNNNNNNNNNNNNNNNNNNNNNNNNNNNNNNNNNNNNNNCCGACUCUGAUCAGGAGCGACUCUUUCUGUGUUAUCAUCAAGGCCAAAGCAACAAGAUGAAGGGAGAUUAUUAAGGCCAAAGCGACUAAAUAACUCCCAUCCAUUAACGCCAAAGCGACAAAAUGGAGCGACUCACUAUCAGAGUCUGAUUCUGGCCCAAGCGACAGAAUGCGUGGAUCCUGGCCAAAGCGACAGGAUCUGGUUNNNNNNNNNNNNNNNNNNNNNNNNNNNNNNNNNNNNNNNNNNNNNNNNNNNNNNNNNNNNNNNNNNNNNNNNNNNNNNNNNNNNNNNNNNNNNNNNNNNNNNNNNNNNNNNNNNNNNNNNNNNNNNNNNNNNNNNNNNNNNNNNNNNNNNNNNNNNNNNNNNNNNNNNNNNNNNNNNNNNNNNNNNNNNNNNNNNNNNNNNNNNNNNNNNNNNNNNNNNNNNNNNNNNNNNNNNNNNNNNNNNNNNNNNNNNNNNNNNNNNNNNNNNNNNNNNNNNNNNNNNNNNNNNNNNNNNNNNNNNNNNNNNNNNNNNNNNNNNNNNNNNNNNNNNNNNNNNNNNNNNNNNNNNNNNNNNNNNNNNNNNNNNNNNNNNNNNNNNNNNNNNNNNNNNNNNNNNNNNNNNNNNNNNNNNNNNNNNNNNNNNNNNNNNNNNNNNNNNNNNNNNNNNNNNNNNNNNNNNNNNNNNNNNNNNNNNNNNNNNNNNNNNNNNNNNNNNNNNNNNNNNNNNNNNNNNNNNNNNNNNNNNNNNNNNNNNNNNNNNNNNNNNNNNNNNNNNNNNNNNNNNNNNNNNNNNNNNNNNNNNNNNNNNNNNNNNNNNNNNNNNNNNNNNNNNNNNNNNNNNNNNNNNNNNNNNNNNNNNNNNNNNNNNNNNNNNNNNNNNNNNNNNNNNNNNNNNNNNNNNNNNNNNNNNNNNNNNNNNNNNNNNNNNNNNNNNNNNNNNNNNNNNNNNNNNNNNNNNNNNNNNNNNNNNNNNNNNNNNNNNNNNNNNNNNNNNNNNNNNNNNNNNNNNNNNNNNNNNNNNNNNNNNNNNNNNNNNNNNNNNNNNNNNNNNNNNNNNNNNNNNNNNNNNNNNNNNNNNNNNNNNNNNNNNNNNNNNNNNNNNNNNNNNNNNNNNNNNNNNNNNNCUGCAAAACAACUAGAUUAGUCCAUAAACGCAUAUUAAUUAUUGAACUUACCUGCGAUUUACCUCUCGUGAAGCCCCUCCUUUGCUCAAUAAAUCCUUGGUGAAUCUGGCCAAAGCGACAGAUUUUACCAUGCUCAAAUUUUUCGACGACUUCUGGCCGAAGCGACCGAAGUGUCGGGAGAGCUUGUGAUACUCCCCCCUGAAUUUCGACGACUUCUGGCCGAAGCGACAGAAGUGCCGGGAGAGCUUGUGAUACUCCCCCCUGAGUUUCGACGACUUCUGGCCGAAGCGACAGAAGUGCCGGGAGAGCUUGUGAUANNNNNNNNNNNNNNNNNNNNNNNNNNNNNNNNNNNNNNNNNNNNNNNNNNNNNNNNNNNNNNNNNNNNNNNNNNNNNNNNNNNNNNNNNNNNNNNNNNNNCUGAGUUUCGACGACCUCUGGCCGAAGCGACAGAAGUGCCGGGAGAGCUUGUGAUACUCCCCCCUGAGUUUCGACGACCUCUGUCCGAAGCGACAGAAGUACCGGGAGAGCUUGUGAUACUCCCCCCUCGAAGGUUGUGCUUUGGUGAUGCACAACUUUUGUGAAGAGUGUUUUUCGAUUUAUAUGAUUGUCGGUAAACGACCAAUCACAAAAACUCGACACUCCAAGGUUGCCUUGAAACCUGGAACCUUAAGGAGAGAGUUUGUGAUACUCCCUCUCACAGUGUGAUGACCUCUGGCCGGAGCGACAUAAGUGUUGGGAGAGUUUUUGAUACUCUUCCCUUAAAAUUUGACGACUUCUGACCAAAGAGACAGAAGUGUCGGGAGAGCUUGUGAUACUCCCCCCUUGAAUUUUGACGACUUCUGGCCAAAGCNNNNNNNNNNNNNNNNNNNNNNNNNNNNNNNNNNNNNNNNNNNNNNNNNNNNNNNNNNNNNNNNNNNNNNNNNNNNNNNNNNNNNNNNNNNNNNNNNNNNCUGGAAUUGGACGACUUCUGGCCGGAGCGACAGAAGUGCCGGGAGAGUUUGUGAUACUCCCCUUUGAAAACUUGCACUUGGGGCAGUUUUUAGUGUUAUUGUACUCGGAAUCGGCGACUGGAGUGUGUAAUACUCUUGGCAGUCGGCGAUAUCCAUGGUAAGGGGCAUUUCUGUUUUUUACCCUUGUGAGUCGGCGACUCCCUCUGUGAGUCGGCGACUCCUAACGUAACCGUCGGAUUUUUUCGAGAGAUCCUUGGAAUAUUUGGGAGAUAUACGGGGAAUAUUUGUAAAAUCUCCAAAUAAGGAAAGUAUCUCACAUUGCCGUGAGUUUUUGCCCGGAGUCGGCGACUACCCUGUGGAGUCGGCGACUAGGCGUGAUUAGGGGGAUUUGGAGAUCGAAUCUUGAUCUCAAAUUUCGUAAAUUUUGGGUUCUCUGGGUUUUUUUUGCAAUUUUCCCAAGGCCUAUAAAUAGUGGAGAGGUUUUCCCCAAACCCUCACAACACUCUUUGCCUUUCUCGAUCGCUCAGACCCCCAGAUCCUUGAAUCGGCAACUCCUCGGUUCGAAACCUUCAAAUCACCGAUUCCCACCAUGUCUUCCCCCGAUUCACCAUUGAAGGAAAGCGAAACGUCGGCUUUUAUAGCUGAGCUGAUAACUGAUAACCUGGAUGAGGCGUUGAACGCCGUUGAGUCGCCGAUUCCUUCUCCUGACAGAGAGGUUGAGUCGGCGACUCCGGUCGUUCCACCUCAUGGAUUGGAGCUGAGUGCCACCGUGCACGAGCUACUGGGCGCCUUGCCAGUGUCGCCGACUCCCCCUGUGGGAUCGGCGACUCCGUGCAGGGCCCUUGUAGUCGUACGGGCGCCUCUUGAGCAGGGCAAAUUCCCGAGGCUUCUGUGUCGGCGACUCCCAUCGUGGAGUCGGCGACUGAUGUAAGCCCUGUCAAAGGGAAGGCCUUCAGGCGCAGGGGGCUGGCUUCAGCUGCCACAGGGUCGGCGACUGCCAGCCGUGUCUCACCGGUUCCCCUUACGGGAUCGGCGACUCGUUUGCUGGAGUCGGCGACUCAGAUGCCUACUGAUGAUGAUUCUUCCGCGCGUCGCACCGCACCAUUGGUCGUGAGCGCGGAAGGCCGGAUUGUGUCGGGACUGAACCCGAGCCAAGGUCCUUCUCAUAAGAGAAAGAGAAGGCGCACCACCGGGAAGGGCAAGUACAUGUGCCCGAGGAAAAGAAGGGGUCCCACCUCCUCUCAACGUUAAUAUCGAGGAGACUUUGUUUGUGGACCGUGGUGAACGUAUUCCACGAAGACGAGCGGGCCGACGUGCCGAGAGAACUCCGCCACCUCCCGUGGAUUUGAACGCCAGUCGAGACACAGACCUCGACUUGAAUACAUAUAUCGAAGCUGUGAACCCCUCUGGGUUCGCUCAUUAUGAAAUCGCCUUUACUGGCGUUCCAAAGUUGCUACCCGUCGGCCGUUCUGGAGACGGAGAGUUUGAGCAAGUAAUGACCCACGCAACUUUGGAUGGGUCUGAUGGAGUGAACCCCCCUUCUACUCUGAAUGCGAUCGAUGCUCGAUCGUUAUUAUCGGGGAUUCAGAUUUCUGGUCACCUUCGAUUCUGGGUGUCGAGGUACCAGCCGAUAAACCUGCCGCCCCCGGGAUUCCAAGCUAUCCCGAGGGUCUACUUCAAGCACUUCUCCGAGCUUCCCAUUCCGGAGAUAAUAAGCGAAGUGCUUCUGAGAUUCGAGGUUUCCUUGUCGCAGCUCCCAGCGGGAUUCUUCGUGAUCCUGCGGGGUUUUAUGAACAUAUGCUGGGGAUUGAAUGUCGCUGCGACGGCGAGCUUGUUCCUUUACUAUUAUAAGCUCACAAGAGAGAAGUCUGCAUCUGGUCGCGUUGGAUUCACGCGACGUCACUUUGACAAGAACAUCGUCGACGAGCUCCCGACGAAUUUUGGAUGCAACUGGAGGAAGGAGUUUAUUUUCAUCACUUCUGAGUUUCUCCCUGGGAGUCGGGAGAUGUGGAACGAUCCAAAUCGAGUGCACAUGAAUGCCUCGAUCGAGCUAAGCACGAGGGAUAUUGAAGCCUCGGAUCGUAUAGCGCGUACACUUACUGCAUACUCUGUGCCGCGCGGUGUUCCCUUUGUCCUUUGCCAAAGGGAAGACUUCACAUUUGAAGAUGUCGAAGAAGCGCAAGAGCCACCCACCGAACGAGAGAUAGAAGGUGGUCAGAGACGUUCAGUCCUAUACCAUGACGCUGCCCCUCUAUACAUGCGCAAGAGGUUUCGCGCGGGCAAACUGAUAUGCUUGCGCAAAAAGAAAGAACAAUCCCGCAGCGAGCCUCGACGGGCCUUCGAGCAUGGGUCGAGCUCGCGCUCUGCACCUCCACCACCCAGGGGCUAUGAGCCUUAUACUUCUGCCGGAGUGACCCUUCCCGACUUUAUGGCUAGUACUGAAACUAGAAGGGAAGCGAUGUCACUCCUCUUGGGGCAUCCUGGGGCUUGGUGCCGGGCUGAACUGCUGAAGCAUAUGAAUGCCGCGUGUUACAUGGCACAUGCUAGUUAUCACGGAGACUCAAUCCGUGACGUCGAGAAGAUACAAGAGCGUUAUAACCAACUCGACGCAAAGUACAAGGAGAGCGAGAAAGCUCUUGAUAAGUUGAAGAAUGCGAAGGCCAGGAUGGAGAACCUCCGUGAUAAUGUUCUGCCGAAGAAGGACAAGGCCAUCGAGUCCAAGCAGAAGGAAAUAGACGAAUAUGUCACGAAGAUCUUGGCGCUUCAAAAAGAAUUAAAGACUGCUUUCUGGUCGUGCUGAAGAGGUUGCAAACCUUACGAGCCAGCUAGCCUCAAGCGAAGCUACGAUUGCAGAGUUGAAGAAGCAAGUCGCUAGAACCAACAUGAUAAUUCUGAUUUGAAGAGCGAGCUUGCGAGUGCCGAAGAAGAAGUGCUGUCCCUGAAAGACACAAACACCGCACUUGUUGAUAGAGCUUCUGGGUUGGAUAUGGAUGUGCGCUACCAAUCCGACCAGUUUCAAGAGCUCAUCUUCUUCGGACCAACAAUAUUCCCUGCUCUACCUCCGAACUACAUUACGGAUAUUAUGGAGUGGGUAGAGCAGCACCCUGAGGAGCUCGUGAAGAAUAAGGAAGCUCUCGACAGGAUGAAGGACGAAGUUGCGCAAGAAUAGAUUUUAUCAUUUUGUAACCUUUCUAUCUUUUUUUGUAACUUUGAAAUUUUAAUGAAAUUAAUCGUUUUCGCUUUUCUAUUUUGUUGUUCAUUUACUUUAUUCUUUUGAAUUUUAACUAAGACCCGAAACUAGAUUCGCGAGUCGUAAUUUAGUCGCUCUGGACGUAAAUUAGACUAACCCUAUCGCUAGCCACUCUGGGCGUAGACUUGGUCGUACGAAUCGUAGCUCAGUCUACGGUUAGAUUCGCGAAAAUAAACUAAACUUCACAACUAAUAGUAAGUCGUAAAAUCGAAUAACAAAAUUAAAGAUAACAAAUACUUUUGAUAAAAAAGAUACGAUUAACCCUAAGACUCUAGAGUUGUUGUUUGUCUCUGGCCGAAGCGAUGGAGUGAUUGUUCUACCUUCAUCGAGGCCAUAGCGACAAGAUGAGGUUGGAUCGUUAAGGCCGUAGCGACAAAACGAUUUCUAAUCUAUUGAGGCCAUAGCGACAAAAUAGAUUAGUUUCGAAACUCUAUAUGUGAAUGAUCUAGGGUUUUGCGUGUUCCUAAGACUUCUACCCUUUGAGUUCAUCUCUGGCCGAAGCGACAGAGUGAUCUAUACAUCGAGGCCAUAGCGACAAGAUGUAGUUGAAUUGUUAAGGCCAAAGCGACAAAACAAUUUCCAAUCUAUUGAGGCCAUAGCGACAAAAUAGAUUGGUUUGGACACCCUAAGUGUUGAUGAUCUAGGGUUUUACGUGUUCCUAAGACUUAUACCCUUUGAAUUCAUCUCUGGCCGAAGUGACAGAGUGAUCUAUGCAUCGAGGCCAUAGCGACAAGAUGUAGUUAAAUUGUUAUAGCGACAAAACAAUUUCGAUUUAUUAGGGGUAAAGUCGUAAAUAUCUAGUAAAAUUUUAACUUUUUAUUACUAAAAAAGCGGAAAAAAAAAUAAAAUCUAAUUAUUUUAUUUUGCUAUACACGAAAGGACUAAAGGAAUGGGAGGGUCAAUACUAAGCGUAGUAUUGUUGCAUGUUGUCAGCAUGCCAGGUGUUCGGAACCAUUGUUCCGUCCUGCCGUCGUAAGCGAUAGUUCCUGGCCUUAUCUCUUCAUCGACGAUGUAUGGACCCUCGAAGUUGGAUGACAACUUAUUCCUUGGUCUAUUCCUUUCGGUGAUACUAGCCUUCCGCGUGACGAGGGUUCCCGGCAGAAAUACUUUUUUGCGUACUUGGCGAUUAUGGUAUCGUGAUACGCUGGCCUUGUACGAUUCAUUCCGCAGGUUUACCUCGUCGCGGGUUUCAUCCCUCAACUCUAGCUCUGUAGCUAGGUUUUGGUCGUUGUUUAGCUCUUCGUACUUCGAGAUCCUGUACGUUGGUAUGCUCAUCUCGAUUGGUACGACAGCCUCUACUCCAUAUGUCAUAGCGAAGGGGGUGUUACCCGUGGGAUUUUUACUAGUUGUGCGAUAUGCCCAUAGGAUUUCGCACAACUUAUCUGCCCAGGCCCCUUUUGCCGAUUCGAUUUUCUUUUUGAGACCUUGUACGAUGGCCUUGUUGGUCACCUCCACUUGUCUGUUUGCCUGUGGUCGGUAAACGGAAGCAAAGUGAAGUUUUGUGCCCAGGUCCUCGCACAUUCUCGAAAACUUCCCCCCUGUGAAUUGUGUACCAUUGUCUGUGACAAUGUGUUGGGGAACUCCGAAUCGACACACUAUGGAGCGAUAUACGAAUUUGACUGCCGCAUCCUGAGUGAUUUUUGCUACAGCCUGAGCCUCGACCCAUUUUGUGAAGUAGUCAACUGCCACAAAAAUGAAUCGAGCUUGGGAUGUUGAGGGUGGGAAUGGUCCUACGAUGUCCAGUCCCCACCUUGCAAAUGGUAUCGAGCUCAGGAUGGGAGUCAUGUCCGCGGAUGGUUUUUGUUGCAUCGGGCUAUGCAAUUGACACGCUCGGCACUUGCGGACGUAAGUGUGAGCCUCUAACCGUAGUGUGGGCCAAUAAUACCCCAGCCGUAUGAUUUUGAAGGCCAGUGCUCUUCCUCCUUCAUGGAGUCCGCACGAGCCUUCGUGUACUUCUUUAAUGACAUUGUCAGUGUCGGGUUUGGCCAAACAGCGCAACAACGGGUUGUCGAAGGACUUUUUGUAAAGUAUCCCUCCGACCUCGCAGAACUUGGCUGCUUUGUGUUGUAACUUUUUGGCCUCACUCCGAUUGUCCGGAAGUACACCGUUUUGAAUGAAUGCCAGUAUUGGUUGCCUCCAAUCCUCUGAAGGAUCGGAUGUGACAUUCAAUACCUGGCAUGAGGGCUGGAGUACAGAGUCCACCAGUAUUUCACGCUGGCCUCCCUCCCAGGCCGAUGCUAGCCUUGCUAAAGCAUCGGCUGGCGUGUUCUGAGUUCGAGGGAUUUGCUCGAUUUUAAACUCAGCGAAUUGUUUGGUGAGUUCUACCAUGGUCUCCACAUACUUUGUGAUUUGUGGUUCUUUGCAGGCGAACUCACCCGUGGUUUGCCGAGCCACGAGUUGGGAGUCAGUGCGAAGCGUGACUUUCUCAGCGCCGAGAGUUCGCAGCAGUUUCAGGCCGUGAAUGGCUGCUUCGUAUUCCGCGACAUUGUUUGAUGCCGGGAAAUGGAGCCGUAUCGAGUGUUCAUAGUUUUUUCCAUCUGGACUAUGGAUUUUUACUCCGAUACCUGAACCUGUGCUGCAACUCGACCCGUCUACUUCCACUGUCCAUGGUUGGGCUAGGUUGGAUGGUGUGAGUUCGACCAUGAAAUCUGCCACAGCUUGCCCUUUGAUGGCAGUGGCUGGUCGGAAAUCUAAAUCGAACUCACUGAGCUCGAUCGCCCACUUAGUUAACCUACCCGAUAUGUCUGGUUUGUGGAGCAGACGACGCAAAGGACACGACGUAAGUACUACGAUCGUGUGCGCUAAGAAAUAUGCUCGGAAGCGACGACAAGCAUGGAUUACAGCAUAUACGAUUUUCUCAAUUGGAGAAUACCGUAUUUCUGCUCCUUGUAGUCGCCUCGAGUGAUAGUAGAUGGGGACUUGUUCCUUAUCUCUCUGUGCGAUAAGGACUGCACUUACGGCCUCUUCUGAGGCUGCUAUGUAUAAGUACAGGUCUUCCCCAUCCCUAGGUGAGGUCAACAUUGGAAGCGAGGACAUGUGUGCUUUUAACUUGGUAAAAGCCUCCUCGCAUUCCGUUGUCCAAGUGAUACUACCCUUAGCGCAGUUUUUAGAAGUUGGAAGAACGGUUUACACUUGUCAGCCGUUUGCGAUAUGAAACGACUGAGUGCAUUGAUUCGACCGUUCAACCUUUGCACUUCCCUAAUUGUGCGGGGGGCUUCCAUAUCGAGUAUCGCUUGGAUUUUGUCGGGAUUUGGUUUAAUCCCAUGCUGACCUACAUAGAAACCAAGGAACUUACCUUCCUUGAUUCCGAAGGAACACUUACUUGGAUUUAGCUUCAUUCCGUAUUGCUUUAAUGUUCUAAGGGUUUCUCUCAGAUCCUCGGGGUGUUUUUCGACGCUUGUUGAUUUGACCAGGAUGUCAUCAACAUAAGCGGAAACAUUACGCCCUAUCUGGUCCACGAAGACCUUGUCCAUCAAGCGUUGGAACGUAGCUCCAGCAUUCCUUAAACCGAAUGGCAUUACUCUAUAACAGAAUGUCCCUGAGUCUGUGAUGAAAGAUGUUUUCUCUUCAUCAGGCUCAUGCAUCAGGAUUUGGUUAUAUCCUGAGUGGGCAUCCAUCAUGGAGAGGAGUUCGUUACCGGACGCUCCGUCGACUAACUCGUCGAUGGAUGGGAGCGGGUAACUAUCCUUGGGGCAUACCUUAUUGAGAUCUGUGAAAUCAAUGCACAUGCGCCACUUGCCAUUGGGUUUCUUGACGAGAACGGGGUUGGCCAACCAAGUUGGAUAUCGAACCUCUCGAAUGUGCCUGGCAUUCAGAAGUUUCGAUAUCUCUUCGUUGGCAGCUUCCCGCCUGUCUGAGGUGAGCACUCGACGCUUUUGGCGACGAGCUGGGAUAGAUGGGUCGACAUUGAGUUUGUGCGUCACAAUUUGACGCGCAAUCUGUGUCGGAGCCUCACCCUCCCAAACGAACCUGUCCUGAUGCUCCUCCAGGAUAGUUACGAGUUUGGCUCUUAGGUCGGGUUCUAGCCCUUUCCCUAAUGUCACGUGCCCCCCCUUCAGCUGGUAUACUUCAGUCUCAUCCACGGGUUGUAAUUUUUCCCUUUCCCCGUUGUCAGAUUGGCCUGGACGAGCAUACUGUUUAGUUUUACCAGCUGAGUUGCCUUCUUAUACCCUUGUCUGGAAUCUUUUUGCGAUCCUUUGACAGUUGCAAUGAUCCCGUUGAUUGGGUAUCGCAUGCAUUGGUGAUAAGAAGACGGGACAGCCUUGAUCCCGUGGAUGAAAGGUCGUCCAAAUAUGCCGUGAAAAGUGGAUUCUACCUCAACCACUAUAAAACGGCACGUUCGACUAACCCUUCCCUUUCGGGAUCCGAUGGAGACCUUCAGGUCGAUAACGCCGGCCACUGGGGCGGCGACGUUAGUAAACCCGUAAAUGGCUUCCUUGCAAGGAGACAGAUCCUCCUUUUUAAGGCCCAUUUUGGUGAAGGUGUCCAUGUAGAGGAUGUCCGCGGAACUGCCGCUAUCGACAAUCAUCCUCUCGACGCGGGAAGUUGGACCGAUGUCUGCUUGGAUCACGAGUGGAUCCUCAUGUGGUAGCAGGACAUCGUCCAGGUCCUCUUCGGAGAAGUAAGUGGACUUCUCUUCCCGAGGCCUUUUCCCAUUGUCGCGAGGUGUAGAUUGUGACAUUAGCACCUUCCGGGAGUAACCCCUGUUUUGACCAAUGGAUCCACCACCAAAUAUUAUAUUGAUGGUUUUCCGUUGGCGAUCCUCGCUACUGUCGCUGUCCGGCGAAGGAGAGCGUGGACGCUUCCCCUUCGGGUCAGGUUUACAACCGUCUCGUCCUCGGGAUCCCUUGACGAAGUUGCCAAGUUCACCCUUGGAGAUCAGUUGCUCGACGUAGAUCGAGAAUUCCCUGCAGUGGUCGGUGAGGUGGCCGUGGUCCUUGUGAAAUUUGCAGAACCGUCCACCCUUUUUCCGACUACUCUUGGUUGCAGGGUCCAGAGUACGGGCAGGAGGUAGAUCUGCCCGACUUUUGAGUUUCUCAAACAGUUCGCCCUUAUUGAUUGUAAGAGGGGUCCAAUCCUUCCAUGGUUGGGAUGGACCCUUUGGCGACUGCUUGGUGGUUGUUUGGUACACCUUGUUGUCAUGCUUGGGCUUCCACUCCUUUUUGUAGGAACUAGCCGCAUGCUCAGUGUACUUGCUCGAGGAGCCUCGGAAACUGUUCUUUCCGCCGUAGCUCUUCUUCUCGAACUUUGGUUUUUUGUAGCUAGUGGUCUCAAGUUCCACUAGCUUGUUCUCAUUCUGCUCUUCCACCUCAAUGAAUGCUUGAGCUUGCUGGAAGAGUUCAGGCAGAGUCUCCACCUUGUGGAGGGUAAGAUGUUGUGCCAGAGGGGAGUAGGGUACAAGCCCGUUUGUGUAUCCCGCUAUGGCCAGACUGGGGAUUAAAUCGCUCACCUCUGUCAUCAUUGAGGUGAACUUGAUUGUAUAAUCCCUUAACGACAGCUUGUUCUGUCGUAAUGCCAGCAGUGCGUUGGCACUGUGUUUGAUCCUAAUCAUCCCCACAUGUUGGGCGAUGAAUUUGGAUGAGAGGUCCGUGAAGCUGGAGAUUGACCUAGCUGGUAGACCAGAGAACCAUCGAUUGGCACUGCCCUUGAGAGUGCCGGGGAAUGCCCGGCACAACAGUGCGUUAUCGGUGGUUUGCGGUUCCAAGACACUGAGGUAGAGGUUGAUGUGAUCUCUUGGAUCACCCGAACCAUCGUAUGCUUCAAUCCUUGGUACCCGCCAGGUUUGUGGGAAGGAUGCCUUCAAAAGGUCCUCUCGAAAAGGAGCGCUUUUGAUCCUUAGAAAUUCCAUCGGACCGCUGGCAGCUGGUUUGGCUGCCAACUUCCGACGGAGAUCUUCCACGAACCGAGUUGUGAGAGUCUUCUCAGUAAGACUCUUGUUAGGUCCCAUCCUUGAUUUGGAAGGUUGUGGACCAUCCUUCUUCUCCCCAGAUGGAGAAUUAUGAGAGGCCGAUUCACCCGCUCCUUCGCGGGUAAAGGUCCUCUGACUCCUCGCUUUUUCGAGGUUGCUCAUCCUUUGCUCCAUGCUUUCCAUGAAUUUGGACAACCUCUCCUCUAAAGCGGGAGGAACUGCUGUUUGGGGGCGCUGACUGACUUGAGGCUCCUCAGGCCGUUCUGGCCUGUUUUCUUGAGGAGGGUCAGUUUGGGCCCUGUCGGGUAUCACCGAGGAUUUGCCUUUGCUGCCCCUCAGAUGAUAGUCGUGCCUUUGCCUUUCGGAAGUCAUUGUAGGCAAAGGUGUGUUCCAACUAGAGAGCAAGUGAUUGCUAGAACUAGCCCGAGAGAAAGAACCAAGUGGAGUCGGUGAUUCACUAUGGGAGUCGGCGAUUCACAAAGGUGGAAUCGGCGACUGGCACAAGUGGAAUCGGUGACUGCUUUAGGUUGCUCUUCUAUCGGGUUUGGUCGUGGACAGCACUCUUAGCUAGCAGAAUAACCCGCAAUGGGCGAUUCACUAGGUGGAAUCGGCGAUUGCCUGUGUGAAUCGGAGAUUCCUUGACACAAAGUUAGCGACUCACUCGAAGGGAAUCGAGCUAAGCUUUGCGAAGAAAAUUUCGCGAUUACGACGGGAUAUCGUGGUUCGAUGGUCCCACAGACGGCGCCAGCUGAUGAAGCACGGAAUCUGCUACCAGUGGGCUCGUGGGGUGGCGAGAUGAGCCGGAGGCUGUGGAGCCCACGACGCGCGCUCUACGUCAAACACCUGCAGAAGAGGAGGGGAAUCGGCGACUCACGUGGGAGUAGGCGAUUCGGGCUCCUUAGUUUGCUCUGGUUGGAGUGUGUGUCAAGAGGAUAUCAGUUGAGGGUAGAGGUCCCCCAAGGACCCCUUUUAUAGGGUCUUGGGGGACGUUUUCCCCAUUCAUUAGUGUGGGGCCCACGCCAUUAAGGUAUCCUAUUAAGGAAUGCCUUAAUGCCGAGGGUCCGCUCAAGUAACGGCUGGGAGUCGGGGAUUCAGGUAUGGGAAUCGCCGAUCCAGAGGUUCAAUCGCCGACUCCCCAUGAGCCUAGUGGCAGCCUACCAGAGCAGUCCACGAGGCCUAGAGUUAGCGAUUCCCCCCUAGAGUCGGCGACUUGGUAGUCCCAAUCGGCGACUCCCAAGUGUUAGCUUGAGCUCUUGACGUAGACACGUGCUCCGCACCGUGGAAGCCUUUCCGGGGGUCCGGCAUAUAGCGACGGAACCCUAUUCCUUGUCGCAGGGCGUUGCUGGGAGUGACUGACGUGUUCAGGCAUGUCUCACCAGUUUCCCAAGACAUUGUCACGGACAAUGGCACACAGUUCACGGGGGGAAAAUUUUCAAGAAUGUGCGAGGACCUAAACAUAAAACUCCACUUCGCCUCCGUUUACCGACCUCAGGUAAACGGGCAAGUGGAGGUUACCAACAAGGCCAUCGUACAUGGAUUGAAAAAGAAAAUCAAAUCAGCCAAAGGGACCUGGGCAGACAAGUUGUGCGAAAUCCUAUGGGCAUAUCGCACAACGAGUAAGAACCUCACGGGCAACACCCCUUUUGCCAUGACCUAUGGAGUGGAAGCGGUCGUACCAAUCGAGAUGAGUAUACCAACGUAUCGAAUCUCGAAGUACGACCAACAAACAAAUGACCAAAACCUAGCCACAGAGCUAGAAUUAAGGGAUGAAACCCGUGACGAGGCGGACCUGCGAAACGAAUCGUGCAAGGCAAGCGUAUCAAGAUACCACAAUCGUCAAGUACACAAAAAAGUUUUCUUGCCAGGAACUCUCGUCACGCAGAAAGCUAGCAUAACAGAAAGGAAUAGGCCAAGAAAUAAACUAUCAUCCAACUUCGAAGGUCCCUACAUCGUUGAGGAGGAGAUAAGGCCAGGAACUUAUCGCCUACGACGACAGGAUGGAAUGAUGGUUCCUAACACCUGGCAUGCGGACAACAUGCAGCAGUACAACGCAUAGUACUCAUAGCAUUACGUUUAUUUUCUUUAAUUUUCCUAGUAUGUAUGUUAGUUAAUCAUAGAAAUCUAUUUUCACAUUCUAACCCGUAUGGAUACCCUAAAUCUAUUGUGUCGCUUUGGCCUCAGUAGAAAAAAGAUCAUUCCGUCGCUACGGCCCCAAUGAUCCUAUCCAAUCUUGUCGCUUCGGCCUUGAUACGGAUCAAUAAGUCACUCCGUUACUAGGAUAGGAGUCAGACUACAUCAUCAGGGUUGAAAUCCAGGGUUAGAACGAAUAGGUCCAAUUCAGACACGCAAACCUAGAAUUGCGACCACAACCCUUAUUCGCACGAGCGAAUCAGGAAUUAGUGGAUAUCAAACUAUUUUCAUUCUCGAGUUUAACUACGAUUCAUACGGCCAAACUUAUGUCCUAAGUGGCUAAGUAGAGUUAGCAGAAUCUAACUUACGUCCAGAGCGACUAAGUUACGAUUUGUGAAUCUAGUUUAAGUCUAAGUUACAACACGUUAGCAAAGAAAAUAGUUACAUUAAACAAAAAAUCAAUUACAAAAAUCCACUACAAAAUCUAUUGCAAGAGCUAAGGACAUCUAUUACAAUAGUUUAGUCUUCUUCUUUCCUCGCAUCUCGAACAUCGCUCUUUAUCUUGUCGAGAGCUUCCUUGUGCUCCAGCUGUACUUCGGGAUGCUUUUCUAGCUACGCCAUUAUGUCAGAAAUAAGGUUGGCGGGCAAACUUGAAAACACGUGAGGACCAAAAAAGUUCAAGUCCUGGAGUUGGUCGGACUGACCAUUAACCUCAAACUCCAAAUCCUUGACUUUUUCAGAAGAAGCGUCCAAAGCUUCCUUCAUCUUCUUCGACUUCUCCGUGGAUUGAGAGAAGCGGUCUUUCAGAUCUUUCAAAGCGGAGGUGGACUCAGAAAGUUCUAUUUGAAGUUUCUGAAUUUGUGAUUCAGAAACCAUCGCGUUGCCAACCUCCGCACUCAGCUGCGUCUUUAGGCCUUCAAUCUCUUUUAAGGAAGCAGUGAGACGCGACUCAGAUUUUCUCAAAGAGACACAUUCUUGGCGAAGAUUGGAAAUUUCGAGUCGGUGCGCAGCACACUCUUUGUUCUUCGCCGCCAUCACUUUCUCAUGCUCAACAGCUUUCUCCUCCAACUUCUUGGUCCUUUGGAGGGUCUUCCUCAUCGACCACACUUCUUUGCGACAGCUUGAUACUUGUCAUCAAGCUUGUCGUAUUCUUGUUGGGAUCGGAGUGUGUCGUUACAGGAUUGCAUCCCAAUCGAAGCAUUCGAUAGAUACACGGCCUACAACAAAACAAAACAAACAAUUAGAAAAAAUAUAUAUACAUAAGUAAAAAGCGAUUUCGGGUCACUUACAGCAGAUAGAGAUUUAGUGAGAUCCUCGCGUAUCCAAUCCCCAGGCUUUGUCAGAAGCAGCUGGGCAGCCCUCGCUCGCACCCCUUCAUCGGCGAACAAGUCCGGAUAAUCAAAAGAAGUCCGGAAGGGGGCAAAUUCCGGAACAGACCUCGAGCUCGACCCAGUCUCGAAGGUGCUGCGAGGACCAGAUCCUUGGGCCUUCCUCUCUCGAAUCAGCUUAGCGCCGCGCAGUCUCACGGCCAAAUGAGGAAGGACCGCCUCGCGGUAGAGAUGUGUUCCCUUCUUCUUCUUAAUAGGAUUUCCAGAAGGGUCCUCCGACUGCAUGUAAUGUGUCAUGUCAGAAAAAGUAAAGUCCUCCCGCUGAGACAAAGCGAAAGGAACUCCUUGCCCGCAAUCGAAAGAAGCAAGAGCAGAAGAGAACUUCACGUGCUUUAGUUCAGCCUUGCUCAGAGCGUAAGGAACAUCCAGAUGUACGCGGCGAGCGUUGGCCCACCUCUCACGACUCCCGCGUACAAACAUCGAGUCAAUAAAAAAGAACUCGCUCUUCCACUGUGGCCCAUAGUUAGUGGGGAGUUCUACAAUCAGCUCACGUCCGCUGAACCGCUUCGUUAAGCCCAACCGACCAGAUUCGGAAGCGGGUGCCUUGACAAAUUUGAAGAACCAGAAGAACAAGGCGGCGGUUGCAGGGAUGUUCAAGCUCCAACAGAUGUUGGAGAACCCUCUCAGAUAAACAUAAAACGCUGCCUGCAUCUGCGACAGCGAGACACCCCCUUGCAGCAGCACUUCACUCAUCAGUGCAGGAAUGGGCAGCAUUGAGAAGUGCCUGAAGUAGAGUCGGGGUAUGGCUUGGAACCCCGCGGAAGGAAGAUUCGCGGGCUGAUAUCUCGACCCCCAGAAUCGCAAAUGCCCAGAUAUGUGAAUCCCGCGCAAAAUCUCUCGGGCUUCAAGUGCAGAGGUUAUGGAAAAUGGAUGCCCAGUCUCGUUCUGAGGCACGAGAGGUGCAUUAACAGAAAAGGACCCCUCGUUCGUGUCACUGAGGGGUGGCAAUCUAAUCUCACCACCCGGCAAGGUCUCACAGUGUGCGUAGCCGGUGUGGUUCUCCACUCCCUCGUAGAAUGGGAGGUUCAUGUGGUCUCCAUCCUUGUCCACUUCCGUGGGAGGAGGAGGAGUCUGCGAUCCGUCAGCAGAAUCUGUGCGGCGUCGGCUCUGGCCGCGGUCAACUUCCAAUUCCUGAUUGUAGUCAAAGGGCUCAGGAACCCGUACACCCUCCACAGAGGGGAAAUGCGUCUUGCCUCUACCCCCCAUCCCGUAAGUAGGAGGAAUGGGGGCACUAUCCUCGCAAGAUGCGUUCUUUGCAUGCUUAAGGUGUUUUCUUUUUCUUUUCUUAAGCCUCUCAGAUUCGUCUAUCGGCCUCUCAGCUUCCACCACUUGGAUGAGUGCAGAUUCUUCAACUUCUGCCCCCGAGUUGGGGGGCAAUAUCGGCGACUUAGGGUCCAGACUCGCCGAUAUUGGUGCUGAACUCGCCGAUCCCAGUGUAAUCACUCGGCGAGGUCUCUUGAAAAUGGGGACAACCCCCUUGCCUUUAGCCGGCGACUUCCCAAGGGGACUCGCCGACUUAAGUGCAAGACUUUGGGGAAUCUCGCCCGCUUCAGUAGAAGGCCCUGCCACGACCAGAGCCAAGGAGUCAUCCCUCAAACUCGCCGACUUCUUGUUAGAACUCGGCGACUUUUCCGGAGUUAGCCCGAGCAACUCGCGGGCAGUAGCAGUGCGGUGCAUCAACAGCCGGAAUCUCCGACCCACCACGCGAAGGCGAGGGGGAUCGGAGACUCGACGGUGUUGAGCACCCCCGCUAAGCUCUCAUCCAUAUCGUUGUUCAGAAUGUCGGCGACCAGAGCCUCGGUCUCCGACAUUGUCAAUUGAGGAAGCGACGGUUGGUCUGCCAUAUAUCGGCGAUGUAAGAGUAGACUCGGCGAGUUAGUGAUGGGUUCUGGUGAUUAUGGUGAGAGUCGGCGAGUUAGGAAGAGACUCGGCGACUUAGCAAGGGAUUAGGGUUUAUGCAAAUCAGGGAAAGUGAUGUGCGGAUUAAAAUAAUCGAUUCGCUAUUUAUAUACCCUGGACAAAUUGCAAAAACCCCUCGGAAAAUCUAGAAAUUAUGCAAAGGAAAUUCGCUAAUUGAUUCCCAAAUCCACAAGACUCGGCGAGUUUCUCGCAAACUCGCUGAGUUUGGGCAAAAAUCACGGGAUACGAAGAGGAAACUUCCAUAUUUGGAAAAUUUGCAAAUAUUUCCCAAAAUCCUAAGGAUUCUCUAAGGGAUCCGCCAGCUCAGACUAGGACUCGCCGAGUUUAGAAGAAAGUCGCCGAUCUAGGUCAGCAAACCUCCAGGCUUCUCACGGAACAACCCCAGUGCCAAGUCGCCGAGUUAACACUUUAAGUCGCCGACUUAGGAUAUCAUAUAGUAUCUUAAGAAGGAGAGUAUCACAAGCUCUCCCGACAUUUCUGUCGCUCCGGCCAGAGAUCGUCAAACUUCAGAGGAGAGUACCACAAGCUCUCCUGACAUUUCUAUCGCCUCGGCUGGAAAUCGUCAAACUACAAGGGGGAGUAUCAGAAGCUCUCCCGACAUUUCUAUCGCUCCGGCCAGAGAUCGUCAAACUUCAGGGGGGAGUAUCACAAGCUCUCCCGACAUUUCUAUAGCCUCGGCUGGAAAUCGUCAAACUUCAGGGGGGAGUAUCACAAGCUCUCCCGACAUUUCUGUCGCUUCGGCCAAAGAUCGUCAAACUUCAGGGGGGAGUAUCACAAGCUCUCCCGACUUUUCUGUCGCUUCGGCCAGAAAUCGUCAUAUUUCAGGGGGGAGUAUCACAAGCUCUCCCAACACUUCUGUCGCUCUGGCCGGAAGUAGCCACAUAUGAGCACGGUGAGUCUGUUGCUUCGGCCAGAUUCACCAAGGAUUGGUUCAAGCAAAGGGAGAAUAUCACGAGAGGUUAAAUCGCACGGUAAGUUAAAUUGGUCAAAUAGUAAUGUGCGUUUUAGACUGAUCUAGUUGUUUUGCAGGAUGUUUUCUUUUUUGCAGGUAUUAUUCUGUCGCUUUGGCCAGAAUGUUUUUCUUUUUUGCAGGUGUUAUUCUGUCGCUUCGGCCAGAAUCAUACUCCAAAAGUGAGUCGAUCUAUCUUGUCGCUUUUGCCUUGAUAGACUAGAGAUCGUUCUGUCGCUUUGGCCUUAACGAUCUCAACCCAUAUUGUCGCUUUAAGCCUUGAAGGGGGCCGUCGUUGCGGACUUUAAGUCGCUCUUGAUCAGAGUGGACUAUAAACAUUAGUUCUAUCGCUUCGGCUAAAACUCGGUUCUAUCGCUCUGGCUAGAAUCCGAUUCUGUCGCUCCGGCCUGAAUCAGAUUCCGUCGCUUUGGCCGGAAUUUAUCUUGUCGCUUCGGCCUUGAUCUCAUUUCCUCCAAUAUUUUCCCCUGGCUUCAAUAUUAUCACAUCGUUUCUUUCCCAUUCUUUCAGCCUAACCUUCCACAACCCUCAAUAAUCCAUCACUUCCAUGAUCGUGACCUAACCUUCCACAACAUUUAUGGACUGAGGCAACAUAUUCCAGAAACGCUAAGUAAUACAUCAAUUUGAUUCUUCUUUGGUUUUCUAUAUUCUUCUUUUUCAUUUAGGCUUUUCAUUUUCUAUUUUUCCUCUUUUAUUCCUUAAUCUUCCUCUCUUCCUCUUACAUUCUCUUCUUUUUCCAUUUUAUUCUUCAUCGUUUCAUCUUUCUCUUUUAAAUAUUUAAAAAUGCUGAGGGGAUUCCUUGGGCUGACUGGUUAUUAUAGGAGGUUCAUUAAGGCGUUAUGCUGAAAUAGCUUCUCCUAUGACUGAUUUACUAAAAGAAGAUUGUUUUAAAUGGGAGUGAAUUGGCACAGAGCAGUUUUGAGAAAUUAAAGUUAGCUAUGGUUUCAGCACCAGUAUUGAAAUUUCCUGAUUUCAGCAAAUAGUUCACUAUUGAGACUGAUGCUUGCAAGAGUGGUGUUGGGGCAGUCCUAAUACAAGAACAUCACCCCAUCUCCUUUUUCAGUAGAAAAAUAUCAGGAAAAUUGAGUUCAGAAGCAAUCUAUAUAAAGGAGAUGCAUGCCAUCACUCAAGCAGUGGCCAAAUAGAGACACUACCUCUUAGGGUCUCACUUCUUAAUCAAAACAGAUCAAAAAGAGUCUCAAGAACCUUCUAACUCGGGUUAUACAAACUCUGAGAAGCAAGUUUUUCUUGUAAAUUGUUAGGUUUUGAUUUCUCAAUAUUAUAUAAGCCAGGCAAGGAAAACAUAGUGAAUAUUAAAAUCUGAAUAUUUUAACAAAAAUAUUUAUAUCUAUAUUUAUAUUUUUAAAAAAUUUAGAUUUUUAUUUAAUUUUUCUUAUAAUUUAUUCAACAGUUCUUAUCAAUUAAUAUCUAUAACUUUUAAUAUCUAUAUUUUAUUAUUAAAACCCUUAACGAACUUAUCGAGCUAUUGAGCCGAUCGAGGAGAGAUUGAAAAGUCCAAGCUCGAUCUCGGCUUGAUCUUCUUUAUUCUGCAAAUCAUCUUCAUCACGAAGAAAGAACUUGAAUUCGACUUAGUCGACAGAGGGUAGUGAUUGGCAGACGAAGCGAGAAGGUUAUAUUUCUUCGACCAUGGUUACUGGAGGACCUCACUCCGAGGAGGAAGUGGGGAGGAAAUUGUGGUGAAAUAACUACCCAAGUAGUGUUGUCGCUUAUAAAUUUUUGGCACUCCUGGCUGAGACUCCCACUUGAAAGGGACAUUCGGAGGUGGAAAAUAGUAGUGGACAUCAGAAUCCAUGCCGGCGAUCGAUGAGGAAAUCUAGUGAUCGAUGACUAAGUUGGAAGAUUCAUUUUAUACAAGUACUUAACAUUAUUAAACACGAUCUAUAACACAAAAUCACAUAUACCAUGCAUGUCAUAAACGUGUGUUUUCAGUUUCAACUGUAUGUCUGUGAAAGGAUCGCGAUCUUUAAAUUCGACAGACCAGUUGCGUGCAGAAGCCAGGAUUUCUGCGUGGGGAUAACAGAAUAUAUCUUCCACCCAAUUAUGUAAUUCAUGACUAAAUUGUGUGAGAGUCUCGUUGUGUACGUAUUUUUAUUAUGUUUUUAUUAAAUUUAUUUUGAUGAUCUAAAUAAUUUAACAUAUAUAUUAGACAAUUAGUAUUAAGUAAUAUUAUUUCAAUUAAACAUAAACAACUAGGGUAUUAAACGAGUCGAGCUUUUGCUUAUAGAGUUGGGCUUGAACUCAUUAAGGAAUUAUCCAGAAUCGGGCUCGGGCUCAGCUCUUUAAGGAAUUGUCCGGACUCGAGCUCGAAGUUGGCGAACUCGAACUCGGCUCGGGCUCGAACUUAAAAUUUAACUUGCAAUUCUACAAAUUGAAAAAAAAUAUUAAAAUCUAAAUAUUUAUCUAUAUCUAUAUUUAGUUUUAGUUUUAGUUUAAAAAAAAUAGAUUUUUAUUUAAGUUUUCUUUAAAUUUAUUCAAUAGUCUAUAACUCUUAAUAUCUAUAUAUUUUAUUAUUAAAAAACAUUAUCGAGCUUGAGUUUUAGGCUCGAACUUGACUCAUUGGGCUCGCGAGCCCGAGCUUAACGAGUCAAGCUUUAGUUGAAACCCUAUAAAGAACGAUCCGAACUCGACUCGAUCAGACUUCUAUCAAACUCUUUCUUCUAAUAACAAUAUAUAUUUUUUGCAUAAAAACUGAUCAAUAAAUAACAUAGUUGUUGGUACCAUGGACCGCGGACCGCGGCCCAUGGACCGAACCGGACCGGACGGCCCAGGCGGACGGACGGACGGGCGGACGAGCGGACGAACGGGGCUGACCGUACAAACCCACGAGGCCCAAUAACAACAAGUGAAGGCUAUAAAUACCUCCCCUGGCCCAACUGGGAGCAAGGUUGACAAUUCUAAGAGAGUGAACACUGGAGAGUUGAGGUUGUGGGCUUACACCGGCGAGCGUACACACCAACAAUAGUGUUUCAAAUAAAACUAUUUUUAUAAUAGGACCGAGGAUCUGGUAUGUCUAUGUGCGGUCACCAUCCUGGUCUUCUAAAAUGGAUCAUAUGGUCAAAAAAAUGAUGAUCAGCAAACCAAAACUUGAUGGACAAAACUACGGUUUAUUUUCACAUCUUCAAUCUACACUCAUUUAUCUAUAAUAUCGUUGGGGGUAUUCAUAAAAAGCAUUAAAAACGGGUAAGAUCAUAUAUUAUUUAAAGAUGGAUUUAGUUCUCAUUUUUAAUUAUAAUUUCUAAAUUUUCUAAUGACUUUUGAAAUAUUUUUCUUUUUGUUAUUUUCUAUAUUUUUGUCAAAAUUUCCACAAUAUUCUAUAUUAAUUAAUCUAGAAAUCUACAAAACUAUUCUAUUGUUUAAUAUAAAUAAGGAACAUUUGUUAACUUUUUUUAAUAAAAAGAAUUCCAUUUUUAUAAUAUUAAUUUGUUGUAGAUUAAAUUUCUAUUAUAUUUAUAUGAUUGUGAAUUUUAAAUUAAUAUACUUAAAUAUUAAAUGUUAAUAAUUAAUAUGAUUCUAAUAAAAAAAAUUACAAUUGUUUUUAAUUAAUAUGUUAAAAAAAAUUAAAAUUAAUUUAACGUUUUUUAUAUAUAUAUAAAUUGCACAUCAGUAGUGGACAAAAACCAAUGGAUAGGAGAUCAUAUGGUAUGUUAUCAAAUUUAAAAGGUGGAGAAUAAUACCUUUUAGUGUGUCAUUAGCCUCCGCUUUUAAUUUAGUCAUGGAUUUAACCGGAAUGUUUUUGAUAAUCGGUGAAUGGGUUAAAUUUAAACAAAAUUAGCCAAAGAAAAAUCAUUGGCUAGCUAUUUUAUUUAUUGGUGGUGGUUUUCUUUUAAAACAGUAAGAAAACAUCAUGGUCAUGGAAAAAUCUAUUUUAUUUAUUGGUCAUGAUUUUUUUUUUUAAAUAGUAAGAAAACAUCAGGGUCACGAAAAAAUCAUUGGCUAUUUUAUUUAUUGACCGGUUAAUAAAUAAAAACUAGAAAUUGCAACUGCAGGUGAAUAAUUUUAAGCUAGAGAUUCAAAAAAGAUAAAUAAAUGGACGAUCUAUUAUAUAAAAUUUGUAUAUUUAUAACCGUUAAUCUUGAGAUGCCUUGCUCAUUUAAUCAAAACAGGAGCAAGAAUUAGCCUAUAUCACCAUUUAAUAAGUUUCAUUAUCUCAUUGUGAGGCAUUUUGUCAAUCACUUGGAUCAACUUGAUUUAUCACCAGUUAACAUGAAAAGCAGUACAUCAUGAUGACCGACACUCUUAAAUUUGAAUAUGAAUGCAAAUUCCGAAUCCAAAUAAAAUUCAACCUUGUUAUAAUCCAUUAAUAUGAUCUAAAUAGUGAUAUAGGAAUUUACAAAAUAUGUCGCAAAGAGGCAAUAGACAUUUAGGAAAUACAUUCGCGAUCCGAGUCAUACAGAUCCAAAACUUGAUUACAAACCGAAUCAAUUCUUCUAUGAAAUUACCAUACCUGCUUGAUGGUUUGAUUGAAGAUCAAUUUCAAUCUUUUAAUUAAAUUUCUUAUCAAUUAUUUUUAUUUUAUUUAUUAAGUUUAAUUGUUUAAGUUAUUGAGUCGCAGACUAUAAAUGUUGAUCUCCCAUAUAAACAAAAAACUAAUUAUAAUUUCUUUUUAAUCAAUCAAAAAUCUAAUUUUGUUUAAACUUGGCUUAGCAAUCAUACGGGUUAAAGCAACCCUAUUACUGUUUUAUUGCUUUUUAUCAAAUCGGUAUCUAUCCUCCUAUAAACUGGUGUUUUCAAUAUCAUUCUUGAUGGAUUUCUCUCGUCAAGAGGAUGAGAGAUGAAAGGGAAAAUGGAAUGACAAGACCUUUUUAAAUAUCUGGAAGACAGUACAAGCGUACCUGUUGGUACCAUGGACCGCGGACCGCGGCCCAUGGACCAAACCGGACCGGAUGGCCCAGGCGGACGGACGGGCGGGCGGACGAAUGGACGAACGGGGCUGACCGUACAAGCCCACGAGGCCCAAUAACAACAAGUGAAGGCUAUAAAUACCUCCCCUGGCCCAACUGGGGAGGGGGUUGACAAUUCUGGAGAGUGAACACUUGGGAGAGUUGAGGUUGUGAGCUUACACCGACGAGCCCACACAACAACAGUACCAUAAUCCAAAUCACUAUGCCAAAGCGUAAAUUGUUGUUGUGGCGAUUGAGAUGUGGAAAAACGACCACUUGUGAAAAAUUAUAAUUUAUAAAUCGGAUUUCACACAAAUAAAUUUAAAAAAAAUCACAAAUCAGAAAAUGGAUGUUUAUGCUAUGCUGCAUUAUGAUUAAGAGAACAAGCAAACUAAGGGUGAGAACGGAGCGGGGCGCCCCAUUCCGCGCCCCGGUGGUACCGAGGGCGGGGCCCCGUUUUUUCAUUUUUGCCCCGUGCCCUGUUGCCCCUGUCAUAUUCCGAGGCGGGUCUCGGGGCAAGGCGAACCCCGGGCGGGUCAUCUCGGUUUUUAAAAAAAUUAAUUUUUAUGAUUUUUUUAUUAAUUUAAAUUAUAUUAUAUUAGAUAUAUAAUUUUUCAAAUUAAUUUUUUUAAAAAUCAAGGUAAAUAGUUUACCUAUUUAAAUUUUAGAUUUAAUUUUUAUUUUUAUUUUAAUAUUUAAAUUUUUUAUAUAUUUUUUUUAUUUUUAUAAUUUAGACGGGUCGCCCCGGAUCCGCCCCGUUCCGCGCCCCGGUCACCGGGGUCGGAAGCGGGUCUCGGGGCAGGAAGGUAGGGUACCUGACCCGCCCCGUUUCUCCAGAGCGGGGCGGGUCGGUCCCUCCCCGGGAUUAUGCAAAAAUCUAAUCUCUAUUAGAUAUUUAGCAAAUGAUCUAAACUGCUCAAUCUCAUUUGAUGCAAAUGAUUUCAAUAUUAAGGCGAAGGAUGGAGUAGAAAUUCUCAGUGGCAGUAGCACAUCCAGGUUGUACCAGCUGGGACGACAACACCAAAGAAUCAACCGUGCUGAUAUCUCAAUUUGUCUCCCUGGCGGUAUGACAUAAUCAGUUUGGCCAUCCUGAAGAAAGUUCUUGCUCAAUUUUCAGAAAAUGAUCACUCAAUCAUCCGGAUUCCUUUCUGCUCGAUUUGUGCCACAAACAAAGCAAAAAGACUUCCAUUUAAUUCCCAAUCCUACACAGCAUGACACCCGUUCGAAAUCAUUCAUCUGGAUCUGUGGGGUCCAUCUCCUGUUGCCUCCAGAGAGGGAUAUCGUUACUAUGCGGCUAUUGUAGACGAUUGCACUCGCUUCACAUGAUUUAUUCCGCUUGUUUUCAAAAGUCAACUAUUUGAACAAUUAAUUUGCUUGGUUUUGUAAUAUGGUUGAUCGAAAUUUUUCAUUUCCCAUUAAGUGUGUUAGAACAUAGAAGUGAUGUUAGGGGUGAAUUCACCAACAAAGAAUUUAUCAAAUUCUUGACAGACAAAGGGAUAAGGAGAUUAUUGUCGUGCCCCUACACUCCUGAACAAAAUGGAGUUGUAGAGAGAAAACAUUGCCACAUUAAAAGCAUUGGUAGGUGUUUCUUACAUCAGCCGGGCUCCCACUCAAAUUUUGGAGUGAUGCAUUCAAAAGUGUUGUCUUCACCAUAAAUCGGUUGCCAUCACCUAAUACAGACAACACAAGCUCUUAUGAGCUGUUUUAUCAUAGAAAACCGGGCAUCUCCUUUCUCAAAACGUUUGGUUGCCAAUGCUAUCCAGUUAUUCCACGAAUCAGAAGAAACAAACUUCAAAGUACUGCAUCAAGAGGUUGCUUUAUAGGUUACUCAAAUAUUCAUAAAGGAUACGCCUACUAUGAAUUGGAAAAAGAGCAAAUCUUCGUCUCGAGAAACGUGAUUUUUGAUGAAACAAGGUUCUCGUUCUUAGCAAAUACAAUACUGCACACUAACGGCGGGUUCCAUUUUCAACUUUUAUCAAACAACAUCACCCAUCAUUACAAUUUUUGGUGGGAAAUGGAGAUGAAUAAUAGAUGACGGUCUUUAGAUGGCGGUUAUGGGGUUAUAAUGGAGAUUGUCAAGAUGACGGUCUUUAGAUGGCGGAUUUUCGCCGACUAUCACUUUAGAUGGCGGAAAUCCACCAUCUAAAGACCGUCAUACAAGGUCUUAUUUUUUGUAGUGCAUCCUGCAGCUUUUCCAACACCAAAUAGUACAUCCAGAUUGAACACACGUCCAAUAACGAUAAUACAAUAGAGUACGAUACCACACUCUCGACGGAUGGACCUGCAACAACUCUGGAAGACAUAUCAAAAAAUGACGUGAUCUCUGCAAAUCUUGUUGUUGUUGGAUCUGGAUCAGAGGCUUAGGAGGUAAUAGCCUCUUCUCGUGAUUUCUCAGGCAAUGUGCGGAAUACCUGAGAGUGUAAGUUAAAGACAAGGAUAUAUAUAUAAAAUGUGUCUGUUCUUUAUAAGUUUUUUACUGUAGUAUAUAAAUACUGAGUUUACUUAUAAGAUUGUGCUAUAUAGAUAAUUGUAGUAUAUAAAUACUAAGUUAUGAUAUAAGCACACGUUUAAGAUAAGUGUAUAUAUAUAUAAGUGACCAGAUAACUGAAUAUAUAUAUUUUAACUGAUAGUAAUCUCAGUCAAUGACCAGAUAACUAGAUGAAAGAUCUGCACGAAAAUAGUCAACAUCAAUCUGUGACCAGAUAACUAGAUGAAGGAUCUCUUUUUAGUUAUUUUUAUCUUGUUAAGAUUUAAAAUGAAAAAGCAAGAAAUAAAAAGAGACACAAAGAUUUUUAUACUGGUUCACCCAAACAAGGGCUAAUCCAGUUCCGAUAAAACACGGAGAUCACUAGCCUGAAGGUAAUGGUGAAACCUCUUCCAAGCUUUAAGGCUAAACGCUUGUGAACCACCUAAGAGUAUUCAGAAACUCUUAAAAACCUCUGCCAAACUUUAAGGCUAAACGUUUGUGAACCCUCUAAGAGUAUUCAGGAACACUUAAGAAUCUUUGCCAAGCUUUAAGGCUAAACGCUUGUGAACCACCUAAAAGUAUGAAGGAACUCUUAAAAACCCUUGAACCUUUAAGGCAGAUUCAACUUAAGAGUUUUCCUGAAAACUCUAUAGAACCACACCGAAUUUUAUGGUUGAACUCGUUGAACCUUAUAACUAUAAGUGUUGGUAUUGAGACAAGCCUCUCACAACACUUGGACCACUUACAAGAUGUAAACAUUUUCUUCUAACAUACUCUCAACGUACAAGAGGGGAAGAAGAAGAAGUUGAAGAACUAAAGCACACAACCUUGAGAGCAACGACCCUCACACAAAGCUUGAACGAGAGCUAGAGCUUGAGCAAGAGCAAGUGAAAACGAAAGUAGAGCUUUGAUCCAAGGAGAGCUUUAGCAAAGAUGGCAAGUGAUGGCUUUAGCUCUUGGGUGUGCACCUCCUUUUAUAGUGGACGUGAGUGGCAUAGAGGUAAAUUCUUCAUCUUCAAAACUCCUAGAAAGAAGAGCUUGAUAUUGUAGACGUUGGAGGCUUGGAGCUUCUCUUGAAUUUGAAUUUCUAUCUUGGGAGAUUUUGUAACAUUAACUCCAAGAUAUUUCAUCUUGGGAGAUUAUGUAGCAUUUAAUUCAAGAUCAUGAUUGUGUAACAUUUUGGGAGAGUGAACCUCCGCACGUUUUUUGCCUUUCUCUAAUUUGAACUCUUCAACUAGGAUUUUGUGUAGCAUUAAUUCCAAGAUCUUGUAGUUAAUAUGUUGGAUAUGUUCUUGAAAUUUAUCAUGAUUGCACUUCUACACGUUUUCUACACUUUGGGUCCAUUUGAAGCUUGAAUGAAUAAUUAUAGCUUUUCACACCUUAUUGGUUAACCUUGAAGACAUUGAUCAACUUGAAACAAGAGUUAAUGCAAGCAAAUAGAUGUGCAUAAUUAAAUACAAGCUUCAAUAAUUAACUUGAUUAAUAGUAGAGAUUUGUUUGAUGAAAAUAAUAUUGAUCUCAUUUUAGUUUAAUCAUAUAUCAAGUCAAUUUUAUCUAUGUCUUGUUAAUUAGGGUUUAUUUAUAUUUCAAAUUAAUUAACAACUAAAUAUGUCAUUGAGAAUCUUAUUUCUACAGUUGUACCACUGGAAACCCACCAACAUCCAGGAAGAGAAAGACGCAUGCCAACUCGAUACAAAGACUACCAAGUAUCGAUGCCGGGUGAUCAACCGAUUAUUCUUCUAGCCCAAUUACAUACGGAUGAAAGCAACAAAGAAAAUCAAACCCGAUUAAUCUAUUCGACAUCCAAUACAUCAUCCGACCAAAUAAAUACCAAAUCCCAAACUAAAAUUAGCACAAUACCCCAACUCACUACAAACCCGACACCCAAUAUCGCCAAACCAACACCCAACUUCAAAAUCCAUGACCUAACCUCACCGUCUACACAUCACUCUCAUAUCCCAACUCUCUAAACUAGAGCCAAACUCAGUUAAAGAAGCAAUGAUCUUAACACAUUGGAGGAAAGAAAUGGCCACAGAAACUUGGACAUUAACUCUAACGCAACAAGGUAUGAAUAUCGCAAGCUGUAAAUGGAUUUAUAGAACUAAAGAAAAAAUACCAGGAUCACAGAAAAAUCAUCAUUAGCUAUUUUAUUUACGGGCCAUAUCAGAUAAGAAGAGUUCUUAUAAGAACCCUCUACUAUCCUGUCGGUCGGUUUUAAGAAGAGUGCUGGACCGUCGAAUUUUUUAAGUAGCAACCUAGUAAAUCAACUAGUAGUCGGUUUCAUGUUACCUGUUGGGAAACAAAUCCAUGAUAUCUUACGUACUAGUAUUAUCAGUAGGAAAGUACUAUCUCGUUAUCAGUCGGUUUUUUUUGUUCUACAGUCCCAUUAGUGAUUUUGGUAGUUAGUUUUGAAACAGUUUCAUUUCCAAAACCCUAGUUUUUCGUAUAUAAAUAUUUUGGUUUUUUCAAAUCACUUGUUGUGAAAGUGUAUGUUCUUUUUUGUUUCUAUCUGCUGUGUGACUCUAUUGCAUACUGUAAUUUUAUACUCUAAUUUUAUACUAUAUUCCAUACUAUUCCAUACUGUAAUACAGAGUUUAAUUUUAUUAUUUUCUUCUGUUUUCAAGAUGUUUACUUUUUUUAUUUUCAUGCUCUGAAAAAAAAUAUGUUUUAUCUGUCUGUUAUUUUUUAUCUUUAUCUUGUUUUUUUUCAAUCGCAAUUUUCUUUUCUUCUACUAUUUAGCCUCUUUCUCUAAAAAUCGAAUUGUGUUUUUAUAUCUUUAUUUGUUUUUAUGUUUUUUUGACACAUGUAAAGUUUCUUGAUUCCAAUUUUUUAUUAAUUCAUUUUAAAACAGAAUUUUAUAUCUCUGUUUGUAUUUAUUUUUAUUUCUUAAUCAAAUCUUUGUUUAUUCCACUAAUUUGUUUUUUUUGGUCAAAAUCUUGGUUAUUUGUUUAUAUCUCAGUAAUCUUCACUGCAGUUUUUCAAAGAAAACUUAUAUCCGAAAAAUCUUCAUGUUCUGAUCAUACUUCAAAGAAAAAUCAUAAUUCUACAUCCGAAAACAAAGAUCCUAAAGAAUCAUCGGUUCCAGCAAGGCAGCAAGUGGUAAUGUUUGUAUGUAAAAUAUAUAGUAUUAGGAAUACUAAUUUAAAUAUUGUGCUAAUGUUGUUUAAAUUUUCAAGAAAAAGGUUUCAAAGAAGAAAAAAGAACAAGAAGAUGUUAAAAUCACCUCUUCUGCUAAAAAGCUUAGGAGUUCUGCUGAGAAGAAGAAAUAUGCGGAGGACAUAAAAAUUGAUGAAAAGAAUGAUUCUUCUGAUAAUCUGGAGCCAUUUAAUGUUGAAGAUAAGAAGUUGAAAAAGAAGAAGAAGGGAAAGACUAGAAGUUACGAAUAUGACGAGACCAACAGUUGAGUACUUAAUUUAUUCGUCAAUUUUUUUUGAAUAAUUCUGAUAUUUUUUUUAGUUAAUCAUUUAAUUCGGCAUCGGUCUGAGAUCCCGAUCUACAAUCAGGAAACAAUAAUUGGUUCAGUCCAAUUCAACGAAGCUGUGACAAAAAGAAUAAAGUCGUCCGUCUUUGGAUAUUUUUAUGCUCUCCCUGAUUUCAAGAUCAAAGCACACUUGCUUCGAAUAGAAAUUUGAACAUGAUGGAAUUCGACGAGCUGAAGAACAUAUUAGACGAAAAAGAAGACAGAUGAGAUAUGAUUCAUAAUAUCUUAGCACCCAUUGAAGUGUACGGUCAAUGGCAUUUAAUCCAGUUAGAUAUUUCUUUGAAGACCUACUUCUAUUGUAGCCCGUACGAAGAUAAUGAGGAUAUGAAGAAAUAAUUCAGCAAUAUGGUAAAUGUAUUGAAACCCAUAAUGCAUUAAACACAUUAAUUACUGGCGUUAUGCAUGACUUCAAUUAUAUUGUUAUCAUUUGGAGCAGACUAGGUGGUUGGAUCAUUAUGUCCGAAGGAUUUAUUCAGACCAUAAUUUAUCUAAUUGGGUUUGCGAACCGUCUUCUAAUUUUCCUCAAGCAUUCGAAAAAACACCUGAGGAGACCGGCCUAUACGUUAUGGCUGUCAUAGAAUACAUAUCUUUACGUGAGCCGGUACUUUAGAGCAAAAAAGACAUCGAUAACAUCAGGGAGAAAAUUGUGCAUGACAUACUACGUGUGUCUUUACGUGAUGCUCAUAUAUUUACAAAUUUUUCAUUGAAGUACAAUUAAAGUAUGAACUAUCCUAACUUUUUUACGAUAAUUGUAUAUAUUGAUUUUGUGAUACAAUUUGAAAAAUUAUUAGUCUACCUAAUCUUAUACGAAGCAUAGUAGUAGAAGUUUCCAACAUUAUAAUUUAAUGGGAAAAGGUCAUAUUAGCAUAAGUAUGCAACAUAGUAUAGUAAGGGGUAAAAUAUUUGUUGAUCUAUGGACUGAUAUUAGCAGAAGGAUAGAUGUUGGUCUAAAUACUGAUAUUAGCAUAAGGACACUACAUAGUAGUGUAAAAACAUAAUAGAAGUAAAGAACAUAGUAUAGUAAGGGGUAAAAUAGAUGUUGGUCGAAGUACUGAUAUUAGCAGAAAAACACUAUACAGUAGCGUCAACACAUAAUAGCAGAAGUAUACAACAUAGUAUAGUAAGAGGUAGAAUAUAUGUUGGUCUAAGUAGUGAUAUUCGCAGAAGCACACUACACAGUAUAGUAAAAACAUAAUAACAGAAGUAUACGACAUAGUAUAGUAAGGGAUAUAAAAUAUGUUGGUCUAACUACUGAUAUUCGCUGAAGCACACUACACAGUAGAGUAAAAACAUAAUGACAGAAGUAAAGAACAUAGUAUAAUAAGGGGUAGAAUAGAUGUUGGUCUAAGUACUGAUAUUAGCAUAAGGACACUAUACAGUAGCGUGAUAACAUAAAAACAGAAGUAAAUAACAUAGUAUAGUAAGGGGUAGAAUAAAUGUUGGUCUAAGUACUGAUAUUAGCAAAAGCACAUUACACAGUAGUGUAAAAACAUAAUAACAGAAGUAAUGAACAUAGUAUAGUAAAGGGUAGAAUAGAUGUUAGUCUAAGUACUGAUAUUAGUAGAAGCACACUACACGGUAGCGUGAAAACAUAAUAACAGAAGUAUCCAACAUAGUAUAGUAGGGGGUAAAAAAAUGUUAGUCUAAAUACUGAUAUUAGCAGAAGGACACUACACAGUAGCGUGAUAACAUAAUAGCAUAGAGUAAACAAAAUAGUAGCGUAAUUGGUAGAAUAGAUGUUGUUGUGAGUACUUAUAAUAGUAGAAGCAAAUAACUACAUAGUAGCAAAAAUGGGUAGAACAGAUGUUCGUCCAAGUAGUGAUAUUAGUAGAGGCACACUAUAUAUUAUGCGAGUUAAAAAAAAGAAUAAGGACACACAUGGUUAAAAUUAGUUUGUUUUUUAUUCAUAAAAAUAACUGUUGCUGAAAAACAGAAUAAAUGAGGAUCAUUUCUUCUUAGCCGCUGGAUCGCGAUGUAUUUCCUUUGCGCUCUUCAUCCGCGCUGCAUCAAUUUUGGUUGGUCUUCCUCUUUUACCACUCCCUUUUGUUUUAACUUUCGCUGGAGGCCCAAUCACAAUUGUUGUAUUCUUCGUUUUUUUGGUUCUUGUAAUUGAUGUUCUAGAAUAUAAAUUUGAAACCACUAUAGUCUCACUCAGUUUCUGAAGAGCUUCUUCACCAUAUUUGAGUGGUAUAUCAAGUUGAGGUUGUCCCAUUUUUGUAUAAUUCAUCAUUGUUUGGGUCUUUACUGCAUACUUGGACAAAGGAUUGUCAGGUUCUGAAAGAGAUGGAGCUAUUCUGUUAGUCUUGCAUAGUUUGUCCCACCUAGGCAUUGACAUGAUCAGGAGAUUUUUGAUAUUCACUAGGGGAGGAAGAUUUUCGUUUUGAAUAAUUUUUGAGGGUUUUAGUAGUUUCACAAGACAUAUUAGCGGAGGAUUCCCUUAUAUCAGUAGAGGUGCGUUGGACGAAAUCAAAUUCAAAUAUGGUGCUACCUAAGACAUCAGGUUCCAGGGAGGCCGAAAAAUCAACAUUACAAGCUGUAGGAUGAACAUGGGUCUGACAUUGAGGGGAAUUGAAAUGGAAAUUCAAACUAUUAAUUGGAGGUUUUAACAGUUCCACAACUAAUAUUAGCGGAGGAUUCUCUAAUCUCAGCAGAGGUGCAUUGGAUGAAAUCUGAAUCAAAUAUGGUGUUAUCUACGACAUCAGGAUCCACGGAGGACAAAUAAUCAACAUUACAAUCUGUAGGAUUAACAUUGGUCUGACAUUGAGGGGAAUUGAAAUGGAAAUUUAAACUAACGUUGCAUGAUAUGUUUGAAUGAUCGUAUGUAAAUUGUUGUGAACGAUAUGGAGGAGGGGUAACAAAUAAGGAAUUUGUGUUGGGAGAAACUUGCAGGAUGGGAGAAGGAUCUUGUUUCGCAAAUGAUGGUAGAGAAACCAUUAUGCUAUGGGAGAAAAAAAAGAAGGAUUUGAUGUAAGAAAUGAAAAACAAUAGAACACUAACCUUGAUUUCGGAAGACAAAGAAAGGGGAAAUAGAAGUUGGGUUGCAUAAACAAAAGAAGCUAGAGACGGAAGAAGAUAAACAGUGUGGGAUAUUGAAGAAGAAUACGUUGAAAAAAUAAUCAAGAAAAAAAGAGUAAGGGAGAUGUGAAGGACGAUUUGGAAAGAAAAAGGAAAGUCUUGACAGAGAAUAAGAGAGAAAGGAGGAAAUAUGACUUUUACGUGAAAAGACUUAUAUUGGCAGAAGAAAACGAUUAGAUAGAAGUACAAAGUCAAAUUAUAUAGGUACGUCAGUGAGUAAUGGAAGGACAAAGGAGAGAUAGGAUUGAGGGAUAGAAGAAAAUGAUUAAAGGUAAAUGACAAAAAUAAGGGCAGGACAAAAAAAAACGUACACUGAGGAAGUAGAUAGUGGUAGUAGGAAAGUAGAAGGACAAAUCAAAGAUAGGUGGUAAGAAAAAGAAAUUGUGAGAGAUAGGGAGAGAGAAAAAACAAAAAGCUACCAAAGGACGGUGGGAGAGAGAAGAUGUAAGACCAAAAACCAAAAAAAAACUCUCAUUCUGACAUAUACCACGAAGGGAGAGAGUGCAACAAGGAAAAAAAAAUCACUCUGGCCACUCACGUAUGGAGAGAGGAUGAGAGUGGAUAAAAAAAUUAAAUUUAAUCAAAAAAAAGUACAAGAGUAGAGAGGGUGCAACCGGUUGGUGAAGGUUUUAAAAGAGUUGUCAUGAUUGAUUAUGAGGGAAUGGAUGGAUCAGAUAAAGUUCUCAUGUGAGAACCAAAAAGAAGGAUUCUCACCUGAUUUUAAAUUAUUUAUUGUUCGUGGUUAAUUUUUUUAAAUAGUAAGAAAAUACCAAGAAAAAAAAAAUCACUGGCUAUUAUUUUUAUUGGACGUGGGCAAAUUUUUUAAAACAGUAAGAAAUUCAGGACCAUGGAAAAACCAAUUGUAUUUAUCAUUUGUUAAAUAGGGGUUUGUCAUUUUAAUUUAUUUAUAGUUGUUAAACCAUCUUGAGAGCUUCUUGCGAUUCCAUCUACUAAUCAUCUACAACGUCUAUUUGUCAUUAUGGUAUUGGAGCAGGGCUCGUCAUCGUCGUCUGGUGGUGUUUACGACUGGAAGGUUGAAAGGAACAAGAAUGAUCAAAGGCAUAGAUAAAGGAGCCGUCAAGAAUUGGAUUUUCCUUUCCAUACUAGCCUAAACAUAGGUAACUUUAUGUCAAUACAUGUUUCUAGUGAAAAUUCCUUACAUUGGAGGAUCAAUACAUUCAUUUAUUCAUUCAUUUUCGAUUAAUGUUCAAAUGUAGAAAAUAGAAAGUAAUAAUCGAUUGCAACCGGUGAAUAAUUUUAGAGUAGAGAUAAAAUAAAAAUAAAUAAAUGGACGAGAUUACUGUUAGAUAAAAUUUGUAUAUAUAUUUAUAACCAUUAUUAAUCUUCAGAGGACCUGACCAUUCAAUGAAAACAGGAGCAAAAAUUACCAUUUAUGAUUCAUGGCAGACGCAAUGCAACAUCUAAUUCGUGAUAUUCGAGAAUGUGAUUUAAAUAGCGAUAUAGACAUUUACGAAAUAUGUCGCAAAGAAGCAAUUGAAAUGUCGAGGUAUACUUUGUGUUUUUAGCAUAUUUUAAAAGUAUAUAUAUAUAUUUUAUCUUUCCUAAUCCUUAUUUUUCGAUAAAUGCAGAAGAGCUUCUUGGCAUUCUAAAUUAGCCAAAGAUUUUGAUAAAAGAGAAGAUAAUUCAUCAAAAAAAAAACCAUUUGGCCAUAGCUUGGAAAAAUUGGGAAGAUGCUGGAAUAUUGCAUGCAAAAGCUGCUCAAGAAAUUCUAGAUUUUAAAAAUAAAGAUAACAACGAGUGGGUAUUAGAUUUGCACGGGCUUCAUGCCAUGGAAGCAGAGGACGCAUUAAAAGAACGACUAUCGUUAGUCGAGGGUCUUAAGAUACAAAAAGAAUUGCUGGUUAUCACAGUUUUGAAAAUAUUUUAAAUUCAAAAUAUCAAUAUAUCACUGAAUAAAUUCAUAUAUGUAUUAUUGAUUUGUUGGUAUUGAAAUAUUUUAAUGACAUACACUUAUAAAAAAAUAAUAUUUAUUUUCGUGUUUUUUUUUUCCAGGUAUUGGUAAGCACAGCAAGGGAAAAGCAAUACUUCCCAAUACUAUAAGAAAUUUUCUAAUCCAAAAUCGGUAAAUAAUAUAGGGUUUUUUACCUUUCUUUUUUCUCACACUUAAUUUUUAAAUUAAUUUCGAAAAUUAUAAAUAUAAAAUGAAAUUUUUAUUAAUUUAUUACUUUAUUUUGUAGCAUUCAAUUAACUAGGUAAGCAUAGGGGGUGAGCGGGUACAGGGACGGAUCAGGUAUUUCCUCGUCUCCGUCCUCAGUGAAAAUGAACGGGAACGGAGAAUGUGAUCCCCACCCCAUCUCGUACCCGCUCACUCUUACAUAACAAAAAAACUUUAAAAAAUUUUUAAUAUUUUUCACAUAUAUUUAAUUAUCUUUUUUAUGUUCUACAUUCUUCAGAUAUCAAUUUCAUGAUGCUAGACCUGGAGCAUUAUAUAUCGAAGUUAAGAUUGUGUGAACUCAAGUAACGAUACGAUCGAAUCAGGUUACACAUUGAAUGUGGAAAAUACACGAUCGAUAAACCUUGUCGUCAAGUAUCGAUGAAACAAUCGGGAUUGACAUACAAGAAAAUGGCUCAGGAGUCUACCUAUCAGGUCUGUGCAUUUCUGAUAGAGAGCACCUGAUUGCAGAAGAAGCUCAUCGGAAAAGAAUGGAAGACGAUGUUGAUGAUGAAGUCCUGGAAGAAGCUACGUUGGAGAACAUUCAAGUACAAAAGUUUGAGGUUUAUGCGCAAUCCUAGUCGUACCCAGAUCCAAACCAUGAUUACUAAACCGAAUCAAUCCUCUUAUAGAAUUACCAAACCUUAAUUAAAGAUCAAUUUCAAUCUUUUAAUUAAAUUAUGAGAAAACUUGUUGUAAUUUUUUUUUAUCAAUCAAAAACCUAAUUUUGCUUAAGCUUGGCUUAACAAUCAAACCGGUUAAAGGAAACUGAGGACUGAGGAGUGCUUUCUUUUGUAGUGAACAUGUUGAAACAAUAAAUCAUAUUUUACAAAUCGGAUUUCACGCAAAUAAAUUUGAAAAAAAAUCAUAAAGUCGAACUGGAGUCGGAUCUAAAUUUGUAAGACAGUUAAACAGUUAUUGUUCUAAUGAUCAGAUUACCCCUAUAAGAAAUCCUAUAAAUAAAUGGUCACUUUUGGUCAUUAAGAAGAUAUGAUCUUUUGAAGAAAACUUUGAAAGAUCACUUAGAAAAGACGAAUAGAAUACUGCAAGUUCAAACGUGUUUCCUAGUGGAGUUUUUGAUCCAACGUUAUUCGAAACGAUCCGCGAACACUGAUCAAGUUUCACCCUUAUCAACUAUUUUAUAAAGGCAUUUUUAUAUGAAUCGUUCUAAUAAUAAGUGGAGAAAGUUUGGAUCUAGCUGGUUCGUCACAAGUCACAACUACUAUUCUACAAAUGUUCAUCAAAACAGGAGCAGAUGGACAACAACUUUUGUCCACAUUGAAGAUACAAUUGAGACAUUAAGUUGAUGGUAUCAGAGUUUUGCUUUUCAUUUUCGAAAUGUUGAUGAGAAUGUUAUUGCCUUUAUGUAUUUCUAUUACUACAAAAAAAAAGUGACUUUAGUAGGAGAACCAUGGAUGAUGCAGUGAUAUUGAGAAUGAUUGGAAUAUAAUAUUGCCUUAGUGUUAACUCACUAAUUAUAUUAACACACCAAUUUUCAAAUGAACUAAAACUUAAAUAAGUCAAAAAAUGUCAAUCAAAUCUAGACCGUUGAAAAGGCAAAUAGACGGUUGAUAUUCAAUUUUACAAGAAAACAAAAAAAAUAAGUGCCUGAGAUGAUUUUUGUAUUUUAUGGCUCACUAUAAAAACUUUCCUCCAUAUUAAGAUUCCAAAGAUCUAGACCUAGCUAUUGAUUUAAUUACAUAAAUACCUAGAUUUAGAUCUAUAAAUUAUUUAAUCACAAAAGUUACCAUGUAGUGCGUGCAAUGGUGGAUCACUAAACGAUAUAUUUGGGAACAGUAAUAUAUUUGACACGGCAGACCUAGUGAUUCACAAACUCCGGCAGACCAUAUACCAGGUGAGUUCUUUUACAUCCGGCCGAUUUUUUUUCUGUUCUUGAUGAAGAAUGGUGAUUCACAAACAUCCGACUUCUGUUAUGGCUGAGCUUGUCACUUUUUUUUGAGGUGUUAAUGUAGAUUUUGAUCAUUGACACAUCUCAAUAACUGCGCAUAUGUGCAAACAUACAUAUUAAUCAAAUUAAUCAUCGAUUAUGGAUUUGAUUUUCAAAAUCCGUUUUUACCCAUUUACUCUAUAUAACCAUCGACUAUAAAUUAUGCAAAAAAAAUUGAGAAAUAGUACCUUUUCUAGUUCUAAAAAAUCAAUAAAAACUAGUCAAUACUCCCUUGUGGUCAGGUCCUCGGUCUACCAGACCCGAGUUCCCUGUCUGAAGUCGACGAUGCACCCCUGGAAUCGGCGACUUGGUAGUCCCAGUCGGUGAUUCCCAGGUGUUGCCUUGAGUACUUGACGUAGACACUUGCUCUGCACCGUGGAACUCUCCGGGGGUCUGGCAUAAAGCGACGGAAUCCUAGUCCUUGUUGAAGGGCGUUGCUGGGAGUGACUGACGUAAUCCGGCAUGUCUCACCAGGAGGGAUACUCGCGAUACACACAUGUCUCUUGUGCUCUUUUCAGGGGGGAGUACUGGUGAGAACGCCCUUCAACAAGGACUAGGGUUCCGUCACUUUACGCCGGACCCCCGGAAGUCACCACGGUGCGGAACAAGUUCAUCGUCAAAUUGCCGAGUUAACCCGUAAAUCGUCGAUUGGACUUGUCGACUUUAGAAUAAAAUCGCCGAGUUAGGGCCCAGAUCGACAGUAUGGUAGACUGCAUAUCUCGCCCCUUGAAACUCGGUGAGUUUGCCCUAAAUAGACGAUUUCCAUACCUGAAUCGUCGAUUUACGACCGUUACUCGCCGUCAGCCUACGCCAUAAAUGCUCCCAUAUAUGGCAAUAGGCGCGAUGUCCGGCUUUGAUCGCGCCCUCUGAGACCCUAUAAAAAGGGUCCCAAGGGGAAACUUAAAGACACAACACAAGUUCCACUCUCACGAUUCUCACGAGAAUCACCUAUUCUCCCCUUGCAGGUAUUUGACGUAGAACGCGCGUCGUGGAUUCCAGAGCCUCCGUCAUCACCUCGCACCACCGCGAGCCCUGGUAGCAGAUUCAGUACUUCAUCACUUCCUUUUCUUUGGGCACGGUCUUAGCCGUCCCCGGAUCCUCCUUCGGGCGAUCCUAUUCCUCAUCCUCUUCUCCUUUCUUGUUGACUUUUCUUUACUUAAGAGUACGUAGUGUAGUAAUUUUUGUACUAAUAACGUUGUUGUAAGUUUUGUUCUAUUACUUAUUAUUGUCAUUGUCACUGUUCCCCUCUUUACUUUUAACAUAUUGCGUGUUUCAACAUCCUUGUUUCGGGUUCUUUAAUGAUUUGAAAAAACAACUUUUUUAUGCAACGUGUGCGUGCAGCUGCUCUUGACCCUACCACCCGUCGAUGAGGUGGUCUGAACUGUUUUACACUUUAGUACGUCGUUCAUCGUAUGUUACCCUCUUUUACCCUUGGUCGAUCCCCUGCCGAGACUGUCAUGCUUCACCGUGUGCAUUUUUUCAGAAGUUCGGUGCUCGUAUCGCGUGCCCUCAUUUGCCCUUUUUUUCAAAUAGCAUAGGUUUUGGGCCCUCAAGCUACCCUCUGGGCCGCGCGCUCGGUCGACAAUGGCACGUAUCUCCGCUCAAGUACUCGCAAUGCUUUGACUUCCAUGCCCUGGGUCUAUAAAUGCUCCCCCUCUCUUUUUUCCUCUCAUCUUCGGUUUCCACUUUCCACUUCCAUAGGUUAAACGCUCCUUCUUCUUCAGCCCCCAUGGCCGGUUUUUCUUCUUUCAAGCGCCUCAAGAUUACCGUUGCUCUGAUGGACAACCUCUUCUCUCUGGAGCCUGAUCAGAAUAACCCUCAGUCAAACGUCUCUGACAAUGGGAUCAAAGAAUCGCGGAACGAAUGUCGGUGGAUACGGUCAGCUUCAUGCGCCCUGGGAACGACCUUGAGUCAUAUCCUCCCCUUGGUUAUGUCACCAUCUACAUCCACUUUCUUAUGUCCCCCUUUCUGAAGUUACCAUUGUCCCCCUUUCUUAUGCCCGUGGUCAGAAAAUUUGGUGUGAUUCUUUCUCAGUUCCCACCGACGGCGAUUGACCGGCUGACCACCUUUGCCCUUUCCUACGAGAAAUGUAAGGUUGAUCUCUUUCUGGCCAUCUUUACCAUCUAGUAUAAUGUGAUGGCGAUGAACACCGACGCAAACUGUAUCCUCAUCGUCGCUCGGCGGAGCUCACCUGUUUGACCCCCAAUCAGGUCAUUGGAUUCAUCUAGACACUUCUUCCUGUUUUGGUAAGUUUCCCCCUCCUUAGUAGCUUCCAAAACAGGAAACGAAGAUUGCCGGAUUCCGAUCAAUCUCUUUUUUUCCGGGCUGUUUUGCCGUAUUGGUCUUUAUUAUAAAUCUUCAACAACUCUCAAAAUAGGUUGGCCGGAUUAUAUCCAAAACAUAUAAAAUAGGUCUAUACGCAUUUUUCGUAAAUAUAAAAAAUAUUUACGAAAAUGUUACUAGCACUUUGGGAGCUAUAAAGGGCUUCCUGGAAAUAGGAAGUGUUUUUCUCUUUUUUGAAUGAUGUCAGUAUAUGGCCGAAUAGUUUUAAUUGAAAAUAUUGAGCCGGUGCAAGCACAGCUUAGGCAAAUCAAUUAAAUUAAAAUAUAAGUUCAUGUAGGUAUGCCACCUCAGAGACAUUCUGAAAUUAAGGUGGGGCAGCUAAGAUAAUGCCGGCAACCACUAAGAAUCUCUUAUCGGUUAAUAAUGUGUAUGUACGAUUUGAUGCACAAAAGGUGAAGGUUCGUCAUUCCGUUACUAAGGAAGGUCGUGGAGGGAUUAUACUAGUUGUCGAUCCAGGGGUUCACCAGGCGUUGUUGGGGGAAUAAGUAACGAACCAAUUAUGACAGUAUAUCGCCUCGAGUAUCUUAAUUAAUGCUAAGGCAGUGUCGGAUUUAGUGAAACAAGGGACGAUUAUUUCUUCCUGUAAAUUUUUUGAUCACUUAUGAAUCUUAUAUUGUUGGUAAAACCUCAUAUUUCUAGAAAAUCGGUUUAUAAACCUCUUGCCCUAAUAUUUGCAGAUAUUUGGGGCCCUUCCCAUGUUAUCUCAUCAGAAGGAUAUCACUACUAUGUCAAUUUUGUAGACGUUGACUCAAAUCAUAAUUGGGUGUACGGUGUACUCUCUUGUAAAGAAAUAAGAUGUAUACAAAACGAAUAAUCGGCUUCGUUCAGUAUAUUAAACUUACUCGCCUAGACAUACAAGUGACUGUGAAAAAGCUGGCGCAAUUCCUAAAUGCCCCUAUACCAAUUAAUUGGCAGGCUAUGAAAAAUGAUUUUGUGUUUCCUAUCGGCUAUUCAGAGGAUGGGAAUUCUGUUGAGAAGAACGAAUGACAUUGGCAUCACAACGUAUUGUGACGUGGAUUUGGGGGGAGACUCCUCUAUCCGGAAGAGUAGAACAAACUUUCUCAUCUACGAUGGUGGGACCCUGGUUUCAUGGAUCUCCAAGAAGCAGUCGACGAUAGCUCGGUUGAGUACUGAGGCCAAAUACCGAGCUAUCGUGACGACGAAUCAAGAGUUGGAGUCUAUUGAUAUGCAAUUUUGAAAUGGGUGUAGCAUAAUUAUUGACUCAAUUAUUUUGGGUUUACAGGUCGAAAUCAAUAAAUGAGUUAGACUUUUUAAAAAAAUUGAACAUGACCCAUUUGUGUUGGACAGUUACCAAACUGCCAAGAUGGUUAGAAACAAAUCUGUAAAUGAGUUAGUGGUUAGUACUUAAUUAGCUAACUAAUGUUUAUAAAUAACAAUUCAUACAUGUAUUCAAUAAAACAAUUUUCAACAUCAAACUCAAUUUCUGAUAUGGUAUCAGUUAGUUAGGUUGCGUUUCUGAAAAUCAGUUGACGAUGGUAACUCAACACCAAGUUUCCGCUGCAAUUGAAGAUAAUGAUAGCCCUGGAAAUCCGGUCAGAUCGAUCAGCACUCCGGCGAUCACUGGUGAGGCACUCACACAACCAACAAACACGAAGGUUGUCACACAGGCCAUCAGGUGUGUGCUCUUAGAAAAAUCAAACUACUUUUCAUGGGAGGCACAGUUUUUCGCGAUGCUUCGUGGAUUCCAGUUGAUGACAUACGUUUUGGGGGAAGAAGGAUUGUCCACAUCGGCGAAUAUCCAGCAAGAUAAACUAAUAUUAAGUUGGAUCUUAACCGGAGUCUCGACAUCAAUCUGCCCCAAAUUGCUUCGUACAAGACGGCGUCCGGAGCAUGGCUGGCUCUUCGAAGAUUGUAUGCUUCUAGCACAUAGACAAGGCAGAUCUACAUCCGAAGUCAGCUACAAUUGGUUAAGAAAGGUGGACUCUUAUAAGAAUAUGUGAAAUCUAGGGUAAAAUAGAAGUUUUACCAUAACACUAAGUUCAGGACUUAUUUGGAAUAAAGAUAACUCUAAGGUUAUAACAAAACAGACUAAACUGUUUGUUUAUAACUAACAAGGGGUUAUUCACAAAUAUUUCAAUAAAUCGUUAAUUGGACUUAAGUGUAAUUAAAAGAAAUGAAAGGUUAUUACAAAAGAAUUGAAAUAACCAGAAAGAUGGACCAAGUUGAGAAUAACCCAAUUAUUAAUAAAGUUGGACCUAUGUGUCAUUACUAAUAGUUUUAUAUGUGUGCAGCAAUUGUUACAAUUAACAACAAUUAAUCGGAUCCAGAUCUAGGCUCACAAGACCGACCCGAGACCCGAUUAAAUUGAAUCAGUUUCAUUUAAAGAAAAUUAGUUAUUAGUUAAUUGUAAUAGUUAGUUGUAAAUAGUGUAUAAAUGAUUGGGUUGUAAACUGGUUUUAAUUAAUUGAAUUACACAAGUUAAUCAAAGUAAAAAAAAGAUUAACAUUUUUCAUAUUUUCCCCCCAAAUCAUUUCUUCCCCCUUCUUCUCUCUCCAGCGACAGUUUAGUUUGUUUUUCCCCCUUUCUCGUGGGUGGAAAAACCUAGACUCAAUUUCUCCGGUGAUCGUCGCUAGAAGGCUCCAGAAGCUCCGACGUCGUCUCCGGGACUUCAUCUCCACCAGAAAUUAACAUGGUAUCUGUCAACGCUCCUCGAAAUCCAGUCGCUUCCGCACACCCAGACGACGCCAUUUCUGUCCCAAAUGCGCAACCCAACAAUCCAGUCCAGACGUCGGAAAAAUCACGUCAGUCUUCCUCAGGUUCUACCGGAAAGUCCAAGGCUAAUGACUUCGAUCAAGGUCUGUAUAAUUCAAUGUUUAAAAGGCAUAAGGCAGAGAGGUAUGUUUCUCCUCUUCAAGAUCCAGAAUCUCCAUUCUUUUUGACCUCCGGUGAUCACCCGGGGGCUUUUUUAGUGCUUGAUAGAUUGGUUGGAGAAACCAAUUAUAUCACUUGGACAAAUGGUAUGAAAGUAUCUCUAGUAUCAAGAAGAAAAGAUUUUUUUAUUAAUGGAGAAAUUAAGAUGCCAGAUGACAUUACUAGUAGGGAGUAUAACAUCUGGAAGAUUGUUAAUGGAUUAGUAUUAGCUUGGAUACUUAAUUCAGUAUCUCCCCAAAUCCAAUCCACCCUAAUGUAUACAAAUAAUGCUCACGAAAUUUGGAUGGAUUUAGAGAGUAGAUACAAACAAGGAAAUGCCCCUAAGGUAAAUCAGAUUAAAUAUGAGUUAUUUUGUUUGCAACAGGGUUCAAUGAAUUCAUCUGAAUUUUAUGAUAAAUUCAGAUCAAUUUGGGAUCAAUUGAUCCAAAUUGAUGAAAUAAGAGAUGAAUUUUGCAAAAUCUGUAAAAAGCUAUACCAACAAAAGGAAGAGAGUGAUAUGAUUCACCAGUUUCUGUUAGGUCUGAAUGAAAGUUUUUUUAAUCUUAGAACUCAGAUCCUAUCACUAGAAAAACUGCCCAACAUGAACAAAGUUCUUCGGCUAGUUAUACAAGAAGAAAAGCAGAGGUCAAAAUUCAGAGAAAAUAACAAUGAUAAAAUUGAGUCGGCAUUUUUUGCAAAAGAAAAGAAUACAAUAGAUAAACCAAAAAUCAUGUAUUCUAAAAGUGGAAAAAAGUUAGAUACUAGAUUUUAUUGUGAUAACUGCAAGUAUUAUGGACACACAAGAGAUAAGUGUUAUCAUCUAAUAGGCAGACCCAAAGAGAAAUUUCAAAAGAAAAAUCUGGGAAAGAAACCCCAGGGCAGCACCAAUACAGAAUCUGAUGUAGCUAAUCAAGUAGCUUCUACUAGCAGUCAUCAACAACUUAUGCUAACUCAAGAAGAAAUUCAGCUUUCUAAAGAGCUAAUCUCCUCAACCAAAACAACUAGCAAUGUUGGUAAUUUUUAUUCUUUUUCUUUUAAUAUAAAUUCAUAUAUUGAUAAAUGGAUUGUAGACACCGGGGCAUCACAACAUAUGACCGGUAGUCUUCAUUUAUUUACAAAUCCCCCAAUUCAAGAACACAACCAUUUUGUAACUAUACCUAGUGGAAAAACACUAAUAGUUCAAGGAAUUGGGUGUAUAAAAAUUUCAGAAAAUUUAAUACUUAAAAAUGUCCUAUAUAUUCCUGAAUUUAAGGUUAAUUUAAUAGUAUAAGCAAAUUAACCGUAGAUAAUGACAUUAAAGUAAUUUUUGAUGAUCAUUGUUUUAAAUUUCAGGAAAACAAAUCCGGGAAAGUGAUUGGCAAGGGGGAAUCAAGUGAUGGACUUUAUUUUUUCACCCCCCAUUUUUACCUAGCCAAUUCAGCUACCAAUUUCAGAACUUGGCAUCAAAGACUAUGCCACAUUUCUUCACAAAAGAUGAAGAUUCUAGCAAAUAAAUACAAAAUUAGCUAUUCUAAAAAUGAUUGUAAUAUUUCUUGCAAAAAUAAAUGUUGUAGUGAAAAAUUCUGUUUUGAGUGAAGUGUUGAAUAAAAAUGAUAUUUCAAAUGAAAAUAAUUUUUUGAAUAAAAAUUAAAAUUUUUUCCAACAAAGUACAAAUUUAAAUGAGUUCAAUGACAUUCAACAUAAUUGCAAGAUAUGCCCUAUAGCAAAACAGUCCAAACUAAAAUUUGCCAUUAGUUCCUCAAAAACAGAAAAAGUUUUUGAUUUAAUCCAUAUUGACAUAUGGGGGAAGUUUCCAAUAAAAAUCUAUGAUGGCUAUAGUUAUUUCUUAACUAUAGUAGAAGAUUUCAGUAGAGGAACAUGGAUAUAUCUCAUCAAAAAUAAAUCAUUGGCAAUACAAUGCAUUGAAUUUUUUUAUAAAAUGGUUAAAAGCCAAUAUAACACAAAAAUCAAAAUCAUUAGAAGUGACAAUGGAGGUGAGUUCACCUCCAAUGAUUUUAAAAGAAUGACUGAAAAACAUGGGAUAAUCCAAUAAUUUUCUUGCCCUUACACUCCUGCACAAAAUGCAAGAGUGGAAAGAAAACAUAAGCAACUCUUGAAUAUUGCAAGAGCCCUACAUUUUCAAGGAAACAUCCCAAUAAAAUUUUGGGGAGAAUGCAUAUUAACUGCAUGCCACCUUAUAAAUAGAGUUCCUUCUAAAUCCAUUGAAAACAAAACACCUUAUGAGUUGAUAAAUAAAAAAAUUCCUGAUUUUGAAAGAUUAAAAUCAUUUGGUUGCUUAUGCUAUGCAUCAACAACACAAAUAGAAAACAAAUUUUCACCUAAAGCAUAUCAAGGAAUUUUUAUGGGAUAUCCCAAUGGGAUUAAAGGAUAUCUCAUAUUGAGAAUUUCUGAUAUGAAAUUUUUUGUUUCAAGGAAUGUAUCUUUUAGGGAAUCUAUAUUCCCAUUUAAAGAUAAGAUAAGUCUAGAAAACAAUAAAGAAUUAGAAAAUCUUCAAAAAAGUUUACAAAAAUGCCUUUAUCAUGAUGACUCAAACAAGACUUGGUAUGAUUAUAAAAUGCAUAACCAAGGCAAAAACAUAACAAAAAUCUCUGAAUCUCAUAACAGAACAGAGAACAAAAGUAAAAAUAAAAAUCUGGAAAAUCCAGAUAAAAGAUCAAAAAAUGAUCUUUUAAAUCCAGACCACAAUGGAUUAAAUAGAAUAAAUUGUUCUACAAAUGAACACAUGAAAAACAUGACCAACAACAAUGAUCAAAACAGCAUUGUUGAGCAUGAAAAUGCUGCAAGUACUGGAAAAGUCCAGAACAUCAUCAAUUCUGAAAUUUCUGGAAUUAUUGAACCAAGAACAUGAAAUUUUGGAAAAUAUCUAAAAUUCAGAAAUAGUUCAAAAUAAUCAUGAAAGCAGUAUAGAUCAACCUAGUAUGUCUAUAAGCAAAGAAGAUCAAAAUUUAUUGCCAAUUUUCAGAAAAACCCCUGAACCCUGCAAAUUUUCAGAAAAACCUCUGGAAAUAGAAAAAAAAACCACAAGGGCAGGGAGAGUUAUACAUAUCCCAGAGGCUUACAAGGACUUCUUCCUUGAAAAAGAUAAAGAGUAUGGGAACAAUAACAAAGGUAAAUACCCAAUAUGCAACCAAGUUGCAUAUCAUAGAAUAAGUAAAACUCACAAAAAUUUGCUAAAUCAAAUUUCAGUGAAUGAUGAACCUAAAUCAUAUUCAGAAGCAUCAAAAAACCCAAAAUGGGUAGAAACAAUGAAUAAAGAAAUGGAAGCACUCCAUUUAAAUAACACUUGGACCUUAACUACACUUCCUAAUGAUAGGAAAGUUGUAGGGUCCAAAUGGAUCUAUAAAAUUAAAUAUAAACCUAAUGGUGAGAUAGAACGAUACAAGGCUAGGCUUGUAGCAAAAGGGUUUACCCAAAAAGAAGGUUUUGACUAUUAUGAAACCUUUGCUCCCGUAGUCAAAAUGACUACAGUUAGAGCAAUCAUUGCAAUAGCAGCAAUGAAAAGAUGGAACAUCUAUCAACUAAAUGUCAACAAUGCUUUUCUUCAUGGAGAUCUUCAUGAAGAGGUAUAUUUAAAACCACCACAAGGACUUCUUCAUGAAGAAGAUAAAAGGGUUUGUAAACUAAACAAAUCCUUAUAUGGCUUAAAACAAGCAUCAAGAAAUUGGUUUGUCAAGUUAAAAGGAGUCCUUCUAGAAAUAAAUUUCACACAAACACCUUCUGAUUACUCACUCUUUGUGAGAAACAAAAAUGAAAACUUAAUAUACUUAUUGGUGUAUGUUGAUGAUAUCAUCAUCACAGGAACAAAUGAAACAGAAAUUUUUGUUAUCAAGAAGAACAUUGAGAAAAACUUCAAAAUAAAGGAUUUAGGGAGAUUGUCCUAUUUUUUAGGAAUUGAAGUCUCCUAUCCCUCACAAGGCAUUCACUUGUCACAAAGAAAGUAUGCACUUGGUAUUUUAGAAGAAAGUGGGCUCAUGGAUGCAAAACCUUCAAAGGUGCCCAUGGAAAGGUUUGUAAAUCUAAGAAAUGAAAAGGCCAAGGCCUUAAGAAACCCAACACUAUACAGGUCACUAGUAGGAAAACUAAUAUACCUAAACAUUACUAGACCUGACCUAAGUUUCCCUGUCCACUGGUUAAGCCAGUACAUGGGAAAUCCAAAUGAAAUUCAUCUUCAGGUCUUAUUCAAAGUGAUAAGGUAUCUUAAAAAUGCACCUGGACAAGGGAUUCUAUACAAAUCUCAAAAUCAAAUGAAUCUCUAUGAGUACUGUGAUUCAGACUGGGCCUCAUGUCAGGUUAGCAGAAAAUCCUUAUCAAGAUACUGCAUGUUUCUAGGAACAUCACUAAUUUCUUGGAAAUCCAAGAAACAAGAUACUAUUUCCCUAUCAUCAUGCGAGGCUGAAUAUAGAGCCAUUAGUAAAGCUCAAUGUGAGAUACUCUGGCUCCAUCAGCUUUUCAAAGAUCUAAAGUUGAAAAUAGUAAUGCCAACCUCACUAUACUGUGAUAACAAGUCUGCGAUAUACCUUGCAAAUAACCCAGUAUUCCAUGAGAGAAGCAAACACAUUGAAAUCACAUGUCAUUCAAUCAGAGAAAUGAUAGAAAAGGGGAUAAUUCUCCUAAAACAAGUUGGGACCAAGUACCAACUUGCAGAUAUAUUCACCAAAUCCUUAGGUGAACAUGAGAUUUCAAAAUUCUCAGUCAAGCUAGGAAUUCACAAUGUGUAUUCCAAGGCUUGAGGGGGGAGUAUAAGAAUAUGUGAAAUCUAGGGUAAAAUAGAAGUUUUACCAUAACACUAAGUUCAGGACUUAAUUGGAAUAAAGAUAACUCUAAGGUUAUAACAAAACAGACUAAACUGUUUGUUUAUAACUAACAAGAGGUUAUUCACAAAUAUUUCAAUAAAUCGUUAAUUGGACUUAAGUGUAAUUAAAAGAAAUGAAAGGUUAUUACAAAAGAAUUGAAAUAACCAGAAAGAUGGACCAAGUUGAGAAUAACCCAAUUAUAUAUAAAGUUGGACCUAUGUGUCAUUACUAAUAGUUUUAUAUGUGUGCAACAAUUGUUACAAUUAACAACAAUUAAUCGGAUCCGGAUCCAGGCUCACAAGACCGACCAGAGACCCGAUUAAAUUGAAUCAGUUUCAUUUAAAGAAAAUUAGUUAUUAGUUAAUUGUAAUAGUUAGUUGUAAAUAGUGUAUAAAUGAUUGGGUUGUAAACUGGUUUUAAUUAAUUGAAUUACAUAAGUUAAUCAAAGUAAAAAAAAGAUUAUCAUUUUUCAUAUUUUCCCCCCAAAUCAUUUCUUUCCCCUUCUUCUCUCUCCAGCGACGGUUUAGUCUAUUUUUCCCCCUUUCUCGUGGGCGGAAAAACCUAGACUCAAUUUCUCCGGCGAUCGUCGCUAGAAGGCUCCAGAUGCUCCGACGUCGUCUCCGGGACUUCAUCUCCACCAGAAAUUAACAGACUCUCUAUGGACGAUUAUAUUUCUAAGGUCGUCGUUCUCUAGUAUGUUGGCAGCUACCGACGAGAGUAUCAAAGAAUCCGAGAUGAUUCUUGUCACACUUGCUGGAUUAGGCGAUGAAUAUGAAGCUUUCUCCACGACGAUAAUAGUACAGUAUGAUCCUGACUUGACGUUCUCCCAUCUGUGCGAGCUAUUGAUGGAUCAAGAUAUCCAUCUUGAAAAAUUGAGGACGACGGGUCUACGAGUUGCAAAUUUCANNNNNNNNNNNNNNNNNNNNNNNNNNNNNNNNNNNNNNNNNNNNNNNNNNNNNNNNNNNNNNNNNNNNNNNNNNNNNNNNNNNNNNNNNNNNNNNNNNNNCGCUCAAGUAACGGCUGGGAGUCGGCGAUUCAGGUAUGGGAAUCGCCGAUCCAGAGGUUCAAUCGCCGACUCCCCAUGAGCCUAGUGGCAGCCUACCAGAGCUGUCCACGAGGCCUAGAGUUGGCGAUUCCCCCCUGGAGUCGGCGACUUGGUAGUCCCAAUCGGCGACUCCCAACUGUUAGCUUGAGCUCUUGACGUAGACACGUGCUCCGCACCGUGGAAGCCUUUCCGGGGGUCCGGCAUAUAGCGACGGAACCCUAUUCCUUGUCGAAGGGCGUUGCUGGGAGUGACUGACGUGUUCAGGCAUGUGUCACCAACUACCAAGUCGCCGACUUUAGAAUCAAAUAUCCGAGUUAGGGCCCAGAUCGGCAGUAUGGUAGACUGCAUAUCUCGCCCCUUGAAACUCGGCGAGUUUGCCCUAAAUAGGCGAUUUCCAUACCUGAAUCGUCGAUUUAUGACCGUUAUUCGCCGUCAGCCUACGCCAUAAUGCUCCCAUAUAUGGCAAUAGGCGCGAUGUCCGCCUUUGAUCGCGCCCUCUAAGACCCUAUAAAAAGGCUCCCAAGGGGAAACUUAAAGACACAACACAAGUUCCACUCUCACUAGAGCAGCACUAAGAGAAUCGCUGAUUCUUACGAGAAUCGCCUAUUCUCCCCUUGCAGGUAUUUGACGUAGAGCGCACGUCGUGGAUUCUAGAGCCUCCGUCAUCACCUCGCACCACCGCGAGCCCUGGUAGCAGAUUCAGUACUUCAUCACUUCCUUUUCUUUGGGCACGGUCUUGGCCGUCCCCGGAUCCUCCUUCGGGCGAUCCUAUUCCUCAUCCUCUUCUCCUUUCUUGUUGACUUUUCUUUACUUAAGAGUACGUAGUGUGGUAAAUUUUGUACUAAUAACGUUGUUAUAAGUUUUAUUCUAUUACUUAUUAUUGUCGUUGUUACUGUUCCCCCCCUUUACUUUUAACAUGUUGCGUGUUUCAGCAUCCUUGUUUCGGGUUCUUUAAUGAUUUGAAAAAACAACUUUUUUAUGCAACGUGUGUGUGCAGUUGCUCUUGACCCUACGUCGCCCGUCGAUGAUGUGGUCUGAAUUGUUUUACACUUUAGUACGUCGUUCGGUCGUGUGUUACCCUCUUUUACCCUUGAUCGUUCCCCUGCCGAGACUGUCAUGUUUCACCGUAUGCAUUUUUUCAGAAGUUCGGUGCUCGUGUCGCGUGCCCUCAUUUGCCCUUUUUUUCAAAUAGCAUAGGUUUUGGGCCCUCAAGCUACCCUCUGGGCCACGCGCUUGGUCGACCAUGGCACGUAUCUCCACUCAAGUACUCGCAAUGUUUUGACUUCCGUGCCCUGGGUCUAUAAAUGCUCCCCCUCUCCUUUUUCCUCUCAUCUUCGGUUUCCACUUUCCGCUUCCACAAGUUAAACGCUCCUUCUUCUUCAGCCCCCAUGGCCGGUUUUUCUUCUUUCAAGCGCCCCAAGGUUACCGUUACUCUGAUGGACAACCUUUUCUCUCUAGAGCCUUAUCAGAAUAACCCUCAGUCGAACGUCUUCGACAAUGGGAUCAAAGAAUCGCUGGAACGGAUGUCGGUGGAUACGGUCAGCUUCAUGCGCCCUGGGAACGACCCUGCGUCAUAUCCUCCCCUUGGUUAUGUCACCAUCUACACCCACUUUCUUAUGUCCCCUUUUCUGAAGUUACCAUUGUGAGGCACUCCGGCGAUCACUGGUGAGGCACUCACACAACCAACAAACACGAAGGUUGUCACAAAGGUCAUCAGGUGUGUGAUCUUAGAAAAAUCAAACUACUUUUCGUGGGAGGCACAGUUUUUUACGAUGCUUCGUGGAUUCCAGUUGAUGACAUACGUUUUGGGGGAAGAAGGAUUGUCCACAUCGGCGAAUAUCCAGCAAGAUAAACUAAUAUUAAGUUGGAUCAUAACCGAAUAUCCGGCGAUAUAACUUUUAUUCAAUUUUAACAAUAUUAGAAAAUCAAUGGCUAACUACAAAGUAAAAAUUUAAACUUGUAAAUGGUAUAUCGAAAUCCGCAUUUAAAUUCGAAUAUAACUAUCCAUGGAUUCGGAUUUUCGAAUUCGGAUUCGGACACCUAAAUUGAUAUCCGAAUUUUAUUCGGACGGAUUCGAAUAUCCGAAAAAUUCGUCAUUAACUUCCGGAUAUCCAGAUUUUAGAGUGAUUAAUUAACUUUAUUAAUGGUGAUUUUAUACUUUUAUAAUGUUAUUUUAAAUUUUUUAUAAAAAGUUAUCCAAUAUCUGAUUAUCCGGAUUUUAGAGUGAUUAAUUGACUAUUAAUUAACUUUAUUAAUGGUGAUUUUAUACUUUUAUGAUUUUAUUUUAAAAUUUUUAUAAAACGUUAUCCGAUAUAUGAUAUACAGCCUUAUCUGUAAAGAACACCCCGCUUACAAUUAGUAAGAGCCAGCGAGGACCGCCAACGGAAGACCAUUAACAUGAUAUUUGGUGGUCGAUCCGUUGGCCAAAAUAGAGGAUAUGCCCGAAAGGUGCUGAUGUCACAAUCAACGCCUCAAGACAACAGAAAACGGGUCCGCGAGGAGAAGUCAAUAUACUUCUUUGAAGAAGACCUGGACGAUGUCCUGCAACCUCACGAGGACCCACUCGUGAUCCAAGCAGACAUCGGUCCCGAUUCCCGAGUCGAGAGAAUGAUUAUCGACAGCGACAGCUCUGCGGACAUCCUUUAUAUGGACACUUUUACCAAGAUGGGCCUUAAAAGGGAGGAACUAUCUCCCUGUAAGGAAGCCAUCUACGGUUGCACUAACAUCACUGCCCCAGUGGCCGGUGUUAUUGACUUGAAAGUCUCCAUCAGUUCCAAGCGAGGGAAGGUUAGCCGAACAUGUCAUUUCAUAGUAGUGGAAGUAGAAUCCACUUUUCAUGGCAUAUUCAGACGCCCCUUCAUUCACGGAAUCCAAGCAGUCCCGUCUUCUUAUCACCAAUGCAUUCGAUACCCAGUAAACGGGUUCAUUGCAACUGUCAAAGGAUCGCAAAAGGAUUCUAGACAGGGGUAUAAGAAGGCAACCCAGCUGACAAGGUUUAACAACAUGCUCGUCCACGCCCCGCCUGACAUCACCCAAAGAGGAAGAGGACCUAUAAUUAUACAUAGAGGCCUCAGAAGAAGCCGUGAGCGCGGUCCUCAUUGCGCAGAGGGACAAGGACCAGGUCCCUAUAUACUACCACUCGAGGCGACUACAAGGUGCUGAACUACGGUACUCUCCUAUUGAGAAGUUCGUAUAUGCAGUGAUCCAUGCUUGUCGUCGCUUUCGUGCUUACUUCUUAGCGCACACGAUUGUGGUACUAACAUCGUGUCCUUUACGCCGUCUACUUCACAAACCCGACAUUUCUGGGAGGUUAACCAAAUGGGCAAUCGAACUCAGUGAAUUCGACUUAGACUUCCGACCAGCCACUGCCAUCAAGGGGCAAGCUGUGGCGGACUUCAUUGUCGAACUCACACAACCCAAUUUGACCCAACCUUGGGUUGUAGAAGUAGACGGCUCAAGUUGCAGCACAGGCUCAGGUAUCGGAGUGAAAAUCCAUAGCCCGGAUGGAAAAAACUACGAACACUCGGUACGGCUUCACUUCCUGGCUGUUAACAACGUCACGGAAUAUGAAGCGGUCAUACACGGCCUGAAGCUAUUAAGAACUCUCGGCGCUGAGAAUGUCAUGCUCCGCACUGACUCCCAGCUCGUAGCCUGGCAAGCCACUGGUGAAUUCGCUUGUAAGGAACCACAAAUAACCAAAUACGUGGAGGCGAUGGUAGCACUCACCAAGCAGUUCGCUGAGUUCAAAAUCGAGUAAAUCCCUCGAAUCCAAAAUUCACCCGCGGACGCUUUGGCACGUUUAGCAUCAGCCUGGGAGGGAGGGCAGCGCGAGAUUUUAGUGGACUCUAUAAUCCAGCCUACAUGCCAAGUAUUGACUGUUACCUCCAACCCUCAAGAGGAUUGGAGGCAACCAAUAUUGGCAUUCAUUCAGAAUGGAGUACUUCCUAACAAUAAAGGGGAGGCCAAAAAGUUGAAACAUCGGAGGGAUGCUUUACAAAAAGUCCUUCGAUAGCCCGCUGCUACGCUGUUUGGCCAAACCUGAUACGGAUAGGGUUAUUCAAUAAGUACACGAAGGCUCGUGCGGACUGCUUGAGGGAGGAAGAGCACUGGCCUUCAAAAUCAUAUGGCUAGGAUACUAUUGGCCCACUCUAAGGUUGGAAGCUCGCACUUACGUCCGUAAGUGCCGAGCAUGUCAGCUGCACAACCCCAUGCCGCAGAAACCAUCCGCGGACAUGACUCCGAUUCUGAGUUUAAUCCCGUUCGCAAGGUGGGGACUGGACAUUGUAGGACCAUUCCCCCUCUCAACAUUCCAGGCUCGGUUCAUCUUUGUAGCAGUAGAUUACUUUACAAAGUGGGUCGAGGCUCAGGUUGUAGCGAAAAUCACUCAGGAUGCGACAGUCAAGUUCAUCUACCGCUCCAUAGUCUGUCGAUUCGGAGUUCCCCAACACAUUGUCACAGACAAUGGCACACAAUUCACAGGGGGGAAAUUUUCAAGAAUGUGCGAAGACCUAAACAUAAAGCUCCACUUCGCUUCCGUUUACCGACCUCAGGCAAACGGGAAGUGGAGGUUACCAACAACGCCAUCGUACAAGGAUUGAAAAAGAAAAUCGAAUCAGCCAAAGGGACUUGGGCAGACAAGUUGUGCGAAAUCCUAUGGGUAUAUCGCACGAGUAAAAACCCCACGGGCAACACCCCUUUUGCUAUGACCUAUGGAGUGGAAGCGGUCGUACCAAUCGAGAUGAGUAUACCAACAUAUCGAAUCUCGAAGUACGACAAACAAACAAAUGACCAAAACCUAGUCACAGAGCUAGAGUUGAGAGAUGAAACCCGUGACGAGGCGGACCUGCGGAACGAAUCGUACAAGGCAAGCGUAUCGAGGUACCACAAUCGCCAAGUACGCAAAAAAGUUUUCUUGCCAGGAACUCUCGUCACGCAGAAAGCUAGCAUAACAGAAAGGAAUAGAUCAAGAAAUAAACUGUCAUCCAACUUCGAGGGUCCCUACAUCGUCGAAGAGGAGAUAAGGCUAGGAACUUAUCGCCUACGGCGACAGGAUGGAAUUAUGGUUCCAAACACCUGGCAUGCGGACAACAUGCAGCAGUACUACGCAUAGUACUCAUCGCAUUAUGUUUAUUUUCUUUAAUUUUCCUAGUAUGUAUGUUAGUUAAUCAUAGAAUUCUUUCUACAUAUUCUAACCUGCAAGGAUACCCUAAAAAAAAACCUAUUGUGUCGCUUCGGCCUCAGUAGAACAGGGAUCAUUCCGUCGCUACGGCCCUAAUGAUCCUAUCCAAUCUUGUCGCUUCAGCCUUGAUACGGAUCAACAAGUCACUCCAUCAAUAGGACAGGAGUCAGACUACAUCCUCAGCGUUCAAAUCCAGGGUUAGUACGAACAGGUCCAAUUUAGGCAUGCGAACCUAGAGUUGCGACCACAACCCUUAUUCGCAUGGGCGAAUCAAGAAUUAGUGGGUGUUACAUCAAUUAACCACUCAAAAUAUUUUCAACCCUAAAAGUUAAUUUAAAAUUAUAAAUCAUUUGCGAGUUUAACUAGCAACUAAAUUACGAUUCGUACGACUAAGCUUACGUCCGAGGCGGCUAAGUAGAGUUAGCAGAAUUUAACUUACGUCCAGAGCGGCUAAGUUACGAUUUGUGAAUAUAGUUUUAAGCUUAAGUUACAACUCUAAUAUAUUUAUACAAAAAAUUAACAAAGAAAGGCAAAAUAGUUCAUUGAUUGAUAAAAAGAUUACAAAAUCCACUACAAAAUUACAAAAAUCCACUACAAAACUCAGGAAUUCUAGUCUUCUUCUUUUCUCGCCUCUCGAACAUCGCUCUUUAUCUUAUCGAGAGAGCUUCUUUGUGCUCCAACUGCACUUCAGGAUGUUCUUCUAACCACACCAUUAUAUCAGUCACAUAGUUAGCGAGCAAACUUGGAAACACAUAAGGACCAAUAAAGUUUAAGUCCUGGAGUUGGUCAGAUUGACCGUCAACCUCAAACUCUAAAUCCUUCACCUUUUGAGAAGAAGCGUCUAGAUCUUCCUUCAUCUUUCUCGACUCCUCCAUGGAUUGGGAAAAGCAGUCAUUCAGAUCCUUUAGGUCAGAGGUGGACUUGGAAAGGUCUACUUGAGGCUUCUAAAUUUGUGAUUCAGAAGCCAUUGCAUUGCGCACCUCCGCACUCAGCUGCAUCUUCAGUUCGUCAAUCUGUUUAAGAGCAUCAGUGAGACGCGAUUCAGAUUCCUUCAAACAGUCACGUUCUUGGCGAAGAAUGGAAAUCUCAAGCCUAUGUGCAACACACUCUUUAUUCUUCGCCACCAUCGCCUUCUCAUGCUCAACAGCUUUCUCUUCCAAUUUCUUGUUGUUUUGAAAGAACUUUCUCAUUGACUACACUUCUUUACAGACAGCUUGAUACUUGUCAUCAAGCUUAUCGUAUUCUUGUUGGGAUCGAAGCGUGUCAUUGCAUGAUUGCAUCCCAAGAGUAGCAUUCGAUAGAUACGCGGCCUAUAAAAAACAAAACAAUUAAAUUAGCACGAAAAUAUAUAUGUUAAAUGCGAGUUUAGGUCACUUACAGUAGAUAGAGCUUUAGUGGGCUCCUCUCGUAUCCAAUCCCCAGACUUCGUCAAAAGUAUCUGGGUAGCUUUAGAUCGCACCCCUUCAUCCGCAAACAGGCUCGGAUAAUCAAAAUUGGUGCAGAAGGGAGCAAACUCUGGUAUCGACCUCGAGCACGACCCAGUUUCAAACGUGCCACGAGGACCAGAUCCUUCAGUCUUCCUCAUCUGAAUUAAUUUGGCACUACACAACCUCACAGCCAAAUGAGGAAGCACCGCUUCAUGGUAGAGAUGUGCCCCUUUCUUCUUCUUAAUAGGCUUGCCAGAAGGGUCUUCCGACUUCAGAUAAUGUGUCACAUCAGAAAAAGUGAAAUCCUCACGCUGACACAAAGCGAAAGGAACCCCUUGACCACAUUGAUAAGAAGCAAGGGCUGAAGAAAUCUUCUUCACAUGCUUCAAUUCCGCCUUGCUCAAUGCACAAGGAACAUCCAAGUGUACGCGACGAGCAUUGGCCCAGCCCUCUCGACUCCCGCGUACGAACAUCGAGUCAACAAAGAAGAACUCACUCUUCCACUGCGGCCCAUAGUUAGUGGGGAGUUCAACGAUUAAUUCACGUCCAUGAAACCGCUUAGCCAACCCCAACCGAACAGAUUCGGAAGCGGGAGCCUUGACAAAUUUGAAGAACCAGAAAAACAAGGCGCCGGUUGCAAGGAUAUUCAAACUCCAACAGAUGUUGGAGAAUCCUCUCAAGUAUAUAAAAAAUGCUGCCUGCAUCUGUGACAGCGACACGUCCCCUUGUAACAACACUUCACUCAUUAGUAUGGGGAUAGGCAGCACGGAGAAGUGUCUGAAAUAGAGUCGGGGAAUCGCCUGAAACCCCGCAGGAGGAAGGUUCGCAGGUUGAUAUUGCGACCCCCAAAAUCGCAAGUGCCCAGAAAUGCGUACCCCUCGCAGAAUGUCUCAGGCUUCGGCACAAGAGAAUGGAUGCACUGUCUCAGUCUGCGGCACAAGAGGUGCAUUAACAGAAACUUCUUCGAAGGACCCCUCGCUCGCGUCGCUUAGGGGCAACAGCUUAAUUUCACCACCCAGCAAAGUUUCACAGUGAGCAUAGCCGGUGUGGUUCUCAACUCCCUCGUAGAAGGGGAGGUUGAUGUGGUCUCCAUCCUUGUCCACUUCCGUGGGAGGAGAAGGUGUCUUUGAUCCCCCAGCCGGAUCAGGGCGGCGUCGGCUUUGACCACGGUCUAGUUCCAGUUCCUGAUCAUAGUCGAAGGGCUCAGGAACCCGUACACCCUCCGCGGAGGGGAUAUGUGUCUUUCCUCUACCCCCAUCCCAUAAAUGGGAGGAAUGGGGGUACUACUCUCGCGAGACGAGUUCUUCACAUGCUUAGGGUGUUUUCGCUUUCUUUUCUUACUUGGCCUCUCAGAUUCAGCAAUCGGCCUCUUGCUCAUGUCAGUGGAGGUCAACCCCUCAGUACGGGUGACUGAAACAUCAGGUGCCACCACCUGAAGGGGCACAUACUCUUCAACACCAGCCCCCGAGUUUUGGGGCAACGUCGGCGAUUUAGAUGGCAAACUCGCCGAUGUUUGAGAAAAUCUCGUCGAUCCCAGAUUGAUAACUCGGCGAGGUCUCUUGAAGAUGGGGACACCCCGCUUGCCCUUGGUCGGCGACUUCCCAAGGGGACUCGUCGAUUUAGGAGCAUGAGUCGGGAGAAUCUCGCCAACCUCAACAGAAGGCUCUGCCACGAAUAGAGCCUUGGAAUCACACCCCAAACUCGCCGACUUCUUGUUAGAACUCGGCGAUUGCUCGGGAGUGAGCCCAAGUAACUCGCGGACCGUGGCACAGUAUCUAGCAUCCGACAGUGCAUCGACAGCCGGAAUCUCCGACCCACCACGCGUAGGCGAGGGGAUCGGAGACUCAACGAUGUUGAGCACUGCCGUUAGACUCUCGUCAAUGUCAAUGUUUAAAAUGUCGUCGACCAGAGCAUCGGUCUCCGACAUGGUGAGUUGAGGGAGUGACGAUUGGUCUGCCAUAAGUCGGCGAUGUAGAGAGAAACUCGACGACUUAGUGGAAGAUUAGGGUUUAGGCGAUUUGGGAAAAAUAAUGUGCGGAUUAAAAUAAUCGAUUUUCUAUUUAUAGACCCUGGACAAAUUGCAAAAUUCCCUCGGAAAAUCCAAAAAUUACGCGAAGAAAAAUCGCUAAUUGAUUCUCAAAUCUCCAAAACUCGGCGAGUUUCCCGUAAACUCGUCGAGUUUUGGCAAAAAUCACGGGAUACGAAAGGGAAACUCUCAUAUUUGGAAAAUUUGUAAAUAUUUCCCAAGAUCCCAAGGAUUUUCUAAGAAAUCCGCCAGCUCAUAUUAAGGAUCGCCGAGUUUGUAAGAAAGUGGCAGAUCUAGGUCAGUAAACUCCUAAGUUUCUCACAGAACCACCCCGAUGCCAAGUCGCCGAGUUAGGACAUUAAGUCGCCGACUUAGGACAUCACAUAGCAUCUUAGGGGGGGGUAUCACAAGCUCCCUUCAGCAACAAAAGGAGGGUAUCACAAAAUCUCCCGACAUUUCUGUCGCUCCGACCGGAAAUCGUCGAAUCUCGAGGGGGAGUACUACAAGCUCUCCCGACAUUUCUGUCGCUCUGGCCGGAAAUCAUCGAAUUUCGAGGGGGAGUAUAUCGCAAGCUCUCCUGACAUUUCUAUCGUUUCGGCGGGAAAUCGUCAAAUUUCAGAGGGGGAAUAUCACAAGCUCGCCCGACAUUUCUUUCGCUCCGGCCGGAAAUCGUCGAAUUUCGAGGAGGGGUAUCACAAGCUCUCCCUACAUUUCUAUCGCUUCGGCGGGAAAUCAUCAAAUUUCAGGAGGGGGGGGGGUAUUACAAGCUCUCCCGACACUUCUGUCGCUCCGGCCGGAGGUCGUCAUAUAUGAGCACGGUAAAUCUGUUGUUGCGGCCAGAUUUACCAAGGAUUGGUUCGAGCAAAGGGAGAAUGUCACGAGAGGUAAAAUAGCACGGUAAGUUCAAUUGGUCAAUAAUAAUAAGUGUUUUAGACUGAUCUAGUUGUUUUGUAGGAUGUUUUCUUUCUUGCAGGUAUUAUUCUGUAGCUUCGGCCAGAAUCAGACUCUGAUAGUGAGUCAAUCUAUCCUGUCGCUUUUGCCUUGAUAGACUAGAGAUCAUUCGGUCGCUUUGGCCUUAAUGGUCUCAACCCGUCUUGCCGCUUUAGGCCUUGAGGGGGUAACUGUCGUUGCAGACACAAAAGUCGCUCUUGAUCAGGGUGGACUAUAAACAUUAGUUCUAUCGCUUCGGCUAGAACCCGGUUCUAUAGCUUCGGCUAGAACUCGAUUCUGUCGCUUCGGCCUGAAUCAGAUUCCGUCGCUUCGGCUGAAAUUAAUCUUGUCGCUCCGGCCUUGAUAAACACAGUGCAGUCGCUCUUGAUCAGGGUCAGACUAUAAACAGGUAGUUCCGUUGGCCUGGAACUCGAUUCUGUCGGUUCGUCCCUACAGAGUCUAUCCAUUCUUGUCGCUUAGGCCAUAAUGGAUACGGAAUCAGUACGUCACUGUGGGCGGAAUGAUUCGAUCUCAUCUUGUCGCUUCGGCCUUGAUGCGGAUCACACACUGAACCUUGGUUGGGGGGAGGGUAUUGGCGAUACACGCAUGUUUCUUGUGCUCUCUUCAGGGGGGGAGUACUGGUGAGACAUGCCUGAUUACGGCAGUCACUCCCAGCAACGCCUUUCAACAAGGACUAGGGUUCCGUCGCUUUAGGCCGGACCCCCUGAGAGCUCCCACGGUGCGGAACAAGUUCAUCGUCCAAAUCGCCGAGUUAGCCCGUAAGUCACGAUUGGACUACCAAUUCGCCGACUUUAGGGAUAAGUCGCCGAGUUAGGGCCAAGAUCGGCAGUAUGGUAGACUGCACAUCUCGCCCCUGAAAACUCGUUGAGUUUGCCCUAAAUAGGCGAUUUCCAUACCUGAAUCGCCGACUUACGACCGUUACUCGCCGUCAACCAACGUCAUAAAUGUUUCCAUAUAUGACCAUAGGCGCGAUGUCCGCCUUUGAUCGCGCCCUCAGAGACCCUAUAAAAAGGGUCUCAAGGGGUCACUCAAAGGCACAACACAAGUUCCUCUCUCACCAGAGCAUGACUAAGAAACUCCCCAAUUCUCACUAGAAUCGCCUAGUUUCUACUUGCAGGUAUUUGACGUAGAGCGCGUGUCGUGGACUCCAGAUCCUCCGGCAUUACCUCGCACCACCGCGAGCCCUGGUAGCAGAUUCAGUGCUUCAUCUGUUCGGUUAAUACAAUUGGGUAUGGGUCAUCAGAUGCAAUGACAAUGUGGUACCCAGACUCAGGUGCCACAUCCCACAUCACAAAUUCGGAUAAUAAUAUUCAACAAGCUCAUCCCUGUACAAGUAAAGAUAAACUGUUUACUGCCGACGGAACACCUCUGUUGAUUACUAAAUCUGGAAAGACUGUUGCUGAAUUUAAUGGACCGUCUUGCGUGCUCAAAAACCUAUUACUCGUUCCAACUGCUACUAGAAAUUUAAUAUCAGUUAAUCGCUUAUGCUGUGAUAACAAUGUUUCUGUUUCAUUUAAUUCACAGAGAGUCCGAAUUCUGGAUCUGGCUACUAAGAAAGUAAUACUGGAAGGUGGAGUUCGUGGAGGUCUAUAUGAACUGCCAAUGCGGACAAAUAAAGGCAGAGGAACGAUCAAUCUGUGCGAAAAUAUGGAACAUUUCCGGUGGCAUUGCCGCCUUGGGCACUUGAAUUCCAAAUAUAUGUCAAUUCUUGAAAAAAAUGGAAUAAUAAAGUCGAAUUCAAAUCCUAAAUGUAUGAUUAAUUGUGUCUCUUGUAAACUCGGAAAGUCACACGCACAUCCUCAUCCUUCCAGAAAAAUGAUUUAUCAGCCAAUGGAACUUAUCUUCUCAGAUAUAUAGGGACCAGCCCCCGUAACCUCAAUCAAAGGCUACAACUACUAUGUGAAUUUUGUAGAUGCUAGCAGCGGUUACAACUGGGUAUUCACAAUGAGAAGAAAGUCUGAAAUUUAUUCCGUAUUUGAGAAAUUCAAAUGUUGGGCCGAACGACAAAGCGGCAAAAGAAUCCUUGUACUCCAAACUGACAACGUAAAAGAGUAUAUACAACUAGGAGAACGCUUGGCAAACUUGGAAAUCUUACACAGAUUAUCGGCACCGUAUUAUCAUCAACAAAUGGGAACGGUAGAACGCCGGCAUCGUCAUAUUAUCGAUACUACGGUAACAAUGUUGCGACAUUCGAAAUUACCAAAUGAAUUUUGGGAUUUCGGGGUACUCACGGCAAGUUAUCUCUAUAACCGGAAUCCCUCACCGUUACUAAACAGAAAGUCACCAAUGGAAGUUUUGUUCGAAAAAAUACCAGAAUAUAAACAGUUUAAAGUAUUCGGAUGUGCCUGCUACCCAUGUCUUCGACCGUAUCGCAGAAACAAAUUAGAUGCGAAAUCUAAGGCGUGCAUCUUCGUGGGAUACUCGAUUUCUCAAAACUGUUACUUAUGCUUAGAUCCUAUCAGUCGACGAAUUUUUUCAUCAAGAGAUGUCGACUUCAAUGAGGAGGACUUCUCAGCAAAUAUAAAAUAUUUCGGGGACAGAAAAGAAAAUUGUAUUGCAAAUAAAUCUCAAGAGACUUCAAUUACAACAAAUAACUUGGGGGUAAUAUUACAAAUACCAUUAACCCAAGCAAGAGAACCCGAAGGCCCAAUAAACGAGUUAGGAGACCCGGAAGACUUGGAUGAUCCACCGACUUCAACCGGACCAGAUCCGAAUAAUACGUCGGUGAAUCCGGAAAAUUCGGAAAAUCAAGUCAUCUUCUCACCGGAACAACAAGACAUAACCGAACCAGCAAUCAUCCGAACAAUUGCAGACCUCUUCGACGAUGAUCAUGAGGAUUUAGCAUACACGCACUCCGACUCCGAUGAAGACUCGGAAGAAGUACCAGAGAUACGAACCUCCACCAUGGUGACAAGGGCUUCGGUUGGCAUUCGCAAACCCAAUCCAAAGUACGCUCUUGCCAUAACACCAACGGAAAUAUCUAUACCAAAAUCCACAAAAUAUGCUCUUACAAUCUCGGAAUGGAAAGAAGCAAUGACGGUCGAAUUUCACGCUCUCGAACGAAAUAAAACAUGGACAUUGGUUCCAAAAGAAAUUGGUGACAACGUUAUAAAUACAAAAUGGGUCUUUAAAGUCAAAGUUAACGAAAAUGGAUCGGUUGAACGGCUAAAAGCAAGAUUAGUUGCUAAUGGGAUGAAACAGAUUCAUGGUACCGACUACGUAGACAUCUUCAGUCCAGUCAUCCGACCACUAUCCAUCCGACUAGUUCUUCUGGUUGCGGUAUGGAAAGGGUGGACAAUGCAUCAACUAGACAUCUCGAAUGCUUUUCUCCAUGGAGUGUUGAAGGAAAGGAUUGUCGUAUCGCAACCGUUCGGGUUCGUAGACGUCAAAAAUCCAGACUACGUAUGCCGUCUCCACCGCUCAUUGUAUGGGCCAUUGCAAGCUAAAGCAUGUCGCAAUAGACUUUCAAUUCGCAAGGGAAAUAACGGAAAAAGGAGAAAUCAUAGUCCGGCACAUAUCGGGAAAAGAGCAAUGGGCAGAUGGUCUAACCAAAUCACUUCCAGCAAAACAGUUCCAAAAUUUUCAGAAGGAACUGGUCAAAGAAGGCUCACUAUCUUGAGGGAGGGGGUGUGUUAGUGAUGGGUACUAUGGGUACUCCACACAACAUUCAAUUGUAACUAAUUCAUAGGAGUAACAAACUCAAUAACCAAUUAGUAUGGUUAUAAAUACAAUGUAUGAUAACACUUUUAAAUCAAUUCAAUUUCAUUCUAGAGAUUACUCACGUUAAUCUCAUAUGGUAUCAGUUCAUAGGUAAUAAGAGGUAGAAACAGAUUUUUUCUCUCUCUCUUCUUCGUUCCUAUAGUUUCGAUGACAAAUCCAACAUCAAAUGCAUCCGCUGCUACUGGUCCGGCGAGGCCAAUCAAGGUCGUCACUAAGCCGAUCAGGUGCGCCCUCCUAGACAAGAACAACUAUUUCUCGUGGGAGGCGCAAUUUUCCACAAUGUUGCGGGGUUUCGAUUUAAUGGGAUACGUUCGUGGCGAGAUGGAAUUGAGCACACCAGAAGCUAUCCAACAAGAUCAAUUGAUCUUGAGCUGGAUCCUUACCGGCGUUUCAACAUCCAUUGUUCCACAGAUCGCUUCCUACAGAACAUCUGCCGGCGUUUUGUUAUGUCUUCAGCGCCUAUAUGCAUCAGGAACGCAGACGUGUCAAUUGCAUCUUCGUCUCCAAUUGCAAUCAAUCCGAAAGGGGAAAACGCCGAUAGAAGAUUACAUUGCUAAAAUUGCAGUUUUAAGGUACGCUUUGGCGGCUACAGGGGAGAAAUUAAAAGAAUCUGAGACCUGUUUGAACACUCUUCAAGGACUAAAUAAGGAAUAUGAGGCAUUUGUGACAUCAGUGACGACACGAUGGGAUCCAGAUCUUACCUUCUCACGUCUUGGCGAGCUUUUGAUGGAUCAGGAGCGGUGAUUCUCGACGAGGCAGUCCGCGGCAAGAGCAGAAUCCGGAGACGACGGAGAACUGAACGUGGUUGCUGACCGCGAGAAGGGACACGCCAAAAACUCCAUCUCGCGUUCCGAUUUGCGCUGUCAGAUUUUCUCGCGGAAGGGCCAAAGCGCGAUCGAUUGUUACAACCGAAUCAACCUGACGCGAUUUCCGCCCAACCAUUUCAGAGUUUUGUCUUCAAGCGGGCCAGAGGGUAAAAGAGGUUCGGUUAAUACAAUUGGGUAUGGGUCAUCAGAUGCAAUGACAAUGUGGUACCCAUAUUCGGGUGCCACAUCCCACAUCACAAAUUCGGGUAAUAAUAUUCAACAAGCUCAUCCCUAUACAAGUAAAGAUAAACUGUUUACUGCCGACGGAACACCUCUGUUGAUUACUAAAUCUGGAAAGACUGUUGCUGAAUUUAAUGGAUCGUCUUGCGUGCUUAAAGACCUAUUACUCGUUCCAACUGCUACUAGAAAUUUAAUAUCGGUUAAUCGCUUAUGCUAUGAUAAUAAUGUUUCUAUUUCAUUUGAUUCACAGAGAGUCCGAAUUCUGGAUCUGGCUACUAAGAAAGUAAUACUGGAAGGUGGAGUUCGUGGAGGUCUAUAUGAACUGCCAAUGCGUAUAAAUAAAGGCAGAGAAACGAUCAAUCUGUGCGAAAAUAUGGAACAUUUCCGGUGGCAUUGCCGGCUUGGGCACUUGAAUUCCAAAUAUAUGUCAAUUCUUGAAAAAAAUGGAAUAAUAAAGUCUAAUUCAAAUCCUAAAUGUAUGAUUAAUUGUGUAUCUUGUAAACUCGUAAAGUCACACGCACAUCCUCAUCGUUCCAGAAAAACGACUUAUCAGCCAAUGGAAUUUAUCUUCUCAGAUAUAUGGGGACCAACCCCCGUAACCUCAAUCAAAGGCUAUAACUACUAUGUGAAUUUUGUAGAUGCUAGCAGCGGUUAUAACUGGGUAUUCCCAAUGAGAAGAAAGUCUGAAAUUUAUUCCAUAUUUGAGAAAUUCAAAUGUUGGGCCGAACGACAAAGCGGCAAAAGAAUCCUUGCACUCCAAACUGACAACGCAAAAGAGUAUAUAAAACUAGGAGAACGCUUGGCAAACUUGGGAAUCUCACACAGAUUAUCGGCACCGUAUUCUCAUCAACAAAUGGGAACGGUAGAACGAUGGCAUCGUCACAUUAUCGAUACUACGGUACAAUGUUGCGACAUUCAAAAUUACCAAAUGAAUUUUGGGAUUUCGGGGUACUCACGGCAAGUUAUCUCUAUAACCGGAAUCCCUCACCGUUACUAAACAGAAAAUCACCAAUGGAAGUUUUGUUCGAAAAAAUACCAGAAUACAAACAGUUUAAGGUAUUCGGAUGUGCCUGCUACCCAUGUCUUCGACCGUAUCGCAGAAACAAAUUAGAUGCGAAAUCUAAGGUGUGCAUCUUCGUGGGAUACUCGAUGUCUCAAAACUGUUACUUAUGCUUAGAUCCUAUCAGUCGACGAAUUUUUUCAUUAAGAGAUGUCGACUUCAAUGAGGAGGACUUCUCAGCAAAUAUAAAAUAUUUCGGGGCAGAAAAGAAAAUUGUAUUGCAAAUAAAUCUCAAGAGACUUCAAUUACAACAAAUAACUUGGGGGUAAUAUUACAAAUACUAUUAACCCAAGCAAGAGAACCCGAAGGCCCAAUAAACGAGUUAGGAGACCCGGAAGACUUGGAUGAUCCACCGACUUCAACCGGACCAGAUCCGAAUAACACGUCGGUGAAUCCGGAAAAUUCAGAAAAUCAAGUCAUCUUCUCACCGGAACAACAAGACAUAACCGAACCAGCAAUCAUCCGAACAAUUGCAGACCACUUCGACGAUGAUCAUGAGGAUUUAGCAUACACGCACUCCGACUUCGAUGAAGACUCGGAAGAAGUACCAGAGAUACGAACCUCCACCAUGGUGACAAGGGCUUCGGUUGGCAUUCACAAACCCAAUCCAAAGUACGCUCUUGCCAUAUCACCAACGGAAAUAUCUACACCAAAAUCCACAAAAUAUGCUCUUACAAUCUCGGAAUGGAAAGAAGCAAUGACGGUCGAAUUUCACGCUCUCGAACGAAAUAAAACAUGGACAUUGGUUCCAAAAGAAAUUGGUGACAACGUUAUAAAUACAAAAUGGGUCUUUAAAGUCAAAGUUAACGAAAAUGGAUCGGUUGAACGGCUAAAAGCAAGAUUAGUUGCUAACGGGAUGAAACAGAUUCAAGGAACCGACUACGUAGACACCUUCAGUCCAGUCAUUCGACCACUAUCCAUCCGACUAGUUCUUCUGGUUGCGGUAUGGAAAGGGUGGACAAUGCAUCAACUAGACAUCUCGAAUGCUUUUCUCCAUGGAGUGUUGAAGGAAAGGAUUGUCGUAUCGCAACCGUUCGGGUUCGUAGACGUCAAAAAUCCAGACUACGUAUGCCGUCUCCACCGCUCAUUGUAUGGGCCAUUGCAAGCUAAAGCAUGUCGCAAUAGACUUUCAAUUCGCAAGGGAAAGAACGGAAAAAGGAGAAAUCAUAGUCCGGCACAUAUCGGGAAAAGAGCAAUGGGCAGAUGGUCUAACCAAAUCACUUCCAGCAAAACAGUUCCAAAAUUUUCAGAAGGAACUGGUCAAAGAAGGCUCACUAUCUUGAGGGAGGGGGUGUGUUAGUGAUGGGUACUAUGGGUACUUCACACAACAUUCAAUUGUAACUAAUUCAUAGGAGUAACAAAGUCAAUAACCAAUUAGUAUGGUUAUAAAUACAAUGUAUGAUAACACUUUUAAAUCAAUUCAAUUUCAUUCUAGAGAUUUCUCACGUUAAUCUCAUAAAAUGAAAAGGAAAGCAAAAAGUAAAUCAGAUUGGUCUCUGAGACAUUUCCCCAUUGACUGUGACAUUAGAAGAUAUGUGGUGGUGAAAGCUAUCACGGCAAUCAAUCAGAAUGGGCUGAAUAAUUCUUUUUCUCCUACAGAUGAGGAUGAUCUUAUUAGACGGUGGAUAAUGUAUCUAUUCAUUACAAUCCUAUGUUGUAAAAACAGUUAUAGAAUAGGUAGAAAAUUCUUGGACUACAUCGAUAAUAUAGAAUAUAUUGGAGAAUACAACUGGGCAGGUUAUCUUCGGAGCGUCUUAUUUGGCCGGAUGAAGAAAUGCCGAGACAUGGUGCUGCAGCGCAAAAGAACGAAUGAGCCUUCUAAGGUGUACCUGGAUGGAUGCGUAAUGUGCCUCAUGGUAAAAUUAAAUAUAUAUAUUGUUCGUCUUAUAAUUCCUUUUCAUUUUUUAUUCAUUAUCUUAAUGAAAACCUCUUAGGUCUGGCUAUUCAAGCAUACGCUUGUAACUACGCCAAAUCAGGAAGCAGUGUCGAAUGAACCUUACUUCAAGAAGUGGGGGGGAGAUUACAUACAUCAAAGAGAAUCUGGAUCUGCUUAGUGAUUCUGAGGUUUACCCCGGUUCCCAAUUUUUUUUGCUAAUAUAUAGUUCAUAUAUGCUAAUAUAUUAUCGAAGAUAAAUAGAAUAAUUAAAAUUCUUAACUACUAAUGAAUAUGAAGUCCAUUGAUGUUUUCAACCAUUAAACACGCACUAAUUUUAAAUUUCAGGUUUUCACAACGGACAUUCCUUCGAGAAGCGACUUAAUUAACAUGGUCUCUACGAUGGCUAUUCUUAACGAAACAGGUUCUUCAUCUGCCAGUGAGGAAUUAUGUGUUUCUAAGAAGAAUGAGGUAGAGGAUGAAGAGGACAACGAAUCUGAAAAGCGGGGGAAGUUGAAAGGCAAAGCUGUGUUGGUACAAGAAUCACCUAGGAAGCCUUAUUCUGCAUCUAAUAUCAAGGCUCUAAUCCUUGAGAGGUGUCAAGAACGGAAGAUGGAGGCUCAAAAAAAAUUUCCUUUGAUUUUCAAACAAAAGCCUGGCGUAAUUAAAAACUGAGAAGAAGGUAGUGGUGAAGAAAAAUCAGAUUCCUUCUACAAGUUUGCAACAUAGUAGUUGGCUAUCAAAUUCAAGUGGAAUGUCAUCUAUGCCUUCUACCAAGUAAUCAGAGGAGAAAGAAGGUAAUUGAUUAUUUCAAAUUAAUAUCUUUUGAUUUAGUUUAAUAUUCCUAAUUCUUACUUACAGAUUUUGAGGAAAUGAUUGAGAAUAUGGAUGGUAAAUAUAUUAUAGUUAUGAAGGUCGUCGACAAGCAACUACAGGUUUUCGAAGAUCCAGUUGAAGUUGACUUGAAUGAUAGAUACACUACUAUUGCAGCCGUCGAUGAGAAGAACACAGAAUCUGUGGAAUUUCUAAUUCAUGAUAUUGCAGGGGACUGUUCCGCUAAAAUUCUCGAGGUUCCUGCUACUGAAAAUGUUUUAGAAGAUGAAAUACAUUCCGCAAUUCACGAAAAAGAAACUGCCAAGCAAGAGGAAAAAGUAGAGCCUGUUCGUGAACCAUCAUUUGUCUUCCCAACAUUUAAUCUGAACAUCAGCCAGGAGUGUCCUACUCCAAGAAUAAAUGAUGAUGGCGAUGACGUAAUAAUUCUUCACUCUAUUCCGCCACAAAUAGAGAAAGCUUCCAUCGAAGUCAAAAAAGAAUUGUACGAGGCUUGGGAAUUAGAAAGAGGUAUUGUUCCUAAAUGCCAAGAUUCGUCUUUGGCAGAGCUUACUGUCGUAGGUAUGAAUAAUUUGAAGAAUAGUUAAAUUUCAAUUAUUUUGAAUAAAAUGUUGAUUAUUGACCUGCAAUUUCAGUGGAGAAAGAGAACCAGGUAACUAACGCUGCUGAGAAGACAGAUGCGUCUACAGUUGAUAUUUCUUGUGCCGAGAAGAAUUCAGCGAAAAAUGUCGAAAAAGGAAAAGCCGUCAAAGGUACGGGACGGAAAAGGGACUAAACAAUGAUUUAGUCGAAAACAAUAUGCUUAGAUAUUAUGAUAGUAUUCUGAUAACUAUGUUUCAAAAAAUCAGAAGUUGUUUUCGUUUUAAACUUGAAUAUUUCCCUUUGUUAGUUUUAUCCCUAUGUGUAUUAAAUAUGUACAACUGAAUAGUGUGUUCUGCUAUGUGAAAUAGUAAAUCUGCUAUUAAUGUUAGAUUUUCCUAUAAUUAACAAUUGUUAACUGCUAUUAUUCUGUACGAUACUGUUAGGUACAUAGGUCGUUCUGCUAAAAUUUUGCAAUGUCCAGCUAUGUAGGCUGAAAAUUUCGUGGAUCUGUAAUACUACCUAUAAAUAAAAUACAAACUAAUAAUGUGUUCAUUUGACAUUUAUGCGGGACACAAAUAGUAUACAGGUUUGCAAUAGUAUAAUAUAAAAUCUAUUUUUUCAGAUUGUUCAGAAAAGUAUGAAAAAAACAAAGGUAAGGCCAAAGUUGAUGAGAAAGACGCGGACGUCCUUGCUAUUCAAGGUAACGAUUUAAUGAAGGGUAUAAUAUAAUUCGUUUGAUUUUUUUUUUUGUGUGAUUUUCUGAUACUAUUAUGAAUGAUUGGGAAUGCACAGUAUUUAGCGAAAGCGAAGAUGAAGUCGAAUAUCAAUAUUCGAAUCUGAUAAUUUCUGAUUAUAAGUUUGUUAAAGUGAAGACUGAAAUGUUCACAGGAUAUGAAUAUAUCGAUGAGUUCACCGAGAAGACCAUCGACCUAACAAAUGAUGGUACUGUGUGUAUUUAUUGCUAUCGGAAAUGCUUUUCUUGUAACACAUAACAAGAUUUUUAUUUUUAUUCAGAUCCCUUCAACACAAGGAAGGAAUUUAAUAGUUCGCCUAUAAAUCUCGCUUUCGAAGGAAUUGAUAUUGAGAGCGAUUUACCUGAGGUUGUGAAUGAGGGAGUGGCGAGACAUGCCUGAUUACGUCAGUCACUCCCAGCAACGUCUUUCAACAGGGACUAGAGUUCCGUCGCUUUAUGCCGGACCCCCGGAGAGCUCCACGGUUGCGGGCAAGUGUCUACGUCAAGUACUCAAGUCAACACUGGGAAUAGACGACUGGGACUACCAAGUCGCCGACUCCAGUGGUAAUACUACCUAUAAAUAAAAUAGUAUACAGGUUUGCAAUAGUAUAAUAUAAAAUCUAUUUUUUCAGAUUGUUCAGAAAAGUGUGAAAAAAACAAAGGUAAGGCCAAAGUUGAUGAGAAAGACACUGACGUCCUUGUUAUUCAAGGUAACGAUUUAAUUAAGGGUAUAAUAUAAUUCGUUUGAUUUUUUUUUCGUGUGAUUUUCUGAUACUAUUAUGAAUGAUUGGGAAUGCACAGUAUUUAGCGAAAGCGAUAGCGAAGAUGAGGUCGAAUAUCAAUAUUCGAAUCCGAUAAUUUCUGAUUAUAAAUUUGUUAAAGUGAAGACUGAAAUGUUCGCAGGAUAUGAAUAUAUCGAUGAGUUCACCGAGAAGACCAUCGACCUGACAAAUGAUGGUACUGUGUGUAUUUAUUGCUAUCGGAAAUGCUUUUCUUGUAAUACCUAACAAAAUUUGAACAAUGAACUCAUAUCCGUCCAGUUGAACAAAAACAAACCUAGUUCUUUUGUCAAAAGGAUAAUCGAAAGACAUGUAAGUUUCAAUAAUGGUCUUUGAACUAAAUGUCAAUUUUCUGCUAAAAUUAUUAUUAAAUGUUUCAGGUAGACGUGAGGAAGACUAGGGAUGAAAGGACAAUGAGAGAAAAGAUGUGGAAGAACCACAUCACCAGGGCUGGAAUGAACAUAUGGGACUAUAAGGAGAAUGGUACAUUACAGGAAAUUGCUGCGAAAGAAGGUCUAUUGAAAAUAGGUCCCAUUCGAUGUGAAUCAACCUGGGUCCUUGGAAUACUGAAUACUGAAUAAAUGUAAGUGAGACAAAUUUCAGAAAAUAUAAAACAUUACUAAAACUAAUAUGGAAACAUACUUUGUGCAGUGCAUCUCGCUUUUCAUUAUAGUUCUCCGACGGAAAAUGGCUGAUCGACAAUAUUUUGCUCAUUCUGUAAAAUUCAUUGACCCAAUAACAAUGGUAAUAUAUUCAUGUGCAUCUACAUUUUCAUAACAAAUUUGACCUUGUGCAUGACAGUUAUAUUUUGUCAAAUUAGAAAAAAAUCAAAGUGAUUGCUCCUAGCAGGAACUUAAAUAUGACAGAAUUCAAGGAGCUCAAGAACAUAUUGAGUGAAAAGGCAGACAAAUGGGACAUGAUUCAUACGAUAUUAGCUCCCAUUGAAGUGUAUGACUUUUAGCAUUUAAUACAAUUGGACAUAACGACGAAGAAAUACAUCCAGUGUUCUCCCUAUGAAGACAACGAGGAUAUGAACAACCAAUACAAGAAUAUGGUAACUGUAUAAACACUAUAUAAUUGCAAUUAAAAUGUUGAAAGAAAAACGAGGCAAAAAUCUUAUACUAUGUUGUAUAAUAUUUUGCAGUGUUAAUGGUUGGAUCAUUACGUCCGAGGGAUUUAUUCAGACCACAAGUUGUCUAGUUGGGUUUGCGAAAGAUCACCUAGUUUUCCUCAAGCAUUCUAUAAAACCCCUGAAGAGACCGGACUAUACGUAAUGGCCGCCAUGGAAUACAUAUCUAUGGGUGAGCCGGUACUUUGGAGCAAGAAGGACGUUGAUAACAUCAGGGAAAAAAUUAUCCAUGACAUACUACCGGUGGCCUUACGUGACUCUUAUAUAUUUAACAACUAUAGCUUCAAGUACAAUUAAAGUAUAAAAAUUCCUAAGUUAUUUUUUGGUUAAACAUUGCUAUUAAUUAAAUAUUAGUCUAAGUACUCAAAUAUUGUUUGGCUACAACUCUAUAUAUUGUUUUGUUAAACAAUAGUCUUAAUUUUUAGUCUCAGUACUCAUAUAAGCAGAAAUAUUGGGAGACAACCACUAUACAGCAGCGUAAAGACAUAAUAGCAAAAAUAGACAAGAUAAUAUAGUAAGGAGUAGAUGUUGGUCUAAGUACUGAUAUUAGCAGAAGCAGACUACAAAGUAGUGUAACCAGUAAUAGCAGAACUGUACGACACAGUAUAGGAAUGGUUAGAAUAGAUGAUGGUCUAAAUGCUCAUAUUAGCAGAAGCACACAACACAUUAGUGUAUACCAAGAAUAGAAGAACUGUAGGACACAGUAUAGGAAUGGGUUCAUUUCAGAUAAGAAUGGGUUAGCAGAACUGUAAGCAGAAGCACACUCCAGAGUAUCGUAUAAAACAUAAUAGCAGAACUGUACCACAGAGUAAAGGAAUGGGUAGAAUGGAUGUUGGUCUAAGUACUGAUAUUAGCAGAAGCACACUAAACAGUAGCAUAACCCAUAAUAGCAGAACUUUACUACAGAGUAUAGGAAUGGUUAGAAUGGAAGUUGAUCUAAGUAUUGAUAUUAGUAGAAACACACUAAACAGUAGCAUAACCCAUAAUAGCAGAACUGUACGACACAGUAUAGGAAUGACUAAAAUAAAUCUUGGUCUAAGAACUUAUAUUAGGAGAAGCGUACUACACAAUAGUGUAUACCCCAGAAUAGCAGAAAUGUAUGACACAGUAUAGGAAUGGGUAGAAUAGUUGUUGGUCUAAGUACUAUAUUAGCAAAAGCACACUACACAGUAGCGUAACCAAAAAUAGCAGAACUGUACUACAGAGUAUAGGAAUGGGUUGAAUGGAUGUUGGUCUAAAUACUGAUAUUAGCAGAAGUACACUACACAGUAGCGUAACCAUAAUAGCAGAACUGUACUACAGAGUAUAGGAAUGGGUCGAAUGGAUAUUGGUCUAAGUACUAUAUUAGCAGAAGCACACUACACAGUAGCGUAACCCAUAAUAGCAGAACUGUAGUACAGAGUAUAGGAAUGAGUAGAAUGGAUGCUGGUCUAAGUACUGAUAUUAGCAGAAGUACACUACACAGUAGCGUAACCCAUAAUAGCAGAACUGUACUACAUAGUAUAGGAAUGGGUAGAAUGGAUGGUGGUCUAAGUACUGAUAUUAGCAGAAGCACACUACACAGUAGCGUAACCCAUAAUAGCAGAACUAUAAGACACGGUAUAAGAAUGGGUAGAAUAGAUGUUGAUUUGAGUACCGAUAUUAGCAGAAGCAAACUCCACAGUAGCCUAACACAUAAUAGCAGAAAUAUACAACAUAGUAUGGGAAGAUAGUAGCAGAGUAGCAGGUGAAUGAAGUGUUCAUGUAAGUGCUUGUAUUAGUAGAAGUAGACUAUUAUUGUAGCGUCGUUUGUGAAAUAAUUCUUCGUAUAAGUAAUGAUAUUAGUAGAAGGGUACUAGUUAUUAGCGAAAAUGUCAAUUAAAUUGUUAUUCUAAGCACUAAUAUUAGCAGAAGUAGAUUAAAUAGUUUAUAGUACACAAAAAAGAUAAGUGUUGGAGAUCAAGAAUGAUAGCAUUCGUUUUAAAUUCUAAAAUAAUUGACGCAUAAUUCAGAAUUGCUAAUGGUCAUUUCUUCUUAACCGGUGGAUCGCGAUAAAUUUUCUUUGCGCUCUUCAUCCUCAUUGCAUCAAUUUUCGUUGGUCUACCGCUCUUACUACUGCCUUUUGUUUUGACCUUAACUGGAGGGCCAAUCAAUACUGCUGUCUUCUUAAUUCGGCUUUUGGAUUCUGGUAAUUGAUGUUCUAGAAUAUGAAUUUGGAACGACUAUGGUAUCAUUAAGUUUUUCAAGAACUUAUUUUCCAUAUUUGAGUAGUAUAUCAAGUUGAGGUUGUCCCAUCUUGGCAUAAUUCAUCAUUGUCUGCAACAUUACUAUAUACUUUGAUAAAGGAUUGUUAGGUUCUGAAAUACAUGGAACUAUUCUGAUAGUCUUGCAUAAUUUGUUCCACCCAGAUAUUUUCAAAUCGUUCGGUAUACUUCUAUAACCAUUGACAAUAAGAUAAUGUAUAACAUGAGAGCAUGGGACGCCGCUAUAUUCAACACGAUGGCAUGUGCAUAUCGGUGUAGAAUUUCCUUUCGUAAGAGUGAGUUUAAAUAACACGCUUUGUCUUUCUAAAAACAGAACUGGUAGAUAUUGAGUAUCCUGUAAGAAAGAAAAAAAUUUGUAGAAUAAAAUGGUAAGCCUAUGCUAAAGUAUAAUGAACAAAAAACGGAAAAACCAAAGUUAUAGAAAAAAUAAAAACCUCGGAAGACUUGUCAUUCGGUGGUAAUAUAUGGUAGAAAAAGCUUUCCUCAUUUCCUCUUGAAAUAAAAGGAAAAUAGCAGUGGUAAAGAAAGUCAAAGCGUCUUUCUCAAUGCCCAUAGACGUAAUAAAUCUUGGAUGCCAGAAAGUGUCUUUGUGAUCGUCCAAAUUUUCAGACUCGCGAAUGGUAUUAAUCAUAUUCUGAUAGCGCCGAACAAAGUUGAACAAUAAAUUCUUGGAUGUAACUUUUGUCUUAAGAAACGAAUUCAUACCUUCACUUCUUUGGGUAGAAUGCAUUCCGGCAAAGAAAUGAGAGCACAUUAGACAUGACACCCAGGCUUCGCGUAUUUCCCAUAAACUUUACAACCAUUGAAUGUAGUAAACCGAACAUCUCUUAGUCGAGUAAUUCAAAUAGUUAUAACGAAUGAUAUAAAUGGCUAUUUAAUUAUUAAAAAUAUAACUGUAAGUUAUCUGCAUGCCAAGUGUUGGGAAUAUAUGUUCCGUCUUCCCGUUUUAAUCUGUAAGUGCCUGGUCGGAGUUCUUCCCCCACCACAUAUAGUCCUUCCCAAUUUGCGCCUAGUUUGCCUUUAGAGCAGUCUUUUCGAUUAAUGCUUGCCCUUCUCAAUACUAGGCUUCCUUUUCUUAUCGCUUUAUUCUUGACGUUUUUGUCGUGAUAUCUAGCGAUGUUCUGUUUGUAAGCCGCAUUCUUUGCCUGUGCAUUAUUCCUCAGCUCAUCUACUAAGUCCAGAGUCGUUGCGCAUGAUCUCAUGUUCUCUGACUGUUGGGAUGCUCAGCUCUGUUGAGAUUAGUGCUUCUAUUCUGUAUGCUAGUGAGAACGGAGUCUCCCCGGUGGGUGUCUUUUCAGUAGUUUUGUUUGCUCACAGGAUCUCUGGUAGUAAAUCUGCCCACGCACCUUUGGCCUGUUCGACAUUUUUCUUCAGUCCCUGAACAAUGACUCUGUUUGUGACUUCUACUUGCCCAUUACCCUGUGGUCUAUACACCGAUGAAAAGUGGAUUUUAGUACCCAUGUUCUCGCACAAUCUCGUAAACUUCCCACCGGUAAACUGUGUUCCGUUAUCUGUCACUAUGUGCAUUGGAACGCCGAAUUUGCACAUUAUGCGCAUUUGAAGAAAAAAUUUGUCGAUGCGCCUUGUGUUAUCUUGGGUACUGCCAGAGCCUCGACCCAUUUUGUAAAAUAUUCGACAGCCACGGAUAUGAAUUUAGACUGGCCUGUCGAUACUGGGAAUAGUCCCACAAUGUCUAGUCCCCACAUUGCAAAUGGGAUGGGACUUUCUACCCCUGUUAGUUGAGUUGUGGGAUUUCUUUGUAUGUUUUUGUGUAUCUGGCAGGCCUUGCACUUUCUUGCAAAUAGGACUGCAUCUUUCUUUAGUAUGGGCCAGAAGUAUCCCUGCCUUAUUAUUUUUUGGGCCAGAGACCUUCCGCCCUGAUGUAUUCCGCACACCCCAUGAUGAAUUUCCUCUACAAUGAAUUGCCCUUCAUCUGUCGAGACACAUUUCAUUAGAGGCCCAUCGUAGGAUUUCUUGUACAGGAUGUCACCGAUUAGGCAGAACAUUGGAAUGCGUGUUUGUAGUUUACGCCUUUCAUUUUUGUUCUCUGGGAGUUUUUGCCCUUCGAAGUAUUCUAUAAAGGGUUUUCUCCAGUCUUCUGCCUGUAUUGUGACCAUAUUGCAUGAAAGUGUAGAUGCUGAGUCAACUAGUAUCUCUCUCUACCACCCUUCGAAAGCGGAUGCUAGCUUUGCUAGGGCGUCAGCUGAGUUGUUCUGACUCCUUGGAAUUUGUUCUAUCUCCACCUUGUUAAAUUGCAACUUUAUUUUUUCUAACGUAGCUGCGUACUGCAUGAUCAAAGGUUCUUUAACUGUGAACUCCCCUGUGAAUUGCCGAGCUACUAAUUGAGAAUUUGUUCUGAUAAUUAUCGAACAGACCCCUAAUCUUUUGAAUAUCUUCAUGCCUUGGAUUACAACCUCAUAUUCUGCUAUAUUGUUCGUUGCUGAAAAUUGUAACCUGUCAGAGUGUUCAUAUAUUCUUUGGUCUAGAAUGAUUAUUUUUAUCCCUACUCAUGCACCUGUACUGCAGCUUGAGCCAUCAACCUCUAUUAUCCAAGGUUUCUCCUUACUCUCCUGAGUCAUAUCCACAAUGAAGUCUGCUAUGGCUUACCCUUUAAUGGUAGUGGCGGGGACAAAAUCUACAUCAAACUCGCUUAACUCUAAAGCCCACUUCGUUAGUCUUCCGAAAGUAUCUGGCCUGUGGAGUAUUCUACACAGCGGAUGUUCUGUCAAGACUUUGAUUGUGUGAGACAGGAAGUAUGCUCGGAAUCUGUGUGCUGCAUGUAUUACUGCCAGGACUAUUUUUUCCACUGGAGGGUAUCGUGUUUCUGCCCCUUGUAGCCUUUUGGAGUGAUAAUAUAUUGGGAUCUGUUCGUUAUCCCUUUGAUAUAUUAAAACUGCACUGAUGGCUUCCUCUGAAGCUGCUACGUAGACAUAUAAUUCAUCCCCUACUUUUGGUGAGGUUAGAUGAGAUAACGAAGCUAAGUGUGCCUUGAGCUGCUGAAAUGCCUGCUCGCACUCUGGAGUCCAUGUUAUUGCUCCCUUUUGACUAGUUUUUAAUAACUGGAAAAAGGGUUUGCACUUGUCUGCUGUUUUGGAAAUGAAUCGACUUAAAGCGUUGAUUUUUCCAUUUAGUUUCUGCACUUCCUUUAUUGUUCGAGGCAGUGUUGUUUCUAAUAUUGCUGAUAUUUUAUCCGGAUUUGGUUUUAUCCCCUUCUGCUCUACGUAGAAUCCAAGAAACUUUCCUUCUUGUACUCCAAAACUGUAUUUGGCGGGGUUUAACCUCAUUCCAUAUUUCUGUAGAGUUUCCAGAGUUUCUCUCAGAUCAUUUGGGUGUUCAUCUGCUUUCUUAGAUUUUACCAGAAUGUCAUCUACGUGCGCCAGGACAUUUCUCCCUUCUUUCUCUUUGAAAACCUUGUCCAUUAGCCUUUGAAAGGUUGCUCCUGCGUUUCGUAACCCGAAGGGCAUGACCUUAUAGCAGUAUGUUCCCCAAUCUGUGAUAAACGAUGGAGCUUCAUCAUCCUCUUCUUUCAUUAGGAUUUGAUUGUAUCCUGAAUGUGCAUCCAUCAUGGAUAACAAUUCGUUUCCUGAGGCCGCAUCCACUAAUCUGUCGAUGGAUGGGAGUGAAUAGUUGUCCUUUGAACAUGCCUUGUUGAGGUCUGUGAAAUCUACGCACAUCCUCUACUUUCCGUUAGACUUUUUAACCAUGAUUGAGUUAGCUAGCUAUUUUGGGUACUUUACUUCCCGUAUGUGCCCAGCCUUGAUUAACUUCUCAAUCUCAACUUCUGCUGCUUCCUUUCUUUCGGCCGCGAGUAUCCUUCGCUUUUGCCGGAUAAGAGUAAAGUUGUUGUCUAUGUUGAGCUCAUGGCAUGUUAUGGUGCGUUGUACCUGUGAGGGUACCUCCCCCUCCCAUACAAACGUAUGCACAUGAGUCUCCAAUAAACAUAGUAAUGAAUUUUUUAAUUCGGAGGAUAUAGAUGUACCUAUCAAGAUCCCUCCUUUUGAGAGUUCGACCUCCUCAACGUGAUUGGUUGAGGCUAUGUCUUCUUCUUCCUCUUUUUCCUGGAUGUACAGAGUUAUUGUUUUACCAUUUUAGUUGCCUUCCUGUAAGAGUUUCUGGAGUCUUUUUGCACUCCAAAAACUGUUUCCAUUUUGCCAUCCUUUCCUGGAUACUUGAAGCAUUGGUGAUAUGAUGACGGUAUUGCUUUGAAACCGUGGAUGUUAGGUCUUCCCAGGAUCCCAUUGAACGGAGAAUCGAUGUUGACCACAAUGAAAUGUGCAGUGCGUGAGACUUUCCCGUUUCUCUUCCCUAAGGAUAUCUGCAGAUCGAUGGCUCCUACUACUGGGGCCUUUGUAUUUGUGAACCCAUAUAUGGCUUCCUUGGCUGGGGUUAACUGUUCUACUUUGUAGCCCAUCUUUUCAAAUGCAGCUAAGUAUAGAAUGUCUACCGAGAUGUCAUUGUCUACCAUGACUUUAUUUAGACUUAAAUCAUCCCUGAUGUCCACCUGUAUUACAAGUGGAUCUUCAUGCGGGUUGACCACAUUAUCCAGAUCUUCCUCAGAGAAGCUUAUUCCCUCGCUUGGGUAUGACCUUUUCUUAGACUUUGGUACUGUUGUAGUCUGCAUUAUCUUUAGCGAGUAACUUCUGCUUUCUCCUACCGAUCCUCCGCCGAAAAUUAGAUUUAUUACUCUCCUCUUGUGGUCAGUGUCUGAGUCAGGACUCCUUGAGUGCUGUCUCUUACCCUUGUUGUUUGGGUCCUUGCAACCUUUUCGCCCUCUUUCCACUGUGUUUAUAUAUUGCUUUAGCUUUCCUUCUAUUACCUGAGUAUCUAGGAAAGCACUCAGUUCCCUGCAAUUUUCUGUGUUGUGCCUGUAAUCCUUGUGGAACUUGCAGUACCUGUUCCUCCUUGUCCGGGCCUCUUUCGUUGCAGGGUUUAAUUCUGCUGGUUAAUGAAACCUUAUCCUUCUUUUUUCUUUGUUGUAGAUUUCCUCUUUUGAAGUGAUGAAAACUAUGAAUCCCAAGUCUUUGAACCAUGGGUAUCUUGAUUUUCCGAACUCCUCAGAUGUCUGGUAGACCGUACCUUUUCAUCUAGUUUUGGUCUCCAGGAUGAUUCUCCUUUCUCGAAUUUUUUGAAUUUCUGUUUUGGUGCUUCAUAUGCCUUUUUGUUGCUUACGACACAUCUUUCUUUUUCUUUUUCAUACUCCUCAGAAUUUAUAUAUUUAUGGGCCUUUGUUAGCAGAUCUUCCAUGCAUUUUACAUUACUUACAUUUAGCUUUAUUGCUAAUGGUGUGUUCAUGUCUAGCCCCUUGGAGUAUGCAUAGAUUGCAAUUGUGGUAUUCAGAUCAGAGAUUUUUUGCAUAGCUUCUGUGAAUUUAGUAGUGUAAUUCCGAAGCGUGUCUCCGUUUUGCUUAAUUGCAAAUAAUGAUUCAGUGCCCUUUCUAACUCUUUUGUUUCCACAAUGUUGGGCAAUGAAUUUUUUCUUCAGGUCUGCAAAACUAUUAUGCUUUCUGGUUGUAACUCGACGAACCACCUGUAUGUAGGCCCUUUUAGUGUUCCUGGGAAUGCCCUGCAUAGGAUGUCAUCUUUUGUUGUGACCUAUUGCAUAGCUCCUCUAAACAUAUUUAUGUGGUCUACUGGGUCUAUCUUCCCAUCGUAGAGUUGUAUCCUAGGCAUCCUGAACUUUGGAGGUGCUGGUUUCAUCAUUAGUGACUUGUGCAGAGCCUCCGUGCCUUCUAACCAGUUUGGGAGUUCGCAUCCUUCCCCCACUGUAUCUUCCGUGCUUUCUUCGUACGCGGGUUUUUUAAGUGGCACCUAAGAUUUUUGCUCUCCUAGUUUUUUAUUUCCGUGAGGUGGCAACGUGCUAGAGUGUGCCGCUCUAUGGCUUGACACUUCAUGCUGUGUUUUCGGUUGUUUUAAUGUUUGCAUUUUUGACUGGAACAUUGAUACUUUGGAUUUUUCAAUUGUUUUCAGUCUUUCGCCCAUUUUAGCUAUGGUUUCCUUCAUUUUCUCUAGCUCCUCCACAGGUACUUGUACGAAUCCGCGAGGGGCUUCUGAUGUUGAAGCCCUUGUUUCAUGGUUAUUCGCAGGUUUUGUUUGUUUAGGAGGUUUUUCCUAAAACUGCUCCUUUAGAGGCUGCUCUUCUCGAGACUUCUCCUUUUGAGGCUGCUCCCUUGGAGGUUGCUCUCUUUCAGUAAGGAGUCGUAUGGCCUCCGCUAUUGCCUGCAGCGUGAUAUUUAGAUUCUCCCCACCUGUUGAUACUUGGUGGGUUGACUCAGGUUCAACCUCAGUUUCAUUACAUGUGCUUUUAUUUUUAUUAGCCUUAAAUGGACGACCCACUGCUCUUUUAGUCCUUGAGUUGCCAGGUUGUUGUUCUGAUACUUCAUGAGAGUUGGCUCCUCCCUGAGAAGUACUUCUUGUUGUUACCAUCCUGAAGAGUUCGACUUUUUAGCAAGAAAAAAGUCGAUCCUGGUGUACUUAGAGACUUUCUCAAAAGUCGUAGUCCGAAAGUGUAACUACUUGAAAAAUCGACUUUUCUUCCGGAAAGAGAAAAAGUCGAUCCCCUUUUCUCUGAAAAGUCAAUCCUUUGCCGAGCUGAAUUUCUCGCAAGACUCCCUGGUUGGUGACUCGGAAAAAAGUCGAACCCUUUUUUCGAAAAAGUCGAGGAGUUUUUGUCGUGAGUACUCGGAAAAUGCAAACCCUUACGACACCUCUUUCUUUUUCUUUGUUAUACUCCUCAGAAUUUAUAUAUUUAUGGGUCUUUGUUAGCAGAUCUUCCAUGCAUUUUACAUUACUUACAUUUAGCUUUAUUGCUAAUGGUGUGUUCAUGUCUAGCCCCUUGGAGUAUGCAUAGAUUGCAAUUGUGGUAUUCAGAUCAGAGAUUUUUUGCAUAGCUUCUGUGAAUUUAGUAGUGUAAUUCCGAAGCGUGUCUCCGUUUUGCUUAAUUGCAAAUAAUGAUUCAGUGCCCUUUCUAACUCUUUUGUUUCCACAAUGUUGGGCAAUGAAUUUUUUCUUCAGGUCUGCAAAACUAUUAUGCUUUCUGGUUGUAACUCGACGAACCACCUGUAUGUACGCCAUUUCAGUGUUCUUAGGAAUGCCCUGCAUAGGAUGUCAUCUUUUGUUGUGACCCAUUGCAUUGCUCCUCUGAACAUAUUUAUGUGGUCUACUGGGUCUAUCUUCCCAUCGUAGAGUUGUAUCCUAGGCAUCCUGAACUUUGGAGGUGCUGGUUUCAUCAUUAGUGACUUGUGCAGAGCCUCCGUGCCUUCUAACCAGUUUGAGAGUUCGCAUCCUUCCCCCACUGUAUAUUCCGUGCUUUCUUCGUACGCGGGUUUUUUAAGUGGCACCUAAGAUUUUUGCUCUCCUAGUUUUUUUAUUUCCGUGAGGUGGCAACGUGCUAGAGUGUGCCGCUCUAUGGCUUGACACUUCAUGCUGUGUUUUGGGUUGUUUUAAUGUUUGUAUUUUUGACUGGAACAUUGAUACUUUGGAUUUUUCAAUUGUUUUCAGUCUUUCGCCCAUUUUAGCUAUGGUUUCCUUCAUUUUCUCUAGCUCCUCCACAGGUACUUGUACGAAUCCGCGAGGGGCUUCUGAUGUUGAAGCCCUUGUUUCAUGGUUAUUCGCAGGUUUUAUUUGUUUAGGAGGUUUUUCCUGAAACUGCUCCUUUAGAGGCUGCUCUUCUCGAGACUUCUCCUUUUGAGGCUGCUCCCUUGGAGGUUGCUCUCUUUCAGUAAGCAAUCGUAUGGCCUCCUCUAUUGCCUGCAGCGUGAUAUUUAGAUUCUCCCCACCUGUUGAUACUUGGUGGGUUGAUUCAGGUUCAACCUCAGUUUCAUUACAUGUGCUUUUAUUUUUAUUAGCCUUAAAUGGACGACCCACUGCUCUUUUAGUCCUUGAGUUGCCAGGUUGUUGUUCUGAUACUUCAUGAGAGUUGGCUCCUCCCUGAGAAGUACUUCUUGUUGUUACCAUCCUGAAGAGUUCGACUUUGAAUCACAGACAGUGCCAACUGAUGAGGGUGAAACCCGAUCAGUACUCCAAGACGCUUACAGCCAGCGCCAGGCUGGAAACUCCGCGGGAAAUCGGGCGAAACUCAAGUGUGCAGAGCUCUGCUUUGCUAGGACUUCUCCACUCCAAAUGACCUGCCUUCAAUGAGUGGGGGGUGUCUCCUAUUUAUAGGCAUUCUUAUGGGGGUAAUCUGGUCAUUUGGGCAGUAACCGCCUAACUGAUCAGAUCGGGUCCCAAGGUCGACUUUCUAGAGAUCGACUUUCUCGGGAUCCAACUUUCCUGGGACUCGACUUUGUUCAAAAGUCGAUCCCAGGGAAGUCGAUCCUUGGGAAAGUCGAUCUUCCUAAGAGUUGACUUGGGACCUCCCCAAACGUAGAAUAGGUACCUCAGCUCAUCUCGGUCUAUCCGGACUUUUAAUUGCUGAUAUGUUGUGACCGGGUUCGGGAUACUGUAUCACCAGAACCGAAAUACCCAAUUCUGAUAAAAGUAUCUUGAUCCAUUCCAAUUCUGUGAUUGUAUCUGCCACACUUUUAUAUUAUGUCUCUGUUGUUGACCUUGCAACUGAAGAUUGCAUACUUGAGCUCCUUGAGAUGAGAUUAUUAUGUACCAAGGUAGAACACAAACGCCCUAUGGCUUCUACUGUUGCUUUUGUCACCACCCCAAUCCGCGUCGGAAUAGGCACAUAAUGACAUUGAGUCCGAUCUUGUGAUGUGUAUACCUCUCAGCAGUGUUCCUGAUACAUACCGCAACAAUCUUUUUAAAGCUCUCCAAUGUACCUCUGUAGGAGCUUGCAUGAAUUGAGCAAGCUUGUUUACCGGGAAAGCCAGAUCCAACCUAGUUAUAGUAAAGUACUGCAAGGCUAGCUCCAAUGACUUACCUAAAUAGUGUUGGGGAGUCACAUAGAAUUUUACUAUCAUACAACUUAAUUCGUGGAUCCAUUGAAAUAGCUGCUGGUUUCAAAUUGUCUAAAUUCACCUUAUCGAGAAUUGAUUUUGCAUAUUGAUGUUGUGUUAAGAACACUGAAUUGUCCUUAUCUCGUGAAAUAUGAAUUCCCAAAAAUUGUUCCUGAUUCCCUAAUUUUCUCACUGGAAAAUGUAUUGAAAUUGCCUUAAUCGUAUUUUCAAUAAAAAAAUUCCGACGAGCUGGUGAGGAUGAUAUCAUCAACAUAUACGAUGAAAAUUGCAAACACUCCACCUGUAUCAUAAAUGAAUUAUGAGUUAAUAUUCGCACUUUCUCUGAAUGAUAAAUCGAUAACUAUAACUCUUAGUUGUUUGAACCAUGCUCGUGGUAACUGUUUAAGUCUGUAUAUCGAUUUUUUCAACUUACAGACAUGAUGUGGGAAGUCAGGAUCGAUGAACCCCAUCGGUUGUCUCAUAAACACCUCUUCCUCGAGCACGUCAUGUAAAAACGCAUUGGAGAUGUCGAGUUGAGUUGAUAAUUCAAGAUUUAAGUCUCACUAUGUAUCAUCAAUAAUGAUGGAUAGUAGUUCUGCUACGAGUGCGAUAGCAGAACAAAUGACUUAGGCUAACCUAAACACAUCAUAAAUAGUGUUAAAUAUAUAUAUGAAAAAAUUAUUUUAAUUACUAAACCUAAUAUGAUGAACAAGAGUUUGAUAUGAUGUUCGUGAAAAAUUAGAAAAGUAGAGAUUUUUUUAAGUAGUUCGGAUGGUACUGACGACGUGGGCCGGGGCAGCAGACAAAUGGGUGGCGAGGAAUCAACAACAGUGGACAUUAUGAACAGUUGUACAGUGAAAAAUGUUUUUGCAGGACAAAGAACAUCUUCACACAUCAUGAUUAGUCAAAAAUAUACUAAUUUAAAUAUUUAAACUUUUAAAGAACUAGAAGUUUACGGAUAGUAGUAUAAAUACAAAAAUCAUUAAUGAUAUACAGUAUUUUGAUGGAAAUUCCAUUUGCUAAAUGUCAGCCCAUCUCAAGAUCUUCACCGCCGGUUGUUCAAAGAAAACGUAGACAAUAGGACAGAUGAGAGACCGUUGGACAGAUGAUGGCACAUACAGUGGGCAGCACAUCAAAUAUAUUCCCUAUAAAAUAAUUCAUUCAUCUCCUUUGAUCACAGCUUCAGAAGGAGAAAUCGAGUCAUCUGCAUCCCCAUAUUUCUCCAUUAUAGCCCGAGUAUCACGUUAUAAUUAUCAAUGAAUACCCAUGUAUAUGGAUCGUUAUGGCUAAAUGCCACUUCAACUAAGGUUAAGACUAGCUAGCUGUAGUGGCAUUUGGUCAUAAUAAUCUAGAUGCAUUAGUAUUCAUUGAUAAUUGCAAUGUGAUACUUAGAGCUAUAAUGGAAAAAUGUGGGGUUGCAGAUCACUUGGUUUCUCCUUCUGAAGCUGAAUUAACCGCUGCCACCAUCUUCAGUCAUACUUCCCGAACCAAAUAUUGUAUCGGCUGUCUCAAGAUGGUGCUUGAUAAAGGGAGAUUUAGGAAGGAGGAUUGGAAUAAGAACGAGAAGAAGUUUUUAGGGCAAGAUAGAAGAGCAACUGCUCAUAAUUCAUUAGCUACCAAAAUACUAAAAGUUCAGACCUUAAGUAGUUUGUGAUUAAACCCUAACGGGCUUGGCCCAAUAGAAAUGGCCUUAAUUAAAAUGAUAAUGAACUAAAAUAAAUUUAACUUGGUGAGCCUAUUAUGUAAUCUUGAAAAUGAAUUGACUUCUUACUCACGCGUUUAUGCUUCCUAUGCCUGUCAGAAUUCUGACGUACUUGAUUUCCAAGAUAUAAGUCUUUCUUUGAAGACUCUUCACUUCCAAACCUAUAGCUUCUGUAAGAACCAGCGGCGCCUCCUCCACAGCAACAACUUCAUCUUCACUCCUCGGCUCCAUCUCGGUAAGAUCUUCUUCUAAUAUUUUAUUAUGUUCUUCCCUUCUGGACACCUCUCUCUCCAUGUCUUGCAUGCAACUAAUCUGGUCAAGUUCCACCAUAACAACACCAUCAUCCAUCGGAAGGACCUUGCCCUCAAGGUUAGAUGACGGAAGCAACCUUGCAAGGUUCGACAAAACUUCCCACUCGGCUUCCCGUUGCUCCAGUCCACUGCACCAAGACCUCCACUUCGGCUUUCCCUUGCGCAAGAUAGUUCUUUUGCCCAGCAACUUCUCCGGUAAUGAUAUGUGCUCGCUUCUCACCACCAGAUCCGGUAAGCUCCUCCCUUCUUUUACUGUGACAUCUCCUUUCACCUGUUUCAACAUAGAUACAUGAAAAACAUCAUGGAUCUUACAUCCUCUUGGCAGAUCCAACAUAUAAGCAACUUCUCCUUUUUUUUAUAGAUUUUAUAGGGUCCGAAAAAUCUGGGUGCAAGUUUGGGGUGUAGUCGAAAUGCUGCCAAAAUCUGUCGAUAUGGUUGCAAGCGAACCUAUACACUAUCUCUUGUUUCAAAGGUGACUUCUUUUCUUUUUUUAUCUGCAUAAUGCUUCAUUCUAUCUUGAGAGCUUUUCAUAUUUUUUUGAACAAGUGUGAUGAUUUCUUGUCUCCUACAGAGUUCCCGAUCUGCAGCCUCUAUUCUUGAUGAUCCUGCUGUGUACCCUGUUAAAGCCGGUGGGUGUCUCCCAUAUAGUGCUCGAAACGAUGUCAUCCCAAUAGAUGUGUUGAAGGUUGAGUUGAACCAAAGUUCAGCCCAUGGCAGAAGUUGGAUCCAUCUUUUUGGGUCAUCAUAAACAAGAGAUCUAAGGUAAUGCUCUAAUCCUCUAUUUGUGACCUCUGUUGUGGGUGGUAGGCCGAGGAGGUAUUUAAGGUGGUGCCACUUAAUCGGUGGAUUUCACGCCAAAAUUUACUGGUAAAAAACUUAUCUCGAUCAGAUACGACGGAUCGGGGCAUGCCGUGUAGCUUUAUUAUGUGAUUGACAAAAAACUCUGCAACAUCUGUUGCUGAAUACUCGGUAGGUAAUGCUUCAAUAUGGCAGCACUUAGUUAAACGAUCUACGACCACUACAAUCACCGUUUUAUUUUUUUACCUUCGGCAAUCCCGUAAUAAAAUCCAUUGAAACAUUCUCUCACACCGCUUUAGGAAUUGAUAAUGGCAUUAAAAUACCUUGACUUUUCUGAUUUGAGACCUUCAUUUGUUGACAAUUACUACAUUCCUCCACAUAACUUUUAACAUCCACCGACAUACCUUUUCACGACAAUGUAGAUUGUAUUCUUUUGAGUGUCCUCUCCCUUCCCGAGUGACCCCCAUAUACUGAGCUAUGAAAUUCUUUCAAUAUCUCCUUAAAUUCAGAAUCUUUACUCAUCAUUAAUUUUCCUCUAAAAUAUAAUAGAUUAUCAAUUGUAAUAAAAUCGGAUUUAGGGAUACCUCUAGCUUCCAUUCUUCUCCUCUCUUCACAGAUCGAUUGAGAUGUUCUGCAUUUAUUUUUAAUUUUUUCCAGUAAGGCAUUUAUGGGUCUGGAUAUUGCGAAUAUUGAUCCUUCCCUUUCUGUUAGUUCUUCUUCAUACAUUCUAGAUAACUCAUCUGCUGCUAAAUUUUUUUUACCCGAUUUGUAUUCAAAAGUAUAGUCAAAGCCCAGAAGUUUAAAGAGAAAUUUUGUUGUUCCGGUGUCUGAAUAACUUGAGAAAGCAAAUUCUUAAGACUAUUAUAAUCUAUUUUGACCACAAAUUUGUUACCCAACAAAUAGUGGCGCCAUUUGCAAACAGCUUGAGUGAUGGCAUAUAAUUCUUUAGCAUAUGUUGAACUAUUCUGCAUUCUCUUAGACAGUUUACUACUAUAAAAUGCCACCGGAUGUUGUUCUUGCAUAAGUACUGCUCCAAUGCCCACUCCACAAGCAUCUGUCUCCACCACAAAAGUUUUAGAAAAAUCUGGAUAGCAUAGAACUGGUGUUGUUGUCAUCAUUUUCUUUAGGGCUAAAAAACUUUCCAAUGCUUUUUCUGACCAGAUAAACGAAUCUUUCUUUAGUAAAUCAGUUAAGGGUCCUGCUAUUCUUGCAUAUCCUUGAACAAAUCGCCUAUAAUAUCCUGUUAAGCCCAGAAAUCCUCUCAACGACUUGAUUGUUUUAGGGGCUGGCCAUCUGAUCAUAGUAUCAAUUUUCUCUUGAUCUGGCCUAAUACCAUCACCUGCAAUAAUAUGUCCCAAGAAUGGUAUUGAUGUUUUUUGGAAAGAACAUUUUUCCAUUCUAGCCACCAAUUUAUUUACUUUCAAUAAUUACAUAACCAUUUUCAAUUGUUCCACAUGGUCCUCUAGAUUCUGACUGAACACCAAAAUAUCAUCGAAAAAAAUAAUUACGAACUUCCUUAAGUAUUCAGCAAAGAUUUCAUUCAUUGUCGAUUGAAAUGUUACCGGAGCAUUCGUAAGGACGAACGGCAUUACUACAAACUCAAAAUGGCCAUGGUGUGUUCUGAAGGCUAUCUUUGGAAUGUUCGGCUCAAACACUCUAAUUUGGUGGUAUCCUGAUAAUAAAUCUAGUUUGGAAAAUACUUUAGCGCCUUUCAGUUACCCCAGUAGCUCAUUGAUCGUUGGUAUAAGAAAUCUAUCUUUCACUAUUAUCGCAUUUAGUGAUCUGUAGUCUACACACAACCUCCACCCACCAUUUUUUUUCUUUACUAAUAUUACCGGUGAAGAAAAUGGGUUGUUGCUAGCUCGUACAAAUCCUUUUUGCAAUAAUUCUUUUACUAUAGAUUUCAUUUCUGCUUUCUGAAAUUGGGGAUAGCGGUAAGGCUUAACAUUAACUGCCUUAGAGUUCUCUUCUAAAUAAAUUCUAUGAUCCUUGUCACGUUUUGGAGGUAGAUGGUCAGGCUCCUUAAACACCUCUGCAAAUUCUGAUAGUAAGUUUCCCACAGCUUGUGACAUAAUUUGAACUCUCAACCCAACUAUUUCUUUGCCUUUAUCAUUGCAAAGAUUAAAUGAACAUAAAAAGGCUUCCUCAGAUUCAGCAGCUAAUCUUUUCAAGUCGCCUCCUGAUAAUGAGCUUUCAUCUAACCAAUUAUUGCCCAUCCACCUAAUUGUCGACCCUUGAUCUUGAAAUUCCAUAGAAGCUACAGAAUAAUCUGUAAUAAUUGGACCCAAUGUUUUUAGCCAUUGAAUAUCCAAAACUACAUUUGCUCCCGCCAUCAGUAAUAUAAACAGAUCUGCUUUGAAUUUGUGAUUUUGGACUUUAAGUUCUACUGCUCUGCAUAUUUUGUUGCAGCACAACUUUUCACCACUAUCGGUGGCCACAUAAAAUUCUUGUAUAGGAGAAACCGGUAGUUUCCACUCAGACAUCAUACAUUCUUGCACAAAAUUAUGGGUGGACCCUGAAUCCACAAGAAUUGAAAUUUUUCUGCCUGCCAUUAACCUCGUUACACGAAUGGUUUUCAGUGAAAUACAUCCUUCUAAUGCAUCCUGAUGAAGCACUGAAUCUUCUACUAGGGCUCGCGGUGCUGCGAGGUGAUGUCGGAGGCUCUGGAGUCCACAACGCGCGCUCUACGUCAAAUACCUGCAAGGAGAGAAUCGGCGAUUCUGGUGUGGGAAUCGAUGAUUCUUAUAAUGGUGCUCUGGUGAGAGUGAAACUUGUGUUGUGCCUUUGAGUGUCCCCUUGGGACCCUUUUUAUAGGGUCUCGGAGGGCGCGUUCAAAGGCGGACAUCGUGCCUAUUGGCAUAUAAGGGUGCAUUUAUGACGUAGGCUGGCGGCGAGUAAUGGUUGUAAAUCGGCGAUUCAGGUAUGGAAAUCGCCUAUUUAGGGCAAACUCGUCGAGUUUCAAGGGGCGAGAUAUGCAGUCUACCAUACUGCCGAUCUGGGCCCUAACUCGGCGAUUUGGUAGUCCAAUCGCGAUUUACGGGCCGGUUAACUCGACGAUUUGACGAUGAACUUGUUCCGCACCGUGGGAGCCUUCCGGGGGUCCGGCGUAAAGCGACGGAACCUAAUCCUUGUUGAAGGGCGUUGCUGGGAGUGACUGCCGUAAUUAGGCAUGUCUCACUAGUGGAGACAUAAAAUUCUUGUAUAGGAGAAACCGGUAGUUUUCACUUAGACAUCAUACAUUCUUGCAUAAAAUUAUGGGUGGACCCUGAAUCCACAAGAAUCGAAAUUUUUUUGCCUGCCAUUAACCCCGUUACUCAAAUGGUUUUCAGUGAAAUACAUCCUUCUAAUGCAUCCAAACUGAUUAAGGUGUGCUCGUGCAGGUGGAGUUGUAAGAGUUUUAUGCAUUUCCCCUCUCCUAUGUGGUGGAAUAUAGGAUUCCCGUUGUAUGCCAUAUUUGGGAUAUUGCCAAGAUUGAUUCGUUGUUACCGCAACUAAUGUAUUCUCCCACAUACGAGCUAGAUAAAAUGCCUCAUUAAUAGUUUCUGGUUGGCCUCUUACCACUUCAGUUUGCACUUCUGGUUUCAAACCAGAUAUGUAAACUUCUUUCAUUACCCUACUCGACAUGCCAUGUACUUUGGUUGCCAUCCCUUCGAACUUGGUCUGAUAAUCUUUUACUGAUUCUGUCUGGAUUAAUUUACUUAAUCUUCCCGCUGGUAAAGCAUAAGAACCCUCUCCGAAACGUUUCUGAACAUCUUCCAUAAAUUCACUCCACGAAGUCAGUUGACCUUCACCAUCCAUCCAUAACAGCCAUUUUAACGCCUCACCCUCCAUAUUCAUGGUUGCCAUUAAGAUUCGUUCUCCCACAGGUACACUAUGAAAACGAAAGUAUUUUUUUACCUUGUAUAACCAGCCUUCGACGUCCCCACCAUUGAACUUAGGCAUAUCCGUUUUCAGAGUUUUCUUUGCAUCCAUUAAAGGACCCCUCCCUAGAAUCGAUCCCUGGCCAGAGCUAAGAGUAUCCAUUCUUGUAGCUAAUUCUGAUAACAUCUUGCUCAUUCCCUCCAGAAUAGUUGUUGUGGUAUCAUACUUAAUUUGUAAGCCUCUGACCGUCUCUUCCACCGAUGUUAAUUCUGAAGACAUUGUUUAUUUUCGUAAUUGUACGAAAAUACAAACUGAAAUUAAAAUAAAUCUCUAAGAGAUUAAGCAAUGGAAUAAAUGCUUUCCUGUUUGAGAUCUAGAUUUAAGGACCUAGACCAUAUCUCGGCGAAUUAUUUGAUUGUACGGAAUGACCGAACUCAAAACGAUAAUACUUCCAAUCUGCCUCGGCACCCUUUAGUUAGCCUCGUCCAGAUCUUCACCCUUUUCCAAGAAAUACACAAUAGAUCAAGUUAGGUUUAAUCUUUGAGAAUAAAAAAAACUAGAAUAUGCUUUCCUAUUUGGGAUCUAGAUUAAGGAUCUAGAACAUAUCCUGAUAAGUUUUUUGAUUUUAUGGAAUCACCGAUCUCUCUGAGCUUAAACUUCACAGCCUCAAUAUUUCUUGCUUCAACGAUCCAGCACCCGAUCUGUUGAUGUAUGAAUUCAAGGAUGAAAGCACCAAUUGAUAGAGGGAGAUUUAGGAAGGAGGAUUGGAAUAAGAACGAGAAGAAUUUUUUAGGGCAAGAUAGAAGAGCAACUGCUCAUAAUUCAUUAGCUACCAAAAUACUAAAAGUUCAUACCUUAGUAGUUGUGAUUAAACCCUAACGGGCUUGGCCCAAUAGCAAUGGCCUUAAUUAAAAUGACAAUGAACUAAAUAAAUUUAACUUGGUGAGCCCAUGAUGUAAUCUUGAAAAUGAGUUGGCUUCUUACUCACGCGUUUAAGCUUCCCAUGCCUAUCAGAAUUCUGACGUACUUGCUGCCCAAGAUAUAAGUCUUUCUUUGAAGACUCUUCACUUCCAAACCUAGCUUCCGUAAAAACCAGCGGCGCCUCCUCCACAGCAACAAUUUCAUCUUCACUCCUUGGUUCCAUCUCGGUAAGAUCUUCUUCUAAUAUUUUAUUAUGUUCUUCCCUUCUCAACACCUCUCUCUCCAUGUCUUGCAUGCAACUAUUCUGGUCAAGUUCCACCAUAACAAAAUUCCAUCUUCCACGCAAAGACGAAACACGUGGCGAUACAAUAUUACUUCCUUAGAGAAUAAAUAGCAAGAAAAACACUGGAAACAAAGUUCAUCUCGUCAACGGAGCAGCUGACCGACAUAUUAACCAAGCCGCUUCAAUGCUAGAUGUUUUUUUUAUCUGUUUUCCAAGCUUAUGGAGUCACUCCCGAUAAGCUUGAGGGGAGGUACGGUAUUAAGGAAGCAUAGUUAGGUGGUGAUACAGUAUCCCGGACUGAACCACGACACCAGUUUGAGAUAACCUAGAAUGUGUGGAAGUACCCGUAUAGGCAAUGGGAGGCCCCAGUCGACUUUAUGGGGAAGUCGACCCCACCGAGCGACUUUUAAUAAGUCGACCUCUAAGGAGGUCGAGGGCCAAAAGUCGACCUCGAGGGAGUCGACCUCACAAAGUCGACCUCACAAAGUCGACCCAGGCCGGAUCUGGGCAGUUAGGCGGUUAGAGCCCUAAUGACCAGAUUACCCCAUGAGAACCCUAUAAAUAGGGGUCACCACCACUCAUUAGAGGAGGUUAUUUGAAGUGAGAGAGAACCCCUGCCAGAAAGAGCCUGAGUGACUAGAGUGUCCGAGCGAUUUCCGGUGGAGUUCACGGCCCUACACUUGUUCGAAGCGUCGUUCGAGCACUGAUCGGGUUCCACCCUUAUCAGUUGGCGCAGUCUGUGAAUUCAAGAUCCAAGGUAGAUGCGCAAGGAUCAAGUAAACCCUAAAUUCUGUUAAGCUCCUCGAUCUCUCCUUGAACAAAGUCAGCAAAGAGGCUCACUAGAAGAGCCAUGUUUGAGAAAAGUAGAGGAGAAAGACAGGAAGAUGACCAUAGAAGGUCACCCCAAAAGUCGAGCAGAAUAAGUCGACUUAAAAAAGUCGAGGCCAAUAAGUCGAGCAGGAUAGUAACCCAGGCAGGGGGUGUAAGAAAUACCUCUGGACAGUCACCCAGCCAAGGAGGUGUAAGAAAUACCUCUGGACAAUCUCCAAGCCAAGGGGUGUUAGAAAUACCUCUGGACAGAUAGACACCAAGCUAGGGGGUGUAAGAAAUACCUCUGGACAGACACCAAGACAGGGGGUGUAAGAAGAAAUACAUCUGGACAGUCACCAAGCCAGGGUGUGUAAGAAAUACCUUUGGACAGAUAGACACCAAGACAGGGGGUGUAAGAAGAAAUACCUCUGGACAAUCACCAAGCUAGGGUGUAUAAGAAAUACCUCUGGAUAGAUAGACACCAAGCCAGGGGGUGUAAGAAAUACCUCUGGACAGACACCAAGACAGGGGUAUAAGAAGAAAUAACUCUGGACAGUCACCAAGCCAGGGGUGUUAGAAAUACCUCUGAACAGAUAGACACCAAGCUAGGGGGUGUAAGAAAUACCUCUGGACAGACACCAAGACGGGGGGUGUAAAAAGAAAUACCUCUGGACAGAUAGACACCAUACCAGGGGGUGUAAGAAAUAUCUUUGGACAGACAAGCACUGAGACAGGGGGUGUAAAAAGAAAUACUUAUGGAGAAACACCAGGACAGGGGGUGUAAGAAGAAAUACCUCUGAACAGAUAGACACCAAGCCAGGGGGUGUAAGAAAUACCUCUGGACAGACAGGCACCGAGACAGGGGGUGUAAAAAGAAAUACCUCUAGACAGACACCGAGACAAGGGGUGUAAGAUAUAUCCCCGGAUAGAUAGACACCAAGCCAGGGGGUGUAAGAAAUACCUCUGGACAGACACCAAGACAGGGGAUGUAAGAAAAAAUACCUCUCAGUCACUAAGGCAGGGGGUCUAAGAAGAAAUACCUCUGGACAGUCACCAAGCCAGGGGGUGGAAGAAAUACCUCUGGCCUAAGGAAGUAAAAAACAAGGGAAAAAGAGAUCCGAGCAGGCUCGGUUAAAACGCUUAGGUGGACAAAGAUUGUAGGGUCAAGAACAAGUUCGCACGGAAAGCAGCCCAGGCACUUCAGUCACUCGAAAGAGGCACUGGCAGGGGGAGAAAGGGGGGGGUACCCCAUAAAAUGUAAGUCGUGCGUCCAACCUCGCAAAUACAAGAACGGGCCUCCCGUUGCUGCAAGGGGGGAACCCUGGCAACACCAGGAUAAGAAUCCCUACCAUCGCAAGCAAGGGAGAGGGGAGUAUUGGUGGUGCAGGACCUAAAAAUCAGAUAACACCAACUGGGAAGCAGUCCCCAAGAGCCUUAGUAUAUGUCGAAGGGGGGAGUACUGGUGAUACAGUAUCCCAGAUUGGACCACGACACCAGUUUGAGAUAACCCAGAAUGGGUGGAAGUACCCGUAUAGGCAAUGGGAGGCCCCAGUCGACUUUAUUGGGAAGUCGACCCCACCGGGCGACUUUUGCGAAAUCGACCUCUAAGGAGGUCGAGGGCCAAAAGUCGACCUCGAGGGAGUCGACCUCACAAAGUCGACCCAGGCCAGAUCUAGGCAGUUAGGCGGUUAGAGCCCUAAUGACCAGAUUAUCCCAUGAGGACCCUAUAAAUAGGGCUCACCACCACUCAUUAGAGGAGGUUAUUUGGAGUGAGAGAAAACCCCUGCUAGAAAGAGCCUGAGUGACUAGAGUGUCCGAGCGAUUUCCGGCAGAGUUCACGGCCCUACGCUUGUUCGAAGCGUCGUCCGAGCACUGAUCGGGUUCCACCCUUAUCAUUAGGUAUAAUAACAAUGUAUGGAACAAGUAACAAGAAUACAUAGAUAGUUAUAAUAGCAUAGUUAGUUAUAAUACAUAGAUAGCUAUAGAUAAACCUAUGUAUGGAACUAAAGAAUUCAAAUUCAAUUGAUACAACUUCCGCACUUUGAUACAGUCAACCCUUACAUUUAUGUCCCGGUGCAUACUUCUUGUCACAGUUGAAGCGCAAGCCCUUUGCGGUUCGUUCUUUAAUUUCUUUCUUCCACUGUGAGGGUUCAUCGGACGAUUGGAACACCCGACGCCGGUGGUGGGGUCUUGAUAAUCAGCUCUGAUUUUGAGUUAUAUGGCGGCCCUCCGUACUUGUAUGCCUUAUAGUCUUUAUUUGCUUCGUGCAUCUUGGCUAUCGCUAGAGCUUUUCUCGAUCAAUGUGUUUGGCCGAUUAAGUUUCAACUAUCUCUUUAUCUCCGGUACAAGACCUCCGAUGAAAUACGAUAUGAGGAUCUCUUCAUUCUGUCCAUCUACUUCGUUCAACAGGGCUUCAAACCUUGCCAUAUACUUCGCCACUGUCGACGUUUGUUGUAAUCUCGACAGUUCUCCUAGCUUAUCCUCAUACUCAGACACACCAAAUCGUUCUUUUAAGGUCUCCAUAAAUUUCUCCCAAGUCGUUAGGAGAUUGUUACGCCGUUUACCAUGAAUCCAACUUAAAGCCUCCUUAGACAUGUGAAAGUCGGUCAUCUGAAGACGAGCUUCGUCUGCGAUAUUAUGGUAUCUGAAAUACGCCUCAGCUUGAUAGAUCCAUCCUUGCGGGUCUUCUCCUGAAAAUCGAAUUAGAUCCACCUUCAUUGGUCGUGGUGUACACAUUCCGUUCUCUCCCGAUCGCGAUGAGCUCCCACCUUGCAACUCUUGGACCAUUCUUCUUAGUUCACUCAAUUCGUUGGACAUGGACGAUAUCAUCCCAUCCUGCCGCUUGGUCACUUCCAUCAAUCUUGAAUUUUGUUCUCCGACGAUCGCCGUUAAAGUACUACGUACCUCCUCCAUUGUAUUUUUUGUAGAUGUGCUCAUGAAGAAGAAAAAACACAGUUAUUAUCUCCCCAAAUUAAUUAGAAUAACUAGAUUCACCAAUGUCCCUCGUGAGGAUCCAAUUGAGGCUUGGGACACGCCGGGAAGAGUUUGAUAAAUUUUUAAAGUCGUUUCCGACUGUUAUUCCGUUCGCUGACGUCGCUUGAGUCCGCGUGGAUAAAAGCACCAAUGUAACCGUAGAAGCCAGUCGAGAGCGGAGCUGAACGAUUGAGUCGAGGAUCGGAGAGAUUUAAUCCCGUGAGGGCCGAAGGUAAGGUAGAUUUAGAGAUUUCCUAGAGGAAUCGGAGGUAGAGGUAGAAGACAAGUACUGUUUUGGAAAUUUGAUAAUUUUUUAUUCAUAAACGUUUCCCUAUUUAAAAAUACAGACUUCCCCUAACAUUUCCGAAAAUUAUAGAAAUAACCCACUAACUUCUCCCAUAUUUAUUCAUAAACAUUUCCGAAAAUUAUGGAAACAAACCCACUAACUUCUCCACUAAAUUCUCUUUUAAUUAAUUUCCAACGAUUGACCCGCCACCUAAUCGUAACUGAAAUCCGGACGUUGUGUAGAACGGCGCGUGCGGCCUGGCCGUGCGGGGUCUGGUUCUAUCGGCAUAUCGUAAUCUGGUUCCGUCUGGUCCUCGUUCUCCUCCGUAUGCUAACCCUGCUUCCAAUCUAAUUCCAAUUGAGCCUUAAUUAGCUGCCGCGGCAUCAAUGAGUAUUGUUACAGAGUGACCUUCAUCGUUUAGACCUCCAUGGGCACAUGCAAAUAACACAUCAAGGAAAGUGAUGUGAUCAGGCUUCUCAUUCGUUUUCUUCAUAUUGUUGAAUAACUCUACAUCUGUUGAUGCCUGACCAUGAGAACCAUAUGCCAUGAUCAUGGAGGUCCAAGACACUACAUCUCGCACUGACAAUCUAUAAAAAACAUGGCGAGUAUUAAAUAUUUAGCAAUAAUUAUAUAUUAAAUAUUUAGCUAUAAUUAUAUAUUUAAUAUAAUUAUGAUUAUAACGUUUUGGAAGUUAUAAUCUUCCCAUGUAUAAAUAUAAUAGCUAAAUACAUAGCAAAUCACAAUCUGAUUUAGCCAUUUUUCUCCUAUUAUCUUUUUGUUUUUGUUUUCUCCUUUUGUUAUGGAUUCCAUCGGCUCCACCUCCUCUGUCACUUCCGGUAAGGUCCUUCCUACCUCUCCAUCUCCAUCAGGUUUUCCCUUUUCUCAUAUGGUACCAGAGCGAACAACCGUUCCUACGGCCAUUAACGAUAUCAAAAAUAUGUUCGGCAAUAUUCUAUCUUUUGGUUCAAUCCAGAAUUUCAUAUCAGUGAAAUUAUCUCCAACUAAUUUCAUCCUCUGGAAGAUACAAUUCGGUCUGUUGUUGAAUUGUUUUGGUCUACAAGACCACAUCAGUACCUCUAUCUCGACCCCUCCGGCAAUGGUCGAUGGUGCUCUUAAUCCGUUAUUCUCCACAUGGUGGCAUAAAGAUCAACUCGUUAUGAGUUGGAUCUUAUCGUCUCUGUCUGAAGAAGUGCUUCCAAUCGUGAUCGGAUUAACAACUGCAAAAGAGAUGUGGGAAGCAAUCGAGACUUCCUACGGCAAGUUAUCACAAUCAAGAAUACUCCAGUUGCAGAUGAAUAAGUUCCACAAUCUGAAGAGAGGAACAAUGUCAGUGGCGUCAUAUCUCCGACAGGUAAAGAUGUUGGGAGAUGAACUUGCAGCAACCGGAAAUCCAAUCCCUCGACAAAUGUUCAAUGCAACGGUUUUUAGUAACCUCGGUGAUGAAUACGGUAAAAUAGUAUCGGCGUGCUCUGUUCAAUCCACGUCACUCACCUUCCCAGAACUCAUAAAUAUACUUUCUGGCCAUGAGGUUCGACUCUAGAUGUGUUCUCCCGUGGCAACUCCGGUAGUUCAUGCUACGGUCACAAAUCCAGGGAACGAGUUCAAUUUUCAAACAGAUCGUGGAAGAGGGAGUUAUCGGGGAAGGGGUCGGGGAAGAGGUCGUAGACCCUCUCCACGUAUAGACCCAUGCCCCGUAUGUGGUGGUUUAGGGCACAACCUGCAUACAAGUGUUCAAAAAGAUAACAAGGUCCGACCCAAACUGUCUCCUGAGGUAGUCCUUAAGGAGGUCAUUAAAAACAUCAGUCUCUCCUUUGAUUCAGUGUAUUACAAUAAGAGUUGUUGUCACCCUUUGAAGACAUUUAUGAUGGAAGUAUGGGAGACCAACCUCCUGAGGCAGCGUAUCUAGUUACUGUAUAACUAGACUACAUAGCUAAUGGGAGAGAGUCAAUGAGCUUUUUGCUCAUUUCUUUUUACUUUUAUUUUUAUUUCUAUUUUCUAUUUUUGUAAACUUGGCAUUAGCCUUAUUCUAAUGAAAUUUAAUUGCUUCAAAAAAAAAAACUAUGCUUUCUAGGAUUUAUCAUUGGGAUACACGGAAUGAAAAUGGAUCCAAAAAAGACUGAAGCACUACAAAAUUGGCCAGCACCUUCUUCAGUCACUGAGGUACGUAGUUUUAUGGGCCUAGCCUUCUUUUAUAGGAGAUUUAUAAAAAAAUUCAGUUCAAUAGCUAGUCCCAUAACAGACUGUUUAAAGAAAGGAAAAUUCAGGUGGACAGAUGAGGCUUCAGUCAGUUUUCGGAAGUUAAAAAGCUAGUUGGACUUGUCCUUGACAAGAAUAAGGAUGAGGAUUGGUAAUGGUUCACAUCUCACUAUUAAAUCUUUCGGUAAUGGUUCAAUUUCUAAUGGUGUUACUUCUCUUGAUCUUCGUAACAUCCUUCAUGUCCCUCUUUUGAAUACUUCUUUAAUUUCGGUUCAUAAGUUUGCUCUUGAUAACAAUUUCUAUUUUGUUUUUCAUCCUUUCUAUGUCUUUGUAAAGGAUCGAGCAACUCACAGGCUUCUUCUUCAAGGAACCCAUGAUGGAUCACUUUACAAGAUUAGAAAUCAAUCGCCAUUAGUUCAUGCUACUAGGUGCUCAAUAAAUGUCUGGCAUGAACGGUUAGGACAUCCUCAUGAGGCCAUCGUUAGAAAUGUUAUUUUAGAAAAUUAUUUGCCUAUUUCUAUUUCAAAACUUGAUAAUUGUCGAGCUUGUCUUAUAGGUAAAUCAUGUCAUAUUAAUCUUCCACAAACAUUUUCUAAAAGUUAUGUUCCUCUUGAAUCGAUACAUAGUGACGUAUGGGGACCAUCACCUAUCGAAUCUUUGGAUGGUUUUAGAUAUUUUGUCAUUUUCAUUGAUGAUUUAUCUCGCUUCAUUUGGUUAUAUCCCAUGAGACAAAAAUCGGAGGUGGGAAAUAUUUUCAAAGAAUUUCAUGUCUUAGUUGAAAGACAAAUCAGCCACAAAAUAAAAUCGUUUCAAUCAGACUUUGGGAAAAUUCACAAUAUCUACACAUGAUGGUUUCAACUACUUCUUAACAAUAGUUGAGGAUAAAAGUAGAACCACAUGGAUAUAUUUAUUAGAAAAUAAAUCAGCAUUAGAAGGUUGCAUUAAAUCUUUUAUAAAAAUAGUUAAAAAUUAUUUUUCAAAAAAUAUCAAGAUAAUUAUGAGUGAUAAUAGAGGUGAGUUUAUCUCCAAAUCUUUUAAACAAUGAUCAAAGAUCAUAGAAUAAUCCAACAGUUUUCUUGUCAAUACUCACCCAAGCAAAAUUCUAAGGCAGAAAGAAAACAUAGAUAUCUAUUAAGUGCAUGUGGCCAGAGAACACUACACAUACAAAGUCAUACUCCCAUUAAAUUUUAGAGAGAGAGAGUGUGUAUUAAUAGCCACACACAUAAUCAAUAAAAUACCAUUCAAAGUACUUAAUAAUAAAACUCUCUUUGAAAUUUUACAUAAAACCAUACCCAAUUAUAGCUUUGGGUGCUUAUGCUAUACAACAAUCGAUCAAUCUAAGAGAAUACAAGUUCUCUCCUAGAACUUUUAAAGGGGUUUUCGAUCAUGGGUUAUCCUUCGGAAAUGGGUUGCUUGCGGAAGCGUUUUUCUCGAUUGAUACUAUCUUAUUUUCUACUGCCGGAGAUGUCGCUGAAGUAUUGAAGAAGACCGGCGAGUGAGCUUGCCGGAAUCGUCGCUGGAAUGAAGUGCGCAAGAAGAGGGGGAGAAAGUAGGGAUUUCCGUUUUAACAGAAAUACCCAAAAAUGUGUAAACAGUAAUUGUAUUGAAUUAUUAUUAGUUUACAACUAUUAGUUUUAUAGGAAAAAUUUUACAACAAACCCAAAUUGACUUAUCAAUAUUUUAACCAACUAAUAACAAAAUCAACUAACUAAUUCAUUUGUUAAUUCCUAAAACACAUUAGAAAAUUAAUUCCUUUAGUGUGGUCUCAUCUGAAACUACUAUUGCUGAUUUGAAGAAACAAGUCGCCAAACUCAAGGAAGAGAAUACGGGACUUAAGAGUGAACUUGCUAGCGCUAAAGAGGAGAUCUCGGCGCUUUCGAAAGAUAGUUCUGUAUUUUCUGGGAAGGCCGAAUAGUUGGAGUUGGAUGUGAGAUAUCAAUCCGAUCAACUCCAAGAACUCAUCUUCUUUGGACCUUCCGUGUUUCCCUCUCUACCCCUUGACUACAUCACGGACAUCAUGACAUGGGUAGAGCAGCCUCCUGAAGAGCUCGAAAAGAACAAGGAUGCUUUGGAUAAGAUGAAGGACGAAGCUGCUAAAGAAUAGAACAUUUUAGUCCUUAGAAUUUUGUAACUUUUUAUAAUCUUUUUGUAAUCUUUUUGAAGUUAUUAUUAAUGAAUCGUUUUGUUUAUUUUAAUUAAUUGUUUAUUUAUUUCAUUUCUUUGGAUUGUAACUAAGACCCGAAACUAGAUUCACGAGUCGUAAUUUAGCCACUCUGGACGUAAAUUAGACUAACCCUAUCGCUAGCGCUCUACGUCAAAUACCUGCAGAAGAGGAGGGGAAUCGGCGACUCACGUGGGAGGCGACAAUUCGGGCUCCUGGAUGCUCUAGUGUUGAGUGUGAGUAGUCAAGUAAAGGUGCUGAUGGAGGAGGACCCCUUUUAUAGGGUCCUGGGGACGUUUCCCCCAUUAGCGUGAGGCCCACUCCAUUAUGGUGCCCAAUUAAGGGUGCCAUAACGACAUGGACCCUCUCAAGAAACGCCUGGGAGUCGGCGACUCAGGUAUGGGAGUCGCCGAUUCAGAGGUGGAGUCGCCAACUCCCUUAUGGUCAGGUCCUCGGUCUACCAGACCCGAGUGCCCUGUUCGGAGUCGGCGAUGCACCCCUGGAAUCGGCGACUUGGUAGUCCCAGUCGGCGAUUCCCAGGUGUUGCAUUGAGUACUUGACGUAGACACUUGCUCCGCACCGUGGAUGCCGUCCGGGGGUCCGGCGUAAAGCGACGGAACCCUAGUCCUUGUUGAGGGGCGUUGCUGGGAGUGACUGACGUAAUCAGACAUGUCUCACCACUGGGUGUCUCCGGUACAAGCUUACUUGAUGAGGUGGCAGUUUUCCUAAAAAGUCUCCAAGUGAGAGAUUGUUAGAGUGUGGGGACGUUUUUCAUUAAAGGCAUUAAUUAUAAUUAGAAUAAUUAAAAUUAAUGUAGGCCUUUUAUGAGCCAUUAGAAUUAACUAGGUUUAAUUCUAUUAAAUAGGCUUUAAGCCUUGUAAUGGGUAUUAGGGUUGCAAACACAAAACGACAACCCUAAUUAUCUUGUAAUUACUUGUACUCUUUGUGUGAGAAAAAGAAGAAGAGGAGAUAACCCGUGGACGUAGGCACAUUGUCGAAUCACGUAAAUCUGUUUUGUUCUUGUUUUUUGCUCAGUUUUCUCAGUUCGAUUUAAGAUCGAUCCUAUCAACCAUCUCUGAUUCUAUACCUUAUCAAUCACAUCUUGUUCCUUAUGACUAAACCCACUCGCUGCAAGUUCCUUGUCAAGGAGACUCUCGGAUUUAGUUAUGUUAGAAAAUGACAGCCUGUUGCUUCCCCCCCAAAAAAAUAAAAAAAUUUCAUAUGCUAUAUUGCGACUCCACCGUUUCAAAUAUAUUAAUAUAAUAAUAUAUUUUAUUUUUAUAACAUAAUGUAAUAUAGUAUAAUAAUAAUAUAAAAUAUUACUAAAUAGUUUUAAAAUAUUUUGUUUAUAAAUCAUUAUUCUAUUAAUAAUUUAAUUUAUUAUUAUAUUUACCCUAAUUUUUCAUAACUAUUCAUCUAUAUCUAGAGAUUUAGAAAUUUCGUUUUUUCCUUCUCUUCCAUCUCCACAACAUUCAUUUAAUUUUUGACUUCUUUUUCUUUACUUCACGUGAGUUUGUGACCAUAGUUUCAUAUAAAGAAAAAGAAUAAAGGUAUUUUUUAUCUACAUUCCUUAUUGUUAAAUUUGUUAUUAAUUUAAAUCCUUUUUUACAUAGAUAAUCAAUGGAUAAAUUUGUGAUCAAAAGACCUAGAAUAAACCAACCAAUUUCAACUCCAUCAUCCAAUCCACAACCAUCUAGAGAGUCAUUCCAUGUAAGUAAAUUACCAUCCGAUCUGGGAUUGCGAAAGAAGAUAAAUGACUACCAUCCAAAUGACCGAGAUCAAAUAAAAAGAUAUUAUUUGCAAAAAAACCUUGCCAACAUGAAUUUUCAUUGAAAAAGAUUAAAAAUCAAUUUAAAAGAUUUUGUGUAUUGUGGUUUGACAAAUAUGAAUCAUGGAUUGAAUAUAGCAUUUCAAAAGACGCAGUUUUCUAUUUAUGUUGUUAUUUAUUCCCGGAAAUAAAUGAAACUGCUUUUACUUGUAAAUAAAAUUUCGAAUUUGAAUAAAAUUGAAGAGUUGACCGUAAAGUUGAUUGUGUGCAGAGAAAAGAUAUUGUAUUUCCUUUGGUGUUUCGUUUGUUAAAAUUAACACUCACAUUACCCGUUGCGACUGCUUCAGUGGAAAGAUCUUUUUCAGUAAUGAAUCUUGUGAAAUCAAGUUGUCGCAAUCAUAUGGAUGAUACUUGGUUAAAUCAAAUCAAAUGAAAACAGAAAGGCUAACAAUAAUUUGCCUUGAAAAAUAAAAUUCAGACAAAUAUUGAAUAUCAAUUUUGUAUCAUACCACAAAAUUAAUAAAAAUCAAACCACACCACACUGUUAUUUGACAAUUUUCACUACCUGCACCCAAAAGGAUCGGAAGAUGAGUUUGUGGGAGCAGGAGGAGAACUAAUUAGCUAGAUAGACGACCUUGUUGUCUUCCUCGUGUAGAAGAUCGGACGAUGACUGGAGCUAACCAGCAUUGUAAAAGUAACGAGCAUUGAUGGCAGGAGAUGUUGAGUUGAUGAGUUGAUAGAAAUUCCCGACGUGAUGUGGAGCCGAUUUUCUUGUUUAGGCUGUGGAGGCCAAUUCACGUUCUUCGCAGAAACAAAACUAGAUCUUCUCGACGAUCGGUUGAUCCCUUUGAUCAAGUGCAUGCAUGGGUUCCGUGUAACAAAAAAAAUACAAUCAUAACACCGAACCCAUGCAUGCACGAGUAGGAACAACUCUAUAAAUACACCACGUGGUCUUUCCACAGACAGAUCAAUAUAGAACAUGGUACUUGAUUAGUUAUACCUAUCGGAGUAUCGAGGUCGUCGAAGACCUACCAUGUCGUCGUCACAAAACUCUAAGUCGAAGAGUAGGAGCAAGUCGAAUAAAGGAAGAGCUCUGUUUCUCGAAGAACGUGAAUUGGCCUCCAUAGCCUAAGCAAGAAAAUCAAACUCCACAUCACGUCGGAAAUUUCGAUCAAUUCAUCAACUCAUCAUCCGAUCCGGUCAUCAUUGCUUUAGUACCAACAAUCUACGAGCACCAUCCAAAACAAACACUAAAUGGCCAGGAUGAACGGAGAUGGCCUCUGGAUGGAACGACGGAGGCGGCGAUGCUUUCACGGUUAGAACGAAAAACCUAAAAUAGCUUGGGCGUGAGAGAGAGGAGUGAAAUGGGGAAUGAAAUUAAAUUUUGUCACAAUAAUAGAUGGAAAAGAAAAGAUAGAGUGAGGUGUACCUGAUCGAUCGGGUACGGGACCGGAGAAUUAUCUCACCCAUAAAGUCGUAGUGGAAAUAUACAUUGCCGUCGUCCUCUUAAUUUAUUCCGAACGAAAAACCUAAAAUCGCUUGGACGUAAGAGAGAGGAAUGAAAUGGGAAAUGAAAUGAAAUUUUGUCAUAAUAAUUGAUGGAAUGGAAGAGAUAGAGCGAGGUGUACGAGAUCGGAGAAUCUCACCCCUAAAAUAGUAGUAUAAGAAUAUACACCGCCGCCCCCUCUAUUCCGUGUUCCCUCUUUCAGGUUUACGAAGGUUCGUAGUUGAGUUUAUAUAGAUUUUUGAACGGUCUAGAUUAAUAUCUUAUAAGAUAUAGGGUUAUAUCUCAUUUUUAAUAUUCCAGCUAAGUUUAUAUAAAUCAAAAAGUAUAUCACGCACUCAUGCUCAAAUAAUGAAGAUAUUCUCUGGCAUUAGUCCUGGAUGACCAGAGAUUGCAAACUUGAACUCUUCGUUUUCUCUGGCAUUAACCCUUUCAACUUUCUCAAUAGUUUUCUCGAUCUAUUGACAAGAUGAUUUUAAAAAGCCUCAAAAACUAACUAGACAAUCCCAAGUUCCCAACUCAAUCGCACAGACAAAUCCUAAUGAACAUGGUGUGUGUUUAUAAAAGAUACUCAAAUUAUGAAUAAAAAACAGUGGCAAGAGUACUAUGAAUUACUUCACUUGAUUCAAGCUUGUGGUUAGAAAUAUAACUAUGAAUUUCCCUACCUUGUUCUAAAGCUGUGAAUUGAAAACAAGCCGAUAGAAUACUAGCAAAACUAAUAAUGCCAGGUUGUACUCCACUAUCUCUCAUGCGCCAGAAGAUAUCAAUUGCCUUGAAAUAAACAUUAUGACAUUCCAUGAAAUAAACAUUAUGACAUUCCAUGAAACAACAUUAUCUUUUGGCAUUUCCUUAAAGAUAAAUUCUGCACAAAGAAUGUGCCCACAAAUCUUGUUUCGAAGUAUAUAUCCAUGAACAAAUUUUCUAUUAUACAUAUAUGACGAUCGUGAGCAAGCCAUCAAAACAGUGCUAAUUGUAGUUGAAGUGGAUCGCAAUCCUUUUAUAUGCAUAUGGGAGAAAACAACUAAACAGUAAAGGAAUUAGUUCUGGUUCUAAUUAGCUCUGUAAUUAAACAGAGUCAUAAUCUGUUUCUAAUUACUCAAUUAUCAAAUUGAAACAGAGUGCAGAAUGUUUUAUAAUCUGUAAAGAGGACCUAAUUGGAAUAAUCAAUUACUUAUAAACUUUUAACUAAUUUAUUGUUAAAUUUUCACUAUGCAGGAAAUUGACCGAUUCUGAUGGGCUAAAGGAAUGGGCCGGUUUUAUAAAUAAAUUGAAACUUUAAAUGAUUUGUUAUGAUUGAUCGAUGGUAUCAGUAGGGAAUGAUGUGAACCUAGACCCCAAUUCCGCACUUGCAGGCUCUGGAAGCAUUGAAGAAUCAGUAAAUUCUUCAAGAAACGAUUCCAAGUAGUGGACGACCUCCUCUGAUUCUGAAGAAAAUAAAAGAUUUUUUAGAAGAAGGGAAAGACAGUCAGUAAAUAAAAAGAAAAAAAUUCACAAUGAAAGAAAGAAGUAUUAGGAAAUCACCUUACUUUCACUAUGCAGGAAAUUGACCAAGACUCAUACAAAGAGUAUUAAAGAAGUCGAAUGUCCAACUUGCAAAAGUUUAAAAAAAACGAACGGGCCAAUUCUGAUGGGCUAAAGGAAUGGGCCGGUUUUAUAAAUAAAUUGAAACUUUAAAUGAUUUGUUAUGAUUGAUGGUAUUAGUAGGGAAUGAUGUGAACCUAGACCCCAAUUCUGCACUUGCAGCCUCCGAAAGCAUUGAAGAAUCAGUAAAUUCUUCAGAAAAUGAAGUGGACGACCUCUUCUGAUUCUGAAAAAAUGAAAGAUUUUUUAGAAGAACGGAAAGAAAGUCAGUAAAUAAAAAGAAAAAAAUUCACAAUGAAAGAAGGAAGUAUAUUUCAAGGAAAUCACUUUACUUUCUAUCUGCUGGAGAUCACCUAGGCGCACAGAUGGUGUCUGAUAAAUUGACUGUGGAAGCCAAUUACGUGGCUUGGACCAAUUCAAUGAAAUUUUCACUUGUGUCAAGGAAGAAAACAGCCUUUGUAAAAUGGAAGAUCAAGAAACCAGUGGAUGAGUCUAGUGAAGAGUUUGAAGAUUGGGAAAUGGUAAAUGGUUUGGUUCUGUCUUUGGAUCAUCAAUGGAGUCAGUCCUCAGAUUGCUUCAACCCUAAUUCACACAAAAACAACUUAUGAAGCUUGGGUUGAGCUCUAAGAAAGGUAUAAACAAAAAAAUGCACCUAAGACAAGCUAAUUGAGGUAUGAGAUAAAUACAUUAAAUCAAGCUAAUAAUAUUGUUUCCAUAUAUUUUGAUAAGUUUAAAUCCUUAAGGGAUCAAUAUAUAGAAAUAGAAAAAUCUGAAUGUAGGUUUUGCACAAUGUGUGCACCAAUCUAUUCUAAGAAAAUAGAAAAGGAUAAGACCCAUUAAUUCCUCCUAGGUCUGAAUGAGGACUUCAUGACUCUAAGAAGUCAAAUUUUGGCAUAUUCAGAGUUACCCUCAAUGAAUUAAGUGUUUUCUUUAGUUAUCCAAGAAGAAAAACAGAAAUUGAAUUUUAAGGAGAAAAUAGGAGGUAGCUCAACAACUAUGUAUGCCAAAAGAAAUGAUAAGGAAGAAAAGAAAGAAGAACCAAAGAAAAGAGUUUUAUACAGUAAAAAUGGCAAGAAAUUAGACACUAAGUAUUACUGUGACAACUGCAAAUUUUAUGGUCAUCUUAGGGAAGAUUGCUUCCAUAUAGUAGGCUUCUCAAAGAAAAAUAAGAAAGACAACAAGAAGUCGGGUCCGGGUCCAACCGGGUCUGGCUAAUCUAGACCCGGACCCGGACCACUAACUGACCGGGUCCGGACUCGGGCCCGGCCAUCCGGGUCUAAACCCUUUGGCGGAUCCGAAAUUGGUCUCAGAUCCGGACCCAUUGACAGUCUUAAAUUUCAGUAAAUAGAUUGGCAAAUCAUUCAGAUCUAAACCUAAUUUUUAACAAAAAUGGAUGUGAUUUUCAGGAAAGCAGUCAGGGAGAGUGAUUGGGCAGGGUGAGUCUAAAAAUGGACUCUACUUAUACUAAAGCCAAAAUUUCUUGAUUUUGCAAACUCAUCCAUAGAAUUUGAGAACGGGCAUAAGAAGCUAGGACAUAUCUCAACAAAAAAAAUGAAGAUACUCAUCAAGACUGAGAGUGUAGAUCUUAAGAAGAAUUGUUUUUCAAAUUCUGAAAAUUGUAAAACCAUUGAUAAUAAUGUUGUUUUGAACAAGUAUUUUUCAAAAAUAAAUAAGAAUCUAAAGUAAAAAAUAAUUGUGAUGUUUGUGUAACCUCCCGAAUUUUUUUUAGACAAUAAUGAAAUCAUUGAAACAUGUUCAAUUAUACAACAAAUGGCUAACUGCCUUGAUUACAAUUCAAAGGGUUCAAAAUGCAAAUAACAAAGAAGCGAAAACGUUAAACUCCCGAGGGAACCAUGUACGAGACCACUGUUUUCGUUGCUCCCCUUAAUCUGCAAUGACAAACAUAACAAAGUGAGUUUUGAAGUCAAAACUCAGUAUGGAUAUCAUAUUACUUUCCUUUUUAGUUCUUUAUUUCUAGGUUGAUAAACAUACUCGUCCAAUCAAACGCCUUAGGGCUUCAAGCCCCCUCGUAGGAACGACUGCUGCCAUUCCCCAAACUAGACUUGUGUGGAGCACAAGCUCGUCCAGACUCGAAUUACUCCAAAGAAUGAUUCGACCAGACUAACCCGUUGGGCCUGUUAGCCUCGUCAGGCUCAAACUCGAAUUCCCACAUGGUUCACCCAACCCAUAUCCCCGAAGGGUCACAUUAUCAGACUUAGCCUCUCAGCUCAAAUUCGGGUUCCCCAUGGGUUCAUUCAACCAGACUCCCCUCGGGGCACGAUCCACCAGAUUUUUACUUUUCCAGAUUCAUUCUUUAAUUUUUUGGCCUCUGUAUGGUUCGUCUCAUUCAUAUCGAGAUCCGAACUCUCAAUCAUGGAUUCAGGUCGACCAUCUUCUUGGUCCAUUUAUUCCCAACGUACUAGCUAAGUGAGUGCGAACCAAAAUGAACCUUAAGGUGAAUCAAGGGUCCUCCUGGAGAAAUCAUUGAUUCAACCUAAGUUUCAUCCUCGUCUACUCUCCUGUUCUAACAAGGGAGGAGGUUGAGAUUUAUUGAGAGGAAUACUAGAGAGUUGUGUGUGUAAGCCCCCUAGCGCGAAUCCACAUACCAAUCAAUACCCCUGGUCCAUCAGACCAGGCUCACCCUAGACCAGGACUAACAAGCCCAUUUGGCUUAACAGGACAGGCGGACUCGUCUUGCCCCGACGGGCCAAACCCGGCCGGGUUAGUAGGGUGGGUCAAGCCCAUAAAAAGAAGGCCCAGUCCAGUAGGAAAGUGUAUAAAUAACCGUAGGGACUGAACGUAGAUGGGGGAGAGACAUUUGUAUUAGGAUAGAUACUAUAGUGAAAAGAUUGUUUGGUAUUCACUUGAUACUAAAUGAUUAAAAUCAUAUGAUCAUAAAUAAAUGGUUAAAAAUCUUAUGGUUAAAAAUUUAGGGGUUUAUUUAAAUUCAUCGAUUUUUUGUUAUUUAAGUUUCAUCACAAAUGGUCAUUUUCGUUAGGAAAGUUUUCUACCAUUAAGAUUUCAGACACAUUGAUGUCUCGUUUCACUCAUUCCCAUAUCAUCCCUGACUGGUCACUCCAUGAAAUGCUCACACUCGUCCUCGAAAUCAAAGUUGUCUACGACAAACGUGGCUCAAGUACUAUAUCGGGUCACCAAAAAUGGAAUAUCAUAGGCGAUCAUCUCAUUGCUCUAAACAUCUGCAGAAACUCGUCUCAUUGUCACAGAAAGUGGGAUUCAUUGAUCUCCGAACACUACACCAUCAAAGAUUGGGAAUCUCGAUCCCGAUACCAAACUGCAAGCACCAGCCGAAGCAAUGGUGGCGAUUCUUACUGGUGUUUAGAGUCGGAUAAAAGAAAGGAUUUAAAGCUACGGAUAGAAUUCGAUUGAAAGUUAUUCUGGCUUAUUGAACGUUUCAUUAAUAAAAAGGUCAUCAAAGCCAAAGAUCACAUGUGCCAGAAAUUGAUUCUCCUUCAUUACAACAAUCGUCGUCGUCGUCAAUAUCAAUAGUUCAAUACAUACAUAACAAGGCUUGAUGUUGGAUUAUGGUCAUGAUCUAAAUCUGUAAANNNNNNNNNNNNNNNNNNNNNNNNNNNNNNNNNNNNNNNNNNNNNNNNNNNNNNNNNNNNNNNNNNNNNNNNNNNNNNNNNNNNNNNNNNNNNNNNNNNNNCGUUACUGCACGAUGCAAUGGAGCUAGAUGGAUCUCCCUCAGCCUGUUCCAAACAUGAUUUGUAAAACAAUUAUAUCAUGAUACCAUGCCUCACAGGCCACAAUGACAGCCUAAAUUAUUAAUAAUAUUAUGGUUGAAUUAAUAAACAAAAGCACUUUACAAUUUCAGCAAUGGGCUCAUCUAAGAUUUUCUAUAACUUGCCUUGUCCUGACAUGAAAGAUAACUCUCUCACCUACCUCCUGAAGCUAACUGUUUUGACAAUAAAAACACACAAACUUUGCGGAUAGCAGAACUGUUUUUGUAGGUCUUUCCUGCAGCAAUCAGUCUCUUAAUUCCAAACCAUAGAGGGUCUACUGUGAAAAUAAUCCGCCAUUUUUAUGGCAUAUAAUCCGAUAAUUAAGCAAAGAUCUAAACAUAUUGAAUUAAAUUGCUUCAAAAAAAAAAAUAAACAUAUUGAAACAGACUUUCAUUUCACUAGGGAACUAAUAUCUAAAAAGCUUUUAAAUUUACAACAUAUUUGUUUCUACUGAAUAAAUUGCAGAUAUCUUUACUAAAGCAGUCUCACAUGAUUUGUUUAUUAAUCUUUGCAGGAGCACUAAUAUGCAUUUUCCUCUCUUAAAGGUAGGUAUAUAUCUAUGUGAAAAUACACCUCAACUUGUUUUAUUUUUUUUCACUAUCAUAGAUUGACGAGUGAGGUUGAAUACAGAUCAAGAAUUUAGUUGAUUUGAUAUUAGAAAAUGCAGUACUUGAUUUCAUAAGAGGGUUUUCCAGAAUAAACAACCACUGAUUUUUUGCCCCUUAUAUGAUCUCAAUUAUUCAUUAUCUAGAGUAUCUAACUCUCUACAACUAAUGAAAGUGUUGUUGUUCUAUAGAUGUUUUAAUUGUUGCUGAUUUUUCAAAGUCACAAUUUAUCAAUUCCAAAGGAAAGUCUCUCAAUUACGGUUCACUCAAUUGCAAAUUUGAGAGGGGGUGUCAUGAGAUAUAGUAUUCUAUGCUAAUUAGAAAUUGAGCUCACUAAGAGCAAUUGAUAUAUUGAUUUAGUAUUUUCUUCAAUUUGAAAACCUGAAUGAUGUGAAGUUUUGGCUCUCAGGCGAUUCGCAAAGCUGAUGAUUUGCUACUAGGAACCUCUUUGAAUACAAUUCAGUCAUCUUGUAAGAAGAACCAACCACUACACCGGUCUCGUACAUUGCCUCUCCAAAGAAAUCAAUAUCCUGUCUCUCUCCAAUGGCGACGGGAAGUGUAGAAAAAGCAGAAUGAAUGACAAUUGAUAUCAUGCUUAGGAAAAGAAUUUUCUGCUUCUUUUUAAACAAAAAAUUCCAUUGGCACUGAUACAUAUAUAUGACUUGUUUAGGUUUAGUUAGCUAGCUAGCUUAGGGGUAAUCGGGGAUGGAGAUACCCGACCAAAUUAUUGAAUUUUUUUAUUGAUUUUAAACAAUAAUAUAAAAUACUGAAUUAAAAAAUCAAAAAUAUAAAAUUAUAGUUCAAAUGUAAAUAAUCCAAAUAGUUAAAAAUUAAAUUUUUAAGAAUUUGGGAUUAAAGAUUAAGCUAAUAUUAAAAUGAAGGGGGUUAAAUAUAAAUUUUUUAUGUGUACAUUUUGAAUAUAAAUUUAUGUAUUUAAUAUAUUAUAUAGAGUUAUUUAUAUAAAUUAUACUUUAUAAAAUAUUAUAUAAAGUAUAAAUAUAAUUUAUAACUUAAAAGUUAAAAUGCAUAUUUAACUAAUUAAAUGUUAAACGAACCAAACUUAAAGUAUUCGGUUUGAUUCGUUUAUUUUUAAAAACAUUUAACGAACGAAUCGAACACUAUGAAUUUUAAUCUAAUCGAAUCUGAACAGUUCGGUUAAUUAAACGAAACGAACCUAAACUCAAGAAUAGACUCGUUUAUUUAAAUAAAUCGAAUACCUAAAAUAUCUGAUUUAACAUAUUUAAAAUAUGUUCAUUUUUUAAUUUUUACAAAACAUAUAUUGAAAACCGUACCUACCGAACAGAAUACUUAUAUUGAAACUAAAUUUAAACGACUCUACUCUUAAGUUUGGGUUCAGUUCGUUUAAUUAAUCGAACUGUUCGGAUUCGAUUCGUUUAAAAUUCAUAGUGUUCGUUAAAAUAAAUAAACCAAUCAAAUUUCAGUUCGUUUAACAUUUAAUUAUUUAAAUAUGCAUUUUAACUUUUAAGUUAUUUAUUGUUCAAAAAUAUAAUUAGUUCAUAAUAUAUUUUAUCAAUCUGCAUCAUGAACGACCGGUCGUUCCUGAGCAUAGCGGCGACACAUCCUAGUCUCGCUGUUAAAGUUAAAUCUGAAGGUCCUUAUUCGAGCUAAGGGUGAGAACGGGCGGGUCGCCCAGGUCCCGCCCCGUUUUUUCAUUUUUGCCCCGUUGCCCCGGUCAUAUUCCGGGGCUGGUCUCGGGGCAAGGCGAACCCCGGGCACCCCGGUUUUUUUAAAAAUUAAUUUUUAUGUUUUUUUUAUUAAUUUAAAUUAUAUUAUAUUAGAUAUAUAAUUUUUCGAAUUAAUUUUUUUAAAAAUCAAGGUAAAAAGUUUACCCAUUUUAAAUUUUAGAUUUUUUUUUUAUUUUUUUUUUUAAAUUUAUAUUUAAAAUUUAUAUUUAAUUUUAUAUUUUUUAUAUAUUUUUUUAUUUUUAUAAUUCAGGCGGGUCGCCCCGUUCCGCGCCCCAGUCACCGGGGUCGGGGCGGGUCUCGGGGUAGGAAGGUAGGGUACCUGACCCGUCCCGUUCCGCGCCCCGUUUUCCAGAGCGGGACCGCCCGCGACCCGCCCCGUUCUCACCCCUAAUUCGAGCUCUAGUCGUUCUGAUUGGUAUUGAAAAACAAUUAGUAGGCAGGCGCGGAUCCCGUUGGCUAGCCUUUGCUCUAGGUCGUAGAGAAAUGGGCUGCCCAGGAAUGUCAUUUCAUCACCAUACCGGCGACGUCAGCAUCUCGUCAGGUCACGAUGUCAAAUCUGUUCGGCCACCGUCCUCGCAGAACAGUCUGCCCAAUACUGCCACUGUUCGGACAUAGGUUUUAGUUGUAAUUGCGCAUUUGUCGGACAUAGGUUUUUUUAUACUAAUUUAAAAACCUAUAAAUUUUUUGGCAUGACCUAUUCAUAAAACUGAUUAUAAAAAACUAUAAAAAUUUAAUAUAUUCAUUCCAUAAUUAAUAUUCAAUACAUUCAUUUAAUAAUUAAUAUUCAAAUUAAAAAUAAAUAUAUUCAUUCAAUUAAUAAUAAAAAUUUCAAAUAUAUUUUACAUUACUUCAAUGUCCUACGAUGAAGACACAUAUCAUUAAAUAUUUUUAAAAUGACUUCGUUGUCUAUUAGUUUUAAAAAUAUUUUUCUCAAUAUAUGUUACUAAACAAUCAUUACAUUACUUCAAUGUUCUAUCAAUUCUAAAAAUAAUAAUAAAAAGUAACAGAACCUUGACAAAUGAGGAUCUUUUAAGCUUUCACAAAUGACAAAUCCAUAACCCUCAAACAUAGUCAACCUAAAAAAAGUCAGAAGGAAACGAUUUAUAAACAGAAAGAUAAGAAAAAAGAAUAAUAUCUAAGAAAAUAAGAACAAUUUAUAAACAAGGUGGAUAAGAUUAGCCAUUAUACUGAUGUUGACAAUCUGAUUUUAUCAGACCAAUCCUUAAUUGCAGUGUGUAAAUGUCAUUUAUAUGCUUUUAUAUCCAUGAUCAAACCCUCUUCAGAACUUGGGUUGCUGCUCACUGUUAUAUGCUAUGAGAUCAUUGAGCUUACAUUCCUUUUUUUUGUUAAUCACUCUACUUAAAUUCAUCUGUUAACUUAAUUAUCAUUCAAAUGGAAUCUAUAUGUAAUAAAAUUGAAAAAAAAUUGCUCUCCUAAAAGUUGAAAAAAAUUGAUGACCUAUAUGUAUUAAUUUGUCCCCUCUAAAAGUUGGAGAAGGGGGAAAAGAUUUGUGAAACUUGGGGGUGAGAAUAUAUAAAAUAAAAUAUUUAUAUAUUAACCAUUAAAAAAUAUUAAUAUAUUGUGAAAAUUACAUUUAAUACCCUAUAAAAAUUUUUAUUACAUAUGUAUCUUCAAUUUUUUUCCAACUUUUAGGGUGGGCAAUUGCCCUCCCUUGCCCCCUCCUAGAUACGCCCAUGGGCCUAACCAUGCCUUCCGACGGCGACGUGCUUUGGGCCGACGAUCGAUGACAGAGAUUUCAUCAUUACAGCGGUAUGGGUUUUGCUCUAUUUAAACAUUCGUCGGGGCUGUAUUUUGAGAACAUCGGAAAAGUUAUUCGGCCAUAAUAUCCAUCGAUUCAUCUAAAGGUUUCGUUUCUCCCAGGUUUUUAGUAUUAUUUUACCAAUAUCGAUUUUCUAUGCUUAGUUUUUUGUUUGUCUGUUUUGAUAUUAAAUCACAUUAUGUGUUCAAGGUUUUCGCCGACCUAGUUUUCAGAGUUUCGUAGAUUUUAUUACUACUUAAUUUGUUGAAAAUUAGACCAUGCCCAGCAUUGUUUUUUUUCCCUGUACAAAUUUUAACAUUACCGGUUUGACUAAAUUACUAAUUGGAUGAAGAAAAUCUGAAAAUUACUAAUUCCAGAUAAUUGUUUUUCGAUUCUAAUAAUUACAUUCUUCCAGGCUUGAAAAUGUAUGUUUGGAAAUCUAUAAUCGAUUUUUUAUAACUAUUUCUAGUUAAUGAGGUGUAUAUUAUUGUUGAUAUCUUCUUAGAUAUUAUAUAAUGAAGCCCUUAUGGUUACAUUUAUAUGAGAUUGUGAUGAAAUAUGUUACAUUUGUUGAGUAGGAAUGAGUUCUCGGAAGAGAAACGUGCAAGGCAACAACCCCAUGAGGAGGACUGAUGACGAUGUGUAUGAGGUGAUUAUGAUCAGUGAUGAUGAAUCAGAAAAUGGGACAAUUGCUAAUUCUCCGAUCCUGAUUCCACCUUCUCCUGCACAUAGGGUCCCUCCAACAACUGGAUCUUCCACGCGUCUUUCAGAAAUGCGGGGACAUUGGCCAUUCAAAAGGAAAUCAUUGAAUGAAGGAGAAUCUUCAAGGGGUAAAAAACGUAUUAAUUAAGUCUCCUAUCCACAUCGAUCCUUACCUGCCAAGGAGCGUAAUACAUCCACCACCCAUACCUCGACCAGAUUACGAGGAACCUUUGCAGCUAUCUCAAUAUCGUCUAUCACUUCCGUUCCUGAAAAGCGGAGUCCUUCCAAAAAAUCAGUGUUCUUGGUGCUUUCAGGAAAUUCAUUCAGGAAAUUCAAUAUAAAUUUUAAAUAAACAUGUCAGAAGAAAAGUAGAUAAUAACUAUGAUUUUUGGAUUCCCAAUUACAACUCGAAUUAGUUAUACCCCAUGCAUUUACUACUCGAAUUAGGCAUAAAAAAAUACCAAAACAUUUCCAUACCUGUUGAGUUUUACAUUUCCACAACUACUGAGUUUUGGUAAUGCACUGUUGAACUUAUCAAUAUAUAUUCAUAUUUCAUAAACUAUUUCCAGAUAAUCAGAUGCAAAUGAUUGUUCAGAUUGAGAUGUAAAUUAUCAAUUCCAGAACUGUUCUAACCCAGAAUAUCUAUUUUUUAACUGUGAUUUCGUAUUUCAAUACAUGAAAAUCAAGCUAUGCAUCAUGCCAUCAUAUGGUUUGAAACAAAAAUUUCUGCGAUGUUUCGAAUUUUAUUAUAUGUUUCUAAAUGAUGAUUCAUAUAGAUUUCCCCAAUUCAUUUUUUUAACAGGUAAUAUCAUGGACACCAUUAUUUCGCAGGUUAUCGUGAAAUAAUUUUUUUAUUUAUAUUAACUAUAUAAGGUCAUAACUAAAAUUCUUCGCAGGAAAACGACUACAUUACCGAAUCUGCAUCCUACGGUAAUAAUGAGUUAAUGACGUGUAUUUUCAUUCAAUUUUGAUGAAUUUUAUUGAAUACCCAAACUUGGAAAAUGUUAUAUAAUUACUAAAUUUCAAUUAGACGUUGGAGAAACAUUGAUGAACUUACAGAAUUACGAGGAAGAGAAAGAUCAUUGCACCAACAUGUAACUUUGUCAAUAUAUUCUAAGUUUUUUCAUUUCAUUAAGAACAAAUUUAUUUACAAAGGUAAAGAAUGAUUUAUUGCACAGGUUUAUGGAAACUAUUCAUAAUUUAUUCUUAAACAUCAAUUACAACUGUGUAGACCUCGAAAAUGAGAAUUCAGAUCUUGUAACGCCGAGGUAUUUCUUCAAUUCUAAGUUCCUAUUCAAUAUUUGUAUAUAAAAAUCAUUACUGACUAUUCCCCAAUGCGAGGAUGGUUGCAGUGAGGAACAUGUACCAGAAUCAGAAAUCGGCAUGUCAUUCGAUUCUCUUGAAGAGGCAGAGGCCUUGUACUACUCUUACGCUGGUUCAAUUGGUUUUUCUGUGAGAAAGGGAUCAACAAGGCAUUCAAAAUAAUGACUCAGAAAGAAAACAUAUGUAUGUUCCAAGGCGGGAAAAUCGAGGGUAGUCAUUCCAGUAGUAGACCAUAUGUUAGAAAAACCAAAAAAAUCAAGACACAUCAGAAAUCCAAGAACAGGUUGUAAAGCACUUCUAUCCCUAAAAAUUGUCGGCGUUAGAUGGGUCAUUUCAAUCUACAACAAUCAGCACAACCAUGAAUUAUCUACACCACCAAAAAAGAGGUUUUUGAAGAUUAACAGAAAAAUUACUCCAUACGUAAGAAAUUUAAUACAAGAUUUGGACGCCACAAACAUUCUGCCGAGUCAACAAUAUUCAUAUGUUGCAAUGCAAUCAGGUGGGUUUUCCCAUUUCUCAUUUACGAAGAUAGAGAGAACAUGAUAAAUCACGAUGUGGAUAUUCUCAUUCAGAAAUUUGAAAAACUAAAGGCAGAAGACUCAGAUUACUACUACAGCUACGUGUACUCGACGACCAAGGUAUUUAUUUCGAGAUAUUUAAAACUAGGAUGUGUAGUUACAAACUGAAAUUUAUAUGAGUUAAUGCUUAUUAUUUAGGAGCAAUGAAAUAGUUAUUUUGGGCAGACACUACAAGCAUCAAUGAUCAUAGAAAUUAUGGAGACGCAAUCACAUUCGACACGACAUAUAACACAAACAAAUACAAGCUUAUUAUUGGUAUAUUCUGCGGGGUUAAUAACCAUUUGAGAACAGUUUUAUUUGCUUCAGGCUUUCUUGCGAACGAAUCUACUGAUUCUUUUAUUUGGCUCUUUUCUGAAUUUAAGAAGUGCAUAUGGGAAGUUACCCAAAGACUAUAAUCACAGAUCAGGAUGCCGCGAUGAAGGUGGUAAUAUCUUGCGAAUUUCCUGACACAUUUCAUCGAUUGUGAGUGUGGCACAUCACACAUAAAAUGUGCGAUAAAGUCACCACAGUUUAUCGGAAUAAGGAAGAAAUGCAGAGAUUCAAUAAAACACUCAACACAUCUGAUACGAUCGAGAAUUUUGAAAGGGAAUGGAAUAAAUGGAUAAUUGAUAAUAACUUGAAGGAACAUAAGUGGUUGCAGGACAUGUUUGCGAUUCGUUCGAAAUGGUGUCCUAUCUACAUGACAAACUAUUUUUUUGGUGGCAUGCAAAGCACUCAACAUAGUGAAGGUAUGAACGCCCUAGUAAAACUGAAUGUGAGGCGAUCGUCAACAUUAUUUGAAUUCAUAUGUUCGCUUGAGUUGGUAUUAAGUGCUCAAAGGAAUCGAUUAGAGGAAUUGGAUCACAGAGAUCGUGAUGCUCCCCCACAUACGAUUACGCCUCUCACUAUAGAGUGGCAUGUGCAUUCAGUAUAUACGACCGAGGUAUUUCUUCUAUAUCAACAACAAGUACAAAAGGGCAUGACAUAUUAUGUUAGGGCGAACCCAGAGGUAUGCUAUUAGCUUUAGUGGUUUCAUUUCCUGAAUGUGAUGCAAUCCUCAUUUUAAUUACAGCAUUAUGUCGCAUUGAAAUGCAGGCCUCUAUAUAGAAUAUAGCGUAAUUGGAAUGUUCACCCAGGUCGAAGCUGCGAAGAUUAAAUGUCAAUCAUCUGAAGGCACUCCUAUAUGUAGUUGCCAUCUUUUUUCAAGGCAGGGGAUCCCGUGUCGUCACAUUAUAGCCUUCCUAACAUGGAAUAGCAGAACUUCAUUGCCAGAGGAUCUAAUGUGCAGAAGAUGGAAUAUGACACUACGGAAACCGCAAACCAACACACUUAUACAUCCGGAACCACGAAAAAAUAUACUAAAUCAGGUUUUUGACAGAUGUUGUCAAAUACUUAAUCUAAAUGGGGAUGCAGAGGUAGAACUCAUUCAAGGGUUUAGAGAAAUUCCUGGAUGGAUUUGAAUCUACUAACAAUUUACAAAAGGUACAACCAAUUCGGAGAUCAAUUACAAGAUUUGAGGAGAAAAUUACUUCAGAGCCGAUAAUAAGGAAUCCGAAGGUAGCUAAAAUGAAGGGAAGUGGUAAAAAUACAGGUAGACCAAGUAAGGCAGACCCUCGAUUCAGGUCUACUCGAGAAAUUAUCCUGAAGAAGCCGAUAUGUUGUAAAAAGUGCCACCUUCCGGGGCAUAACUCAAGGAAUUGUGCAAGUGAUUAUUUUCAAUAGUUGUCACUAUGUAAAAAACGUGUAUGAUUUACGUCUUUCAUAUUCACCAAUAUUAUCUGUGGGAGUGGUAUAAAUUUUAUUUUCAAUAUUCUUCAUAUACAAUCGCCUACUAUUUACAUUUACCCUCUAAUCACUACAUUGAAGAAGAAAUUUAUCAAACCCAAAAACUAGUGAUGCAGUCUUCAUUGGAAACCACAUAUCAAUAAAUCCGACCAAAUACAUAUCAAAAACUCAUAGUAUUUAAGUUUAGAGUUAGAGUUUUUUUUAAUGAAAUAGAUAUUUUUAGGUUAAAACGAUUGGCACUAUUGUUUAAGUUUUGAUAUAAAGCCUGAAUUUUGAACCUGAAUUUUGGUUGGAGGUUUUAAUAAGCGUAAAAUUUAUGAUUACGUUUUAUGUUUUGUUUUUACAUUGUCUAUGUUGGAGUUACUGGUUUAGGGUUAGGGUAAUAGUCAUGUUUUGGUUUAGGGUUAGGGAUAGGGUAUGGUAAGGGUUAGGGUUAAGGUUAGCGUCAGGGUUUAGGUUAGUGUUUGAGGUUAGGGUUACUACUAUUGCGUCGCAAGCAAUUCAUUUGAAUAUUAGGUAUUUCCACAUAAUUUGUCCAACCCUAGGAAAAUAUGGAUCAAAGGGGUAACCUUUUUCUUUGUAGAUAUAUCAUCCCCAAUUUCAAGUCUUGCGACGAUUACCUCAUUCUUCUACCUGUAGUGCGUUUCGAGGAAAAUUAUUUUUGAAAACAUACCUGAUACAAUAAUUGUGAAUGCUACAUAGUGCUCCCAGGUAAUUCUGAAGAUGUGCAAAUUCGAACUUGUAGUAAUGCGGGUUUACAUAUUUUCCCAACAUUUCGUAAUGUUCUUCUGCCUAGCUAGGUUUAUAGUUGGCGGUCUCAAUAAUUAUGAACAUUUAUAUUGUGGGUUUGGGUUAUGAUUUAUGAUACAAUAAAUGAAUGGGUGCAUCUCUUGGAUGAUUUCAACCAACAUUUCACACUAUAUAAACCGGGCGAAACCCUAUUUUCUGUCAAUCAAAUAACAUAAAAACAUCGAUCAUGGCAGGUCUACCAAAACAGGGCGAAUCUUCUAGUAGCGCUGCGGGUCAGACAAAUCAGGAGUUCGUCCGCAUUUUCAACAACCACCAAUGGACAAUGGUAUGGUAUAGGUUUUUUAAAUUUCUCCUCCACUGAUUAAUAUGGAAAACUACCAUUUUCACUAAUGUAUUUUUAACACUGUUCAACGAAAACUUAUGGAUAUUUGGGGUUUUCGUUUAAUCAUUGUCAACAAAGGCUAUGAACCACUUUUUCGAUUUUUUUAUACCAUCACUAGAACCAAAUCAAUAUAGAUUAGUUUAGUUUAGUUUCGUUUAAUUAAACUACCUAGUUUCUGAAUAGAUUAUCAUUUUAGUUCCUAUAAAUUUUCAACCGUUAUCUAUAAGUUUAUUAUAAAAAAAAAUUCACCAUGUUUUCCUACUAUAUUAAUUCUGAAACAUUAUUCUAUGAUGUAUGUAUUUGCGAUGUAGCCGAUUCCCACAUGGUUUCUACGAGCAACAAGACUAACAGGUUGGCGAGACAUUGAGUUGUACGAGGACUCGUUGAAGUUAACAUACAUUGUGAAAAUAUACACCGAAGGUAGGCGUAAUGUUAUGUAUGGCAAGGGAUGGUGCUUAUUUGUUGAAAAAAAUUGCCUAAUGAAGGACAUGGUAUUAGAAUUCCUAUACUACCCUAGUAUAAGGAGGAGCCUAAUUGUUCAAAUUACAAGAUUUUUCGUCCCUGCUUCAUUCAUUGAGGGAACAGUACGCAAGCCGAUUAAAGUACCAGCAUUUUUCAGUCGGCCACGUCCAACUACAAUUAAAGAAAAGACAGAGUUCAAGGUAGAGUCUGUCAACGAAGAAUCUAGUGACAAUGGGCCUGACAAUGAGAAUACAGGGGAAGAAGAUGUUGACGUAUCUGACCAGCAGGGGGAGCACGCAGCUGAGGAUGAAUUUCAUCAAGAUAUGGAAUGGACUGCGAGGUUAUCGAAAUCGCACGAGCUUGGUGGGAAUCCAUAUCUGGUAUGCUCAAUAACUUAUUUUUUAGAAUAUGAGAUUCAAAAUCUUAAUGUCAAUACACCUAAUGCAGAUACUGCCAAAAAAACUGAGUCCAGAAAAACUCUUCAAAAUUGGAGACCCGAUCUACUUAACGGCGGAUCCUGAAAAAAUAUUUGUUUCCAAAAUCAGCACAUUCAACUCUUACUGCCAUACAUGGUAUCGUGUACAGACAGGUUGGAGGCAUUUCGUAAAAGAACUGGAGUUCGAGGUGGGCGAUGUGUGUGUUUUCAAAAUAUUAUUCAAGUUCGUUCCAGACAACAUACCGGUGAUUACCAUUUUAACCAUGAAAAUGAUAAUAAACAAAACAUGUCAUUCGUUUGCAAUUACCAUUUUAAAGUCAAUAGAUUACAAACUCGAUUAGGUUUACAAAACAACAUUAUAAAGAAAUUACCAAGUGGAAGAGUAUAUAACAUUAUAACGACAAACUCGAUUAGGUUUACACAAAUUCAAACUUUCUUCUGCAUAAACUUGGCCAUUUUUGUGUGCCAAGGUCUAAAUUCCAUUCGCUCUGCUAAUCUACGAAACAUUGAAUUUCUGAUUUUAGGCACUUGUUGUUUCGUCCAAUUCAUCGUAGAGUCGAGAGUGUGCUCAUUAAAAAUACCAUCUUCGAUAUGUAAAUAUUCUACCAAACAUGUUAUGCCAUGGAGCAUAUACAAACCGCCGUUCAACUUGGGAUUGGUUUUCUGAGGAUAUGAAAUGCAUUGAAUGAAUAUUGGGUCAUCUUCGUGCAUAUCAGACCAUAGGUAUUGUGCAGACUAUCUUGUGGCCCAUUUCAUCUGAAAAUAAUUAACACAUUUCAUUAAAAUAAUAAACACAUUUCAUGACCAUUAGCAUCAAAUACUAUAUAUAUACUUACAGCACGUUUGGUAUCACCAAGGUUUACAGCUUGUCUUGGUAUGCGGUUAGAAUCGUAAUGAGUGAAUGUAUUUUCGGCCCUUGACCAUAGUAUGAAAUGUCAAUGGUCCAUUGUAUGUAUGGGAAUAAUAAAAUAUUUGGCAUCUAAAAGUACCACUCAUUGACCUAUUAAUAGUUUCAAGAACAAUCUCGACUUGCCUUUGAUGAUAUUUUUCUGGUAUUGCACUAGCAUACUGAUCGACACUGGCGUCGUUGAAAAUUUUUGGGCUCAAGAAUUGAAACUUAUCGGGGAUGACUAAUUUUUCUUUGAGCUCAACUAGAGUCACGCCAAAGAGCACAUUUAGCAGCUAAACCACAAGAGAAAUCAUUUAGAAGCAGAAAUAGGAAAUUAUUCUCUAAAUCUGGGUAAAUAUGACCACAUGAAAAAUAUUAAAUGAAAACAUACCAAGGCGUCAUAUGUCUUAUGCUGAAUGAUAUCCAGAAGAUCCCGACCAGCACAAAACACAGCAUCAUUCACUAUCAGGUAGAAGAACAAAGAACGGUACCUAUUGAUUAAUAACAAAUUUCGAAUCAGUCCUGGAAUAAUUCAUAAUUGUUAUGAAAAUUAUUAAAUUACAACCUACUCAGGUCUCAUUACUAAACACUUAGUUGUCUGAUUUUUCUUAGGUUCAUUAUCGUCUUUUAUCUCGGAGGCUUCCUGCGAUUCUUUAAGUUUUUUUCUUUCCAACUAGACAAUCAAAAUCAUUUACUAGUCGGCUGAACAAACAUUUCCUGUGAUUAAUUCAUUACCUUGUCGGCAUUCCUGUCCUUUAUUCUCUUAAUCAUUGAACAAACAUAGGGUGAAUCAGGGUCGGUUGAACUUGAAGGUGAAAAAUCUAAACACCGAACAACAUCAGCAAGGUCAUUUGGGUGAAGCUUUUGCCUGACUUUGAGAUUGUUCUCAAUUUCCUCUGCAGAUGCUACCGCACAAGGCCAAAAUUCUGGUGAUGACAGACCAGUAUUCGGGGAUUCAUAUCGCAUACCCGUAUUAGGUCGCUUUUUUCGAAUAGGAGUUUCGAAUAGUUGUGAACUGUUUGGACUAUGAGAAUUGGCUAAAAUUUCACUAAGAAGAUGCAAUUGUGUAGAUUCCAUCCCAUCUACACUUAUAACAUUCCGUUCAACAUGAUUGUCGUCAAUAAGCAUCAGAUUGUACAUAGACUGGUCCUCUUCGACAAGCAUUAUUAGGUUUGACUUGGAAUACGUAUAAGGAGUUGCGCUAUUCCGGUAAGAGUAUGUGUCAGUUUUCGGCGUUAAUGUGAAGUUUAAAUCAUCUAACCCCAAAACUCUACAAUCGACAAUGAAUUCUCCUAGCAAAUCAAACAAAGGUCUCGGAAUCGUUGGGGAUCUUGAUUUUUCCGGUGAAAUUCUAGAAACACGUUCAGUGGCAAUUUCAGUGCAAAUAUUCUGAUCCCAAACACCAUUAUCAAUACUAGAUUCGGGUUUGAAUUUGGUUUCUAGGUCAGUCUGUGGGUUUCUAGGCAUUAUACAACCUUGAUCAUCAUUGACAUGGUCUAUUUCAGGGAAAAUGUGAAUUUUUUCUAGAGCUUCAGGAAGAAUUUCAUCAUAUAAAUCCAAACCAUCAAUCAGGUAAGGACUAUCCAUUGAUGGAUAUGAUAGAUCGAAAAACAUGAUAUGGUCUUCUGGGUCUUCAAGAUUACACGGUACCGGCUUUUCAGAAAGGUUGUUAGGUCGGACUACAUGCGCAUUUUUAAUAGGUGAGGGGGUGCAUAGAUCUACAACAUUACAAAAAUCUGCUAGUGGUUCGGUAUUUGGACUACUAAAUGUAUUAGAUUUUCCUUUAUGGGACAGAUGGUUAUUUCCUAGAAAAAUAAAUUUCUAACUCGUCAAAAAUCAAUAUUUGACCAAAAAAAAAACUACUAACCGUUUGUUGCUGGUUCUGGAUUUAUCCUCGAGUUUUUUGACUAGGGAAACACAAAUUAUUAGAAGAGCAAUUAAUUAUACUAAAUUAGAAAGGACGACACACUAAUACCUUGCUAUACUUGCCAUAAUGUUUCUGAAGUCUUCGUCGAUGAAGGAAUUCGAUCAACGUUGGUUGAAUCAUAUUUGAAGCCAUUACCUAGCAAAAAUCGUGCAAAUAAAUGGUAGCCAGAUAUAUUCGGUUUAAUCAUCAUCCCAUAUCAAUAUUAUUAAAGAAAAAUAUUUUUGGAUCAUCCGACUAGUGUACUAAUACAUGUCAUUCAUAAAUAAAUACAUAAUGACAUUAAAUUUGGAAAAUGCAACUACUAAGAACCUUAGAAAGAGGCGAGUCUUGAAUGACUGAACGAGGAAUGGCGGAUAUGUGUUUUAACUUUUACUCUUUCUUGAACAUACUUCAAGUCAAUGGCUACAUGUUUUAACUUCGUGUGACAUACUGAGUUUGAAGCCACAUAUGUUGCACCUAAAUUGUCGGACCUGAGUGUCAUCGGUAACUGUGCUUCAAUACCUAAUUCCAACAGUAGAUUUCGUACUUAUUCAAGUUCUGUAAUUGUUGUGGCAAUAACUCUGUACUUGAUCAUGCCAUGGUAUUUUGUUUUCUAGACGUCCACGCAAUCAGUGAUUCGCCUACGUAGAUGAGAUAGCCUUUUUGACUUUUGCGAUCAGUAGUGUCCCCUCCCCAAUCUGCAUCACAGUAUCCGGUGAUUGUAAAUGAUGUUGUCUUUCGCAGCAUUAGACCUAACUUCUGUGUUCCGGACAGAUAUUGCAAUACUUUCUGCAUUGCUAACCAGUGUACAGGUUUUGGAGAAGACAUGUAUUGAGAUAAUUUGUUUACUGCAAACUGUAUAUCAGGUCUCGUGAUGGUGAGAUACUGAGUGAUUCAACGAUCCGUCUGUACUCUUUAUCUUCUUUGAUUGGUUUCUCAUCUGAGUGUAAGUCUUGAUUUGUUAUCAUCGGUGUCUUUGAAAUUUUGGAGUUUUCUACUCCACAGCUCUUGAGUAAAUUUCCCAAGUAUUGUGUUUGAUUUAAGUGUAGUCAGAGUUUAUCCUUUUUUACAUGAAUUCCUAGGAACAGUGAUGCUUCACCCAGGCGUCUGAGUGCAAAUUCGUCUUUUAAUGUGUCUAUCAUCUUUUCAACUUGUGUAUUGUCUGAACCUGUAAUUAUCAUAUCAUCGACAUACGACAGUAGAUAUUAUUAAACUGGUCGCGUGUAGCUGUCCGUAGAGUUUAGACGGAUAGUAACGAGCUCCGGCGAAGUCUCUUGCCGAAAUAUUCGAAGUUAAGAAAAAGGGCGGAAUUUGGAAGUUAUUUGACCUAACUUCCCAAAGUAGUUGCUACAGUAGAAAACUGAUUCUUCAAUUAAUUAGAAAUGAAUUGUUUACACUUGUAUUUAUUAGAUAACAACAUACUCAUUAACUGAAUUAACUACUAGCUAAUAUAACUGAAUUAACUACUAGCUAAUACUGAACUAAUUCCCUGAUUGCUCCAUCUUGUGUAUUGGGCCUCUGACAAUAAUUGGCCCAAUGCUUAUUUAUUAUUUACUUGUAACUUUGCAGUCUAGUCCUUGGUAUUAACUCACCUUUAAUCCUGCAACCAGAUAUACCUUUAAUCACAAGUUAGUCCAGUGAAUGUUUAUCAUCUAAUUACUUCUUUACUCCCCCCUCAAGCUCUGGAAUAAAUGUUAAUUAUUCCAAGCUUGUUAGAGGCUGAAGUAAUCUCAUUUUUACCCAUGGGUUUAGUAAACAUGUCAGCUUAGUUCCAAUUUGCCCUAGACUAAAAACUCCUUGAGUGAUUAAGUCUCUUGUAAAGUGGCAAUCUAUUUCUAUGUGCUUUGUCCUUUCAUGAAAGACGGGAUUAUUAGAUAAAUGGAUUGCCGAUUUGUUAUCACAAUAUAUGGUUGUUUGAUUUUGAGUUUUAAUUUUCAUUUCUUUAAGUAGUUGGUGAAUCCAUAUUAUUUCACAAGCUGUAUGAGCUAUAGCCCUGUAUUCUGCCUCACAUGAGGAUCUGGAUAUUAUCACUUGUUUCUUGGAUUUCCAAGACACUAUUGAGUCUCCAAUCAUGAUGCAGAAUCCAAUCACUGACUUUCUACUGAUUUGGCAUCCAGCCCAAUCAGAGUCAGAGUAAGCAUGGGCACCCUUGAGAUACCUUAGCACUUUGAACAAUGCUUUUAAAUGAAUCUCUUUAGGCUCACUCAUAAACUAGCUUAGCCAGUGUACUGCAAAACUAAGGUCAGGUCUUGUGAUAUUUAGGUAUAUGAGUUUCCCAACUAAUUUUCUAUAAAAAGUGGGAUCCUCAAUUUGUUUUGAUUUAUCAUUUUUGAUGUCCAUGUUUCUUUCCAUGGGUAUUUUAGAUUCUUUGGCUCCUAAAAGGCCACUUUCUUCCAAUAUUCCUAAUGCAUAUUUUCUUUGGGAUAGAAGAAUGCCUUUACUGGAAUAUGAUACCUCAAUCCCUAGGAAGUAACUUAGCUUUCCAAGGUCCUUUAGUUUAAAUUUAUUUCCUAGUUGUGCUUUUAACAAGUCUAUCUCCAACUCAUUGCUACCUGUAAGGAUUAUGUCAUCUACAUAAACCACUAAAUAUACAAUGUUUUUAUUUUUCUCUCUUAUGAAGAGAGAAUAGUCUGAUUUUUCUUGUGUAAAACCAAGGUCUAUCAAGGUGUUUCUUAAUUUCUCAAACCAGUUCCUAGAGGCUUGUUUAAGUCCAUAUAAGGACUUGUUAAGUUUGCAUACUCUCUUAUCUCCCUCUUUGAGGAGUCCUUGGGGUGGUUUUAAGUACACUUCCUCAUGUAAAUCUCCAUGAAGAAACGCAUUGUUAACAUCAAUUUGGUGUAAGUUCCACAUUCUUUGAGCUGAAAUAGCUACUAAGAUCCUUACUGUAAUCAUUUUUGCAACAGGUGCAAAGGUUUCAUAAAAAUCAAACUCUUCCUUUUGAGAGAAGCCUUUGGCUACUAGCCUAGAUUUAUAUCUCUCAACAUCUCCAUUGGGUCUAUAUUUAAUUUUGUAAACCCAUUUUGAUCCUACUGACUUUCUUCCUUUUGGAAGCUCAGUAAUGGUCCAAGUGUUGUUUGAGAUGAGUGCAUCCAUCUCUUUUUUCAUUGCAUCAACCCAUUUUGGGUCGCUUGAUGCUUCACUGAAUGUAUUAGGUUUAAUAUUAUUUGAGAUCUGUGUCAAAAACAAUUUGUGUUUGUCAUUUACUCUAUGAUAUGAUACAUAGUUACUCAUUGGAUAUUUAGUUUUGCUAGUGUGAUCAUUUCCCAUAUAGAAAUCAUUGAAAUGUUUGGGUUUUGUUAUUAUUUUCCCCAACCUUGUUUGUUUUGGUUUCUCAGUUUGCAUUUCUUUCUGUUUGUCAGCUUCUUGUAUUGCUGAAAUUUGACUUUUAUUAACAUCAUAUUCAUUGCUAUGUUAAUAUUCUCUUGAAUUAGAUACAUUGUUGUGUGAUCCCUGGGUCUGAGCUUUUAAGUUUUUAUUUCUGAAUCAACUGUAAUAGCUCCCUGCCCUGGGUCACAACUUGCUUUGUUUUCUAUUUCAGGUAUUGUAUUUAUGUCAGAGUGGGCAUUACCAGUUAUAUCCGGCAUAUGUUGUAUUUCUAAUGUGAUUUUAAGCUGAUCAGACUGGUUAUUUCCAGUUAUAUCUGAUCUGUCUUUAGAAAUUACAUCAGAUCUUUUAUUUUUAAUUUAAUUUUCAUUUUUAUUUUCCAGGCUUGCUAUUUGUUGCUAUCUGAUUUUAGGAUGAUGAGUUUCUGUUAUUUCGUUAAAAAUUUCCUGUAAAGGAAAAAUGUUUGUUAUUUUAUUUUCUUGAAUCUUAGAAGAUAUUUCAUGAAAUGAGAAAAUAUCUUCCCUAAAAACCACAUCCCUUAUUAUGUAGAAUUUUUGAUCUUCUAUGCCAAGUACCAAGUAUCCUUUUAUGUUUGGAGGAUAUCCCAUAAAUACUCCUCUGAAGGUUCUUGGGGAGAAUUUAUUUUCUUUAUUAUGUGAUGUAGCAUAACACAAGCAUCCAAAGGUUUUUAAACAAUUGUAUUUGGGUUUUUCUUUAUGUAAGACUUCAAAUGGAGUCUUAUUAUCUAAAACCUUGGAUGGAAUCCUAUUGAUUAUAUAUGUUGCAGCUAACACACAUUCUCCCCAAUAUUUUAGGGGCAUAUUAGCUUGAAUGUGUAAAGACCUGGCUAUAUUCAGCAGACACCUAUGUUUCCUUUCAACCCUUGCAUUUUGUUGUGGGUUGUAAGGACAUAUUACUUGAUGUAUAAUUCCAAGGUUUUCAAGCAUAUCUUGGAAUUUGAUGGAUUUAAAUUCUCCACCAUUGUCACUUCUUAUUGUUUUAAUAUUUUUGGAAAAAUGAUUUUUAACUUUUGUAAUAAAUCUUUUUAUGCAUUCAUAGGCCAUGGAUUUGUUUUUGAUUAAGUAGAUCCAAGUUAUUCUAUUUAAAUCUUCAACUAUAGUGAGAAAAUAUUCAUACCCAUCGUAGUUAGUAAUUGGAAAUUUACCCCAUAUAUCUAUGUGAAUUAAGUCAAAUAAGUAGUUACUUUUUGUUGUACAUUUUGUAUACUUAAGUUUGGUUUGUUUGGACAAAGGACAAAUUUCACAAUUUUUAUUUGAAAUUUUUUUAUUACAAUCAUUUAUUUCUGAAUGUUUUACAGAAAUUUUAUUUAAACUACAUUUAAUUUGUUGAUCUUUUAUCAGCAUAGCUAACUUCUCAGCAGAGAUGUGUCCAAGUCUAUUGUGCCAAAUUUUGGAGUCUAGGGAGGCAUAUGCAUGACCAGAGGGUAUUGAGCUAUAUAGGCAGAGCCCAUCUUGACAUCUACCCUUCCCAAUCACUUUCUCUGAUUUGCUUCCCUGAAAAUAACAAUUUUCACUAUCAAAAAGGAUUUUCAGAUUGUUAUUCAAAGUUAAUUUAUUUACAGAGAUUAAAUUAACUUUAAAUUUUGGAAUAUAAAGCAUAUCUUCUAAUAUAAUGUCUCUGGACAGAGUUAUUGUUCCAGUAGACCUUACCCUGCACACUUCACCACUUGGGAUGGUGACAAAGUGUUCUUGUUUUUCAGUUGGGGGAUUAUCAAAUUGGUGGAGAUUCCCAGUCAUAUGUUGGGAAGCUCCAGUAUCUAUAAUCCAUUCUCUAUCAAAAUCCAUUGCAUUGCAUACAUAGUUCAUGUUUUUAAAAUUUAAGACAUUAAAAAAAUGAGCCAUAUCAUUGGAUUUGUUUAGGAGAUCUUUUAGCAUUAGAAUUUCCUCAUUGGACAACUCUAUUGCAGUGGAUGUAGAGGUCUGGUUUGCAAUUUCAGUCUUGGCCUUCUUGUUUUUGUUUACUUUCUUACUGCUCUUUGUUUUUAUCAUUUGAAAAUCAUAUCAGAUGGUAGCACUCCUUCCUAAUAUGUCCAUAAUAUUUGCAAUUAUCGCAAUAUUUGGAAGUAUCUAAUCUCUUCCCAUUCUUACUAUAUGACCCUUUUUCCUCUUCUUUUUCAUUCACCUUCUUAGCAAGGAAAGCAGAUGAAUCUGUGUUUGGUUUAUCAACCUUAUCUCUGAAAUUAAAAUUUUGUUUCUCUUCUUGUAUGAUUAAGUAAAACACUUUACUCAUGCUAGGUAGCUCAUCAUAUGAGAGAAUCUGUCCUCUCAGUGUUUUAAAAUCUUCAUUCAGUCCCAAGAGGAACUGAUGAUUUUUUUCCUUUUCCAUUCUUACAUUGUUCUUUGGAGUACAAAUGUUGCAAAAAUCACAGUUCUCUAGCUCUAUUUUUUGAUUCCAUAGAGCUUUAAACUUAUCAUGAAAAACUAUAACACUAUCGCUACCUUGCUGUAAAUUAUUUAACUCAUACCUGAUUUGAUUUGUUUUAGGAGCAUUUUCUUGUUUGUACCUUUCUUGCAAAUCCUUCCAAGCUGCAUGGGCUGAAUCAGUGUGCAUUAAUGUGGAAGCAAUUUGCAGAGAAACUGCAUUUAUUAGCCAUGACAGUACUAGUCCAUUUACAGUUUCCCAAGCCUCAUAUUCUUUACUUGUAGUAUCUACUGGCUUCUCAAUUUUGCCAUUGAUAAAACCUAUCUUUCGCCUGGAUAGUAAGGAAAGCUUCAUAGCGCCAGCCCAAGUUGCAUAAUUUGAUUCUCCCACAAGUUUUUCCGAAACCAUUGACGCCCCUGGGUGAUCGCCGGAGUUCAGCUAAUAGACUGACUCCCGAUCAUUAAUAGCAGAGGUAUGAUGUGAUUUCUUUAUCUUGGAAUGACGUGACCUGUGGUAAGUUUUCUGUGAAUGUCUAACUGACAACUUUUCUCUUCGAGAUGGAGAGCGCAGAAUCGACGGAGGUGGUGAGCUGGAUUCCGACGCCGAGAUAGAAACAGAUCCUUUAGGUGACUUUGUUGCGGAAGCAUGGCCGGAUUUUCUGGCUGAUACCAUAUUAAACUGGUCGCGUGUAGUUGUCCGUAGAGUUUAGACGGACAGUAACGAGCUCCGACGAAGUCUCUUACCGGAAUAUUCAAAGUUAAGAAAAAGGGGGGAAUUUGGAAGUUAUUUGACCUAACUUCCCAAAGUAGUUGCUACAGUAGAAAACUGAUUCUUCAAUUAAUUAGAAAUGAAACACUUGUAUUUAUUAGAUAACAACAGACUCAUUAACUGAAUUAACUACUAGCUAAUAUAACUGAAUUAACUACUAGCUCCAUCUUGUGUAUUGGGCCUCUGACAAUAAUUGGCCCAAUGCGUAUUUAUUAUUUACUUGUAACUUUGCAGCCUAGUCCUUGGUAUUAACUCACCUUUAAGCCUGCAACCAGAUAUACCUUUAAUCACAAGUUAGUCCAGUGAAUGUUUAUCAUCUAAUUACUUCUUUAGAUAUAUCAUAUGUUUUACUGGUGUUACAGUUGACAAAAUGAAUAGCGAUGGAUCUGAACUUUCUUGAGCGAACCCUUGUUUUAGCAGAAAUUCUUUUACUUUCUUGUACCACAUGCGUGAUGCUUGUUUGAGACCGUAGAGUGCUUUAUUUAACAAGCAUACGUGAUUUCGUCGGUCUGGAUCAACAAACCCCAUUGGUUGUGACACAACUACCCUUUCUUCGAUUUCUCCGUGCAUAAAUGCGUUGGAUAUGUUGAUAUACAUGAUCUUCCAUCCUCUUGUAGCUGCUAUCGUGAGUACCAGCCUGAUUGACACUGGUUUAACUACAUGGUUGUACGUUUGAUUGUACUCAGUUCCUUCUAUUUGACGAAGUCCAUUAGCGACUAGUCUUGCUUUUUGUCUCUCAAUGCUUCCAUCUUCCUUUUGUUUGAUUUUGAAGAUCCAGAUCGAGUUAAUCACAUUGUCAUUUGAGUUGCGAGGGAUCAGUGUCCAGGUGUUGUUUUUCAACAGUUCCAUGUAUUCUGCUUUCAUUGCUUCCUUCCAUGCCGGGACUAGUAAUGCCUGUUUUGGUAAUUUUGGAAGCUCAACUGGUCUUGUGGUGCUUACACAGGCAUAUUUCAGAUUUGGUUUAACAAUCCCGUUUUUUGACCUGGUGCAUGGUGGUGAGAUUACGGAUGUUUGCACAACGUUUGGUUCUUGUAUUUCUAUAUCUUGACUUUGCUCGAUUUCGGGCUGUGUUGGACUUGGUUCUUCAUUUGAUAUAUUCAAUUUUGGAGUCUCUGAAUCUGUUGUGUGUUCGGGUGAGUCUUCAGUAGUUUGUUCUUCAAGAUCAUGGUUUGCUUCUUCUAAUAGUGAAUCUCCAGUAUCAGGUUCUUGUGUACCUGUAUUAUGCCUGCAUUGGUUAGUCAAUACGUUUUGACUUACCAGGUUAUCGUGUAAACCAUUCUUAUCUUUUCCUUUGAAGAGUACUUUGCUUAAUGUAAAAUAUUCUUCAAGAAAUCUGAUGCGUAAUUUGUUCAAUCUCAAGAUGGGUGAAGGAGCAAAUGUUGUUGAUCAUGUGAAUCAAGUAAAUGUGUUGUUGACACAGUUGUCUUCUGUGGAUAUCAACUUUGAAGAUGAACUUAGAGCACUUAUUUUGUUAUCAUCUCUACCAGAAAGUUGGGAACAAGUUGCUACAAGUGUGAGCAUCUCUCACUACAAAAAACCAGCGCAGUUCUGGCGCCCAUCUCCCGGCGGCCUGGCCGCCGGUAGAUACGGCCGUCGGCCUGGCCGCCGGAAGGUUACACUUGUCCGCCUGCAUAAUUUUCCCUCGUAAAUGAGAGAAAUUUUCUGGCGGCCAGGCCGACGAAAUAUUUUUUUGUAAAAAAUUCCAACGGCCUGGCCGCCAGCUCCAAUUCACCAACGGUCGGGAAGAAGUGAUCCGGCGGCCUGGCCGCCGGCAUACUAAAACCCUCAACGGUCGGGAGAAAAAUUUCUGGCGGCUUGGCCGCUGGAUACUUUUUCCCGCUUGUUUUUUUCAGUAGCCAGCAGCCUGGCCGCCAGGAUUUUUGGAAAACCCUAAAUUUACAACUUGCGCCGCCGUGGUCCCCCGUACAGUCAAACUAAGUCAAACUAAACUUAAGUAUUUCCAGAUUUUUUAUAUAAGAAAAGAAAAUUCCAGAUUUUCUUUUCCCCCAAAAUCGUCUCCACUUCUCCCCACUCCUCUCUAACCCUCUUCAAAACCCUCCGGCGAUCUUCUAGUCCGUCCUCCGGCCACUUCUCUCCGGUCAUCCUCGAAGGUCAUCCUCAAGGUAUGUUCUUCAUUUCAUUUGGGGUUUGGGGUUUGGGGUUUGGGGUUUGGGGUUUGGGGUUUGGGGUUUGGGGUUUUUGAUGCUUCUUGGGGUUCUUGUGGUAUUUAUCAUCUUUGAUUUUGCUGUUCGGAUUUUAAAACGAUGAAAUGAAACUUUGAUUUUGCUGUUCGGAUUUUGCUGAUCGGUUUUUGCGAUGAUUUUUUUUUUCUCUCUCUUUUCCUUUUCAUUUUCUUCUCUUUUGAUGUUUUUCUUCUUCUGUAUCGCGGCUCAUUUUCUUGUUUUGAUCGUUUUUUUGUUCAUUAUAUCUUUGUAUUUAAUCAGUAUUUAAUCAUUAUAUCUUUGUAUUAUAUCUUUGUAUAUCUUUGGUUAUAAGCACUGCAACAGAUACGGUUGUUUCUGUUGUAUUUAAUUUAAUCGUGGAUUUAUUUAUUUUUUGUAUUUUUUUUUACAAUGUAAUUAGUUGUAGAAUAUUAAAAUGUGUUUGGGAUCGUUAACAUUCAAGUGUCUUCCUCAUACCUAUGAUUCUGUUCUUAGAGACCACAGCCUUGUCUCUCCCUGUCGCUUUCCAAAACCCAGCGUUUGUUGCUCUGUUGGUUCUUGUUCCGGUCGGAUACUUCUUGUCCUUGUGGCUGAAGAAAUACCACUCAGUUUGAUCUUCGUCAUUUCCUUGUGGCUGAAGAAAUUAAAUCAUUUUUUUGUUCUGUUUUGACUUUCAAUUUAAAGGGCUUUAAUUAUAGUUCUAAAUAAAGUAAAAAAAACCUUGGAGAUCCCAUGGUUCGAUUCUGUAGAGAUCAAUAUCUGUUAUAACCUCGACAUCAAUCUCUUGGGAUGAGCAAACUUUUCUUGUCAAGUAAUAACCCACAAGCUCUUCCUCUGUGGAAUGAAACCUAAAUCCCGGCAGGACACCUAGUGAGGAGGAUUCCACUUCCAUGUGUGCAGACACAAACCCUGUACAGACACUUGGAAAUUAGACACACUUAUUACACAUAUAUUUGAAUCUUCAUGAAAGAAAUCCUAGUGUUUGCUUACCUAGAAACACGAACCUACUAACAGCAGAACUGCAGACAGUUUUGUAGUGUUAUAUAUAUUUCUUUAGAUCAUAGAGUGGUGUGUAUAUAUAUAGAAAGAAGGAUAGGAAAAGCAGAAGAAGAAAAAAAUAACAGCUAUCCAUAAUCUAUCUAUGGAUUGUGUACAUUCUAAGUUUGAAAGUUUGUUAUUGAGGUUUAAUUCAUUUUAAUUUAGUGUUUGUUUAUUUUAGGUUGAAGGUUUGUUUUGCGGAUUUGAAGGCCGGUGUUAGUUUAGAAGCUUUGCGGAUCAAUGUAAUAAUAUUUAUUCAUUUAAAUUUUUUUAAUCUAAUUAGUUAAUCUAAUUUGCAUGUUAGUUAGAAAUUAGUUAAUCUAAUUUGCAUGCCAAGUAAUAGUAAAAUGAAAUGCAUGUUCUUAAAUUGUGUGAAUUGAAAAUGAAUGCAAAUUUUUUGAAAUGAAUUCUAUAAAAUGAAAUGUCAUGAAAUGAAAUGAAUUAAAAUGCAUAAUUUUAAAAGAAUUCAUGAGUUGAAAUGAAAUUUAAAUUUAAAUAAAUGAAAUAAUUAUUUAAAUAAAUGUUUAGUAAUUAUUUUCUAUAAAUGUGAUUUUUAAUAAGUUUUGAAUAAAUGUUUAGUAAUUAUUUAUUAAUUAAAUUUAAUAUGAAAGUCAUUUAUUUAAUUAAUAAUGAAUUAAAUAAUUAUUUAAUUAAUUAUUUAAUUAAUAAUUAAAAUAAUUAACAAUCAGAUUUUCUCUAAGUGUGAUUGUUAGUUAAUUUUUAAGUAAUUGUUGAAUAAUUAAUUAAUAAUUAUUAAAUAAUAAUUAAUUAAUUAAGAAAAUAUUGGAAAAUCCAUUAAUCAGUUUUUAUAUUAAGAACUUGAUUUAAAAUCCAAUGUUGAAAACAAUUAUUUAAAAAUUAAAAUCAUUUAUUUAAUUAAUAAUUAAAUAAAUAAUUAUUUGAUUAAAUUUAAAUAAUUAUUUAAUUAAUUAAUAAUUACAAAAAGUAACAAUCAGAUUUUCUUUAAGUGUGAUUGUUAGUUAAUUUUUAAAUAAUUGUUGAAUAAUUAAUUAUUUAUUUAUUUAUUAAUUAAGAAAAUAUUGGAAAUUCCAUUAAUCAGUUUUUAUAUUGAGAACUUGAUUUAAAAUCCAAUGUUGAAAACAAUUAUUUGAAAAUUAAAAUCAUUUAUUUAAUUAAUAAUUAAAUAAAUAAUUAUUUAAUUAAAUUUAAAUAAUUAUUUGAUUAAAUUUAAAUAAUUAAUUGAUUAAAUCUAAAUAAUUAUUAGAUUAAUUAAUAANNNNNNNNNNNNNNNNNNNNNNNNNNNNNNNNNNNNNNNNNNNNNNNNNNNNNNNNNNNNNNNNNNNNNNNNNNNNNNNNNNNNNNNNNNNNNNNNNNNNUUAAUUAAGAAAAUAUUGGAAAUUCCAAGAAUCAGUCUAGAUACUGAGAACUUGAUUUAAAAUCCAAUGUUGAAAACAAUUAUUUGAAAAUUAAAAUCAUUUAUUUAAUUAAUAAUUAAAUAAAUAAUUAUUUAAUUAAAUUUAAAUAAUUAUUUAAUUAAUUAAUAAUUACAAAAAGUAACAAUCAGAUUUUCUAUAAGUGUGAUUGUUAGUUAAUUUUUAAAUAAUUGUUGAAUCAUUAAUAAUUAAUUAAUUAAUUAUUAAUUAAGAAAAUAUUGGAAAUUCCAUUAAUCAGUUUUUAUAUUGAGAACUUGAUUUAAAAUCCAAUGUUGAAAACAAUUGUUUGAAAAUUAAAAUCAUUUAUUUAAUUAAUAAUUAAAUAAAUAAUUAUUUGAUUAAAUUUAAAUAAUUAUUAUCCUUAUUUAAUUAAUUAUCUUUCGAUUAAUUAGAUUAUCCUUAUUUUAUUUAGAUGUAUUGGUUACUAGUAGCAUUCGUUAUAUCGGUUUUCAUGGUCGUCACGACUCCCGGCGAUCAGAGUGAUCAUUCAACUGAUGAACAAGAUUAUGAUCAUCCGAAUCUACAUGAGAUGAACAUGGCUGGUGAUCAAACGAAGAAACAAACAAGAGAACAAAACAAAGAUCAUGCUGAAUAUCAUCCGUCACAAGGACAACGGUUUGUAAUAAAAUUCAAAAAUGAUCAAAUUGUCCAUGAUAGCGUAGCAAAAAAACUAAACAAGAAAUGCGCAAUGAUCGCGAACGAUUUCAAACUACUACCAAUGGACGUACCGUGGUUUGAACAAGACCAGAAAAACAUAGAUGAGGCGAUGGCAACGAUACAGGUUUAUUAAUUAAUAUUUAAUUAUUAUUAUAGAUUUUAUAGUUAAUUAAUAAUUAAUUUUAUAAUUAUUCAUUGAACAGAGAGAAUUUGAUUACAGCGGAUCAACCUUUGGUUAUCGACGUGUCAAUGAAAGGUUAAACAAAUUAUGGAGAAGCGCUUAUAACUCUUUAUUGGAUAAAUAUAAUAACAAAGAUCUAACAGUCGAAGAGGUUAUGAGAAUAUUGCUCGACUACAUCAUCAAAGAACAAUUUCUAAAAAAGCUGAUUGAAAGAAGAUCACCGAGGGGAUUAGUACGUAUUAAUGAAUUUCUUCUUUUUAAUUACAAUUAAUUGCAUUUAAUAACUUAUUUUUUUUUAACUUAAUUAUUUUUUUUUAACUUAAUAUAGGAAAUUUCUGAAAUUAACAAAGGCAAUCGGGCUAAACAAACAACACACAGUUUAGGUUCGAAGAGUCUGGCGGAAAGAAAUUACGAAGCUGUAAGUAAAUUAUUUAAUUUCAUAUUUACUUUCAAGUUCUUUUUAAUUUUUUCUUUCUUUUCCUAAUUUUAAUAUUACAGGAACAAAAGGGACUAAAUGAGAUUGAAACUUGGAAACUCAAUAUAAAGGCAGCUUAUCCAAAAGACGAACGAGUGGUUAAAGCGGUUAAAUGGAUCGACAGUGAAGAAGCCAAAAAUAUGGCUCAACAAGAAAAUAUGACUGACACGGUAAUUAUUUCAUAUUUUUUCUAAUACAAUUCAAUAGUUAUAUUUACAUUAAUUAUUAUCAUGUUUUCUUUUUCAUUAGGCUCUAAUCCAAUUUGUUAUAACCGAAUUUAUCGGUCGAAGCUCGAAGAAAUCAAGAAUAUUAGGAACAACUGGUUCCUCAUUGAGCAAAAAGACAACGCAUCGGAUGAAUGUGGGGAACUUCUGCAGUGACAAAGGAAAAGAUGCAAUGACCGGAGCAGAGGUUCAAGAUCAGGUCAACGAGGCUGUCGAGAGAGCGAUGGCUCGUCAGAAAGAGGAGAUGGCUCGUCAGAAUGAAGAGUUUAUGGCUCGUCAAAUGGCGUUUUUCCAACAAUACAACUCCGCAAUGCUCGCUCAAAAUCCGAACUUGCGCUUACCGGAGUUUCCGCCAUUCUUCAACAGCGAUGCAGCGCAGAACAUUUAUACUCCUGGAGCGUCAUCUUCUAGAGCCGCCGCACCGCCUACUCAACUACCAACGCAAGAAACUACGACGCCACAAGAGGAGCACACCACUUCACAACCGCGUGGAAGAUCGAUAAUAUUCACGACAGAGGCGUUACGAAAGGUGGUCGCAACUAAAAAAAAGAAAAAGAGCGAAAAAAAGAAGAAGUAAAAUUAGUGAUUGUCGAAGUUAUUUUUUGUUGUACAUUAAUUAUUAAACUUCAAAUUCAAUUUCAAUUUCAAUAUCAAUUUCAUUUUUAAUUUUAUUUUCAAUUUCAUUUUUAAUUUUAAUUUUAAUUUUAAUUUUUUUUUUUUUAUUUUUCAAAAGUGAACCAGCGGCCAGGCCGCCAGAAAUUUCUUCCCGGGAAAUUUUUUUUCCUGCCGGGAAAUAUUGACCAGCGGCCAGGUCGUCGGAAAAUUAUUUUCCAAAAAUUAACAGGCGGCGGGCGGCCAGGCCGCCGGGAUAUAAUUUUCAAAAAAAAAUUUCGGCGACUAAGCCGCCGGGACAAUCUCUGUUAAAAUCGGAAUCCAAAAUUUUUUACCGGCGGCUUGGCCGCCGGUAUUUCAACAUUCCGGCGACAUCAACUCCGGCGAUGGAAUCUCGUCGGCUUGGCCGCCAGAACUACGCUGGUUUUUUGUAGUGUAUGAUAACUCUAAACUCUAGGGUUAGGGUUCAUAUAUAUAUAUAUAUAUACCUUUAAUUAAUCUACCUUUUAGUUGCUUUAAGAUUCCUUAAUAAUUAAGAUCUGACUGAAAUCUAGUAUAUAUAUAAACACAAUGGGUUUCAGGUGCGGCGGACCGUCGGAUGGCACGGAAAUGCCAUCCGACGGCACGAAAGACGAACCGCACGCCCUCCGUGCUCCGAACUUUUUGGUGAAGUUCGGGACCUCUGCGCGAACGCCUUGAUGGCGUUCGUGUGCCAUCUGAUGGUCUGUUCCGGUGAGGUUCUCGCCGACGCACCCAACCACACCGGAAGCGGAUCCUAUAUAAACAUACUGAAAACAUAAUAUCUGGUCUCUUGCAGUUUAAUAUAAUAAAGAUCCAAUCAUGCUUUUGCAGUACUUUUGUCUAUAGAAUUGAGUAUCGUGAUUUCAACACAUAUUUUGAUAUUAGUUUCUUUGCACGAUUACUUAUAAAUUAAGAUUUAUUUGUAAUCCUAAGAAAUAAUUUUUCUUUGUAGGGAUGUUGAAGGUAAUUUUUUCCAAGGAUAUAUUCUUUCAAGUAUCGAAAAUCUUAUCAAUUUGAAAUAUUUGUAAGUUUUAUCAUACAAAAAAUAUUUUUUUAAUAUUUGAAUUAAUACUUGUGUAAAAUUGAAUAUAUAUAGCAUCCAUUUUAUCUGUACAUUCUUCAUAUAUAAAUUACAUCAUGUUGCUCUCUUAAUCCUCUCAGUUCUAGAUCAACCACCUACCCUUUGUGAAUUUUAAUAUUUGAUAUAUAUAUUCACACUUGUUUUGAUAUUUGAAAUAAAAAAGGUAUCUUUCAAACAAUAAUUUUGAAGGAGAAAUACUGAACUCUCUUGGGAAUUUGAAGAAGUUGAGAAUAUUGUAAGUAUAUUUACAGUUAAAUUUUUCAAAUUAUCUUAAUAUGUAAUUUGAGUUUUUGACAAAGUUGGGAACAAUAUUUGAAAUCUAUUAAUAUAAAGAGUGGAAUUUGUAAAAAUUAAAUAAUAAUUUUACAUGUUCACGCUUGAAUUUUCGAUAUUUUUAUUAUCAUUACAACACAUAUAUAAUGGAUUUGAUUUUCUUUGUGUUAUAAUUUCCAUGCAUGCAUGUACGUCAUGUGCAUAUUUCUUACACGAUUGCAUGCAUAAUUCUUUACAUGAUUGAUAAGUCGAUAUUUUUACGCGCGAUACAUUUAUGUAUAAUUCUUUUUUAGGAUCGAUCUAUUCCUUUCAAUAUCGAUAAUCAUUUUAAUCUGUGGGUUUUAACAUUUGAAAAUAAUAUUUCUAUUAAAUCAUGUACAAUAUUGUAUGAUUUGAAAUUAAUGAUUUUUUAUUGUGUAAACAUUGAGAUUGAGUUUUAUUUGAAAUUUUUUAUUUGAAUCAAUGCAUGAACUUAGAAUUUAUUUAUAUAACGAGUUGAACUUUAUAUUACAAUAUAUUUCAUUCUUUAACAUCUAUCUUUGUUUUCAAGCUUAAUUUAUAAUAACCUUAAUUUACCUCAUUUGUUUUCUCAAUAUAUAUAUAAAAACUCCAGGAGUCUUUCUAAUAAUAAAUUUGGAGGAGAAAUACCAAAAAAUCUUUGGAAUCUGAAAACGUUGGAAGAAUUGUAAGUAGAAAUUGACAAUAUUUCCAUUUGAUAAUCUAGAAAAUUGACAUGUUUAUUGUUAUGACCAAAUUUCUGUUUACUAUUCUUGAAGAGUUAUACGUACGUAUCUAAUAUGUAUUCUUUAACAAGUUUGAAUUUGAAACAUGAACGCAGGUAUCUACGAAAUUGUAGUUUGGAGGAUUCCUUGCCUGAUGAGUAUAGUGAAAUACAUACACCUUUGAUAAUUUUGUAAAAUACUCAUCUCAUCUUCUUGAUGCAUGUCUUAUUUAGAUAUAUGUGAUUGUCAUGAAUUUCUCUUCAAUCUAAUUACAUUUUUCAAUGAAUUUAAUUUAGAGAUCUAGGUUUCAACGACCUAGUUGGGAAAGUUCCAAACACUAUUUUCAAUAUUUCAACACUUGAAUCCUUGUAAGAAAAAUGAACUUAAUUGAUGUCUUAUUUAAAACGUUGUUAAUUUGAUGAUUUACACUAACUAUAAUAUCUUUCUCGAUCUCAUGAUGCAGAUAUCUAAACAACAAUGGCUUUACUGGUGUUUUACCUGAUAAAAAGAGUGACAAUCUUACUAUAAUGUGCAUGCAUAUAUUUUUAACUUUCAAAAUCUUCUUUUUAUAUAUUAUAUGACAAACAACUUACUAACGUUUCGAAUCUUAAUAUCUUAAUUUCAGUGAUUUGUCCAACAAUAAUUUAGAAGGAUAUAUCGACCCAAAAUGGAAUGGAGUGGCUUUGUAAUUUUUAAUAUAUAUUAUUUAUUUUUUGAAUCAUAUUGCUAUUGUUAUUGAUGUUAUUCCUUUGUUUAAUUAAUUUGCACAGGAAUUUGGUAAACAACAAAUUCUCAUCGAAAGAAACUGAAAAGUAAUAUAUAUAUAUAUAUAAAACAUUCAUUUUUGUUUAUUAUAUGUAUAUUUAUGCAUGUUCGAUUCUUUUACUUUCAGAAUUCAACCUCGAGGAUUAGAAUGCUUGCAACAAACAUCAAAUUGUUUUAUGGGCGAAAAUUUAUGUAAGCCAAUUUUAUUAUAUUAUUUCUUCUUUCAAAAUAUAUGUUUCAUUUUUCAUUAAAUAAUAUAUAAUACAUUUUCAUUUUUACUUCAGUUACCUCACUUACAAUAAAUUGUGGUGGGGAGAAAAUCAAGUCAGAGGACGGAACAAUAUUUGAAGCGGACAAUAACAAUAAAACCAAUACAUACUUUUAUGUCGCUGAUAAAAAUAAAUGGGCAGUUACAUUUGGUGAAUGUAGAUUUAUUAAUUCUACAAAAAAUAUCACAGAUGCUCAAGAUCCAAAACUAUAUCAAUCAGCAAGAACAUCAACCAAAACAUUAAAAUAUUAUGGACUUGGACUGAAAGUUGGAAACUAUACUAUUGAAUUAAUGUUUGCUAAUAUUGAUGAUGAUGAUAAUACAUAUAGAUAUAUCUUUGAUAUUUAUAUUCAGGUAAAUAUUCUAGGAAUUUUUAAAUUUAUUAUUCAAUGGUUAUUUCAUCCAUUGAUAUUUGGCAUGGUUGAUUAACUUAAGAAAUCUUUUUUGUUUUUAUUUUUAUUUUUGUAGGGGAUUCUCCAAGAAAAAGAUUGUGAAAUAUUAAAAGAACCAUUCAAAAAGACCUACAAAGUUAUUGUCACCAAUGACACAAAAAAUCUUGAAAUUAGUUUCAGCCCAAAACUUUAUCCAAAAGAAUUGAAAUUGAUUCAAAAACAUUUAUCAACAGCAGUUUUGAUUUCGGCAAUCAAAGUUAUACCAAGUAUGUCGACAUUAAAAAAUAUAUAUUUUCAUUCUAAAAAUUUAUUUGACACUUUUGUUUUCAGCAAUCAAUGUUUAUAUUUCUUCUUACCUUUCUUUUGAUUCAGAUUUCAAAGUUGAAAAUGGUAGCACGAAGAGAAGUGCUGCUGUAAUUGGAGCUUCAGUUGGAGUUUCAAUUUUUAUUCUUUCAUGCAUCGUUGGAUAUUAUUUAUGGAAAAGACACAGAAAAUAUAGAGAUGAAGGUAGGUAAUUCAAAUUUAUUUUUAGUAUAAUUUAGAUCUGAUAAUUUGUUGGAUUAUUUUUACAGGAAAUAAUAUUGAAUUGAAUGGGCUGGAAGUAAAUACAUAUAGAUUUCCAGAACUAAAUACAGCUACUGAGAAUUUCAAGCCUGCUAAUAAACUUGGGGAGGGAGGAUUUGGUGUUGUCUAUAAGGUGAUUUUUUUUUUACCAAAACCACGAAAAAUAAAUUAUAUCUAAGUUGUGUACCAGGAUUCAUUUUUUUGAUUAAUUACGUUGUACAUAAGUAAAUAAAAAUUAAAGUAAAAAUACUGAGACUCGAACCUUGUACGUACCUCUAGCAACCUUAAUAAUGACUGUAACCACCAGUGGCGAAUCUAAGGGGACUUCCCCAAAAUAUUAAAAAAUCAUACUUAUACCCUUCACAUUUUUUAUUAUCAUGUCAUUAUAAAUUAAUUGGAACUAAAAAUCUUGAAUGCAUGGAUUAUUCAAUCCAUUUUUUAUUUAUUAUAUAUAAGUUAAUUGUGAGGUAUUCAUUUUUAUUUACAUUAUUUUGAUUGAUUAUACACAGGGAACAUUAUAUAAUGGAGAUACAGUAGCUGUUAAAAAACUUUUAGCAGAAUCGAUUCAAGGAAAUGAACAGUUUAUUGCCGAAGUUGCUACCAUAUCUGAAGUUAGACAACGGAAUUUGGUUAAAUUGCAUGGUUGUUGUUGUCAAGGAAAUAAAAGAAUGUUGGUAUACGAAUAUAUGAAAAAUGGAAGUCUUGAUACUGCACUCUAUGGUAAUUAAUUAGUACUCAUGAAAAUUCCGCACUUUUGCACGCAUGCAUGCUUUCAAGAAUAAAUAUGCCACAAUUAACGACUACUUAAAUACAAUGAUAGGAAGAACAGGUCAGUUGGAACUUGAUUGGGAUAUUCGAUUCACGAUAUGUCUCGGAAUAGCAAAAGGUCUUAAUUAUCUACACCAAUAUUCAAGACAUCGGAUAAUUCAUAGAGACAUCAAAUCCAGCAAUAUCCUUCUUGAUCAACAUCUCAAUCCCAAAAUAUGUGAUUUUGGUCUUGCUAAGCUCUACGAAGAUAAAAUGACCCACAUAACAACAAGAAUGGCCGGAACUUAGUAAGACUUUAAUUUGUCACCAUGCAUGCAUGCAUGCAUACACAACAUUUAUGAUUGCAUGUUAAUUCAUAAAUCAUUUUUUUUUUUAAUUUGCAGUGGGUAUUUAGCGCCAGAGUAUGCAUUGAGUGGUCAUUUAACCGAGAAAGUCGAUGUGUUUGCCUUUGGAGUUGUCGCCCUUGAAAUUGUCAGUGGAAAAUGUUGCGUCGACUAUAGCUUUGUUAGCUUUGGUUCUAACCAAUCUUAUAUUAUACAAUGGGUACAAAAACAAAUGCUAAAUGAUAUUCUACCACCAACUAAUAUUAUGAUUUUCGAUUUUUAUUUAGUUUACUUAUGAUCGAUUAUUUUGUAUUGAUGCAUGAUGAUAGGUAUGGAACAUACAUGAGAACAUGGAUGAUGACUUAGCAAUGGUGGAUCCAAAAUUGAAGUCAUUUAACAAAGAAGAAGUUUGUCGAAUCAUUCAAGUUGCUCUGUUAUGUACACAGAUGGAUUCAAUGAGUCGACCAUCGAUGUCUCAUGUCAUUGCAAUGCUAAAUGGAGAAAAAGAUAUCGGCACACUUCCAAGCAAACCAUCAUAUUUGAUGUUCUGGGAUAUUGGCAAUUCAAGUAGGGCAAUUGAUGAUAUUGAAUUUCAACCAUACCAGUUUGAUUCGCGUCAACAAAUUUCAUCUUGCUCUUAUUCUCAAAGCAUGCCUCUACGACAUGCACAAACAGGUCAUAUUAAUUGAAGAAAUUGUUUAAAUUUAUUUUACUACCCAUUAUUUCUUAAAAAUUUAUUUAUAUUUAAUUGACGAUUGUGAUUUUUUUAAAGGAUCGUCUGAGCAAAAAGAUGAAGAUUAUACAAAGACAUUCUAAAUUUCCAAGGAUGAAUGAAUUAUACGUAUUUUCGAUCUUUGAUACAACAAUGUAAUUAACUAUCUACCCUAACAUUUCUCAAAAUAAUAAUUUUUAUUACAAACAUUACAAUAAGGGGGAGGGAAAUUCUUAUUAUAAGUUUUAAAGGUAUUUCGAUCGAUCUUGGUCGUUUAUUUUUUAAGAUUUUUUUCGGGUUUAUAAUAAAAAAUAUAAAAUAAUGAGAAAGGUAAAAUGAAAUUCUCACGGUAUCUCGUGAGAACUGUUUUCUAUUGUAAUAUUUGUCAAAUAAAAUCUUGUAACAGUAUACUUUUCAUCAUGUGAAAAAUAAUAAUUAAUUUAUACAUUUAAGGUCUAAAAAUAAAAUAUUAUAAUUUCAGAGAGAAGAUGCUCCACAAAAAUAAAAUAAUACAAUGAAAAUUGAAUUUCUAAACUUCCAACAACUGUUACAAACAAUACUCUAAAUUCUAAAAUGAUAUAAUCAAAUUGAUAAUAAAUUAUCUUUAAAUUUUUAUAGUUGACUCUUUUCAUCAAUCAUUGUCCAAUGAUUACUAUGACGGGUACAUUUUAUUAUUUAUAUUUUGACUUUUGGUAUUUAAUUAAUUCUAAACAAUUAAUAAUAAUCAUUAUUUAAAAUCAAAUAUAAAUAAAUGUCUGUGGUUUUUUGGAAAUCAGAUUCUAAUAUAUUCGAAUAAUAGGAAAGACGCACCGUUGUGAAGAUCAACCACGCGGUAGCAAUCCUGCGAUAGGUUCAGCAAUACAAGAAAUGAAGAUAGAAGAAUAUCGUCGAUUGAGCAACAAUGAUAGCGAGACGAAAAAGAUCGUCGUCGAGCGAACCUGAGGAGGUUGCGAGGAGAUUAUAUUGGAAUCCACCAGAGAGAAAGGAAGAAUAACGUAUCACAAUAUAUAAUAUAAAAUAAUCUUAAUUAAAAAGAAAUAAAAACUACUUUAUUCAACAGUUUCCAUCUUUAUUUAUCCUCUUCUAGUCGACAAUGGCCAUCAGUAAGAGAAGGUGAGUAACCGGUAUUAAUGCACGUUACUUGCUCUACCAGAGAUAGGAGUAGUUACAAUGACGUGGCUAACCACAUCAUGCGCCUCUUCCAACUGGACAAUCGACUAUAAGAUUAUUAUACUGAAAUCCAAGGUCAAAACAACAAUUUACAAAUAAACAUAAGCUAAAUACCUAAGUGAAAUAAACGUAACUCAAAGGUUAUGAUAAAACAGAAUAAACUGUUAGUUAUUAACUAACAAAGUCUUAUUCAUAAAUAUUUUAAUAAAAACGUUAUUAGGACCUAAGCGUAAUAAAAUAAAUACUAGGUUAUGAUAUUAUAACUUAUAAGAUCAUGUUAUCGAAGGACCACUUCACAAAUAACACAGUAUUAUAAGUUAUUAAGUACACAAAUAUUAUGAAAUUAAUACAGGGGUUAUUGAGUAAAUAACCAAAAAUACAAACCAGGGGUCAAAUAAGGACCACCUGGUUGUUAUUUUCUGAUUGUUUGUGUGUUCUUGCAGGAAUAACCAAACCGAAUUAACGGUCACGAGCUGGCCUGAUGGACAAGGGCCACAAUGAAUAAGUCCAGCCCAGAAGUUUAUUUUUAGUUAAAUUAGUUAGUAGCUAAGUAGGAGAGUUAGUUGUUAAUCAUUCAAUAAUCAAUGUAUAAAUAAACCUUGUAAUAACAAUGAUUAAUUAAUUUCAAUACAUAGUUAAUCACAUAGACAGUAACUUUUCAAACCUUCUCUCUCUCAUUUCAUUAGCGACAGUUAAGUUGGGUAAUCGCCCCUUCUUCUUGGGCGGAAAACCCUAGUCGCCCUCCUGACUACUCCUCUCCAUUUCUUCCAUCCCAGGCUUGGGGAUUCUGCUGCAAUGUCGUCGACGGCCUUCCCACAACAAGAAAUUAAUAUGGUAUCUGCCAACAACUCUCCUGAUGUCCCUCCGGUUAAUCAACCGGUCACUUCCGCACUGUUCCCGGCCAAUCAUCCAGCCACGUCUGCUGCGCAGCCGCUCAAUCCAAUAGAGACGCCAGCAACAUCACAUGAAUCCUAGUCUGGGUUAACUGCAAAAUCUCGGCCAAAUAACUAUGAAGAAGGUUUGUAUCAAAGUUCCAUUUUCAAGAGGCAAAAAUCCGAAAGGUAUAUUUCUCCUUUACAAGAUCCUGAGUCUCCAUCUUUUUUAACCUCCGGUGAUCACCCGGGAGCAGUAUUAGUCCCUAAUAGAUCAGUUGGUGAGACCAACUAUAUAACUUGGUCCAAUGGGAUAAAUGUCUCAUUGGUUUCAAGAAAAAAGGAUGCUUUCAUCUCUGGACAAAUUUCAAUGCCCACAGACUUUGCUAGUAGAGAGUAUAACAUAUGGAAAAUAGUUAAUGGAUUAAUACUAGCAUGGAUUUUAAAUUCAGUCUUUCCUCAAAUCCAAUCAACUAUUAUGUACAUCAAUGAUGCACAUCAAGUAUGGUUUAGAUCUAUAGAGUAGAUAUAAACAAGGGAAUGCUCCCAAAGUAAAUCAAAUUAAAUACGAAUUAUGUUGCCUACAACAAGGGUCAAUGUCUGCAUCUAAAUUUUAUGACAAAUUCAGUUCCAUUUGGGAUCAAUUGGUACAAAUAGAUGAAAUUAAAGAAAAGUUUUGCAAAAGAUGCAAGAAACUUUAUCAACAGAAAGAAGAGAAUGAUAUGAUUCAUCAAUUCCUCUUAGGACUGAAUGAAAGCUUCUACAACUUAAGAACCCAAAUUCUGUCUACCUAACAUGAAUAAGGUUCUUGGGUUGGUUAUUCAAGAAGAAAAACAGAGAUUUAAGUUCAGAGAUCAUAGCAAUGAAAAAACUGAAACAGCCUUCCAUGUUAAAGAUAAAAAUCCAAUAGAAGGAACAAAGGGAAUGUACUCUAAAAAUGGAAAGAAACUUGACACUAGGUUCUACUGUGAUAAUUGUAAGUAUUAUGGUCAUACAAGGGAAAAAUGUUAUCACUUAGUAGGCAAACCUUAAGAAAAAUUUCAGAUCACGUUGCAUCACGGUCGGAUCCCACUCAGGUUUUGGGAGUUUGCCUUUGCAACAACCGCGUUUCUAUACAAUAGAACACCAACACCGGUACUCAAUUAAUGGGGACUCACCAUUCCAGAUACUAUUUCAAGAAUCUCUAUCAUACAACGGACUCCGGGUAUUUGGGUGCCGAGUCUACCCGAAUCAAAGACCCGUGAGAAGAAACAAGUUUGAUUACAGAUUUGACCUGCACAUAUUCUUGGGUUACCCAACUAGUCAUCGUGGGUAUCUUUGUUAUAAUCCUGCUACCGGAAGGUUUAUAAUUUGACGCGAUUGUAUAUUCCAUGAAACAGACUUCAGUCUUAACUCAACGUUAUUCGAAACAACUUAUAACAGGUCCACAAGUGACUAAGGGUUUGACCCUCCAGAAAUUGUUGACCCAAGGAAUAUCCAACCUCAAGAAUUGUUAACUUCGGAAAUUGAUGAAACAACCUCUGAGGCGGAAAGCGAACCAGCUCCACAUGAAGAUGAAAUAGGCCAGCCAAAUACUAUCUCACCAUUGCAUAAUCAACAACAACAAGGGAUGAUUACAAGGGAACAACAAGGAAUUCGCAAACCAAAUCCAAAAUACGUGUGUAUGAUCUCGGCUCCAUUAUCUGUUCUGACAGGUGCAUCAUCGGCACUACUUGACCCCGACUGGGCUAAGGCUAUGAUGGAAGAGUUCGAUGCACUACAAGCAAAUAACACAUGGGAACUAGUACCACGGUUACUAGAACAUAAUGUCUUAAGCUGUAAAUGGAUUUUUAAAAACAAGAUGAAAUCAGAUGACACUCUAGAACAUCGGAAGGCAAGACUAGUUGCCAACGGACUUCGUCAACGUGAUGGGGUUGAUUAUGAUCAGACAUUUGCUCCGCUAGUAAAACAAGUAACAAUUCGACUAAUUCUAUCUCUAGCGGUAACAAACAAAUGGCAAGUCUCCCAACUAGAUGUAUCAAACGCAUUUCUGCAUGGAACACUUGAGGAAGAGGUAUUCAUGCAACAAGCCCCAGGCUUUCCAAAUAAAGAAUUCCCGAAUCACGUUUGCAAACUUAAGUGUUCCUUAUAUGGAUUGAAAUAGUCACCACGAGCUGGUUCUUUCGACUCAGGACCGUAUUACUCCAGCUUGACUUCUCCGAAAGUACAAGUGAUCAUUCCCUAUUCAUGUUUCGACGAGGGAAUAUACAGGCAUGGUUGAUCGUAUAUGUGGAUGACAAAAAUUUUAUAAGCUCCUCAACGAAAUUUAUAGAUGACACAAUUAAGUGACUUCAAAAAUAAUUUCCGGUAAAAAAUUUGGGACGACUACAUCAGUUUUUGGGAAUUCAGUGCGACUGGGAAGAAGACAACUCUCUCUACUUGUCCCAACGUCAGUAUGCAAGGACUAUAUAUUCUAGAGAAAUGCGGCCUAAACACCUCGAAAUCAGCUCACACACCCAUGGAUAGUAGGAUAAGGUUACAUGAUGAAGCUACCCCGUCCGAGUCACCAACGUUAUUUCGCCAAAUAGUAGGAAGUCUGUAAUACUUAACUAUUACACGUCCAGACUUAUCCUUUUCCACUACAAGAAAACUGGGCUACGCCCACGGGAUUAGCCACGGCCAGCAGAAGCCGUGGCUAAUUUCUAACAAUUAGCCACGGCUUUUUUAGCCGUGGCUAAGCCCGUGGCUAAUCUUUAUAUUUAGCCACGGAUGCAAAAAUCCGUGGCUAAUCCUGUGGCUAAUUUUCUCGGCAAAAUUCCCUCCAAUUUUUCAUUGAAUAUUUAGCCACACGGCUGUUAAAAUCCGUGGCUAAUCCGUGUCUAAAAUUUCCGUCAAAAUUUCCCUCCAAUUUUCCACUGAAAUUUGGCCACGGAUUUAAGAGCCGUGGCUAAUUUAGUGACAAAUAAAUUAGCCACUGAUAUUAGCCACGGCAUUUAGCCCUGGCUAAUAAUGAUAAUAGGGUUAUGAUUAAUGUAAAUGUAAAUAAUUAGGGUUAGGGUUAAUGUAAAUGUAAAUAAUUAGGGUUAGGGUUAGGGUGAGGGUGAGGGUUAGGAUUAAGAUUAGGAUUAAUAGAAAUUAACAAAAAUUAGUAAAAAUAAGUAUAUAUACAUAUUUAGAUAGUGUUAGGGUUAGAAAUUAGGGUUAAAAGUAUGAGUUAGAAGUAGAAGUUAUGGUUAGAAGAAGUUAGAUUAUAGUUUUUUAGAUAUUAUAAAUUAUAAAAAAUUUAAAGUUAGAUUAUAAUUAGAUAAUUAUAAAAAUUAUAAAUUGAAGUUAUUUUAGAUAAUUUAAAUUUUAAAGUUAAAAAAUAAAUUUAAAGAAGGUAUUUUAAUUUUUAAUGUUACAAAUUCAAGUAUUAUAAAAGUUAUUUUAAAUUAUAAAAGUAGGUUAGGGUUAGAGUUUGUCUAAUUUAAUAUCAAUUUAAAUUUCUAAUAUAAAAAUAUCAAUUUCUAAUAUUUUUAAAUUAUAAAUAUCAAUUUAAAUUUAAUAUCAAGUUAUUUUAAAUUAUAAAAGUAGGUUAGGGUUAGGGUUAGUAGUUUAUUUAAAUUAUAAAAAUAUCAAUUUCUAAUAUUAACUUUAGUCUAAUUUAAUAAAUUUUAAUUUUUAAAUUCUAAAAUUAAAUUUAAUAAAUUAGAUAUUUUAAAAGUUAUAAAAUAAGUUUAUUUUAAAUUAAAAAAAAUUAAAGAAGUUAUAAAUUAAAGUUUUUUUUUUAUAUUUUAAAUUUUAAAGUGAAAAAUUAAAUUUAAAUGUUAUUUGAAAGUUAUAAAUUCCAAAUAACUUCUUUUUAAUUUAGUGAAUAUUUUAAAUAUAAAAAAUAUUUAUUAAAUUAGAAAGAUAUUUAAAAAGAUAUUUUAAAUUAAAAAUAUUUAUUAACUUUAUUUAUUAAAAGAUAUUUUAAAGAUAUUUUAAAUUAAAAAAAUGAAAACCCCAAAUCGUGUUCAAGUGAAAAAAUAAAACUAAAAUACCCUAAAUUAAAAUGGUGAUACAGUAUCCCGAACACGGUCACAACCUACCAGCAACUAGAAGUCCGGAUAGCCUAUGAUGAGUUGAGGUAUCUAUUCUAGGGUUGGGGAGAUCCCAGGUCGAAUCCUAGGAAGAUCGACUUUCCUGAGGAUCGACUUCCCUGGGAUCGACUUUUGAGUAAAGUCGAUCACCAGGAAAAGUCGACCCCUAGAAAGUCGAUCUCUGGAAAGUCGACCCCUGGACCCAAUCUGAUCAGUUGGGCAGUUAGGCGGUUACUGCCCAAAUGACCAUAUUGCCCCCAUAAGAACCCCUAUAAAUAGAGGGCACCCCCCACUCAUUAAAGGCAGGUCAUUUGGAGCGAAAGGAUUCCUAGCGAAGCAGAGCUCUGCGCACUUGAGUUCCGGUCCGGUUUCCCGCGGAGUUCCCCGCUUGGCGCUUGCUUGCGCGUCUUGGAGUACUGGUCGGGUUUCACCCCCAUCAGUUGGCGCCGUCUGUGACUCAAAGAUACUCACGACAUAAGCUCCUCGACUUUUUCGAAAAAAGUGAUCGACUUUUUUCCAAGUCGCCAGCUAGGAAGUCUUGCGAGGAAAUCAGCCAGCAAGGGAUCGACAUUUCAGAAGAUCGACUUUUUUCUUCCAAGGAAAAAGUCGACCCCUCAAGGAGCUAGGCUUUCAGACAUCGACUUCCAAGGAAUCCUCCAAGUGCACUAAGGAUCGACUUUUUGAAGAUCGACUUUUCUCUCCAAGCAAAAGUCGAACACUCCUUUCAGGAAAAGUCGAACACUCCAGGAUGGUGGUAACUAGAAGCACUUCCCAAGGAGGAGGAGCAAAUUCUCAGGAGGCGCCAGAGCAACAGCCUGGCAACUCAAAAACUAAAAGGCCAGUAGGUCGACCGCCCAAGGCCAAUCAAAACAAGAGGACUCCCACGGGACCUGAGGCUGACACCGAAGGCGAACCCGAGCAAACCCCCCAAGCUUCAGCAGGAGGGGAAAAUCUGAACAUCACAGUUCAGGCAAUAGCAGAGGCCAUCCGACUCAUUGCUGAAAAGGAGAAACCUUCAGGAGAACAGCCUCAAAAGGGGGGACCCACAAGCAGCAAGGAACCAAGGGCUGCUGCAUCAGAAUCCACUCAUGGGUUCAUAAAAAUACCCAUAGAAGAGCUGGAAAAAAUGAAGGAAACCAUAGCAAAAAUGAGCGAGAAGAUAAAGGAUAUUGAAAAGUCUAAGGCGUCAAUAUACCAGUCAAAAGCUCAAACCUCAAAGCAGGCCAAGGCGCAGCAGGAGGUGUCAAGUCAUAGGGCGGCACACUCAAGUGCGCCACUAUCUCACAAACCAGAGGGGCAACCCAAACCUCUUUUCCGAAAACCCGUACAGGAAGAAAGUACGGGAGACACAGAAGGAGGAGGCGAGGUCCCAAACUGGCUGGUAGGCAUGGAUGCUUUGCACAAAUCGCUGAUGAUAAAACCAGCACCUCUGAAAUUCAGGCUACCCAGGCUGCAGAUCUAUGAUGGGAAGAUGGACCCAGCAGACCAUAUAAACAUGUUCGUAGGGGCAAUGCAGUGGGCUACAUCAAGGGAUAACAUUCUCUGUAGAGCAUUCCCAGGAACAUUAAAAGGACCCACAUACAGAUGGUUCGUCGAAUUGCAGCCAGGGAGCAUAACGAAUUUCGAGGACUUAAAAAAGAAGUUCGUCGCCCAACAUUGUGGAAACACAAGGGUUAGAAAGGGCACGGAAUCGCUGUUCGCAAUCAAGCAGAAUGGAGACACGCUUCGGAAUUAUACAACUAAAUUCACGGAAGCCAUGCAGAAAAUCUCCGAUCUGAACACAACAAUCGCAAUAUGCGCAUACUCAAAAGGGCUAGACAUGAACACGCCAUUAGCAAUAAAGCUAAACGUCAGUAAUGUAAAAUGCAUGGAGGACCUGCUAACAAAGGCCCAGAAAUACAUAAAUUCUGAAGAGUAUGAAAAAGAAAAAGAAAAAGAGAGAGGUGCCAUAAGCAAUAAAAAAGCAUAUGAAGCACCAAAGAAAAAAUUCCAGAAAUUUGAAAAAGGAGAAUCGUCCUGGAGACCAAAACACGACGGAAAGGUCUACCAAACAUCUGAGGAGUUCGGAAAAUCAAGAUAUCCAAAGUACAAAGACUUGGGAUUUACGGUUUUCACCACUCCAAAAGAGGAAAUCUAUAAUAAAGAAAAAGGAAGAAUAAGGUUUCCUCAACCAGAAAAGUUGAACCCUGCAACGAAAGAGGCUCGAACAAGGAGGAACAGGUAUUGCAAGUUCCACAAGGAUUACGGGCACAACACGGAAAACUGCAGGGAGCUGAGCACCUUCCUAGAUACACAAGUAAAGGAAGGAAAGCUAAGGCAAUAUAUAAAUAAAGUAGAAAGGGGGCGACAAGGCUGCAAGGACCCAAAGAACAAGGGUAAGCGCCAACGCUCAAGAAGUCCAUAUUCUGACACUGACCACAAAAGAAGGGUAAUUAAUUUAAUCUUCGGUGGAGGAUCGGUAGGAGGAAGCAGAAGUUACUCGCGCAAAGUAAUGCAGACAACAACGGUACCAAAAUCUAAAAAAAGAUCGUACCCAAGCGAGGAAAUAAGCUUCUCUGAGGAAGAUCUGGACAACGUGGUCAGCCCACAUGAGAAUCCACUAGUGAUACAAGUGGAUAUAGGGGAUGACUUAAGUCUGAACAAAGUAAUGGUGGACAACGGCAGCUCAGUAGAUAUAUUAUACUUAGUUGCGUUCGAAAAAAUGGGCUACAAAGUGGAUCAGCUAACCCCGGCCAAGGAAGCCAUCUAUGGGUUUACAAACACAAAGGCCCCAGUAGUAGGAGCCAUCGAUCUACAGAUAUCCCUGGGAAAAAGAAACGGGAGAGUAUCACGUACAACACACUUCAUUGUGGUCAACAUAGACUCUCCGUUCAAUGGGAUCUUGGGCAGACCAAGCAUUCACGGUUUCAAAGCGAUACCAUCAUCCUACCAUCAAUGUUUCAGGUACCCAGGAAAAGAUGGCAAAAUGGCAACAGUUUUUGGAGCACAGAAAGACUCCAGAAAUUCGUACAGGAAGGCAACUAAAAUAGCUAGACCUAUAACCCUGUACAUUCAAGAAAGAAAGGAGGAAGAAGACACAACCUCAUCUAAUCAAGUUGAGGAGGUCAAACUCUCAAAAGGAGGAGUCUUGAUGGGGACAUCUUUAUCCUCCGAGUUAAAAAAAUCACUACUGCAGCUAUUAGAAACCCAUGUGCACACGUUCGUAUGGGAAGGGGAGGCACCCUCACAGGUACAGCGUACUAUAACGUGCCAUGAGCUCAACAUAGACAGUAGCUUUACUCCUAUACGGCAGAAGCGAAGAAUACUCGCAGCUGAAAGAAAGGAGGCAGCACAGGCUGAAAUUGAAAAGUUAAUCAAGGCUGGGCACAUUCGGGAAGUCAAAUAUCCGAAGUGGUUAGCAAACCCAGUUAUGGUCAAAAAAUCUAAUGGGAAGUGGAGGAUGUGUGUAGACUUCACAGAUCUCAACAAAGCAUGUCCAAAAGACAGCUACCCACUCCCAUCUAUCGACAGAUUAGUGAAUGCAGCAUCAGGAAAUGAGUUACUAUCUAUGAUGGAUGCACAUUCAGGGUACAAUCAGAUCUUGAUGAAAGAAGAUGAUGAAGAGGCUACAUCAUUCAUCACAGAAUGGGGGACAUAUUGCUAGAAAGUCAUGCCUUUUGGCCUACGAAAUGCAGGAGCAACCUUCCAAAGGCUGAUGGACAAAGUGUUCAAAAAGCAGGAAGGAAGAAAUGUCCUGGCAUAUGUAGAUGACAUUCUGGUAAAAUCCAAAAAAGCAGAUGAACACCCAAGUGAUCUGAAAGAAACACUAGAAACUCUGCAGAAUUAUGGGAUGAGGUUAAACCCUGCCAAAUGCAGUUUCGGAGUACAAGAAGGAAAAUUUCUUGGAUUCUAUGUAGGGCAGAAAGGGAUAAAGCCAAACCCAGAUAAAAUAGCAGCGAUACUAGAAACAGCACCACCUCGAACAAUAAAGGAGGUACAAAAGAUGAAUGGAAAAAUCAAUGCCUUAAGUCGGUUCAUUUCCAAAACAACAGACAAGUGCAAACCCUUUUUCCAGCUAUUAAAAACUAGUCAAAAAGGGGCAAUAACAUGGACCUCAGAGUGUGAUGAGGCAUUUUAUUGUAGACAUGACCCAGGAAAGCAAAGAAAAACCUUGGAUAGUAGAGGUCGAUGGCUCAAGCUGCAGUACAGGUGCAGGAGUGGGAAUAAAGAUAAUCACUCCAGACCAACGAAUAUAUGAACAUUCUAUCAGAUUACAGUUCUCAGCUACGAAUAAUAUAGCAGAAUACGAAGCUGUGAUCCAAGGAAUGAAAAUUCUCAGAAGGUUAGGGGCCUGUUCAGUAAUUAUUAUAACAGAUUCUCAAUUAGUGGCUCGGCAAUUCACAGGAGAGUUCACUGUUAAAGAACCUCUAAUUGUACAGUACGCAGACACACUGGAAAAAAUCAAAGAACAAUUUAGUAAGGUUGAAGUAGAGCAGAUACCAAGGAGUCAAAAUAACUCAGCUGAUGCCCUGGCGAAGCUAGCUUCUGCUUUCGAGGGGGGGCAGAGAGAGAUAUUGGUUGACUCAGCAUCUACACCUUCAUGUAACUUAGUCACGAUCCAGGCAGAAGACUGGAGGAAACCCUUGAUAGAAUACUUCGAGGGACAGAAACUUUCUGAAAAUAAAAAUGAAAGACGCAAGUUACAAACACGCGUUUCAAGAUUCUGCCUGAUCGGUGAUAUUCUGUAUAAGAAAUCCUACGAUGGACCUCUAAUGAAAUGUGUCUCAACAGAAGAAGGACAAUUAAUUGUGGAGGAGAUUCAUCAAGGAGUAUGCGGAAUACAUCAGGAGGGAAGAUCUUUGGCCCAAAGAAUAAUAAGGCAGGGAUACUUCUGGCCCACACUGAAAAAAGAUGCAGUCCUAUUUGCAAGAAAAUGCAAGGCCUGUCAAAUACACAAAAACAUACAGAGAAAUCCCGCAACUCAGCUAACAGGGGUAGAAAGCCCCAUCCCCUUUGCAAUGUGGGGGUUAGAUAUUGUAGGACCAUUUCCAGUAUCGACAGGUCAGGCUAAAUUUAUAUUUGUGGCUGUCGACUACUUCAUUAAAUGGGUCGAGGCACUAGCUGUACCCAAGAUAACUCAAGGAGCAGCAACGAAAUUUGUCUUCAAGUGCAUAAUGUGCAGAUUUGGUGUUCCAAUGCAUAUAGUGACAGAUAACGGUACACAGUUUACCGGUGGGGAGUUUACGAGAUUGUGCGAGAACAUGGGCACUAGAAUCCAUUUUUCAUCGGUAUACAGACCACAGGGUAAUGGGCAAGUAGAAGUCACAAACAGAGCCAUCGUUCAGGGACUGAAGAAAAAAGUCGAACAGGCCAAAGGUUCGUGGGCAGAUCUACUACCAGAGAUCCUCUGGGCGUAUAGAACCACUGAAAAGACACCCACCGGAGAAACCCCGUUCUCACUAGCAUACGGAAUGGAAGCACUAAUCCCAACAGAGCUAAGCAUUCCAACAGUCAGAGUGUUAUCCUAUGACAUGGAAGAAAACAUAAGAUCAUGUGCGAUAACUCUGGACUUAGUGGAUGAGCUUAGGGAUAAUGCACAGGCAAAGAAUGCAGCUUACAAACAAAGUAUCGCUAGAUAUCACGACAAGAAUGUCAAGGGUAAAGCGAUAAGAAAAGGAAGCCUAGUAUGGAGAAGAGCGAGUGUCGGCAGAAAAGACUGCUCUAAAGGUAAACUAGGCGCAAAUUGGGAAGGACCAUAUGUGGUGGAGGAAGAACUCCGACCAGACACAUACAAGUUAAAGCGGGAAGAUGGAACAGGCAUUCCUAAUACUUGGCACGCAGAUAACCUACAGUUGUACUUUUAAACAAUUAAGUAGGAUUAUAUUACUCUUGUAAUAGUUUGAACUACGUAACUAGUAUGUUAUUUAGUUAGCUAUUAGAACACUUGAAAAUACAUUUCAUAUAUUGAUUUAAAAAAGAAUUACAGAGGAAUGUAAAUUACAAUAGUUGAGAAGAUAAGAUAGAAGAUUAAUCUAUUUAGAAGGGGGGGUGUAUCUUUAGAGCCCUCUGCAUCGUUGUUGUCUUGAUCUUCUGUGGAGAAAUCUUUAUCAACGGCAGCAGCAGCAUCAUCCCCCGGAGUUUCUUCUUCUUCUUCAUCAUCUUCUUCUUCCGCAAGCGCCCGAUUUCGAACUUUGGUAGCUUCUUUGGGGUACUUGCGGGCCCAGUUAUGGACAUCCUCAGCUUCAAAACCCGGACAAACAUGAGGACCCAGGUCGACCAAGUCAUUAUAAUCUCGCACAUUUGCAAGAUAAUCGACCUUAAGUUUUUCCAGAUGAUCGAUCAUGCGUUGAAGCUCCUCAGUUGCAUAUCGAGCUUCCUCGGUCAGACGUUGGACCUCCUCAGUCUUUGCCCGGUCCAUUUCUUCCAGUCGCGUUAUUGAUUUCUGAUUAUCAUCCAGCGACUUCAACAGCUUCUUGUUCUCUUCAUGGCUUUCACCCAGUCGGUCGGAAAAUAUAGAGUUCUGUGUCCGACAGGAUUCAAGGUUCGCCUCAACAUUCUCGCGCUUGCGGUCUAGAUCGACAAUCAUUGAGUCUUUGAUUGAGACCUUAGCACGUUCAGCUGCUAAUUCCAGCUCUGCGGCCCCCAACUCCCCGUUGAUCUUAGAGAUUUUCUGCUCUUUAUCUCUCAAGAGAUUCCUUUGAGCAGCCCAAUCCGCAGCCAACUUCUUGUUAGUGGCAGACAAAGUAGAGGCGUCUGAAACCUUUUGCGAAACCUCGCCUUCAAGAUCUUUACAUCGGCGCUUCACUCUCUUCAACUCGUCUUCCAUAGACUGAUAGUCACGAAGACGAGACAGGGAAGAGAGGCGGCCCUGAAACAAAUAGGUGAGCUGCAAAAAGAGAAAAAAUGGGUAAGGACAUACUCAUAGAAAUAGUCAAAACAAAAGCACUCACGUUGCUCAGGUUUUGUCCGAUUUCUUCGACGGUCCGGUCCAUCGGAUACCCAGAUAUAGUCCGCAGUGUAGUCCGGGCGGUAUCCGUGUCAGGGGUCAGAAGAAACUUGGACCCGUAAUUCCGGGGGUGCGAACCUUGGUACCCCGGCAGUUGUGUCUCCCGGGUGGAAGAGUAAUUGUACCGGCCCCGGGAGGACUCCCCAGCAUAAUAAGUCCUACGAGGAGGAGUUCGUCGCCUGGGGGAGUGUCUCCUCUUCCUUGGAGGAGAUGAGUUGGUCCUGGGGGGAGGAGUUCGUUCUUUUCUUUUUCCCAGAGAUCUCUUUCUCUGUGGUUUUCUCAGUCUGCUCAGACUGAGCCUCCUUCUCCGGUGUUUUCUCUGUUGCUUUCCCUCGCUCCUCUUCUGACAGAGUAGGGAAGAAGUCGGAGAGCCUGGAAGCAGCAGGAGACUGCACAGGAGUAGUGUCUUUAGAUACCACCGGAGGUACCUCCCUUUCCUCAGUUCGUUGGACCUCAUCAGGAGUAGGGGAUUGCGCCAUUGAGUAGGCAUUCUCAAGGGCACGCUGCCUCAAAUGAUCAGCGUCAGAAGGCUUGGAGGCAGCUGCAUAAACCUUGGAGCCCGUUUCAUUUUGCCCAACGCGUUCAGGGACACCUCCGGGGUUAUGCAUGUAGAAAUCUGCAAGGAAUAAAAACAGAGUUAGAAGAUGCAUGUGUAUAGAAAAUAUAUAAAAAAACAGGCAAAGGAAGACCUUGUCGGUUAAAAGUAUCAUCAAUCGCGUGACCGACAGGCACAACGAUAGGAUGCAAAUAGGCCAGCUUUUGCACAGAAGCUCCCUCAUCCUCAGUCAGAUCAGGACGAGGAAUGGGCUUACGACCACUAGUGGAUGCAGGGAGAAGUCUGCUACCAGGGCAUAACCUGCAAUCCACAAAGAUGAACUCACUCUUGUUCCGCCUGGUCGGAGGAUCUUUCAAGAGGGCAGAGUGAGUAAUGGAGGUAGCACGGCUGGCACAUGCAAUAAAAGGGCUGCCCUUCUUCGGAUUUUGGAAUGUGAAGAAGUGGAAGAACAGCCGAGCAGUAGGGACUAUGCCAGCAUCCCGGAGGAUAUUUAUGAAUCCCCUGACAUAGAAAAAGAAGGCAGCACCCAUUUGAGAGAUGCACAACCCAGAAUACAAAAGGAUUUCACUAACCAAGGAAGGGAUCGGGAGGAUCGGAAAGUUAGUGAAGUAGAUUCGGUGAAGUGCCAACAUAAAAUAGGGGGGCACAUCACCAGUAUUCUCAGAGGGGUACGCCCAGUACACUCUCUCCCUAAGCUUUAACCCUCUCAAAAUUCUUUGGGCGGCAUCCAAGGAAAGGGUGUUAGAGCAGCUACCCGCAUUGGAGGAAAGGAGGUAGCCCGGAAUAUCAGUCAGAGAGACUGUACAGAAGGAACCAUAUCCAGUCCCAUACUCGCCCCGGUCGAGGAUAGGGACAACAUGGAAACCGUUGCGAACAAGAACGGACCACUGACGCCAAGAACCAUCCAUCUCCCGAUAGAAGGAUGGGGCGCUCUUCUCCUCAAGGGGAGAAGGAAAGGGGUAUUUGUCCCUCGUCUCAGGGGGGUAACCCAAUGGGGAACUCUCGAGAACAUGAAUGUUCUGACUACAGACUUCGGGAGGAAGUUGAAUAGAACUGUCUGUAGUCACGGAUAAAACCCCCGAAGUAGGAGUCUCCUCAGGAAUGGAAGGCAAAAUAACAGUGGGAGGAGGAGUCCUAACAACGGAGGGAGGGGUUCCUCCAAUAUCUACAUCCUCCGAGGAAGAAGAGUAAUAGGAGGAAGAACCCGAGCUUCCCGAGCUAGAUGUGGAAGACCCCGAACUGGAACGUGCGGGGGAAGAGUGGGGAGCACCUACAAACAAAAAGAAACAAAUAGAGAGUAAGUUACGAAAUAGAUAAUAAAUGAGUAACUUACUAGGUACGGGCUUGCGUGUACGACGGGAAAGAGCUUUCCGCUUACUUCCAACAGGUAAGGAGGAAGGCGAAGCUCUAGGUUCCGUUACGGCAGGUGCAGCUGGAACAGACUCCGGUUCAGCAGGAACAUCCUGAACCUCGAUGUUGUCAGGCACUGCCUCGGCAGUAGCAGCUUGAGAGGUCUGAGGGCUGGCAACAGUAGCCCGAUCCUCAUCAAGAGGUUCUUGUCAGAAGACAUUAUAAACCUGCACGAAGAACAGAGCAGUCAGGCCAAGCUAUGGCAAAAGUCGAUCCCAAGAAAAGUCGAUCUGGACUUCAGGGAAUCGAACGUGCAAUAUAAGGGAAGUCGAUCCCAGGGAAGUCGACCUCAGAAGUCGAUCCCAGAAAAGUCGACUGUCAGGAGACAAGGGUCUUGGGAAGUCGAUCCCAGUAAAAAUGGACCCAACUUUGAAAAGUCGAUGACAAGGCGUCAAACCUCACAAAGUUGGAUCACAGUCCAAUGGGGAACAACUUCAAAAGGGACCGACUUUCAGAAAAGUCGGACUCCAAGGAAGUCGAACCCGGUGCAACCUCAGAAGAGCCCGACAACAAAAGUCGGACCCCUGAAACUUGCACCUCCAAGGCUCAAGUCGAAGCCUUACGCACGCUGGAAGUCGAAGCGGAGAGACGGAUGUCGAAGCGAGAUGUCGAAGCGAAGAGAUCGGAAGUCGAUGCGCAGAAAGUCGAUCAGUCGGAGCGAAGGAAACAAGUGGGAAGAAAGUGAACCCCCCUCCGCUAUUUAUAGGGGAAAGUCGAAGACGAACCGUCGCGAGCACUGUUCAUCCGGAUCGACCCGUUGGCCCAGAAAGCCCACGGGCCCGGUAGGCCCACGACGGCCCAGUCCGUGAAAAACCCCAAAAUCCGACUAGAUGGCAUCGACAUUCCAGGAAAAUUCAUCGACAUUUCAGAAAAACCAUCGACAUUCCGCAGAAAAUUGAGUUCGACAUUCCCAAAAAGGGGGAUAGACGUCGACAUUUGGCAAGGAAUUCGACGCCUUCAAAAGAGAAGGACAGGAUCGACAUUCCGCAGGAAAUGGAGUUCGACAUUCCCAAAAAAGGGGGAUAGACGUCGACAUUUGGCAAGAAAGUCGAUGCCUUCAAAAGAGAAGGACAGGAUUGACAUUCCGCACUACUCUGAUCGACAUCCUCUGGAAAAGAUGAGAUCGACUUUUUGGGCAACAUCGACAUUUCCAGGGAGAAAUGAGAUCGACUUAUUGUCAAAAAUCCGACAUCUUCAGAAAAGGAUCAGCAGUCAUCGACAUCCUCAGAAAAAGAUAAGAUCGACAUUUUUUGGACAACAUCGACAUUUCCAAGGAGAAAUGAGAUCGACUUGUUGUAAAAAAUGCGACAUCUUCAGAAAAGGAUCGGCAGACACAUCGACAUCCUCAGAAAAAGAUGAGAUCGACUUUUGGAACAACAUCGACGUUUCCAGGGAGAAAUGAGAUCGACUCGUUGUCAAAAAUCCGACAUCUUCAGAAAAGGACAAAAGAAUAUGGUAUUGACCAAAAGAAAGCAUCGGUUACACUAACGUACUUCAAAGUAAAGGUUCCUAAUUAAAAUUGAUACGGCGACGUAAGCGACGAGGGACCUGAUGAAUGAAAAAUAUUACAGGUUCCUAAUUAAAAUUGAUGCGGCGACGUAAGCGGCGAGGAACCUGAUCCAGCGGAGAAGCACCGCGACGGGGACGCCUCCGACGUCGGCCACGAGGAGGGACAACAGAAGAAGAGGCGGGCGGAAGAUCGCCACCAGACCAUUCUUCAAAAAUUGACUCCCUAGCAGCAACAGCAACACUCUGCCGCUCAACAAUAAGCUGGCGCAGAGAAGGAAGAUCCAAGGUUGACAACCGAGGAUCCAAAAUAUUCAAAAUUCGAUCCAGCUCCUCAAUCUCUCCCUGAAUAAAAUCAGCAAAGAGACUCACAAGAAGAGCCAUGGAUGGAUGAAGGAAAAGGAGAACCUAGGGGUCCUAUUUAUAGACCCUAGGACAGCACAAAAGGACAAAAAUGGCAAAUUCGACUUUUUAACACAAGGGAUCGACUUUUGACCAAAAGCAUCAGGAAUCGACUUUUUGACAAAAGUCGACCAAACUCAACAAGGGAUCGACAUUUCGCAAAAGUCGACCAAACUCGAUAAGGGAUCGACAAGUCGAGCAAAAUCAACAAGGGAUCGACUUUUUCUUCCCACAUAAAAGGGAUGCAGAAAAAAGAACCCAGACAAGUUGGAGUUGCGGAGGCACACCAAGACAGGAGGGUGUAACACGAAAUGCUCAUGAGGAAGCGUGGAAGUCCACAACUCGGACGGGGAUACGGCAGCAAAAUGAGCUGAGCCAUAUAAAGAUAUUUGAACUCCUACUAUUACUGGACGCAGUAACAAAGUAGGACGCCAAAUUAACUCUACCUACGGAAGAACGUGGAUAGAGAAAGUCUUAAUGGUAACAGAGUCAGGAUGCGCAUCCCAUCCAAGGCAAGAGUGAACCUCACCUACGGAAACGUAGUGUUAGACGAGGGAUAUACUCAAAAGUGAACCCCACCUACGGAAGAACGUAGGUUAGACGGGGAACACAUCGGCAAAAGUGAACCUCACCUACGGAAACGUAGUGUUAGACGAGGGACGUAAUCAAAAGUGAACCCCACCUACGGAAGAACGUAGGUUAGACGGGGAACACAUCGGCAAAAGUUAANNNNNNNNNNNNNNNNNNNNNNNNNNNNNNNNNNNNNNNNNNNNNNNNNNNNNNNNNNNNNNNNNNNNNNNNNNNNNNNNNNNNNNNNNNNNNNNNNNNNGGAAGAACGUAGGUUAGACGGGGAACACAUCGGCAAAAGUGAACCUCACCUACGGAAACGUAGUGUUAGACGAGGGACGUACACAAAAGUGAACCCCACCUACGGAAGAACGUAGGUUAGACGGGGAACACAUCGGCAAAAGUGAACCCCACCUACGGAAGAACGUAGGUUAGACGGGGAACACAUCGGAAAAAGUGAACCCCACCUACGGAAGAACGUAGGUUAGACGGGGGACACGUCGGCUAAACACACACCCCAUUCUACAAAAAUGUAGACAGAGGGGCAAGUGUCCAAGAGUAAACCUCACCUACGGAAAAACGUAGGUUAGACGAGGGACGUACUCAAGAACAAUCCUCACCUACGAAUGAACGUAGGUAGACGAGGAGUCACACUUAGCCUCAGUCGCAGAAAGGCGAGCAAAAGGAGGGGGCAAGUAUUCAAAAAACAAUCCUCACCUACGGAUGAACGUAGGUAGACGAGGAGUUACACUUAGCCUCAGUCGCAGAAAGGCGAGCAAAAGGAGGGGGCAAGUAUUCAAGUAAUAGUCCUCACCCACGGAUAAACGUGGGUAGACGAGGAAGUAAUAGUCCUCACCCACAGUGCUCAAGGACAGCUCAGGCAAGGCGUCAAGGUGGGCAAGCAGGGUUCCGCGGGAGAAUCAGGCCGGACAGGUGUGCAAGGAGUAGGCUUCGGCUAGGACAAACCGGACAAUAGUUGGCAAAAGCGCGUGACAACCUCCGCGGAAGCAUAGACACAACCUCGCAGGCGUGGAGGGGGGGAGUACUGGUGAGAGAGGAUCUUACAUCCAGGGACAUCACCAGAAAUCCACAUCCCCGCACGCAAAGAGGGGGGGAAUACUGAUAGUACAUGGUCCGACACGCAGACCAUAGUACUAAAAGACGUAUCCCAAAGUAUCUAAUACGCAGAGGAGGGGGGAGUACUGGUGAUCAAGUAUCCCGAACACGGUCGCAACCUACCAGCAACUAGAAGUCCGGAUAGCCUAAGAUGAGUUGAGGUAUCUAUUCUAGGGUUGGGGAGGUCCCAGGUCGAAUCCUAGGAAGAUCGACUUUCCUGAGGAUCGACUUCCCUGGGAUCGACUUUUGAGUAAAGUCGAUCACCAGGAAAAGUCGACCCCCAGAAAGUCGAUCUCUGGAAAGUCGACCCCUGAACCCAAUAUGAUCAGUUGGGCAGUUAGGCGGUUACUGCCCAAAUGACCAUAUUGCCCCCAUAAGAACCCCUAUAAAUAGAGGGCACCCCCCACUCAUUAAAGGCAGGUCAUUUAGAGCGAAAGGAUUCCUAGCGAAGCAGAGCUCUGCACACUUGAGUUCCGGUCCGGUUUCCCGCGGAGUUCCCCGCUUGGCGCUUGCUUGCGCGUCUUGGAGUACUGGUCGGGUUUCACCCCCAUCAUAAAACUAUCCCAAAACAACCAAACCCCCCCCAUUCCCUCUUCCCUCCCAACGGCAAACGAGUUCCCCUCAUCAAUUUUUCUCCCACUCCCGUUUGUGAUUUUCUCCCACUCCCGUUUGUGAUUUUCUCCCACUCCCGUUUCUGAUUUCUGACCAACGACGAUUCCAACUUCUGACGAGCGACCUGUCCGGUGAGGGUGAUACUUCCAUCCGGCGAGGGCGAUACUUCCUGUCCGGCGAGCUGCGGUGAGGGAAAUACUUCCAUCCGGCGAGCAGCGGGCGAUACCUCCAGUCCAUUUCCAGGUAAGAGUUCCUUCACCGUUUACUUCCUGUCUUGCACACCUGAGCUUAACAUUUCCCCAAAAUAUCCAAUUGCUUCUUCCUCCUUUCCAUUUUGCCCACACCCUGCAAUUAUGGCUGUCCAGCACAGUGUGUCGAGCACACCAUUCGCAGCUCGAAAUAAAGUUAGACUGCUGUCAAUUUCACCACAUUUUGAGUACAUAUCAAUCAGAGAUGUUGUCAUUGCAGAUUCUAUUUCAAAACCUUUUUUAACUGUGUACCCAUGAAUUUGCUUUCCGUGGGAAUGAGGACUCCCUGCUAGAUUAGAGCACGAUUUUAGAACACUUGAUAAAACAAAGUGAUCUGGUUUGAUACCCAAUUCGAGCAUAACUUUGAAUAGAUAGAAUGCUGAAUGAUUCAAUCCAUACUGAAUACAACCACUGAUGAAUCCACACCAAGUGACUACAUCUUUAUGAGGAAGACCUGUAAAAAUCGCCAUGGCCUUGUUGAAGCUUCCACAAUUCAAGUAUAGGUCUACAAGAACACUCUCAACAAUAUGGUCAAGAUGAUACCCAUACACCACAAUUAUACCAUGCAUUUGGAUUCCAAAUCUCAAAUUCUGUAAUUUACUGCAAACCUUCAAACCACUGGAAAGAGUGAAUUCAUCAAGAACUAAUCCUGAUCUGUGUAUUUUGGAGAGAAGAUUAAGUGCAGGAAUGUUGUGGUUAUUACUGGAAAAACCAGAGAUCAUUGAGUUUGAAACGGCUAGCAACUGGAAACCAGUUCCUCUAUAUCCAUCAUAAAGCUUUUUUGCUUCGCCAAUCGAACCACACUUUGAGUACAUAUCAAUGAUUUAGCCACUCUUCACUUUCCACUCUGUUUCAAGGAUUUAGCCACGGCAAAAUAAAAUUAGCCACUGAAUUAUGCCGUGGCUAUUUUUUUUAACAUUAGCCACUGAAUUAUGCCGUGGCUAAUUUUUAACAUUAGCCACGGCCCAUAGCCGUGGCUAAAAUAAAUGGCCGUGGCUAAUAUUUAGCCACGGAAAACCAUUUCCGUGGCAAAAAAUCAGUAGCCACCAGACUUACAGCCACGACAGCUCCCGUGGCUAAUUCCCGUGGCUAAAUCAAUUUAGCCACGGAUUUUGCCAUUUAGCCAGUGAACUUGGCCGUGGCUGUUUCCCUGUUUUCUUGUAGUGUUCCGUAAACAAGGUUGCACAAUUCAUGCAAACACCAACAACUAUUCACUGGGCAGCACUUAACAGGAUCCUUCACUACGUUGCGGGGACAUUAUUCCAUGGAGUGCACAUCAAAGGCUCAGUAACAUUCAAACUGGUAGCAUUCUCAUAUGCGGAUUGGGCAGGAGACAAGCAUGAUAGUCGAAACCAGGGGGCGUAUGUAGUAUUUCUCGAGUCGAAUUUAAUCACAUGGGGAUCGAGAAAGCAAAGCAUGGUAGCUCGCUCCACAACCGAAGAAGAGUAUCGAAGUGUCGCACAUACGACAACAGAAAUGGAUUGGAUCAGGGGGCUACUGAAGGAUUUAGAUAUACAAAUUACAAUGCCGGCAAAAAUUUGGUGCGACAAUUCCGGAGCAAUAGCCAUCUCCAAGAAUCCAGCACAUCACAUGAAGUCAAAAUACUUCGCGAUGAACUAUCACUUCGUUCGAGAACGAGUAUUCGCCAAAGUACUUGAAGUUCGCUUUAUCAGCUCAAAGGAUAAGAUAGCAGAUCUGCUCACUAAGCCACUUCCACGACCAGCAUUCGAAACACUACGUAUCAAGCUCACCGAAGAACUUCCGUUAUGCUUGAGGGGGCGUAUUAGUGAUAUUAGUAAAGUUAGUUAAUAAUAUCUAGAUUAGUUAGUUAGAAAGCAAGUGUAAUACAACCCUAUAUAAAGGGGGCCCAAUGUAAUAAUAAAAGUCACUCAAAGAUUUAACCAAACAUCAAGGGUUAAAGUUGUAAAAAUGAGUCAUUUUUUUAAAAACUAUUCUAGCUUAUUCCAGAUCUCUCUUAAUUCCGUUGGCGGAGCAUCUGAAUCUUUCCUUCUGAAAAAUAAUGAAUAUUUCAGUUUCCACCUAAUCCAGUCCAGAUAUUAGAUUGGAGGAUCUGACGGAGGUUGCGUAAAAAAUUACGCACCACUCUCCCCCUUGGGGGCUACUAUGGAAUGUUAUUGGGUCCUUGUCGUGACAUAUAUGGAUAGAAAGAAAUAAAAGAUAUAGACAGCACGUUAGGAGGCCUCCUAAGGUAGUCUUUAAGGAGGUUAUUAAAGACAUUAGUCUAUUCUUUGAUUCGGAGUAUUAUAAUUAAAAAGAGUUGUUGUCACCCUUUGGAGACAUCUAUGAUGGAAGUAUGGGAGACCAACCUGCUGAGACAACGUAUUUAGUUACUGUAUAACUAGACUACAUAGCUAAUGGAAGAGUGUCAAUGGGCUUUUGUUCAUUUUUAUACUCUUUUUCUUUGUAAAUUGGGCAUUGCCCUUAUUUUUAAAUAAAAAAAAUAAUUGUUUUAAAAAAAAGAUACAUUUAUCAUUGUACUGCCCCCCCUCUGUUUGAAGGUGACCCAUAACUAUACUUAGAGAAUUUUUCAAGUGUCCAUAAAGAAGUGUUGUGGUUGUAGAAUUAACUUUUCUUGGCAUUUAUCUUUAAGACCUUGUACGAACCUAGCAAUAAGCUGUUCCAUGUCUCUCUUAAAUUAUUUCUUGAGGACAAUCUGUGAAAUUCCCGUGAAUAAUCAGAUAUACUCCUUGUGCCUUGGGUACAUUGAUGAUAUGUUGUAAAUAGAACCCCUUCAUAAUCACUAGGUAGGAAGCAUUGUCGGUGUAAUUUCUUUAGUUUCUCCCAACUUCGGACUGUACUUUUGUUGGACCUAACAUUAAUGUUCUUCACGGUCUGCUCCCACCAUGCAGAUGCAAAUCCCUUAAAUCGCAGAACCACUAGCUUAACCUUCCUCACCUCCUCAAUGUUCAUGUAGUCGAAGAACCUCUCGACUCCAGUUGAUGAAGUCUUCUAUGUGUAUUGAUCCAUUAAAGGACGGGAUGUCCAUCUUUAGUUUUAACUCAGAUUGACUACAACGGUGAUACACCCUAUUUUGGAAAUGGGAGUCACUGUCGUCCAUAUUUUCUUCAAAUGUACAGAAUGAUGGUUGAACUCUCCGAUGAUAGUGUUGAUCAGGAGUGAUUUCUUCUUCUAACAACUCGGUGAAUUGAUCCAGCACAUUGGUGUGUCGACGCUAAUAAGUAACUAUCGACGGAUCGGAGUGUUAGCGCUGGUAAGUCUACAUCGGAACAUCCGAUGAACGUCGCACGUCCUGGCGCUCAGAAAUGACGUUGUGUGACCGCCUCUGGUAAGUUUGGACGGGUCUCUCUUGAUUAGGUAGCUUUGGAGGAUUUGGUGGGACGGCCAGAGAUUCUACUUCCCUCCGCAGAUCUUGAAAUCUCUCUCUCAUAACGGUGGUCAGAUCGGCGAUCACUUUGUUCAUCACCUCCCACUCUUGUCGCGACACAUUGUCAGCCAUCGAAGAUCGAUGUGCUCUGAUACCAGCUAAUGCAGGAUUGAGAUACAAUCAAUGUACUAAUGUUGAGAAGAUAGCUUCUCAAUCGGGAUAGGGAGUUAAUUGAGGCAGUGAUCUUGGAAUCCUCCAAGAAGAUCAGAGGAAUGAGUGGAGUAAUGCCAAGGAAAAUAAGAAAAAAAGUAAGAACAAUAGACGAGUAAAGUAGAUCAAGAGAGCCAGGUGGUCCAAAAUAUCCAUGAGAGCUGACUGGACGGGUAGAAUGGGAGGGGGGAACACAGACUGCAUAUUAUAUGGGGGGACAUGGGAAUCGCAAGACCAUGUCUUCUUCAAAUGCAAGUUCUCCAAGAAUCUAUGGACAUAUAUUUUAAAUGCAAAACCCAGUUUGAUUACGUGUGCAGGUCUAUCUUUAGAACAGGUCAUGGCACAGGCAAAUGCAAGGACAAAGAACUCACCAUAUUUUACCGUGACUAAUUUUUAACAUUAGCCACGGAUUUUGGCCGUGGCUAAUAUUAGCCACGGAAAAUCAAUUCCGUGGCUAAAAAUUAGUAGCCACCAGACCUACAGCCACGGCCACUCCCGUGGCUAAAUCAAUUUAGCCACGGAUUUUGCCAUUUAGCCAGUGAACUUGGCCGUGGCUGUUUCCCUGUUUUCUUGUAGUGCAUGCUGGGGCCUAACGUGGACGUACACGGCAGCGAUAGUAUGGGGAAUCUGGACUGCAAGGAACAGGAGAGUGCAUGAGGACAGACGCACGAGCCCACAGGAGAUAGGGAGGAGGACAGUACAGGAUGUAACAUCGACAUUCAAGGUGGACAAGUAUAAAGCAAAAGGUACGAGAAGGGAACAGAGAUGGAUGGAUAUAUGGACCGGAGGUGCCCAGUUGGCGAGAACGUGAAACUAGUUUAAUUCUUCAUAUUUGAUAUUGAGUCUGUAAUCGUAUAUAUGGUGGGAUGGAGUUCAACUAAAAAUAGAACCCUGUCUUGCCAAAUACUAUAGGAGGGGACAAAUUGGUAAAUGGAAUGACCAAAAAAGUCAUAUCCAUAUAGAGCUCUAUCCCCCAGGAGGUGGACUCUAUUAUUAAAGUAGAAACGAUAUGUGGAAUCACUUAUAUGUAGUGGACCUAAAGGUAAUGGCAGAGUUUUCCCUUGGCAAAGGAAAAGAUGCCUUGGGCACACCAGGGUUUUUACACUCCCCAUUGGCUUAGGACCACUACGUAAGAACGAUGAGGCAUAGAUCGUUCUAGGAAACAUCGAGUCAGUUCCCCAAAGGUUGUGAAGGCCCAAACGAUCGUAAGAUCCGGGGUUGGAACAAUGCGGAGGGUGUGGGGUGGAUCGCAUGUGAUCACACCCUUUUUCUUUGUUUCGGAAUCUAUAUUAUCAGUUGGUUUUGUUUCAAAAAAAAAAAAAAAAGUAGAUCAAGAGAGAGGCGAAUAAUACCUUGAGAAUUCAAUAAUCAAAAAACAUCUUUCCCAAGUGAGGUCCAUCAUAAUUAUACUUACAUCAUGGGUGAUGGACAACCCUCAUGAUGUGAGUGUGAUGACUUUCUACAGAGAAGAUUGUGAAGUCCAACCGCCCAACCUUGGUUAUGCCCACCACACAUUUUUUGUAAAAUGUGCAUUGGGGUAUGUGGUAAUAUCAGUUUGAUGCUCUGCAUCAAUAACUUCAAUAAUACUAUCAUGGCCACCUACAGAUUUAGGAAUGACCACAUUUUUGUCACAAUUUGUGACAUUUUCACCGUCGACCUCAUUGGAAAUGCUUUCUGAUUUCUUGCUUCCUUUUACUGACAAAAGAAAUUCAACAACAAAUAAAUUAGCAAAACCUUUUUCUAAAAAUUAUUGCCCAAACUCUUAUUAUUUUUUACUUCUUUUUUAUGUGUUUUGAUGUUUUGAAUAUUAGAAUCGUGGAAAUGAAGUUCUUGUAGAUCUUCAUCCUCCGGUAAAUGUAGUUUCCACGCCUGCUGAAGAUGUCAUCCGUAGUCCUUUUCCUAUUCCAGUUGUGAACGAUACCAUGCUCGUUCUGCUUUUCUUUUCAUCGCCUAUGACAGUUUGUAACAGAUCAAAACUUGUUCAACUAUUGAAGAAAGAUUUAGCGAUUGAAGACUUCGGUUUCUGCUCAUCGGAAGAGAACUCGAUCGCCGUCAACUAGGUCGAGCCCAUUGAUUCUUCAAAGGGCCGAAAAUAGUUUAGGCCUAACCAAAGUAAAGAAUUUGUUAAUUGAACUACUUAAUCAUGUACUAAAUUCUAUAAAUAAGAGAAUGAUCUAUGUUAAGAUCAUCAAAGUAUUUUUCGACCAAUUCCUUAGUACCUCAGGUUCCUCCGGGAGAGUUCUCUUCUUAACCUUUGGCUCCAAUCUUGGAGAAUCUUUUCUCACCUCGGCCCUGAUCUUAGGGAUUUCUUAUUUCAAUAACGUCUUGAUAACCUCCGACGAAGGACGGUUGUUACAUUGGUGCUUUUAAUGGAUUUGGACUUAGUUGUUGAAGUUAUUGUGCGUGUGGAAUAAAUCAAGCAAUCCGUACUAUCGUUGCGGGAAUUGUGGAAAGAAGAAUUAGAUGAGAUUGCGAUAAUGGACAUUUUUGAGAAGUUUGCGAGAAGAGCAAAGAAGAAGAAUCAUGGUGAUGGGAGUUCAACAACAUCGACAAAGGAUUUCGAUCACACGAAGAAAAUCGUCAUGAUCUGCAACAACAUCGACAAUAACGUUGUUCUUACUCGUCUUACAUCGGUUACCACCAUAGAUUCUAUCAAGUCAUGGGGAAAUACUCUUUUAAAACUUGUAGAUCUCAAGGUCUCCUAUCUUAUCGAGCACGAGAAGCAUCAUCAAAGCCAUGGAAUAGAGUUGAUCACUUCUGAUACUUUCAGCUCAUUCGACAAUCUAAGAAGAGGUUUCAUCGGGAUUGACUCUUCUAUGUUCAUCGCCUACCUCUAUAGUUCAGUUGUCUCUUUUUCUUGGGACGUUUUCAUCUAUGAUCUUAUGAAAAAGAUGCAUGGUCUACUCUUCAAUCUUUUCGAUGGGGAAGGGAGAAUUUUAGUUGUUCAUAUUUUUCUUUGGGAUCCAGACAUCAAAAAGUGAAGAAACUGUGGAAGAAAGAUUUAUUACUGGUAUUCGAUAGAAUGUGUAAGAAGCAUUGAAUCUUGGAAUGUAUGGUUUCGUAAAGAUUAUUCAAACCCUAACCGUGUAGACAAGAGGUUAGUACGGAAGGUGGAGGAGAAACACAACAUUGCCAAUAGAAGAAAAAGCAUGGGAGGAUAUGACUGUGUCUGAAUCUUGAGGACAAGAUUCGUUUGAAAGAAGGUGGAGAUGUAAUAGAUCAAAACUUGUUCAACUAUUGAAGGAAGAUUUAGCGAUUGAAGACUUCGGUUUCCGCUCAUCGGAGGAGAACUCGAUCGCCGUCAACUAGGUCGAGCCCAUUGAUUCUUUAAAAGGCCGAAAAUAGUUUAGGCCCAACCAAAGUAAAGAAUUUGUUAACUAUUGUGGUUAGAAUAAUAAUUUGUUAAUUGAACUACUUAAUCAUGUACUAAAUUCUAUAAAUAAGAGGAUAAUCUAUGUUAAGAUCAUCAAAGUAUUUUUCGACCAAUUGCUUAGUACCUCAGGUUCCUCCAGGAGAGUUCUCUUUUUAACCUUCGACUCCAAUUUUGGAGAAUCUUUUCUCACCUCGGCCCUGAUCUUAGGGAUUUCUUAUUUCAAUAACGUUUUGACAACCUCCGACGAAGGACGGUUGUUACACAGUUGCACGUUGGAAUGCUGCGCCAGAGUUUGGUCUCCAUAAUUCGGAAUGGAGGAUUCUUCAAGCGGUGUCGUGUACCUCGCUGCUGGAGGGUGCUAUCAUUUCUUCUAUAAACGUGAGUUUUCUACUGUUAAAAAAUUCUCAUAGGGAUUCCAUUAUUCUUGUUUGUGAUUGUUUUUUUUUGUAGACUGUGAUGCCACUUAAAGUUGCACUUGCUCAAGUCAACUUCUUAGUAUCUGAAAGUGUUGGGUAUAUGCGCGCCUUAAUGCUAAGUGUGAUUCCUUGACCUUAAGACUUGACGCAGCUGUGAAGUACUGCCGAGAGUUGUCGCUUAAGCUGCAAGAACAGCUUGAAGCUGGAAAACGUGAUUAAAUCCUUGCUUUCAAGGCUUUUUGCAUGGAAGGUUUUUGUCUUUAGAAAAAAAAAAUGAACUUCAUGAAGUUACUUUUGUUGGGAUGUUUGUUUUUAUUGUGUCUGGCUUUCUUUCUUAAGAAAGAAAAACCGUUCAAACACUACAAAAAAAUGACAUUGUAUGGCGGCCUUUUGAUGGCGAAAAUCCGUCAUCAAUAAUUCAGUUCUUUUGGUGGCAGAAAUCCACCAUCAAUUGUUUUAGUCCGCCGAGGAAAGGCAUGGGUUCGACAACGGUUUUAAUUUAUUUUCGAUGACGGAUUUUAGAUGGCGGAUGAUGUUAUCUUGGCGGUUAUUAUGAUGACGGUCUUUAGAUGACGGAUUUCCGUCAUUGAUCACUUAUGACGACGGAAAUCCGUCAUCUUAAGACCAUCAUACAAUGCCUUAUUUCUUGUAGUGAAACUGUUUUGGGUUUAGCUUUUUGUAAUAUUGGAAAACUUUGCGUAUGUAAUCGCAAGUGAGAUAGGAAAGAACAUGAAUCGGGAACCUUAUCAAAGAACUUCAAUCAUAGCUUGCCGAUACUAAUAAAACGCUCUCUGCUACGAGACAUGGAUUGGGUUGCAUCCGGAAGAAGUUGAGAAACAACAUGAGACAUAGAAAUCGUACCUUCAGACACAUUAUAAUUGCACGAUGAAAGGAAGCCGACAUUUCGUCAAAGAACAAAGAAAUCAGACGGGAAUGUAAAACACGGAAUAAGAGAACUGCUGGAAUCCAACAACGAACAGAUAGGAAAUGUGGGAAGAAACAGAACGGAAAAAUAGCUAACAAGAUGAUGGAAUAAAAGCUACCCUCUGUUCUGGCCACUAUUAUUAGCUGACAAGCUUUUACAUGCGACCAUGCAAUGAAUCUGGUCGCAUGAACACCAAGGAUGGUCAUGCACCAUUUAGAUGUCGCAUAACUGUGUUUACCAGAGCUCACCGAAAACACAUUCGCCGAAGGUGGUCACCGUAUAUACUAGCCGGUCACCAAAGGUGGAGGAAAUUGCCUGAAAAAUAGGAUGGCUGGAAAUUUGGGAGAAAUGAGAAGAAAAUAGGAGAAAAAUGAGAGUUAGGGUUUUAAAACCCUAUUCCCUCAUUUUUUUAUAAUAAUUAAUGGGCAAAUGGGUUAAGCAGAUCCGCCUAACCCACCUAGUGUAUGAAGGCAUGCGCUAGGCCGCAUGAUCGCCUAGGUGAAAAACCUUUUGGCAGCAUGCAGCACUAUAAUAUAACAUUAUACAUGUUUUUCAAAAAAAUCAAAUUACAAAUUUAAUUUGUGCUAAAAAUGUGAUUUUUACUUUUUAUUUCCUUCUCUCAUGAAGACGCUAAAAACUUGAAGAUCUUCAUUCAUUUCAAUACAUAGCGGAGACUUCAUCAUCAUCAUCGAUAAAACCGGCAUCGUCAUUUUCAAAAUAGUCUUCAACCAGCAAAGAAUGUUGAGUAGAUACAAAUAUGUCCCAUUCUGUCUGGUUGGAACUUAACCGGAUCUGGACACAUCAAACUCGAUUAAUAAGAGCAUUCGUCAGCAAUAAUAACCAAGACAAACUUAAUCAGAUUGAAUGAAUGAAUGACUUACUCGCCUCUUCGAAAAUGUUUCAUAAUUUUCAAAGGAUAGAUACUUGAAUAUAUUGAAAAGUACGUCAAAUACAACUCCAGAAAGUUGGCAUGCUUUGAAAUCUUGCAGUGUCAAAAAAUCCUCGUUCUGCAGAAAAAUGUGUAUGAAGAGGGAGGAACAUAACUAUACAUAUAUAUAUCAUGGUUAAAAAAUUCUAAAAAAGAAAAUGAACACCCACCUCUGGAUGAAUAAUGUCAUAUAUCUGGCAUAAAACAUUCUCAAAUAACAAAACCACUCUAUUCAAGCAAUUCAUUCGAUGCAACUGUUCAUCAAAGAAGUAUUGCAGGUCAUUUCUUGUGAUGACUCCAAUACCAUUCAAAUCUAAGCACUUAAACCUGCUUAAUCCAAUUGUCACAAUAUGUAUGUACAAAUCAAAUCGAAAGGAAAAUACAAUAAAAUAAAUUCUGAUUGAAUUUUACCAAUAUAUUACACUAGGUUCAGAAGAUUUAUAUUCUUCUGCUAGCAUGAAAUAUAUAAAAUCUUCAUAGCCCAUUUUCCCUUCAAUUUUACAAGUGAACUUUCUUGGAAUCUAAGUCAGAAAGAUUGGAAAAAUCAUUUAAGAUGCAUACAGUUAAAUAUCACAAAAGUGGGAAAAAAUCCAAACCUGUGAAAAAAUCCUCUCAAUAAUUCUGGAAGAAAGAGCAUUGUUACCAUAACGCAUAAGAUCGUACUUAUCAAGUGCAAAAUCACAAUCUAAGUCGAGCCUACAGAACUUGCAGUAUAGCACAAAGAAGCAUUUGUAUGAAAAGUACCUGGAAAUUGGAAAUUAAGAAUAAAGGUCUGUUUUUAAAUAACCUGAAAAAAAAUUAAGCAUUAGGCAAACAAGCUAAAACAAAUUGGAACUUCAAACCCCCUUACUUCCUGGAUCUGGAUUUAUCCAAGUCUUUCUCAUCUUCAACAUGUUGCAGUAAAGGAAUUAGAUCCCCAUGUUUCAAAUUUUUAAGUGUAAUACAACCACACCCAGCUUUAUCCAAAUGGUAAAAUAUUGUGUAUAUAACUGUUUGAGCUGGUUAAAAAAAUCAUAUUUUGAGAAGACGAUUCAACCAUAACGAAACAUCCAUGAAAGAAUUACCAUCAAAUAUAGACAUAUAGUGUUCUAUAGACAUGAAAGAGGUGCAUUCAAAUUUUGACAAGAAAAAAUACCCAGUUGACUAACUCAUAAUUCUAAAGGAACAAAUCCCCUUGAAUUCCCAUCACAGCAAUUAUUAAAGGCCAUUCACAAUUUAAUCCUCAAGCGUUUUUACUUUUAAGAAUCAAUAAUUAUUUUUUAUUAAUAUCAAUGAUAAUGCAAUAAAUAAAAAAUUAAGUCAUUAAAAAUAUUUACCGUAUAUUUCUUGAAAGACCGGCGUUUUCUGUAGGAAUUGUAGGUAAGGAUGGACUUCUACAAAUUCAUCAAUAAUGGGUUUGAAAUCCUCCUACACACAUAAGAACUCCAUAAAGUAAUUAACAAAGAGAAAAAUACAAUGCUAAGGAAAAAUAGAAAAGAUCAAAAUCAAAAGAAAAAUGACAAACUUUGGUAAGAUAGUUAUUGUUUGACUGCUUCAGAAUUCUGUAUAUUUGAGUGGCUUUAUCCAUCGCCAUCAUGUUGCUAGUCACCCAAAACUGAAUGAACUCAUAACUAUGCAAAGGGAGAGGGAGAGAGAGAGAUUACAUUCAUUUAUAAUUGACACUAAAAUACAUCAGAUCUCAAAUAAAUGAUGUUGAUGUUGAAUAUAAAAAAUGAAUCAUUCCAUUUCCAGAGAUUGUACCUUCUUAUUGUCCCCUUACACUCAGUGUCAAUUCUUUUAAAAAGGGUACGACAAAAAAAGGAUGGAAGUUUACACAUCUUUUUUGUAACAGAUUUGAAGUCUGGAAUUUCAAAAAAUAAACAAAUAAUUCAACUGGGAAAAAAAUAAGACCAUACAUGCAGGCAGAUUAUUGUAAAUGCAUGCCAUUUUGUACAUACCUUCUACACCCAACAUAUCUGAAUAACAAUUGAAAUAUUGAAUAACUCUAUAUAACAGACGAUGUUUUACUGAACUUUUUGGUGGUGGUCCAUCCUUGAAAUAGAACUGCAUGGCAAUACAAUUUCAUAUCUUAUAAAAAGUGGCAUGUUUAGCUACAUUUAAAUUGCAUUUACCAAGUUUGUGUAAAAAAUAUUUGGAAAUAAGUUUGCAAUUCAAUAAUGUACCUGAGGUAUUUCCUUUAAUGAAGCAAUGACUCCACUAGCAGAAGGGAAAAGAAGUGAUGGAGUUACAGAGGCAUUUUCACAAUCAAAGCUUUCUGCAGCAUUGAAGAAUUCCUCAAGAGUUACAUUGGCAUCAUCAAUCAAGACGUUCUGAGAAUGAAGAUCAUGAAUAGGAUCCAUGAAUAGUACGCCUUCUGUUCUCCUGCACAGUAAAGUUAUUAAAGAAAAAAUUUAAAAAUAACAAUAGAAGAAUCUAGAAAUAAAAAACAGGGUUGAAUUUACAGACAUUGAUUUUAAAGAAAAUAAACAAGCAUCAGAAGUGAUAUUCCUUAGCAUGGAAAAAUUGUAAAAUCGACGAAGCAAAAAAUAUAGUCUUUUCUACCUUCGCUUCCUACUUCCAGAUUCCAGAUCUUCAAUACUGUUUGCAAAGACAAAGAAAGAUAGAUAGAGAAGGUAAAAAAAGAAUCAAUGAGUAAGUAAUAAAUUGCUGAGUAAGUAAUAAAUUGCUAUUCAAAUUUCAAAUAACUAUUUAAUAUAACACAAUUUUAAAAUAAACUAACUAACUAACCAACUAGUAACCACCAUUAUUAUAGAAGAAAAUUAUUUUAUUUAUAGAAGAAGAAAAAUUGCAGUGGAAAGCAGAACUAACCAGAGAACAAACCUGUGCCUCAUAUUCACGAACUCUAGUGCAUCUUUCUUUUCAAGUGUAUCAGGCUGUAAUUUCUAUGGCUAACCAAUGUAUGCAUAUGUGCAUCAGUCUGCAUAUGUAGUGCAUAUUAUGCAAUGUACUUGUUCUUGAGCUUCUGCUAAAUUGAUUUUAAAGAUAGUGAAUGCCUGACUGAUCUUUAAUCAAUUAUAAAUUAGUUCUUUACAGAUGGUUGAAUGAUGAAGCAAUUACUUCUCUAUAACAUACAAUUCUAAUCAAACAAGCCCAAAUAGAAUUAAAAUGGUUGAAUUUAUUUACAGCAUACAAAGUUACAAACUAACAAUUUAAAAGGUAAAGAUGAAAUCUUUAUUAAUAGAAGGGAAAAAAUUCAGUAGAUGCAGCAGCAAUAGAAAACGAAGAAGAAAUCCUGAACCUAAACCUAACCUCGCCGACCACCUUUUUUCGUCACCGCUCGAUCAUCAUGAUUCUUCUUCAGCACAGUUUUAUAACCACCUUUCGUCGGUUUCCCCCAAGGGCUCACUGACGGACGGCCACCACUAGUCCUCCCUUCUCCACCACCAUGUGGAUGAUCAACGGGAUUCAUUGCAACACCUCUCACAACCGGCCUCCUCCCUAACCAUCUAGACUGUCCAGCUUUCCUCAACUUCCUGUGCUUCCUCUCAGGAUUAGACACCCUUCCGAUGGUAGCCUGGCAUUUCGAAUCGAAGAUCUUCUCCCUUCCUGAUGGCAUCUUUAGAACGCAUUGGCCAUCUUCUCCAAGCUUCAUGAUCUUAGCAGACGUUCCCGCCGAUCGAACGUACUUCGCACCUUCCCCGGGACGAUGCUCGACGCAGUGGACGAAUGUGCCGAUCCUCAUAGACGAAAGUGGCAUGGAGUUUCCUACCUGCGAAAGUGGAUCGAUGAGGCCUUGGUUCCAUCCGGUGAGAGAGUUGCUUCUGUUCAUGAUCUUCAUACCGGGGUGAAGAUUGUCCGGAGCCACGAUGUAGCUGUAACGGAAAAGACGGGCGGUUUCCUUCGAGGAGGGUUUAGAGGUGGCGGUAGAGGCAGAAGCGGCGGCGGUAGUAGAGAAUGUGCGAAUACGAGUGAAAAGAGAACGGAGAGUUGCCGAUUUUACGGCGGCGGCCAUUGCGGAUAACUAGAAGAUUUUAGGGUUUUCACUUAAAGUUCCCGGCGAGAAAUUAUCUGGAAUGGUGACUGAGGGAGACGUUUGUAUUUUGGACUGAUGGUGGAAUAUGUUUGUAAUAUUGAUAAUAUAUUAGAUAUUAAAAUAAAUAAAUAACUUUGGAGGGUAAAAUACUAAAAUCUCAAAUAAAUCCAGUUGUAAAACGAAAAAAAGUUAUCAAUAAAAAAUGUGCGAAUGUCCGGGUCUGACCCGACAGGCGGUAGAAUCGGAUCCAAAAAUCAAAAUCAACUUUAAUAAGUCACAAAAAUUAGAAAAUUAAUUUUGAAAAUUAAUAACUUAUAAGAUCUUAAAGUGAUUAACUGACUGUUUUAUACUUUUAUACUUUUAUUUUAGGGUUUACUAAGGUUUUUUUAUAAAUAGUUAUCCGGAUUCGUUUUUCCAGAUAUCUGAAAAUUCAUCUGAAUUCGGAUUUGAAUUUUCCUAUCUGAAAAGUUAUCCAAACGGAUUCGGAUACCAAGAAUUGAAUUCGUCUAUACAAAUCUAAAUAAUAACAUCUUACAAAAUAUUUCAUUUUGAUAUUUUACCUGAAACGUUUUCUAUUUAAAAUAUCUGUUUCGGAUAAUAAAUAUAUCAUUGAGACUCGAAUCCUGAAUCCUCGAAAAAUUUAAUAGUAAUUGUGAUUAGAGUGUCAAACGAACCGAGCUUUUGCUUAUAGAGCCAGGUUCGGGCUCGGCUCAUUAAGGUAUCAUCUGGGCUCGGUUCGUCAGAGACUUUUCAGGCUCAGGCUCGAGUCUGAGCUCGAAUUAAAAGAAAUAAUUAUUUGGAGACAUGGGAGAUUGAACUCAUGACUUCUCACAUGCUUAACAAACGUUUUAUCAUCUGUGCUAUACUCCAUUCUCUCUAAAUAAAAUAGUUUUUUUACCUAUUUAUACUUUUUAUCGAGCCCACCGAGCUUAACGAGUUUGAGCUUCAGCUUAAACGAGUCGGGCUUUAUUUGUGAUCGAUUGAGUUAAUCUUUCAACCCUAAAUCUAGUUGAGGUAGUGCUUGCAAGCUAAUUAAGCUAGGUAACAAAAUAGUUGGCGGCCAAUCGGAAGAAAGAAGACGAAAAAACCCUAAUUGAGAUCAUCUUUCAACCCUAAACCUAGUUGAGGUGCUUGCAAGCUAAGUAAGCUAGGUAACAAAAUAGUUGGCGGCCAAUCGGAAGAAAGAAGACGGAAAAAACCCUAAUUGUAUAACCUACUCUUUUUAAACAAGCAUCACUUCAACUAAUAUCCAACUAAUCUUAUAAAUUAAGUAGCAAAUUUCAUGACAACUGGAUGGAAUAAUAUACCUAAUCUCACAUGCAACUUGUUUUAGAUUAGAUUAUAUAGACAGAGAUACUUCACACUCAGAGAGAAAGAUGAAGAAUUUGAGAGAGGUGGUGAUUUUAUGGGUGACAAUUCAAAGUGUUUUCCUUCUGUUUCCAUCUCCAAGUUCAGCUCAACUCAAGCAGAAUCACUACUCCAAAGUCUGCCCUAAUGUCGAAUUGGUCGUCCGAAACGCCGUCACUAAGAAAUUCAUGCAGACUUUCGUCACCGUUCCGGGAACUCUCCGACUCUUCUUCCACGACUGCUUCGUGAAUGUAGGGCUGUGUUUGAACUGAAAAGUUCAAGGUUUGUUGUUAUAUAUGUGUCAUGUGUGUGUUAAUGAAUUGAUCAACGGAAUUUUGAAGGGAUGUGAUGCAUCGGUGAUUAUCCAGUCGACGGGAAGCAACAAGGCGGAGAAAGACAGCAAAGAUGAUUUGUCGCUCGCCGGUGAUGGAUUUGACACUGUGAUCAAGGCGAAGGAAGCAGUUGACGCCAUCCCACAAUGCCGGAACAAAGUCUCGUGUGCCGAUAUUCUAGCCAUGGCUACAAGAGAUGUCAUUGUUUUGGUAAUUAUUAACAAUAACUAUAUAUUCAAGCUGAAUUUGAUCAUGCAUGAGGUUAAUUAAGUUAUCAAACAGGCGGGAGGACCGUGGUUCCCGGUGGAGCUCGGAAGACUAGAUGGACUCAGCUCGACUGCGAAAAGUGUCACCGGAAAACUCCCGCAUCCAGAUUUUAAUCUAAAUCAGUUGAUUUCCUUGUUCGCUUCUCAUGGACUCACACAAGCGGAUUUGGUUGCUCUCUCAGGUGAGCUUAAUUAAUUAGCCUAUUUUCUAUUAUUGGUGGUGGCCGGCGGUGGGGGUGCACCAUGUGCAUAUAUGCAAGUUGCUUUUUUUAUUCUUGAAAACUUUUAUCUUUUCCCCCUUUUUUUGUAUGGCAUCAAUUAUUGUCCAUUUAGGGGGUUUACCUUUUUAGGGUUUAGGGUGGAAAAUUUACAUAUUUGUAUGAUUUACUGUAUAUGUCUACAACAGGUGCACAUACACUAGGGUUUUCACAUUGCGACCGGUUUUCCAAGAGAAUCUACGGUAAAAACAAUAAAAUUGACGCGACGCUUAACCGUAAUUACGCAAUGCAACUACGAGGCAUGUGUCCACGGAAUGUAGACCCAAGAAUUGCCAUCAACAUGGAUCCUGUCACCCCGAAAAGAUUCGACAACCAGUACUUCAAGAAUCUACAGAUGGGAAAGGGCUUAUUCUCGUCGGACCAGGUUCUAUACACAGAUAAAAGGACUAAACCCUUCGUCGACGCAUGGGCACAAAACCCCUUUGCCUUCAACAAGGCUUUUGUUGCCGCGAUAACUAAGCUUGGUCGUGUUGGCGUAAAGACUCACUGGUCACAAGGUAACAUCAGGCACAGAUGUGACGCAUUCAACUAGCAGUAACGUCAGUUGAGUAUAAUUUGCAGCAGUAGUGUGUGCGCUAUAUAUAUGUGUGUGUUUUCUGACCGAUCUUGAGAUUUGUUCGCUUAAUUUUCCGGCCAACUCCAACCUAAUUAUUUGGGCAAAAUAAUAACGAACCGUGAAAGUUCGUAAUUAAGCUGCAAUGGAAAAUCUAUCUAUUGUAACAAUGAUAAUAAAAAAUCACGAAAGAUAUAUUCGGUGAACUUUUUUUUAUAUAACAGAAACUACCUCUGAUAUAAAAAUGUCUGCCUCUACAUGAUAUAACAAAAUCACAUAAUAUAUCGUCAGUUAAUUGGUUAUAUAUAUAUCAUAGUAAAAAUUUAAUUAAAAUACGUAUACAACAAGACUCGAAUCUUGAACUUUCAGAAAACUUAAUUGUUAUCAUAAGAAGUUGAGCUAAUCUCCUUCUAUAUAUCUGAUGAACUUUGGUAUAUAUCAGGUUUUAAUUACUUCAGGGGUCAAGUUAUAAUUUGUAAAACUUGAGGGUGUUUAAAUGAAUAUUGUGUAGAUUUUGAUUUGAAUACACAAUCUUUAUUCUUAAUCAUCAUUUUAAUAUUUUUUUCUUUAAUAUGAUCUUUUUAUAUCUCAAAUAUUAUCUUUAUUCCUAUUUUAUUCUCAAUCUAUUUAUAUAUAUAUCCAUAAAUCAUCCCAUGAAAUAUAGAUGAUCACAAUGAAGCUUCCAGUAUAUAUUGUUGCCAUUUUGAUGCUUAUGUUGGUAUCAGGUAAAAUGAAAACAGGUUUUUUUAUUUUUUUUAAUUCUCUCUUGAUCACCACCUGAACUUUCUGCUGCUGCUGUUUUUGUUGUAGGGUUCAUGGUAGAAUCAAAGGAAGAUGGUGUUUUUGUUUCAGGGCUAAUGAAUGACGAAGAUAUUAAGAACCACGAUGAUCCAGAUUGCUUCAGACUUGCGGAUCCGGACAACCCAAGUUGCACGGCUCACAACGCAGAUUGUACAAAUAAGUGUUUGAGUUCUGGCUAUACCAUGGGUGGCAAAUGUAGGGUGAAGUACAAUGGGAUUAUGUCUCAUGUUUACUGUUAUUGCAAGUUCUGUUAGUCGUUUUCUUAAAUGAAUAAAGAAGGUUCAACUGAAAUUUAAUCAGGAUUUAAAACAACGUAUAGAUAGAUACCAUUCCUUGAGCUUAGAUUUACAAGAUCAUUCGCUAAUUACUUUACAAGAAUCAUUAAUUAGUUAUAUAGAUAAUCCUGUUUAUAGUAGUCGCGCCUGAGGACAGAUCAUCAUAUCCACCCACCAUAAUUCAGAUCAGCAUCCGAAAUCGUAUGUCACUAACCCUUGUAGCUCCGAUUCGUUUAGACGGUUGUUGUUCGCGUAGCUGAAUUGGGAGGGAAUACAGAAGAAUUCAAUCAACUGUUUUUUCAGUCAUUCAAUGUAAAAAGAUGGAGAUGCAUACCUUCGAGGAGGGAAUGUGGAGAAAGGACCGUUGAUUGUCAUUGUUCGAAAUAUCACUGAAUUGAACAGUUCAAAAUUGCACAAACCAAUCAGAUAUAUAUAUGAAGAAGUAUAGUUACUAUCUCUAAAAAACUAUCAAGGGUUGCUCUAUCCAUCCAUCUCGACUUAUUCUGAUACCAUGUGAAGAAUGACGGAUAUUACCGUAUAAUAAAACCCAAGUAUUUAGGCGAAACACGCACAAUGACACAUUUAUACAUCACUAUAGAUUUUCCAAAAGAAUUGCUACAGAAAAUAUAUCACAGGUUGAAACAUUCAUCUCGAUUUGUUCUGAUACCAUGUGAAGGAUGGUGGAUAUCACCGUAUAAUAAAACCCAAGUACUUAGGAGAAAGACGCACAACGACACGUUUACACAUCACUAUAGAUUUUCCAAAUGAAUUGCUCUCAGAAAAUCGAUCACGGGUUGAACCAUUCAUCUCGAUUUGUUCUGAUACCAUGUGAAGGAUGAUGGAUAUCACCAUAUAAUAAAACCCAAGUACUUAGGCGAAUGACCACAACAACACAUUUACAUAUCAGUAUAGAUUCUACAAAGGACCUUCUCCGAUGCAAAACAAUCGAAGGAAACUGUUUCAACCCAUACAACGAUCUGUGCAGCAAACAAAUAUGAUAUGGGUUUUGAAUAUCAACGAACCCAAAUGGUUAUGAUACAACUAUCCUUUCUUUUAAUUUCCUGUGAAGGAAAGCAUUUGAAUAAUAUCCAGUUGUCGCAUCUUCCAUCCUCGCGUGACUGCUAAGAACAGAACAAGUCGUAUUGACAGAGGUCGCACUAAUGGACUGAAUGUGUCCAUGUAGUCUGAUCUAUGAAUCUGGCGCAUACCAUUAGCUACCAACCUUGCCUUGAAACGUUCGAUUGACCCAUCUUCGUUAGUUUUUAUCUUAAAAAUCCAUUUUGUGUUAAUCACAUUAUCUUCUGCUUUUCUUGGAACAAGACUCCAUGUCUUAUUAUCUUACAAUGCUUUAAACUCGCAUGCUAUUGCAUCCUUCCAUUGCGGUAUCGAAAAUGUGUACCUCGCUGAUUUUGGAACCGACACUUCAGUGGCUUCAUAAACAACACAUAUUUGGGAUUGGGUUUAUAUAUCCCAAUCGAUCCCCUUGUCACUAUUGAUGAAGUGCGAGUGCUAGUUGUUGGAAUUUCUUGUAUAGUAUCUUCAUCGGAAUAAUCAUCCGCAGCUACUUCGUCUUCAUCAUGAUCGAAGCUAUCCGAUAUUGAACCAAGGACGACGGCCAUAGGUUCCACCGAAAAAUCGUCUUCGUCGUAACUGUUAUUUGAGCGGUCUGGUUCGAUUGCUUCAUCAGAAUUCAAAUAUUCCUCCUGAUUACCCGAUUCAAUAUUCUCUAUCGGGUCACCUAAAUUAUUGUUAUUUGGUUCAACCACAACUAAUGUUCAUUUUUUAAUUGGAUCUUCAUUUUGUACCCGAUGCCCAAAUUUAUUUGGUUGUUAAUUUUCUUCUCGAUCCCCAAAGUAUUUUUCAUUGACCGAAAAAUCCUCCUCGUCGAACACGACGUCCCUUGACGCAUAAAUCCUCCGGCUUGCCGGAUCCAGACACAAGUAAGAAUUCUGAGAUAUUGAAUAGCCGACAAAUAUGCAUUGUGCUGAUUUUUCAUCAAGUUUGUUACUGCGAUAAGGUCUAAGACAUGGAUAACAUGAACAUCCAAAUACCUUGAAACGAUUAUACUCCGGUGACUUACUAAGAAGAACUUUCAGUGGCGGUCUGUUCUUUAGCAAUGGUGUAGGAUUUCGAUUGUAAAGAUAUCCUACUGUGAGGACUCCAAAAUCCCAAAAAUUGGUUCGGUAGAUUUGAAUGACGUAAGAGAGUUACCGUCGUGUCGACUAAAUGACGAUGUCGGCGUUCUACACGACCCAUUUGUUGAUGUGAAUAUGACACUGAUAACCGAUGAGUAAUUCCCACAUCUGCUAAACGUUGACCAAACUUCGGAUACUCUUUUGCAUUAUUUGCAACGCCAAAAUUUUUCUCCCAUAUUAUCUUUCGGCCCAGGACUUAAAUUUCUCAAAGAUUUGAUAGAUGUCUGUUUUGUGAACCAUUGGAAAUACCCAAUUGAAAUUACUUCUUACGUCGACGAAAUUAACGUAAUAAUGGUAGCCCUGGAAUGACGUUACCGGAGCUGACUCUCAUAUGUCAGAGAACACGAGAUCCAAUGGCUUGUAAGACGUUUUUCGGGAGGGAUGGGGGAGUGCGUGAGAUUUACCCAACUGACAGGAAUUACAAAGUAUUGAAGGUUUUGAAACUGAUUUUAUUAUACUCUGUUUCUCAAGAAUAGACAUGUAAUUUGAAUUUAAAUGUCCUAAACGACAGUGCCAGAAGAAGUGGGAUAAUUUUUCACAUAUAUUUACAUAUCCUUCACUUGAUUUUGUCUUUAUCGAAAGUUCAUAUAAUCCUCCGCGAACUCCCCCCUCCAGUAUAACUGCCUUAGUAUCCAAGUCUUGGACUCGUAAUCUCUACGCAUCAAAGUAAACAGAUACAUUAUUAUCACAAUAUUUUCUAUUUACUGAAAGUAAAUUUCGUGUUGCAAUUGGCACAAGUAAUAGAUCGCCAAGAUGCCACACUCCAACCAGACUUGGUAAUUGGAAGUGGAGUCCCGUCUGCCGUGUAAAUAUAGUCUUUACCGGUGUAUUUCUGUGGAUGUUGAAUGUUAUCUUUGGAACUCGUGAUGUGUGAUAUGGCUCUCGAGUCAGGGUGCCACAUCGUCAUUGCUUCCGAUGAGUAAUUUGUGAUAGCAUUUACCGACCCUCGCUUACUUCUAUUUGAUCCUCGAGGUAACAAUGUGCGAUUGUGGUUCGGUGGAAAUUUUGUUAGGUUUAGUUGAUUAUAACAAUCACUCGUACCGUGCCCUCUACGUGCGCAAAUUUGACAUCGUAAUUAAUUCUGUUUUGGAAACCGACCCAUUUUCUUGCUGCAACGUGCACCUCACUGGGUUCCAUUGCUCGCGAUAUAUUCCGUGCGCCCAUCCUCAAUUCGUGAUCCAUCAAUACCUCUCCAAGUUCUGAAAACGAGAGACUCGGAUCAUAGCGUGUAGUGUGAGUGAUGUCACAAACGCCUCAUAUUCGUCGCUCAAACCUCCAAGCACAAUCAGUAUGACCUCCGAUUCUUUCAAUUUCUCCUUAGUGGCAACGAGGGCGUCUUUGAGUACCAAUAUUUUUAAUAUGUAAUCGGCCAUGGACGUUCCCCCUUUACGAACCAACUGCAACUGUAACCGGAGAUGCAACUGUUGUGUCUGUGUUCCUGACGCAUAGAGACGUUGUAGGCACUGCCAGACACUGGCAGAGGUUUUAUACGACGUCACUUCCAGAACAAUUGAAGUUGAUAUCCCGGUUAGAAUCCAGCUUAAUAUCAAUUGAUCAUGUUGGAUUAUCUCCGGUGAAACCAGCUCUACGUCUCCACGAACGUAGCUUAUGAGAUCAAAUCUACGUAACAUCGUGGAAAAUUGUGCCUCCCAUGAGAAGUAGUUAUCUUUCUCCAGAAGAACACAUCAAAUCGGCUUUAUCACGACCUUGAACGGCCUAACCAUUCACAUCGGAAAAGAAUGGUGUUUGAUUUUGAUUCAUCAUCGGAAAAGAUCUUCUUUCCUACCGAUGUUAACCCAGCGAAUGAUACAAUAUAUGAAAUGUAUUAAACUGAAUCAAACUUGUAUUAAAUUGUAAUUACAUUUGUAGUGUAUUUAUAGGUGUAAUUUGUAUUAGUUAUAAUCAGUCACUGAAAACAAUGGUCCAUUUAUAGACAGAGAGAAAGAACUCAAGAAGGGAGAAGAAAGAUGGAUGAAGAUUAAGCAAAAGAAAUCAGUUGAGAAUGGCAGUCGUAAAAGAAAGAAGAAGAUAAAGUUUAAAACCCUAAAAUCUCAAAAUGAUAUUUCAUUAAAGAGAGGCUUCAAAACUUGUUAAUACUUUAAAACAUUUUAGUCUUAUAUAGGCUAAACUAAAACCGGUGUAUUCACACAUAAACCCAUUAAUAUUAUAUAUUUAAUAGUUACAACUUAUAACCAACGUUAUACAACAAGUCUCGAAUCCUGAACUUUCAGAAAAUUUAAUAAUUAUCAUAACAAGUUGAGCUAAUCUCCUUCUAUAUAUCAUAUGAACUUUGGUAUAUCAGGUUUUAAUUACUUAAGAGGGUCAAGUUAUAAUUUUUAAAACUUGAGGGUGUUUAGAUGAAUAUUGUGUAGAUUUUGAUUUGAAUACACAAUCUUUAUUCUUGAUCAUCAUUUUAAUAUGAUCUUUUUAUAUCUCAAAUAUUAUCUUUAUUCCUAUUUUAUUCUCAAUCUAUUUAUAUAUAUAUAUAUAUACCAUAAAUCAUCUCAAGAUACAUAGAUGGUCACAAUGAAGCUUCCAGUAUAUAUUGUUGGCAUUUUGAUGCUUAUGUUGGUAUCAGGUAAAAUGAAAACUGUUUUUUUUUUUUAAAUUCGCUCUUGAUCACCACCUGAACUUUCUACUUCUGUUGUUUUUGUUGUAGGGUUUAUGGUAGAAUCAAAGGAAGAUGGUGUUUUUGUUUCGGGGCUAAUGAAUGAAGAAGAUAUUAAGAACCACGACAAUCCAGAUUGCUUCAGACUUGCGGACCCGGACAACCCAAGUAACCCAAGUUGCACGGUUCACAUCGCAGAUUGUACAAAUAAGUGUUUGAAUUCUGGCUAUACCAUGGGUGGCAAAUGUAGGGUGAAGUACCAUGGGAUUAUGUCUUAUGUUUACUGUUAUUGCAAGUUCUGUUAGUCGUUUUUUUUAAAUGACUAAAGAAGGUUCAACUGAAAUUUAAUCAGGAUUUAAAACAACGUAUAGAUAGAUACCAUUCCUUGAGGUUAGGUUUACAAAAUCAUUCGCUAAUUACUUUACAAGAAUCAUUAAUUAGUUAUAUAGAUAAUCCUGUUUAUAGUAGUCGCGCCUGAGGACAGAUCAUCAUAUCCACCCACCAUAAUUCAGAUCAGCAUCCGAAAUCGUAUGUCACUAACCCUUGUAGCUCCGGUCCGUUUAGACGGUUGUUGUUCGCGUAGCUGAAUUGGGAGGGAAUACAGAAGAAUUCAAUCAACUGUUUUUUCAGUCAUUCAAUGUAAAAAGAUGGAGAUGCAUACCUUCGAGCAGGGAAUGUGGAGAAAGGACCGUUGAUUGGAAUUGUUCCGCAGAUGUCAUUGUUCGAAAUAUCACUGAAUUGAACAGUUCAAAAUUGCACAAACCAAUCAGACAUAUGAAGAAGUAUAGUUAAUAUCUCUAAAAAACUAUCAAGGGUUGCUCUAUCCAUCCAUCUCGACUUGUUCUGAUACCAUGUGAAGAAUGACGGAUGUUACCGUAUAAUAAAACCCAAGUAUUUAGGCGAAACACGCACAAUGACACAUUUAUACAUCACUAUAGAUUUUCCAAAGGAAUUGCUAACAGAAAAUAGAUCACAGGUUGAACCAUUCAUCUUGAUUUGUUCUGAUACCAUGUGAAGGAUGGUGGAUAUCACCGUAUAAUAAAACCUAAGUACUUAGGAGAAAGACGCACAACGACACGUUUACACAUCACUAUAGAUUUUCCAAAUGAAUUGCUCUCAGAAAAUCGAUCACGGGUUGAACCAUUCAUCUCGAUUUGUUCUGAUACCAUGUGAAGGAUGAUGGAUAUCACCAUAUAAUAAAACCCAAGUACUUAGGCGAAUGACCACAACAACACAUUUACAUAUCAGUAUAGAUUCUACAAAGGACCUUCUCCGAUGCAAAACAAUCGAAGGAAAGUGCAAAAAUAUAUCGAUGGACGAUCAAAAGUGCUGGGAUACUUACAAGAUUUUGAGGUUAGUAAGCAAUGCAAGCUCUCUAGGAAUCGAUCCGGACAAUCCAUUGUUGUUCAAACGCCUGUAAAUAAAACAAAAUAUAAGAAAGACAGACAGAAAGAAAAACACACACACACCAAGAGAUCAUUCAUCAUUGACAUAAAACCAAUGUCCAUCGAAAAGAACAAUUACAUGAACCGAAGCGAUUUCAAUCUUGCAAAUGACUUGGGGAUCUCUCCUUCAAAAUUAUUUUCAAACAAAUCCAUGCCGAUCAACUGGUUCAAGUUGCCCAAUUCCUCCGGGAUCUUUCCAUGGAAGUUGUUUCGGUAUAAUUCUCUACAAACAGGUGUUAAAAAUAAAAUCAAGCCCAAUUGAUCACCAAUGGAGAAGAAGUUACCAAAAAAAUAACAUACAAAACACAUACAAGUACUGAAUAUGUUGGAGCUUUCCGAGCUCCGGUCCGAGCUCACCGGAGAUAUUUGAGUUAGCCAAAUCCCUGCAACAACACAACAUCAUCAUCAAUAAUAAUAAUAAGAUGAUCAUGGAGGUGGUAUGAAGAUGAAGAAGUUGGAUUAUACAAGCGAAUAACAUGGUUGUGAGAAUCACAGGUGACGUGAAACCAAGUGCAAGGAUUCACUAGAGUUGGAUCCCAACUCUGCAAAACAUUGGUCGGAUCUGAAAGCCUCACUCUAAGCGCGUGCAGAGCUUCACCUGCAAAAAAAACUAUUUUUUAUUUUUUUUACCCAAAUUUAAAAUGAAGAUGAGAGACGGAGAGAAAGUGGCUGUGGCCGGUACCUUCGAUGUUGGUGGAGGUGGCAAGAUAGUAAACAUCGGAGAGAAUAACGAGAAGGGCAACGGCGGACAAGAGCGUGGAAGGUGCCAUUAGAGAGGAGGAAGGUGGUGAUUAAAGUUGGGUUUUUUUGGGUGGAGGUGUGUGAAAAGUGGAAAAUAAGAAAGAACACACGAUCCGACCAGAAGACUAUGAAGUUUGGUGAUCAAAAAAGUCAACAAAACAUGUCAGAAUAGUGUUACUUAGUCAAACACGGUUGGUUUGACUUUGACUCAGAAGCCUUACGAGUUUAACAAAAAUGCUUCUACUCUCUACUGAGAGAAUCUAGAAUUUGAGAGUAGUAUAUAUUUUAAUUAAGGUUGUAAAUGGGUCGGGACUCUAAUCCGUUUAAAUGGGCUAAAUCCGGUCCGCAAAGGUAUGGUCUAAGUGAUAUUCGAUCCAAAAAAGUCGAGCAAAGAUGGUCCAGGUGAUUCAAAUCUGAUGCACCAUCCCAAAAUAUCUACCCAAACCUAGUUACCUAGGGACGAGAACGGGGAGGGUUGCCACAGACCCACCCUGUUCCGUGUCGGUUGGAACAGAAAUUUCGUCCAAAAAAACUUUUCCAGUGCCCCGGUCAUUUUUCGAGAUGGGUCUCGAGACGAGAAAAGAUGGAAAAUUCUUUUUUUUUUGUCAUGUCUGCUGCCCCGGUCCACCCUAGUCAUAUUCCCCGUCCGUCACCCAUUCUCAUCCCUACCCAUACUAGUACCCGCACCCAACCUCUUCAGAUUCAGACUUUACCCAACUCAUGUCUACCCAUGUUACAUUUACAUAAUACAUAGUCAUACAAUAGUAUCAGACUAGUCGAUCAACCGGUCAAUCGUCUGACUUUACAAUGCAGGAAAACCGGAAACUUUGAAUGUUGGUCGCAUUUUUCACUCAUUUGUUCUGAAAGAGGUCGUUCACUUAGUAUUAUAUGUAGAAUGAUGGAUUUACACACUAUUUGUAGAUUUUUCAAAGGGUAGAUUGGUCAUUUCACCUUGAUGGAGGGCAAAAUGAUCUUUGCCCAUGAUAGUCGGUCGUCUUGAUUGUUGGUCCCAUUUCCAGUCGGUCGGUCAGGAACGAUCGAUCGGAUUGGGAUCGACCUGAGUCGACAAUCAACCAUUCUGGAGAAAAUUGACCACGGUUCAGGACCGAUUUUUAGUUUAAAAAAGGCGAGGACCCAUACCUACUUGUGAUGUUCGAUCUUUCUUGAGAUUCCGAGACCUCAAGUCUUCUUUAAGACUCCUGAUGUCCUAUUCUACCGGAUUGUACUCUCGGUGUAUCACCAAUUUGUAUUAAUGUAUUAGUAUUACAUAUUUAUUGGUCCGUAUUACGAGUGAAAACGGGGCGCGGAACGGGGUAGGUUAGGUACUCUAUGUCCCUGUCCCGCCCCGGACCCGGUGACUGGGGCGGAUCCGGGACGACCUACUUAAAAUUAUAAAAAUAAAAAAAAUUAUAAAAAAAUAAAAAAUUAUAAAAUAUAAAUUAUAAAAAAAUAAUUUAAAAAGUAAACCUAAAAUUUAAAAUGGGUAAACUUUUUACCCUAAUUCUUAAAAAAUUUAAUCUUAAUAAUCUUAUAUCUAAUAUAAUUUAAUUUAUAAAAAAAAUUAAAAUUAUUUUAAAAAAAAACCGGGGCGACCCCCGCCCAGGUUUUGCUCUGCCCCGAGACCCGCCUCAGAAUAUGACCGGGGCAAAAAAUUUUUAAAACGGGACAGAAUAUCUGCCUCAUCCCGGGCCCGUUCUCAUCCUUAGUCCGUAUGUUAAUAUUUUAAGUUACGUUGAAAGUUAAAGUUCAAACUUGAAACUUGAUUCAAACACAAAAACUUUCGGAAUGAGCAUGGGUAAUGUCUACUCAGACAUGGUUAAAGAUAUAAAGCCUUACCUUGGGCAGCCCUACUAAGAAGAGUUACAAGUUUAACAAAAGUCGCCAUUGAAAACCGUUUAAAUCUUUUUGUGGUGGUUAACAAGUAAUAUUAGUGACGGUUUUAACAAAAGAUAAAAUUAUUGGCGACGAAAUUUCACUAUACAAGUUCAUUUUUUCGUCACAAUAGUCCACCAUAUAAUGUCAUUUUUUUUUAUAGUGAGUGUUUUUCCUGAAAGAACCCAUAAUUUUAUAGUGAGUGUUUUUAUAGGGAUGGGAACGCCCUCCGCAGAUGCUCCACCUCUUUCCAAGACGUUUCCCUCUGAUCGCGUCCUGCCCAGCGGAUUAGAACCUGUUCAGGCAUCUUCCCUUUCCCCAGCAAGGAUCUUCUGUCGAGUAUUGCCUCAGGGUAUAAGAUUGGCUGAUUUCCUACUAAAAUUUUGGGCAAAGCCCCAAUUUUGUCCGGAGGUAACUUCCCUUUGUAUUUCUUGAGAAAACUAAUAUGAAAAACAUCAUGAAUCAAACAAUUAGGUGGUAAAUUAACCUUGUAAGCAACUUCACUUCUUUUAUGUAAUCUUGUAUGGUCCAUAAAAUGUUGCAGAAAGUUUAUGGUUGAGCCUCUGUGCUAUAGAUAUUUGUCUGUAGGGUUUUAAUUUGAUGAAAACCCAAUCCCCCACAGAGAAUUCAAUGUCUCUUCUAUGAAGGUCAGCUUGGCUCUUCAUUUUCUCCUUUGCUCUGUCUAGGUUAACCUUCACAGCUUCAAUCAUUUCCUGUCUCCUUAGCAAUUCUUCUUUAGCCUCUAGGUUAGAUGAACUCCCUUCCAUCUGUUCAAUAAAAGAGUUAGCUUCCCUUCCAUAAAGAGCCAUGAAGGGUGUCAUUCCUAUUUACACAUUAAAAGUGGAAUUGUGCCACAAUUCUGCCCAAGGAAGUAAUUGUAGCCAUUUCUUUGGUUGGUCAUAAACUAAGCAUCUCAAGAACAUUUCUAUACCUCUGUUAACCACUUCAGUUUGGCCAUCUUCUCUGGAUGAUAAGCUGAGGAUAGCUUUAGUGUAGUCCCACUCAAUCUAUUAAUUUCCUUCCAGAAGUUGCUAGUAAAUACUUUAUCUCUGUCAGACACUAUAGAUGCUGGAAUUCCAUGGAGUCUGAUAAUCUCUUGAACAAAAUAGUUUGCCACCAUCUUAGAGUUGAAUUAUGCUGGUAGAGCCCCCAAAUGGCAGAAUUUUGAUAAUCUGUCAACUACCACUAUAAUUACUGAUUUUCCCUUCACUAAUGGCAGGCUUGUUAUGAAAUCAGUAGAAAGAUCCUUCCAAACUGAAUCAGGUGUAGGUAAAGGUCUUAAAAGACCUUGGGGCUUCAUAGUUGGUGUCUUCAUUCUUUGGCAGACGACACACUCAUCAACAUACUUUCUGAUUUUUUUGGGCAUGCCUUUCCACCAGAAUAUUAAUUUUAUUCUCUUUAUAGUUCUUUCCACCCCUGAAUGACCCCCAAUUAUACUUUCAUGAUAUUCUAUCAAGAUUUCUUUAAUGAGGUCUGAAUUGUGUGACACUAUGUAUCUGUCUCCCAUGAGUAGUAAUCCUUCCCUGAUAUUCAUAAAACUAUUUUUUCCAGUCCCUUUAAGGAUUGCUUCCUUCAUUUCUAACAAAUCUGCCCUUGAAUUUUGUUCCUCCUUUAUCUUUUCAAUUAGUUUACUUAUUACAGCACACAAAUUCAGAAUUGAUCCCUCUUGAACCUCUUUUUCUAGUUCCUCACUCUCAAAUUGCCUUGAGAGAGCAUCUGCUGCCUUAUUUUCUUUCCCGGGCUUGUAUUUAAUUGAGUAGUCAAAUCCCAACAGUUGGCAUAGAAAUUUCUGUUGAUCUGGAGUUUGUAUGAUCUGGCCUAUCAUAUUUUUUAUGCUCUGGCGGUCUGUGUGAAUCACAAAAUGGUGGCCUAAUAGAUAGUGCCUCCAUUUAGCAACAGCUUGUGUUAUAGCUAGCAUCUCCUUUGCAUAUGUUGAAGCUAAAAGCAUCCUCCCAGUAAUUUUAGAACUAAAAAAAGCAAUGGGAUGGCCCUCCUGACUAAGAAUUGCUCCCACUCCAUUAAGACAAGCAUCAGUCUCAAUAGCAAAAGGCUUAGAGAAAUCAGGGUGGUGUAAGACUGGAGCUGAAGUGAUAGCUUUCUUUACUUCCAUGAAGCUCUUCUCUGCUAAACCAUUCCAUAUGAACUGGUCUUUUUUUAACAAGUCAGUCAUUGAUGCUGCUAGAUGAGAAUAAUUUUUAAAAAACUUUCUAUAAUAACCUGAUAGGCCUAGAAAUCCCCUUAGUGCCUUGAUAUUCCUUGGUGUAGGCCAGUUCACAAUCGAUGAUACCUUUUCUGGAUCAGGGUUGAUUCCUUCUUCUGAUAUGAUAUGCCCCAGGAAUUGUAACUCAGUUUGAAAAAACAAGCAUUUGGAUUGCUUGGCAUAUAGCUGAUGAUCUCUGAGUGUUCCCAAUACUGUUUUGAGAUUGCCAAUGUGAUCCUCCUUGGAAGAACUGAAAAUUAAGAUAUCAUCAAAAAAAACAAGAACAAAUUUUCUUAAAUAUGGUGUGAAUAUUCUGUUCAUAGUGGCUUGGAAGGUGGCUGGUGCAUUGGUGAGGUCAAAAGGCAUCACUAGGAAUUCAUAAUGCCCUUGAUGAGUCCUAAAAGCUGUUUUUUCCACAUCAUUAGGAUUUAUUAAGAUCUGAUGAUAGCCAGACCUUAAAUCCAGUUUUGAAAAUACUUUAGCUCCCUUUAAUUCUGCCAGAAUUUCAUCUACUAUUGGUAUAGGAAAUUUGUCCUUGACAGUGAUUUUAUUCAAGGCCCUAUAAUCAACACAUAACUUCCAACUUCCAUCUUUUUUUUUAACUAACAAGACUGGGGAAGAGUAGGGACUGCUGCUUUCUCUAACUAUUUUCUGCCUUAACAUUUCUUGCACAAUAUUUCUCUCAAUUUCAUCUUUUUGAAAUUGGGCCUGCCUGUAUGGCCUUACACUAACACGGUCUGCCAAUUUUUCUAGUGUGAUUUUAUGGUAUUGGGAUCUAGGAGAUGGUAAUCCAAUAGGUUCCUCAAACACAUCAGAAAAUUCAGAUUUGAUAGAGGAUAGAAUUUCCUCCCUGUUUUCAAUUUCAGACUUGUCAUUCUGUUUAUCAGAGUUGGUCUGCCCAAUAUACUCAAACCUGUAGAAAAAUGCUCCCACAAUAGUGGCUGCUAGACAAUUCAUCUCAUUCUUUGAUAGUUGUUCAUCUGAUAAAAAUUGGUUCCCCCACCCAUUUAAUUAUUUUACCUUUCCAGUUGAACUCAAUGUUCAUAUCAAUGUAGUUGGAUAAAACUGAUCCAACAGUUUUAAACCAUUGAAUGCCCAAAACAAGGUUAGCUCCUUCCAUAUUUAGAACAAACACAUCAAUUGUCAUUGUGACACCUUGGACAAUCAUCAUAACUUGUUUACACAUUUUAUCACACCUCAAAGAGACCCCACUUCCUGUUGAAACUAAGAAUGAGGGAAUAGGAGUUAUUGGUAGUCUCAAAUGCCUAACCACCUCUUCCUGAAGGAAAUUGUGUGUGGAUCCAGAAUUCAGCAAAACAGACACUCUCAAGUUAUUAAUACUUGCUGAUAAUUUCAGAGUUCUUAGGCUUAGUUGGCCUUGUAGUGAGUGGUAGCUUAUGUGAGUGUGCUCAGCCCUUAUCUCCUCCACAACAUCCACAAAUUGUUCUUCAUCUUCAUUAGGCUCUGUAUACUCAGCAAAACACUCUCCAUCAGUUGAUAGAAGGAAUAAUCUUCCUUUGCACUUGUGACCUCUUUCCCAUUUUUCUGUACAAUUAAAACACCCAUUUUUUGAUCUUUUUAUUCUCAUCUCAGCAGGGGUGAGUUUCUGUCUCAACAUAGGUCCUUUUUGAGGUUCAGUUGGUGGUAGUGCUAAUAUCUUUCUGUGUGGUGGUAUGUGAGACUGUAACGAGCUAGAUGGUUUAGAAUUAACCUCUGCCACUAUAGAUCUUGAAGAUGGGCAGUACCUCACAAUAUCAGUUGUCAUGUCAUUUCUUUCAUACAGUUGGGCCAGAGCAAAUGCCUCCACUAAAUUUUCAGGUCUAGCUUUAAUAACAUCCUUCUGAAUUUCAUUCUUUAGUCCAGACAUUUCUUUCAUAACCCUUGGGUUGACAUCAGUUACUUUGUUAGACAAAGCUUCAAAUUGAUGUUGGUUUCACAGAGCCAGUCUGUAUCAACUUACUCAAUCUGCCAGCAGGUAUUUCAUAUGCUGAAGUCCCAAACCUCUUCACCAGAUCAUCAAGAAAAUCUGACCAUGAUUUUAGUGCAUUAUUAUUAUCUGCCCAUAGAAGCCACUCUAAAGCUUCUCCUUCCAUAUUAAAUGUAGCCACUGUAAUUCUCUCCCCAUCGGGUAUAUUAUGGUACCUCAGAUAUUUUUUUGCUUUAUAAAUCCAGCCUUGGACAUUCUCACCAUCAAACUUAGGCAUCUCUGUCCUGAUUGAUUUGUACUUUAAUUCCUGUUUUUGCUGUCCCUGAGUUUGUGGAUUACUUAUGAGUAAGUGUCUUACUCAUCUUUGACAAUGUCUGUUCCAUGUUUCUUAGUCUCUCGGCUUCAGUGUCCUGUUUGAUCUGUAGUCUCUUGAGUAGGACAUCCAUGGAUUCAGCCAUAAAAAAUUUUUGCUGAAAUCAAUUUUUUUUUUUGUAUAUAUAUCACUGAAUAGAAGAACAAAAGUAAAUAUAGGGAUAAUUAAAUUACGUCCCUGAUUCGGAUCUCUUAAGCAGAGAACAAGCUUUUGAAGAGUUUUUUUGUAGAUUUAUAGGUUUACAAAACCUUCUUCAGUUCCUCCCCAAUAGUGUUCAGUGAUCUGAAAUUUAAGUUAUUGUAUUUAAUAACUGAAUAUUUACUAAAUGUAAUGAGAUUUAUACGUUCCUGAUUGGGAUCUCUUAAGCAGAGAACAUGCUUUUGAAUUGUUUUUUCUUUUCUUCAGGAUGUAAUCUCCCUCUUCUAAAGAUCUUCAGAUGAUCCCCAGAUUGUAAGUUGAAACCAGUAGGCGAGAGGACUUGAAAGCAUCAAUGAUGGAGUGUUCUUGGAUGAAAGGAUUGAGAGAAAGAGUUGGCGGCUGGAAAUUGAUGGAACAGUACCUAGAUUAGGGUUGCUUCAACCCAUAUCUGUUUUAAGUAAUUUUGUAAAAUAUUGAUUGCCAAUAAAAUAAAAGAGUUUUCCCUUUUAUAGGGUUACACGUUUACAGUUCUUCAAUAACUAAAUAGAACUUGCAGACUAACUUAACAAACGGAAUUAACGAUUACUAACAUAAACUAUAACUACUCUAAAAUAAAACCCUUUAAUCGCGUGGACAAGGUCUUGCUCCUGGCCGGCCGGCAGUUGCAAUCCGGUCAUCGUCGUUCUCCUUCUCAGCCUCUACCUCGCCGCUCUGCUCCACUUGUUGCUGGAUAUCUCUCAGAUUCUGCUCCUCCAACAGGCCUCUAUCAGCGGACACUACAAGUUCCUUUAGCCUCCUUUUAAUUGGGAUUUUUAAUAUCGAUGAACCAUUUUUGGUCAAGGUUUAAACGAUCAUCGAGUUGGAUCAAUCUUUCAUGUGUAUAAGGUUUCGAGUGGGAUUAGGUUCUCAGGCAAAAAAAUUGACAAUUGAUUUUUUUGAUGACUCAAAUAAAAAUAAUUGGAUUAUUUACUUCAAUAAAGAUAAAAUAAUAUUCCAUGAUAUGUUGACAACUUGACAUAACAUUAAAUAACACACAAGCAUAUUGACCUUAUUUUAAAUAGGGCACCAAAAUUGAGUGCGCCAGAAUGCGUCAUACAACGUAAUAUUGUAACGACUCGUUGUACAACUUGAGGAUAAUGUAAUUACAUACAACGUACAACUCGUUGUACAAAGUUUAAUUGUUGAUGAAUAAUGCAUUGUCAACAGGUUCACACAAGCAUAAUGAAUAAUGCAUUUUGACACAUGGAAGGUUUGAUGCACAUGAAACUAGCUUAUUUUAAAUAAUUAACAUAAUAUAAUAGUAAAUAAAUAUAAUUUUUCCCUUUACUACUUUAGGAAAGUAUGAAAACCCUAGAGGAGUAAAUUGAUACAAACAAAUCAUUCACUCAAGUUCCAUUAAUUGCUUGGAACUUCAUUAACACACAUAAAAUUGGAAGUUAGUGAUACAGUAUCCCGAACCUGGUCACAACCUACCAGCAACUAGAAGUCCGGAUAGCCUAAGAUGAGUUAAGGUACCUAUUCUAGGGUUGGGGAAGUCCCAAGUCGAAUCCUAGGAAGAUCGACUUUCCUGAGGAUCGACUUCCCUGGGAUCGACUUCUGAAUAAAGUCGAUCACCAGGAAAGUCGACCCCUAGAAAGUCGAUCUCUGGAAAGUCGAUCUCUGGAAAGUCGAUCUCGGGCCCCGAUCUGAUCAGUUAGGCAGUUAGGCGGUUACUGCCCAAAUGACCAGAUUACCCUCAUAAGAACCCCUAUAAAUAGGAGGCACCCCCCACUCAUUGAAGGCAGGUCAUUUGGAGUGGAAAAGUUCUAGUGAAGCAGAGCUCUGCGCACUUGAGUUCCGGUCCGGUUUCCCACGGAGUUCCCCGCUUGGCGCUUGCUUGCGCGUCUUGGAGUACUGGUCGGGUUUCACCCCCAUCAGAAGUGCUUUGUGAUAUUUCUAUGUCACUUGGUAGGCAAGGAGGUGUUGCAAAUAAUGGAAUAGGCAUCCUUAAUGGAAAAUUAGGCAGAGGAGAUUCAGAAUUAAGAACAGCAAUAGCUUGACUCAUAGAAGGGCGUUGCAUUGCAUCAGGAUGAGCACACCAUAAUCCCACCAUCAUCAAAUUUUGAAUUUGUUUCUUAUGGAAGUGAAUAUUGUCGUCCUUACAUAACCUGGUAUCAAUGGAUUCUAAGAGUUUUCCCUUUCCAUGGAGUGUCCAAACCCAAUCAAGUAAUUUUGCUUUGUCUUCUUCAAUAUUAUUUUGGAUGCAUUUUCUACCACAUGCUAUUUCAAGCGCAACAAUACCAAAGCUAUAGACAUCGGAUUCUUUACUGCCCUUUCCUGUAUUGAAGUAUUCUGGCACCAUGUAUCCUAUAGUUCCAGCCAAGAAUGUUGUUUGCAAGCCACACCCAUGUUCUGAUAAUCUUGCAAGACCGAAAUCUCCAAGCUUCGCUUUAAAUGUUCCGUCUAACAUGAUAUUGCCACACUUGAUGUCUCUGUGCACAAUACAAUGGUGUCUAUCGUCAUGUAGGUAUUGUAAAGCCGAUGCCAAUCCUCGCACAAUGUUGAAUCUCAAAGACCACGCCAAAGAUUUGUUGGUGUUAAAAAUAUAAGAAUCCAAGCUCUUAUUUUCCAUUAACUCAUAGACAAUAAUAAAAGUAUCGUUCUGAUGACACCAUCCUAUGAGUUGCACUAGAUUUUUGUGUCUGAGUUGACUAAUAAUUUUACCUCAGCGAUAUACUCCUUUCGACCUUGUUGAGAUUGAUUUGAGAUUCUUUUCACAGCGACAUUUAUAUUCAAGUCUUUCAUAAACCCCUUGUAAACCGACCCAAAUCCUCCUUCCCCUAGCUUUCCACUUUCAUUAAACUUGUCUGUUGCAGACACCAAUUCUGCAUAAGAGAAUUUUCUAGGAUAUUUUGGUCUUCAAACUCAUCAUCUAGAUCAACAUCAUUGUGCUCACUAUUCAGAUCUCCUACCAUCAUUUUUUUCUUUUUUUGCUUCGAUAUAUACUUUAUAAUUACUACUUCUAAAGAAGAACAAACAAAUACAAGUGCUAGAAUUGAAACAGAGCCAAUGAUCACUAACCGUUUUUUCGUACUUGUAUUGUUUGGGUUUACACCAUCUGCCCGUUGAUUCAAUUUGUUGUAAGAAAAUUUCCACGAUUUGAUUCAAUUCAGAAUAGGUACCUGUUGUGGAUAUGAAACCAAUGGACACAUUUUCGGGAACUAUAUCCCUGAUAUCAACUAUAGUUGAAGCUUUUUAGGAUUGGGUAAACUUGCGCUUUCGAUAGAAACUGAUAAAUUGAAUAUCUUUGAGUUGUAAUCCACUUGAACCACGAUAAUAGGACCUAUCAAGUGAUCUUUUGAAAAGUUCUUAUGAACCUCAGAUCGAAUUGAGUUAAUAUCAAUCCCCACAUGCAGUGAACUCCGACCAACUUUGUUUUUAUAUGUAUCCAACCUCUACUGCAAUAAAGCUAUUAUUUUUGUACUCGUUGACCUCAUUAUCAAUGCUAACCAGUCCAAGUUUUCUACCUCUUGAAUCGUUGGAUAUAUUGAUUGGGAAACGAGAUAUGAAGAAAGCAAGACCAUCACCAUAGUGAGGAUAGUCUGGACAAUUCUGUAUGAUUUUGAAGUAGAAUUGAGUUUGGAAACUUGCGACUUCUUUGGUUCCGUAGUUCCAUAAUUGUAUUGGUUGAGAAUAUACCGCCGAUCCCUUGCCAUGGAACAACCCACAUUCAUUCGAUGCAUUUUUCCUUGUGAGCUCUAUAUCUCCAUUUCCAGUUGCAUUUGCAUUUCCAGUUGCAUUCCCGUGAAGACAUAUACCUUUCCAAUCCGCAUAACAAUGAUCUUUUUUGGACACACCAAUGAAAUUCUUGUAGUCGAACAAGUGUUCCUGCACUGUAGGGAGAAAAAUGUUGAAUGAUAAAAACAGGAACAAAAGAGGAUGAGCGAAAUUUAAAGAAACUAUUCUCAACAUUCUGCCAAACUUGCUAUUAGUUUGUAAUGAGGCUAAGAAAGAAGAGAGACAGAGACAAUGGAUAAACAAGAAGAAUGAAAUUGAUUUAUUCUGAAAGAAAAUUAGAUUAUAUAUAACAUAGGUUUAGUGCCUUUGUUGCUUGCAUAUCACCAAUAAUCUUUAUUUUAAGAUUGCAAAUUAAAACUUUUAAAACAUAAUUAUCAGUAUCUUAUUACUAAUUAGUAGAUGUGCAAAAGAGUUAUAUAUGAAAAGAGUAUGAUCCACGGUCAGGUGGUCCCAUCAUGAAUUAAACAAAGCCCCAGUGGGUCCGCAAAGUCUAGCUAGGCAUGUCUAGGCUUAUUAUAAAUAGGGUCCUAAGUCGUCUUAGAAAAAGGUCGAUUCUUAAAGAGUGAAACUAUAAUCUUUGUUUUGAUUAUCUGUCAUUAUAUAUAUUGGCUUAGGCUUGGUGUCUUAGUUGCUUCCAUGCAUAUAUAUUACCAAUAAACUUUAUUUAAAAAGUAUGAAAGUACUUUUAAACCUUAAAUUAUCAGUAUUUAAUUACUAUAUGGAUUACCUAGUUGUGCAAGAGAGUUAUAUAUGAAUAGAUGUCUAAUUUCUUAUUUUGCAUUAAUAUUAAGAAUUCUGGUAUGCUAAACACGAUUUUAUAUGUUCUGUAAAAAAUAAAAAUAAAGAGAAGUGAUGACGCAAGGUCGAUGAUGUAGCCAUUACAGUCGAUCCUAGAUCUAUUUCUCUCACUCUUUUCUCUCUCUCUUACUCCACUCUAAUAUCUAGUGUAGACUCAUUAAAUUAACUUAGUGUCGAUCCCAAGGUGAGCAGUAUUAAUAGAAGUAUUAUCCUGCUAAUGGAGCCGGACUUGCCAGAUACUGAUCUGGGCUUAAGCCCAGACCGUAGUCGGGUCGGGUCCCUAGAGUCAAUCUGUAUCGUAGUUGGGUUGGGCUCAAGUUUGACCCGAGUCAGAUCCUUGCUGGGUCAAGGGUUGAGUUACUAUUGUUAUCCUUGGGCCACAUAUAGUGGGACGAGGGUAUCAUCAGUAUUCCCCCCUCUUUUAAAUUCUUUGCAUGUGCUUUUCUACUUCCAUAACUCUGCUAAUCAUGUCUUCUUUCGCAGUUCUCGAAGAGUUGGGUCAUGAGUUAGUGCAUCAGCAGUCUGUUUGGUCAGAAUGUCUCAUCUUGUCUGAGGUUGAAUUUAGAGCUCUCGCUGCUACCGAGAGUCACCGCAUUAACUCUCUACUUCUCUCCGUGCAUCAUCGAUUGGCUUCUCACCAUCAUACCGGCGUCGAUUCGCUCCUGGUGGGUUCUGAAGCUCGUGCAGUUCCGUCGUUGCCCCAUGGUUCGAUGUUCCUGCUUCUGGACAGCCCGUUGGAUGCUCGUGUCCCCUUCGCAGCUCUUCUUCUGGGAUGCUGUCGGUUCUUCCAUGGCUCCCCCCUCUCCGGCUCAGAGACGUCGAUCUUAGUGUGCGUUGUCCGAACUACCUAUGACUGACCUGUGCCACUACAUAACGCGUGGAGCCACUUGAUGGUCGUCGCGGCCUUUCGCCUGGGGCACUCACCAAUUGCUGGACUUUUGUUGCUGCUCUUUCUAAUAAUAAUUUUGUUUAUUUAUCCUCUCUUUUUGUAACUUCUCCUUUUAAUUUUUCUGCAGUCUUUGUUUUGGACUCGCCCUCUUCUGUAAUAGCUCGUUUUUUAAUGCAACUCCGUUAUUCGCUUGUUCUUGGAGAUUUUGUCUUUGUGGGUGGUUUGGCUUCUCCCAUACGUGAUCUUGGUGGGUAACUGGGAAACUCUUUACCUGGGGAUCCUGGCCUGCUAGGGGCUCGAACCGAUAUUUCGGCGUGUCCUCUCGGGUUGGGUCCGUGCCCAAACAUGCUUCUUCCUAGGCUGGUUGAGUGGGGCUCCGAUCCUCCCCAGGGUCGAGGGUCUCCCCACGUCCUUGCCUCCUUGGGUACGUCAUCUUAACUUCUUUUUUUGACAAGACAUUUUUUUUAAAAGACACUUUUCCCGCUCUUUUUCCUCUAUAAAUACGUCUUCACUCCUUUUCCAUUUCGUAUAUUCUAAAACCCUUCUUCUUUUUCCUUAAACCUCUAGUUCUUCUCCCGUCUUCCGAUGGUCAGUCACGCUUACCUUGACACCAUAGAUCUCAACGGUAUCCCCUCGCGACACAACCCUCUGACCAUUCUUACUAGGAACGAAAUGCUGGAGUUGUGGGGAGACUUGCCUCACUCGCGUCCUCUAGACGUCAGCACUUCCCUCCGCCUGCCUGGUAGGCAAGAAGGUGUUGCAAAUAAUGGAAUAGGCAUCCUUGAUGGAAGAUUAGGUAGAGGAGAUUCAGAAGUAAGAAUAAUAAUAACUUGACUCAUAGAAGGGCGCGUUGCAUUGCAUCAGGAUGAACACACCAUAAUCCCACCAUCAUCAAAUUUUGAAUUUGUUUCUCAUAGGAAUGAAUAUUGUCGUCGUUACAUAACAUAGUAUCAAUGGCUUUUAAGAGUUUUCCCUUUCCAUGGAGUAUCCAAACCCAAUCAAGUAAUUUUGCUUUGUCUUCUUCAAUGUUAUUUUGGAUGCAUUUUCUACCACAUGCUAUUUCAAGCGCAACAAUGCCAAAGCUAUAAACAUCGGAUUCUUUACUGCCCUUUCCUGUAUUGAAGCAUUCUGGUUCCAUGUAUCCUAUAGUUCCAGCCAAGAAUGCUGAUUGCAAGCCACACCCAUGCUAUUGCCAUACUUGAUAUCACAAACAUCUGAUAAUAUUGCAAGACCGAAAUCUCCAAGCUUCGCUUUAAAUGUUCCGUCUAUCAUGAUAUUGCCACACUUGAUGUCUCUGUACACAAUGCAAUGGUGUCCAUCGUCAUGUAGGUAUUGUAAAGCCGAUGCCAACCCUCGCACAAUGUUGAAUCUCAAAGGCUACGCCAGAGAUUUUUUGGUGUUAAAAAUAUAAGAAUUCAAGCUCCCAUUUUCCAUUAACUCAUAAACAAUAAUAAAAUUAUCGUUCUGAUGACACCAUCCUAUAAGUUGCACUAGAUUUUUGUGUCUGAGUUGACUAAUAAUUUUUACAAUGUAUUCCUUUCGACCUUGUUGAGAUUGAUUUGAGAUUCUUUUCAUAACAACAUUUAUAUUCAAGUCUUUCAUAAACCACUUGUAAACCGACCCAAAUCCUCGUUCCCCUAGCUUUCCACUUUCAUUAAAGUGUUCUGUUGCCGACACCAAUUCAGAUCUCCUACUAUCAUUAUGCUUCCUUGUGAGCUCUAUAACUAAUGUGAUCGCGUCGGAAUAGAUGGAGUCGCGUUAAUUAAUGUGAGCGCGCCUAAAUAGAUGGAGUCGCGUCGGGAUUGAGUCGGAAGGAAGUGGAAUGGAAGUCGGUCGAUAGGGAGGAGAAGAGGAAUGUCAGAGGGGGAGUAGAAGACAAAAUUGGCCAGUAACUUUAUUCAAUAGCGAAGUGAAAUUACAGAAAUUCAAGAACAGAAAUGCGGGAAACCGUCGUCGAUCGGGAACCUCGGGGCAUCGAUCGUCGACGGUUACUGGCGUGGCUUCCUGGAACAGAUGCGACACAGGGGAAUUAGGAAGAAGGAGAAAACAGAAAAAUAGUUGAGAAGAAGAGAGUGGGAGGUUACCAAGUAGUGGAGAUCAAAAUGAUUUUAUGCCUUUCUCCAUAGGCGUGCGGGCGCCUUUAUAGGGUGUGAUGGCUUUCCUCCUUGUUGAGAUCGGAGGUGGAGAUGGGAUGGGCUCCCAUGGGCUGGAUCACAUUAGUCGCUACUUCCUCGGCGGCACUUGCCCACAAGUGCGGAUUGUGUCCAAUGUCUGGUGCACAGAAUUUGGACAGGUCUUUGAUGUUGAAGGUCGAGGAGAUUCCCAUGCCAUCCGGGAGGUCUAUAACGAAGGCAUUGUCGUUCACCUUCUUUUUAAUUUGGCAAGGUCCGAAAUGUCUAUCCCGUAGUUUGGAAUUUCUUCCUGGUGAAAAACGUUCUUUUCUCAUCUUAAUCAUUACCCAGUCGCCGACGUUUAGAUCUGUCUUUUUUCGAUGUUUGUCAACAUCCUCCUUAUACUUUGCUGUGUUACGUUCGAUCUGAAUGAGAGCUUCUUCUUGGGUGGUUUGAAUGUUGUGGAGUAGUUCUAAAAGAAGUAAUUAAUCCUGUAAUUAACUCUAUUAAAAACAACUUGGACUAAUCUGUAAUUAAAUAGAAGUAAAAGAUUAAUGUAAAAUAACAUGAAUACAAAGGUUGGACUCAUAUGCAAUUACAUAUAAAUAAGAGUUCAAUCCGUAAUUAUGUUAUUAGAUUAAUAUAUAAUUAACUGUGAAUGAGAUAUAAAUCUAUAAAUAACACAGUUAAUAUUUCUACUCAGAUUGGAUCCAUGUGUAAUUAUUUAUAACUCAAGGUGCAGGUUCGUCCGAAACUAAGAACACAGGGGCGAAGCUGCAAAGUUUUAAGUAAACACGUGAAAGGUGAAAUUAAUUGAGACUGCAGGGACAAAGCUGCAAAGUUCUCAAUACACACGUGAAAGAAUUAGAUUAAUUGGAUUAAUUAGAAUUCAGUUAAUCAUGAUUAGUUUACAGUUAAUUAGGUUUUGUUGUAAUAAUAAAAAUUAGAAUUCAAACUUGUUAAAUACACUGUAAACUCGUCAUUAAAGUAAUAUACAAUUUGUUAAUCCUUGAUUAAGGAUAAUCUUUCUACUACAGUGUUAACUAACAACGGUAACACUAAAAUCCCCAAAUACAUUCGAUUUCUCGCCGUCCGGCGAUCAUUGCAUAAUCGCCGACGACGACCCUUCACGCAGAACGUCAGGAAAACCUCGCCGGAAGCCCCGCCUUCGCUUUAACAUGGUAUCUGCUGGAAAAUCCGGUCAUGCUUCCGCAUCCAAGAACGUAGAAGGCAUUGAUGCUUCUCCGGCCAGGGACUCUUCUUCUGAGUCCAGUUCUGCUAUGUCACCCCCUUCUAUCAUGCUGUCACCUCGCAACAAAUCACACUUGUCUGUUAAGCACAGACGCAAAUCACCCCAGCACAAGAUGCAUCACUCCACCAAGAUCAAGAAGUCCAGUCACAUAUCUGAAAUUAACAACAAAGAGUCCAUAUAUUAUCUCAACUCUGGAGAUCACCCAGGGGCACUAAUGGUGUCCGAUAAACUAAUGGGUGAAUCAAAUUAUCCAGCAUGGGCAAAUGCUAUGAGACUCUCAAUGCUGUCAAGAAGAAAAAUUGCCUUCAUCAAUGGCAAAGUACAAAAACCAGAGGAUAUUUCAGGCAAAGAAUAUGAAGCCUGGGAAGUGGUAAAUGGUCUAGUGCUCUCCUGGAUAAUUAAUUCCGUAUCUCCUCAAAUUGCAUCAACCCUCAUGCAUACUGAAGAUGCACAUACAGCCUGGAAAGAUCUCCAAGAAAGGUACAACCAAGGCAAUGCACCUAAGGUAAAUCAACUAAGGUAUGAACUGAAUAAUUUACAGCAGAAUAGCAAUUCAGUUACUACCUAUUUUGAUAAAUUCAAGGCAUUAUGGGAUCAGAAGGUAGAACUAGAAAACAUUGAUUUGUGUAGUUUAUGCAAUCCAAAAUAUAUUAGAAAAUUAGAGAAAGAUAAGAUACAUCAGUUCUUACUUGGACUGAAUGAAGAUUUUAAAACCAUAAGAGGGCAAAUUCUCUCCUAUGAUGAACUACCCAAUAUGAGUAAAGUUUUCUACCUAGUUAUGCAAGAGGAAACACAGAAAGCAAGCUUUAGAAAUGAAGACCACAAUACUGAAUCUUCUGCCCUAUUUGCUAAAAAGGGUAAUGAAAAAGAAGAUGAAAAGAAAAUGUAUAGCAAAAGUGGGAAGAAGCUUGACACAUCAAAAUACUGUGAUAAUUGCAAGUAUUUUGGACACUUCAGGAAAGAUUGCUACCACAUUGUAGGCUACCCAAAUGACAGCAACAAGAAGGGAAACAAGAACAAAAGGCCCAAGGUUGAAACUGCAAACCAGGCUUCAACCUCCAUUAUCCUAAAUAGUAGAAUUAAAGUCAUUUUUGACAAUAAAAACUGCUAUUUUCAGGAAACCAAUUCAGGGAAAGUGAUUGGGAAGGGUAAUUCACAGCAUGGGCUCUACAUUUUCAGCCCAACUACUCAUGAAUAUGCAAAUAUCUCCCUAAAUUCCAGAAUAUGGCACAACAGGCUUGGACAUGUCUCCAAUGAAAAGCUUGCUAUGCUGAUUAGAAAUGAAGAUAUAGAUUGUGUUCUAAAUGUAAAACAAAAUAAAAAUUUAGAACAUAUUAUUUCAAAUAAAGAUUGUGAUGUAUGUCCUCUUUCCAAACAACCUAAACUCAAAUACACUAAAAGUAGUACAAUUAGUGAAAAUUCAUUUGAUUUGAUACAUAUAGAUAUUUGGGGCAAAUUCCCAAUUGAAACUCAUGAUGGAUAUAAAUAUUUUCUAACUAUAGUUGAAGAUUUAAGUAGAGCAACAUGGAUCUACUUAAUAAAAGAAAAAUCCAUAGCUUAUGAAUGCAUAAAGAAGUUUAUUCUCAAAGUUAAAAACUUCUUUUCCAAAGAUAUAAAAGUCAUAAGAAGUGACAAUGGUGGUGAGUUUAAAUCCCUUAGAUUUCAAGAAAUGCUUGGAAACUUUGGAAUUACACAUCAACUAUCUUGUCCUUACAACCCACAGCAAAAUGCAAGGGUUGAAUGAAAGCACAAAUGCUUAUUAAACAUUGCUAGGUCACUCCAAAUACAAGCUAAUAUACCUCUGAAAUAUUGGGGAGAAUGUGUAUUAGCUUCUACUUACAUAAUCAAUAGAAUACCAUCUAAGGUGAUGCAAAACAAAACCCCAUUUGAGGUCUUACACAAUAAAAAACCAAAAUACAACACCUUAAGAACUAUUGGAUGCUUGUGUUAUGCAAUAACACAUCACAGAGAACACAAGUUCUCUCCAAGAACUUUCAAAGGAGUAUUUAUGGGAUAUCCUCCUAAUAUAAAAGGGUAUCUAGUUCUAUCACUAGAUGAUCAAAAAUUUUAUAUAACUAGAAAUGUUGUAUUUAAUGAAAAUAUUUUCCCAUUCAAAGAAACCAAAAUUACAGAAAAUAAAAAAUUAUCCAACAUAUUCCCAGAACAGAACAUAUUUAAUGAAACAAUGGAUUCCCACCAAUCCAGAAGAGAAUCUGUUCCAGGAAAAUUGGAAAAAGAAACUAGAAUAGCUAUAGAAAACAGUUCAGGCAUAACUGGAAAUAACCAGGCUGAUCUGCCCCAAGCUAUUCUAGAAAAACAGCCUAUUUCAGAUAUGAUUGGUCAUACCCAAACUGAUAUAGACUGGAAUUCAGAACAACAAGGUUCUAUAGAAGACUCAAAUUCACAGAGUCACACUGAAAAAACCUUAGUUCAGAAUUCUGAAAAUAAAAACCAAAUUAAAGAUCAUCAUAUAAUCAUAGAUCAAAAUGAAAUAUCAAAUUCCAAAAACAUUGAAAAUAACAAAACAAAAACUAUAGAAAGCAAAAAUAUAAAACAAACUAGAUUGGGCAGAAUUAUAAUUAAACCCAAACACUUUAAUGACUUUCAGAUGGAGGAUGACCCACCAAUAAAAACAAAAUACCCUAUGAGCAAUUAUGUCUCAUAUCACAGAAUUAGCAACAAACACAAACAAUUUCUUAGGAAAAUAAUCAAAAACACUGAACCUACAACAUUUAGUGAAGCAUCAACCAAUCCAAAAUGGGUGGAUGCCAUGCAAAAGGAAAUGCAAGCUCUCAUUUCCAAUAACACUUGGAACCUAACUGAACUUCCUAAAGGAAGGAAAAUAGUGGGAUCCAAAUGGAUAUAUAAAAUUAAAUACAAGCCAGAUGGAGAAAUAGAGAGAUAUAAAGCAAGGCUUGUAGCCAAAGGCUUCUCUCAAAAGGAAGGAAUAGAUUUUUAUGAAACUUUUGCACCUGUUGCAAAAAUGACCACAGUAAGAGUAAUAAUUGCUCUUGCAGCCCAAAAGAAGUGGAACAUAUAUCAAAUUGAUGUUAACAAUGCUUUUUUGCAUGGUGACCUACAUGAGGAAGUAUAUCUUAAACCUCCUCAAGGGUUAUUAAAAGAAGGGGACAAAAGAGUUUGUAAACUCAAUAAGUCUCUAUAUGGUCUAAAACAGGCCUCUAGAAACUGGUUUGAGAAAUUGAAAAACACAUUGCUAGUUUUUAAUUUUUUACAAGCAAAAUCAGAUUAUUCAUUCUUCAUAAGGGAGAAAAAUAAUAAUAUCAUUUACUUAAUUGUAUAUGUAGAUGAUAUCUUAAUAACAGGAAAUAAUGAGCUAGAAAUAACCUUCUUAAAAACCCAAUUAGAAAAUAAAUUUAAAUUAAAAGAUCUUGGCAAACUAAACUAUUUUCUAGGGAUAGAAGUCUCCUACUCUAGUGAAGGAAUCCUUUUAUCACAAAGAAAAUAUGCUUUAGAAAUAAUUCAGGAAAGUGGCAUUUCAGGUGCCAAAGAAUCAAAAAUACCAAUGGAAAGGAACAUAGAUCUCAAAACUGAGUCUAAAUCAAUUGAAGAUCCAACUUUUUAUAGAAAAUUGGUUGGGAAGCUCAUAUAUCUUAACAUCACCAGACCAGAUAUAAGUUAUGCAGUUCAUUGGGUCAGUCAAUUCAUGAGUGAUCCAAAGGAAGUUCAUCUAAAAGCCUUGUUCAAAAUAAUAAGAUACCUAAAAGCAGCACCAGGCCAAGGUAUCUUAUAUAAAACAGGGGGUAAUAUGAAUAUUCAUGCCUAUUGUGACUCUGAUUGGGCUGGAUGUCAGAUAACCAGGAAGUCUGUUACUGGUUUCUGCAUUCUAAUUGGAGAGUCAAUAGUGUCCUGGAAAUCUAAGAAGCAAGCUGUAGUUUCAAGAUCUUCCUGUGAAGCUGAAUACAGAGCAUUAGCUCAAACAGCUUGUGAAGUAAUUUGGAUACACCAAUUACUAAAAGAAAUGAGAAUUCAAAUGGAAUUCAGAACAUCAAUAUCUUGUGAUAACAAAUCAGCCAUCAAUUUGGCCAAUAAUCCUGUAUUCCAUGAAAGAACUAAGCAUAUAGAGAUAGAUUGCCAUUUUAUAAGAGAGUUAAUCACAAAAGGGGUGUUUACAUUAAAGCAAAUUGGCACAAAAUACCAAUUAGCAGAUAUGUUCACUAAACCCAUGGGGGAAAAUGAGAUUACUUCCACUAAUAUCAAGCUUGGAAUAAUAAACGUUUACUCCAAAGCUUGAGGGGGGAGUAAAAGAAGUAAUUAAUCCUGUAAUUAACUCUAUUAAAAACAACUUGGACUAAUCUGUAAUUAAAUAGAAGUAAAAGAUUAAUGUAAAAUAACAUGAAUACAAAGGUUGGACUCAUAUGCAAUUACAUAUAAAUAAGAGUUCAAUCCGUAAUUAUGUUAUUAGAUUAAUAUAUAAUUAACUGUGAAUGAGAUAUAAAUCUAUAAAUAACACAGUUAAUAUUUCUACUCAGAUUGGAUCCAUGUGUAAUUAUUUAUAACUCAAGGUGCAGGUUCGUCCGAAACUAAGAACACAGGGGCGAAGCUGCAAAGUUUUAAGUAAACACGUGAAAGGUGAAAUUAAUUGAGACUGCAGGGACAAAGCUGCAAAGUUCUCAAUACACACGUGAAAGAAUUAGAUUAAUUGAAUUAAUUAGAAUUCAGUUAAUCAUGAUUAGUUUACAGUUAAUUAGGUUUUGUUGUAAUAAUAAAAAUUAGAAUUCAAACUUGUUAAAUACACUGUAAACUCGUCAUUAAAGUAAUAUACAAUUUGUUAAUCCUUGAUUAAGGAUAAUCUUUCUACUACAGUGUUAACUAACAACGGUAACACUAAAAUCCCCAAAUACAUUCGAUUUCUCGCCGUCCGGCGAUCAUUGCAUAAUCGCCGACGACGACCCUUCACGCAGAACGUCAGGAAAACCUCACCGGAAGCCCCGCCUUCGCUUUAACAAGUUCUUCCACUCCCUGGAGUAGUGGGUCACCACCUGAUAGGUCCGUGAUCUGUUUCGGAAUCGUGCCAUAAACGAUUAGGAAAGGACUUUUCCCGGUUGUCCGAUUGACGGAAGCGUUGUAAGCAAACUCCGCCAUUGCCAACAUUCUUUCCCAUCCUCCCGGGUUUUGAGUUAUUAGAGCCCAUAAUAGGUUGCCAACUGAACGAUUUACCACUUCCGUGAGCCCGUCGGUUUGAGGGUGUGCCGACGUGCUGAAUUUGAGGGUGGUGUUCAGCCUUUUCCAGAGCGUCCUCCAAAAUUGACCGAUGAAUUUUGGGUCUCGGUUGGAUACUAACGAUAGUGGAACUCCGUGCAAUCUCACUAUUUCUCAUAUGAAUAUUUCUGUGAUACGUAGUGCGUCGUCGCUUUUCUUGCAUGGUAGGAAGUGAGCCAUGCGGGAGAAUCGGUCGACAACGACGCAAAUGGCGUCCUUUCCUUCUUGGAAUCGUGGUAAUCCGGUGAUGAAAUCGAGUGAUAGGUUUUCCCACGGUCGUGUGGGUGUCGGUAACGGAGUGUAUAGCCCUUGAGUUGACGAGCCGCUCUUAGUCCGUUGGCAUAUCAGACAAUGCUUUACAAACUUCUUUACUUCUUUUCGUAACCCCAGCCAAAAAAAUCUUUCUUCGAGUAGGUGGUAUAUCUUGCUCAUACCCACGUGACCGCCUAGAUUGUUACCGUGUAACUCUCAGAUUAACUUCAAUCGUAGAUUGGACUUGGGAACGCAUAGUCGGUGGUCCGUGAAGAUGAAACCAUUCUUCAAUUGGAACCCUUGGAAGGUUGUUUUUGUCUGUAGUUCAUUCCAAAUGGACUCGAAGUCGUCGUCGCCCUCGUAGUAAUAACUUGUGAUCUCAUCGAUUUCUGGAAUUUGUAAUUUAAUAUACGUGAUUACCUCACCUUGGCGACUCAAGGUGUCUGCCACCUUGUUAAAUUUACCGGGCCUAUGGAUGAUGGUGAAGGUAAAUCGCUGCAGAAAUGUGAUCCACCGGAGGUGCAUCCGAUUAAUGGUAGUCGCGGCGUCGAUGCCUUUUAGUGCGAGGUGGUCGGAGCAGACGAGAAAAUCUCGUUGUAGCAGGUAUGGCUCCCAAUUUUUAAAGGCCCGUACGAUGGCGUAUAACUCGAUCUCGUACGUGGUCCAGUGACGUCGUCCUUCCCCAAGUUUCUUACUAAAGAAUGCCACCGGAUGACCUUCUUGCGUGAGGACUCCCCCGAUCCCGGAAUUACAGCCAUCGCAUUCGACGAUAAAUAACUUGUCGAAGUUGGGUAGUGCGAGUACCGGGACGGAGGCUAUUUUUGCCUUUAUUGCACUGAAGUUGUGGCUGGCUUCGCGGGUCCAAUCGAACGGUCCCUUCUUAAGACAGUUGGUCAUACUGCUUGCGAUGGUGCUGAAAUUUGUAAUAAAGCAGCGAUAGAAGAAGGCAAGCCCAAGAAAACUUCUUACUUCGGUCAACGUUUUAGGUUCCGGCCAAUUGGUGAUGGUGUCCACCUUACCUUGGUUCGUAGCUAGACCUCGAUCACUGAUCACGAACCCGAGGAAGGAUAACUCGAUCACCCCAAAGACACACUUGUCCGUAUUUAGGCGUAGUGAGUUUCUUUCCAACAGUUGCAGUACUUCGACGACAUCGGUGUCAUGUUUAGAUUCCUGCCGACUAAAGAUGAGGAUGUCAUCGAAAUAUACGACGGUGAUACGCUCGAUGACCGGUCGGAGAAUCGUCAUAAGCCGCAUGAACGUGGACGGAGCGUUGGAGAGACCGAAGGGCAUCACCACCCACUCUAACAACAACGUUGGAGAUUUGAAGGCCGUCUUCCAUUCGUCGCCGGAUUGAACUCGUACUUGGUGGUAGCCGCUUCGAAGAUCGAGUUUCGUGAAAAUUCUUGUUCUGGAUAAACAGUCCAACAGUUCUUCCACCCUUGGUACGGGAAAUCGGUAUCGAAUUGUGAUUUUGUUUAUGGCACGGCUAUCGACACAAAACCUCCACUCGCCGCUCUUUUUGGGUACGAUGAGAGCGGGCAUGGCGCAUGGACUGGUGCUAGGCCGUACAUAACCUUGCUGAAUUAAUUCGUCGUCUUCGUUUGCAAGAUUUCGGCUUCCUUUGGACACAUGCGGUAGUGUGGCAAAUUUGUCAAUAAGGUCCCGGGAACUAAGUCGAUCUCGUGAUCAAUCCCACGAUAUGGGGGUAGGCCGGCCUCGUGAUCUGGGAGUGACAACCGAGGAUGGGCGUUCAGGAACUCCUUGAUUACUUGCGGAACGGUGGUUGUCGUAUCUGUCCAAAGUGGCUUCGCCGUUAAUGCCCAUCCGAAACCUUUCUCCUUAAUAGCUAGUGAAAGCACUGCUCGUGAGACAAUAGUGACCGUGGGUUUUGGCGUGAGGUGUAACGGGCCAGGCGGCAAUGUGGUGAGGAUUAAUUGUUUGUUAUUGGCAUGAAUGAUGAUUUGGUUGGUCUUGCCUCGGUGAGUGUAAUCGGUAUCGUACUGCCACGGUCUGCCGAGAAGUAUAUGGGCCACGUUCAUGUCAACCACGUCGCAUACGACGACCGUUUGACAUUCCUUCCCGAUAGAGAUCGGAACACGGCAUUGCUCGUGCACCUUUUUGACAUUGGCUUCGUCAAUCCACGAUACCGAAUAGGGCUGUGGGUGUUGCAUUACGGGUAAUUUUAGAGCUUCGACUGCCUUUCGGGAUAUAAGAUUAUCGGUGCUUCCUCCAUCCACAAGUAUAUCACAAAAUUUCCCUCGGAUGGUUCCUCGUGUUCUGAAUAAGGUGUACCUCUGAUUAUUGUCUACCACUCGGGGAGCCGUGCAUAGCCUUUUGAACAUGCAAAUUAGUGGCAACCCGGAUUCAUCCGGUGGUAAUGUUAGAUCGUCGGACUCAACGAACUCGUCCUGGUUGUCCAAUUCUUGAUGUUCAUCGACCACGGCGUUAAAACGGCGCCGGUGGCAAUCCGAAGAUUUGUGACCGGGCUGCUCGCACUUGUAACAUAUGAGGGGCGGUCGGAUGUAGGUAUCAGUGGUAGCCUUCUGUCGUUCCCCAAGGCCAGGAGACCUUUGCCGCUGCCCGGUGUACUGUCGUGUGCUAAAUUAGUCCGAACCGGGGGUGUAAAGGAAGUUCGAGUGGGUGGUGUGCUUCGGGAGAGUUGCUUCUCGAUCUGAGCAGCACGAUUCAUCGAAUCCUCCUUCCCCUAGCUUUCCACUUUCAUUAAAGUGUUCUGUUGCCGACGCCAGUUCUGCAUAAGAGAAUUUUCUAGGAUAUUUUCGUUCUUCAAACUCAUCAUCUAGAUCAACAUCGAUCAUUAUGCUCACUAUUCAGAUCUCCUACUAUCAUUAUGCUUCCUUGUGAGCUCUAUAACUCCAUUUUCAUUUUCAGUUGCAUUCCCAUGAAGGCAUAUACCUUUCCAAUCCGCAUAACAAUAAUCUUUUUUGGAUGCACCAAUGAAAUUAUUAUAGUCGAUCAAGAGUUCCUGCACUGUAGGGAUCGAGAAAAAUGUUGAAUAAUAAAAAUAAAAACAAAAGAGAAUGAACGAAAUUUAAAGAAACUAUUCUGAACAUUCUGGCAAACUUGCUAUUAGUUUGUAAUGAGGCAAAGAAAGAAGAGAGACACAGACAAUGGAUAAACAAGAAAAUCAGAAUAUAUAUAAUGGCAUAGGUUUAGUGCCUAAUUAGUUGCUUGUAUACAAAAUAGGAAAAUAUUCAGGUGUGUCAUCUUUAUUUGCGUUGUUAUGCGUCAAAAAUAUCCACAACACACGAUUGAGAUCCAAUGAUCCCAAUUAUGUUAUAUAUUUAAAACUAACUUACGUACGACAUCUAUUUAUAUUAUGUACUUAAAAUUAAAUUACGUACGAUAUCCAAAAAAAUCUUAAACAUCUAAUGGUGAACAUCAAAAUGGCGCAUACAACGCAUUUUGAUACGGCUUAUAUGAAGUGUGUUCAUAUAGGGGUGGGCCGGUGGCAAUCCCGAAAUUGCUGAAUAAAUACAGUGAUCAUCUGGUCAUUUUAAGUAGGGGUGGGCCGGUGGCAAUAACAGACACGACACGACAUAAUUUUAACAAGACCCGACGACACGUUUAUAAUAGUGUCGGAUUAGUGUCUAAAGUUUUAACACGGUUAAUAUAUAAUAGUGUCGAAUAAAUCACGGCGUAACGUAGGCAUGCACGAUCUUUCGUUAGAACAUUUUAAUGAUCGAUCUAUUGAUCGAUCUUUGGUGGGUUGAUUCUUUUCUUUCAUCUUCUAUUUUCAGCAGAAACUCCACGAUGAAACAACCAUGGAGUGUUAACAUUUCCACCAACUCUUCUAUUAGAAGUAUAACCCCAUAAGACUUAAAAAUUAAAGAUAUACCCUUAAUGUAAAUAUUAAUUUCAAAUCCUUAAGUUACACAGAUAUUAUACAUACAUCCUUUUUAUAUAUAUAUACAGAUAUAUCAAAUCCAUUGACUCUUCACAUUCCUUUCUAGGAAUUCCCAUACACAAUUAAUUCCAUAUCCACCAUAGUUAGUUCCAUAUUAGGAUUUAAUACUAAACACCAACAUAUAGCCAUUGGGUGUUUACUAUUUAAAUCUACCCAAACCUUCAUCACAAUUUACGUUCUUACAAUCUAUAAUUCACAACACACACACUGAUCUUCAUCAACACAUUCUGCUGCUCAACGCUUCCGCACAACUCCAUCAUCAAACCUGCAAAUCAUUUGUUGGAUAAUCGAGCUACACUCCAAUCAAUCGAUCAUCCAACAGUAUCAAUAUCUUUACAUACAUAUACUUAAGCAUCACAUAUUUCAUUCAUCAUUCAAUUGCAUUGCUUAAGUAUUACAUAUCUAUAUGAUUGUUUGAUCAUAUCAUCUAUAUCAAAAUCUAUCAUGGUAUCAGAGAAGGUCUUAUCCUGACCUCAAACAAUUCUUCUAUUUUUUCUUUCUCUACAAAAAGAAACUAUAAAGAGAAAAGAAACAGUUGCUACACCAAAAAAGAGCAAGCUGCUCCAACACACACAAAACAACACAAAAAAGGGCAGUCAGUCAAGUUCUUCAGUCAUCAAAAACAACCCUAUUCCUCCAGAUAUUGUCAAAGAAUUCCUGUGGAGGACGAGGAGGUAGUGGAAUCUCCACAGCCAAAACACCAUUGGCUUUCUCCCCUUCAAAAUUCAAACCCACAUCUGGAUCACUCCACACCUCAUAGUCAGGAACAGAAUCAUCACUAUCAUAAUAAUAUUGUUCAUAUACUUCUCCAUCUUCACCAUCACUGUCUUCAGGGAAAUUGAUAUUCCACACAGGAGGAGGUCUUUCAUACUCAGAAUCAGAGGAAGAAUAUACAUCUUCCACAUCACCAAAAUAUUCCAGGGCCUCCACAUCCAUAUUCUGCUUCCUCAGCUCCCUCAUUCUUCUAAGGUUCCUGGUGUGCCUUCUCAUCAAUCUCCUUGCUCUCCUCUCAUUUUUAUCUACAAAUGGAAACAAAAAAUGAUGAGUUAAAAAUAAAAGAUGGAAGCCCAUACUACAUAUCAGGUAGUGACAACCCAAGCUCAGGCUUGGUUACAACUCCACUCAGUGGACCAAACUAUCAAACAUGGGUAGUAGAGAUCCAAAGAUCACUAUCUACCAAAAACAAAUUAGGAUUCAUAAAUGGAUCCAUCACCAAAC